Molecule: long non-coding RNA, 354208 nt
Filed under: Malus domestica (apple)
Lineage: Eukaryota; Viridiplantae; Streptophyta; Magnoliopsida; Rosales; Rosaceae
Description: long non-coding RNA (MDOM_LNC009398)
Source: RNAcentral
AGUAGUUUGUUUGCAUUUAAUGUUAUAUGUGUUGUUUUAAUAUGUGUGUUGCAUCUUUGUUAAUUUUUUCCUUUUUCCCAAUUUGUUUGCAGUUGUUUGUUUUUCAAUUGGUCAUACAAUUUUUUUGCAAUAUGUCUAAAAGAUCUAUAAAUGCAUUAACAAACGAUGUUGUAAAGCAGAAACAAAACAAUGACAAUGAAUAUAAUCUCUUUGUCAAUUAUGGUCACCAACCAAAAAGAGUGUGUAGAGCCAGUUAUAUUCAAAAUUCUCUAAUCGUUGCAAUUUAUUAAUUUCAUCUACAGUCACUUUUAUUUUAAGAUAUUAAACUAUUAUUUCAAUCCUGCAAUCACUUUGUUUACAUAAUCAAUUAGUUGCAGAUCAAUAUAUUCAAUAUCUACCUAUACUCUGUCUCUAAUGCUUUUACACAAUUGAUUGGAAAUUUGACUUUCCUCUUCUACCAUUUUUUGCCUUUAUCAAACCUAAAUUCAAAAUCUAUUACCCUACAAUUUAAGCACUUUUACAAAGUUAUCAAUGCAUUUAUUCGUUAAACUUUAAACACUAUUCAAAGGUUAUCCAUGUACUCAUUACACUAGAUUCAACUUUGAUGAUUUUUCAAACAUAAUUAUCUAAAUAAUUUUUAAUCUUGCAGCAACGCACGAACAUUACUAUCUAGUAUUAUGUUAAUUAUCGGCCAAAUUUGAUUUGGCACAUAUUACUGAAUUUAACAUUUGAAUUUAGUUUUGAUUUGUUUGUAUAGAGUAGAAGUUGUCCGGUAGCACCCUCAGGGCACUUCCUCGCAUAGAGGAGGAGGUGGGAUAUUCAUUCUUAAUUUCACCUUUAUUUGUUAAAGCCCUCAACUAGGAUAUAUUGUUACCUUUUCUUCCGUUUGAAUGCAAACAAUUUCAACGCCGAAUAUGCUUGAGCAAUUUUGUCUUUUUAUUUUUUAUGGUUUUUUUGUUUGAUCUUUGAUGAUUUUUUUCUUUUAAUUUGAAAGAAAAUUUUAAUGUAGUAGCAUUAUCAAAUACUUGUUAGGUGACUAGUCUCUGUCUCUCCAAAUUUUUAAUUUUUGUCCUCAGCUGGUGUGUUUGUAACUUUAUGCACAUACUCAACAAGAACUGGUACAAUUUCAAUUUUUCUGUACUAAAUCUGAUCUAGUCUCAAAUGCAAGAGUAUUUCAGAUUCUCUUUCUGCUCUCUGUAAUCAAAUACUCUCGCUUCGAUUGCUUCAUUCUCUUCUCUAACAGAUAGAGGGAUGGAGUUGAUUGGGUUCUUUCAAGUUUUCAACAUCGUCGUCAUCGCCAUCGGGACUCUGUUGUACAUGUACUGCAGAUCAUUGACGUUUUCUUCCUCGACUUCUUCUUCUGGUGCUGCUGAUGCUGCUGUUGAUGAUAACGAUGAUGGUGUUGAUAAGCCCCCUCGUCGAGAAAAGUAUGAUGUGUUUAUUAGUUUCAGAGGUGAGGACACCCGCCUUACUUUUACCAGCCAUCUUCAUAAAGCUUUGGAAAGGAAGAAAAUCGAAACCUACAUAGACUACAGGCUGAAUAAAGGAGACGAAAUUGAACCCGCCCUACUAGAAGCAAUAGAGAAAUCAAGGCUUUCGGUGAUCAUUUUCUCCAAAAACUAUGCGUCUUCCACAUGGUGCUUGAAGGAACUUGUGCAUAUACUCAAAUGCAAGAAAAAAGACCAGAUGGUUGUACCCAUUUUUUACGACAUCAGUCCAUCAGAUGUGCGAAAACAAAAGGGGAGUUAUGCAGAUGCAUUUGCUCAACUUGAAAAUCGUGAGGACUCCAAGGAUAAGGUGAUCGGUUGGAAAGCUGCUUUGGCGGAAGCAACCGGUUUAUCUGGGUUUGAUUUUUCAAACAAAAAAGGGUAACGUACUUUGCAACUUGGUGUCAAUUUCUAUUUGUGACUAUUUCUUUUCAAUUUUUAUUUUUUUAUUUUUAUAGGAAUGGAUAUUGAUUAGAUAGACUUUAACUAGCAGGGUACCGCGCGAUGUUGUGGGUUACAACAAAAGUUGGAUAAAAUAUAAAAUCCACUAAUAUGGUAAAUAUUUUGAAAAUAUUGCUACAACCAUUUGUAUCCAACAAAGUGCUUAAAAGAUUCAAAUUUACGAACAAAGCAUAAUCUUCCAAACCAAUACAUAUCUCAAAUAUGGGAGUCUCAAAACCUUUUUCAUUUCUUUCCCUCCAAAGAAAGCUUUUGUUAGGACAGAACACAUUACUCGUGCUUAACACUCAAAACACCUAACAAAAACUCAUCUUUCUCCACCUGAAAAGGAGCUGAGAGACCUGGAAAGCUUCUGCCAAGCAGCUCAAGCAAACAACUAUUUUGAUAUCUAUCUGACCAAAGUGCAGUGACCAUGAAAAUAUUGCUUUCAGGGAAAUUAGGCAGAUUGUAACUUAUCCAUAGUCAAUGCAAAUAUAAUACUAUUUGAUAAAAUUCUGAUGUAACUUAUCCAUGGUCAAUACAAAUAUAAUGCUAUUUGAUAAAAUUCUAAACCAUGACCGAUUCAUCAAAUUAUCUUAUACACCAAGAAAAAUUUACACUUUGUUUCCCUCCAAUGCUUCAUUAUACUAGUACUAUAGACAUUGUGUAUACCCCAUACAAAAUCAUCUUUUUUUUUUGGGAAAUGAAUCGCCACAUCAUCAAGCAAACUGUUAUUCAAAUGAAAAAAAACAGUUUACCCUAUUUUUUUCCCCUCCAAUGCUUCAUUAUACUAAUCCUAUAGCCCUUGACACCUUAUACUAAUCCUAUAACAAACAGUGUCAGAAGUGUUUCGUUAAAACUCCCUUAUACUAAUCCUAUAGCCCUUGUGUAUACCUUACUGAAAACCAAUCAUCUUUGUUUUUUUUUUGAGAAAUGAAUCGCCACACCAUCAAUCAAACUGUUAUUCAAAUGAAAAAACUACCCAAUACUUAAUAGCAAAACCGUAAACCAUACCCAAUAAAAUCAUUAACUAAACCAACGCCAUAUUCAACAAUUCAUCAAAAACACCAUCAAAUUAAAUACCCUUAAACCACAAAAUUCAAAAGAACAGACUAUAUAAUUAGUGAGUGCAGACUUUCCGGGAGUCGGGACACCAAUUAAACCCAACAGACAACGCCUUUCGUCCUCCGCCUUAACCAUUUCCUCCUCAUCCCCUGAUUCCUCAUCAUCUGCAAGCUUCAAUGCCUCCUCUAGAAGCGCCUUAGUGAUAACCAAGUUAAUAGGUAUAAGUUCAAACUUGUAAUUCAUAUGACUUUUUUCGGUAAACAAACAAAUGGAUGUGCGAAUUAGCCCAGAUCUAGAACAAUUAAUAGCGAAAUGAACAGACCCAAAAGCUGAAUUGAGCUAAGAAUGCAUGAAACUUUGAGAUUGAGCAGGGUGGAGUGGUGGGUUUUACCUUGUUCGCAUACAGAAGGACUAAAUCUCCUUCCUUCAUGAACGAAUCUUGAUCUACAGUUGAAAAUUUCACUGCUUUCGCUGCUGCUACUGAAUCGGCUUAUAUUCAUGCUAAUUCCUCAUUCUUCUAAUCUCAAUCUUGGUUUUGAAAUUGGUUCCAUGGCACAUAAAAGGGAACAAAAAUAAGAGACAUUGAUGUCAAGAGAAAUUUUUAAUUAUGAAUUUUUUAAGUUAUUAACUUUUUAUCACAUAUAUUUCACAAUUUAUAUAAUAAAACGUGGUACCAUAUACCGGUUAUGCUGAAAAAUCUCGGAAGCGACACUGGAAGAAAGCAAUAUCAGAUGACCCACACGUCGGCAAAAUCGAUAACCAGCGGGGCCAAAGGGCAUAUUAGUAAUUUUACUGCGCAAAAUGAAAAAUAAAAAGAAAAUUAAACUGUGAAACAGAGGCAAAAACGUCAAUACACUGUGCGUGUACAUUGUUUUUAAAUUGGGUUUUAGUAAAAAUUAAUUUCUAUUUAUGACUAUCCGAUUUAAACAAUUCUUACUAUAUAUUGCUUGUCAUUCAUAUUCAUAUUUUCCAGGACGGAUGCUGAUUUCAUUGAAGAAGUUGUGAAAGAUAUUUCAACUAAAUUGAAACGUGAAACCGCCGCAUAUGAUUUAAAGGGCUUGGUUGGAAUGACAAGCCGCAUCGAGCAAGUUGAAUCAUUAUUAAGCAUUGAUGGUUCGGUAAAUGUUCUCACUGUAGGCAUUUGGGGUAUGGGAGGUAUUGGAAAGACCACCCUUGCCAAGGCUCUGUUCAAGGGACUCUCUUCUCACUUCGAAGCUUCUUGUUUUCUUUACAAUGUUAGGGAGAAAUCAGAGCAAAAAGAUGGAAUCGAUCAAUUGCAAAAGACACUUCUUAGAGAGAUCUUAAAGGAAGAAAAUCUCUCCGUAGAUUUGACUUUUGUUCGAGAAAGGCUCAGCCGUACAAAGGUUCUCAUUGUUUUUGAUGAUGUUACUGACCCAAGGCAAAUAAAAGAUGUAGCUGCGGAUAAUCUUCUGUACGGCAAUGGAAGUAGAAUCAUUGUAACAAGUAGAGAAAGGAGCGUACUCUUGAAAGCUGUUAGUGAUGAAAAAUAUAUAUAUGAGGUUGAGAAAUUAAAAACUGAUGACGCUCUUCGACUCUUUCAACUUCAUGCUUUCAAUGAUAACUCUCCUAGAGAAGAGUAUACAGACUUGUCAAAAAGGGUGGUAGAAUAUGCUGGAGGCAUUCCACUGGCUCUUGAAAUUUUGGGUUCCUUAUUCUUUCCAUGUAAGAGCAUAGACGAGUGCGAAGAUGUAUUGAGAAAACUGAAAAAUUAUCCCAAUGCAGAAAUUCAAUAUACGUUCAGAGUAAGCUAUAAUAGAUUAGAAAGAGAUCAGCAGGAGAUAUUUCUUGAUAUAGCAUGCUUUUAUAAAGGGUGUCAUAUUGAAUAUGUAAAAAAAAUGGCAAAUUUUGGCCAAAAGCAUGGUGAUUUUUGUGCGGCAGAUGGAAUUAGAGUUCUCUGUGAUAGGUCUCUCAUAUCGAUUGAUUCAGAACAAAAAACCAUAGAUAUGCAUGAUUUGGUACAAGAAACAGGUAGGGCAAUUGUUCUCGAACAAUGUAUUGAAGAGCCUGGAAGACGGAGUAGGUUGUUCAUUGCUGAGGAUGUCUAUCAUGUAUUGGAAAAAAACACGGUAAGAGCCACAAGUGCAUUCACUUUUCCUUUUAAACAAUAAAGAAAAGAAAGAGAUGAAUAAGACACCGUGUACUUCCUAUGAGAAGACAGCUAGAGAAAACUCAAUUACAAUAAAUAAGUCAUAUUCCUACAAAUGUAGUUUUGAUUAAAUUUUGUUGCAUGUUAAUGUGUUCACAUUUAUGCUUUGUUGUUUAUUAUCAGGGUACGGAAAAGGUUCAAGCCAUAUUCUUUAACGAGUCCAGCACUGGAAAGAAAAACUUGGAUCGUGCAGACUUCAAAAAAAUGUAUAAUCUGAGACUGCUCAAUGUUGAUAAUUCUAUGUGGCAAAAUGCUGACAGUUCUAGAGAGUACUGCAAAUUGAACCUGUCUCUCUCUCUUCCCAAUUCUCUUCGUUAUCUUUCCUGGAAGGGAUAUCCUUUGAAAUCUUUGUCCCCAAAAUUUUCUCCUGAAAAUCUUGUUGAGCUUCAUAUGCCGGGCAGCCAAGUCACACAACUUUGGAAUGAAGGCCAGGUAUAUGUGUUUAUUAUAGAUUUUGUGAAAGAUACUAGUAGUGUAGAACUUAUUUAGACUAAGUUGUUAAUUCUUACCGUUUCUCUUUAAUUUGUUACAGAAACUUAUGAACUUAAAAGUGAUCAAACUUCGUUAUUCCAAAUGUCUAACUGCACUUCCAAACCUCUUGGAGAGUCCAAAUAUUGAGCACAUAGAUCUUUGCGGAUGUGAAAGUUUGGUUGAAAUCCCUUCGUAUUUUAAAGAUCUUGACAAGCUUACUUAUCUUGAUCUUUCGUGGUGCAAGAGUCUCGAGUAUCUUCCAGACAUGCCAGGCAACAUUGAAUUCUUAAGUUUAAGCGGCAGUGGCAUAAAGGGACUUGAUCUCACUGGUUGCACUAGAUUUUACAAAUUCCCUGAAAUAUUGGAGCCAAUGGAACACCUGAAGUUUCUUCGUUUAGAAGGGACAGCAGUUGAAGAGCUUCCCCAGUCUGUUGGAAAUCUAGUUGGCCUUCAAACAUUAGAUCUUGGUCGGUGCGAGAAACUCAAAGUUGUCCCAAGUAGCAUCUACAACUUAAGAAAUCUUAAAACUCUCAGCUUUAAUGGCUGUUGGAAACUUCAAAAUUUUCCUCAACCGACUGGCUCAGUUGGUUUGCUUUCUCUUGAAGUACUAGACCUCGGUGAAAGCGGAAUUUUACAAAUCCCUGAGGAUCUCAUUUGCUUAACAUCAUUAUUGGGUAUUAAUCUGAAUGGAACCAAAAUUCGGAGCGUACCCUCAACCAUCAAACAAGCUUCUCAGCUGUCUUGCCUCUUCUUAAUCGAGUGCACGAGCCUUGAAUCUUUACCAGAGCUCCCAGUGCUAAGUCGUCUUCAAGCAGAUGGGUGCAAGUCACUGAUGACAGUGUCAAGUUCAAUGACUGCAAUUACGCAAUGUUGGAAUAGAUAUCAAUUGCUUGAAGAGCAACUUCUCUUUUAUAAUUGCGGAAGGUUGGGUAAUGAUGCUGAUGCAAGAAGCAGCAUAAUGGUUGAGGCACAGCUUAGAAUCAUGCGAGUGGCAACUGCGUCUUCAAAGUUAAAAGAAAAGGAAGAUUACGUAUGUCUCUCUCUCUCUCUCUUUCUCUCUCUCUCUCUCUCUCUCUCUCUGUGUUAAGUAACAUGAUGUCAAUUGAUGUUGCAGCAAAAGUUUUCUGAGCCCUUAGUUACAAUUGUAUGUCCGGGAUAUGAAAUUCCAAAUUGGUUCGUACAUCAAAAUAAGGGGGCUUCGAUAAAUGUCAAGCUUCCAGCAAACUGGUUUCGAAAAGGUUUCUUGGGAUUCGCUCUAUCUGUUGUGGCAUCCGGACACCAAGAUAAAUCGGGAAAAGUCGCAUCCGGACGUCAAGAUCAACCAGGUAUGCAGUUUGAGUGCAAGUACAAUUUCAAAACUGAAGAGGGUCAAAGUCAUGGAAUCGAUUGUCCUGUCUUUGUCCCGUGCAAGGGUGGAAAUGGUGAUGGUUGCAAUUUAGAUUCAAAGCACGUGUUCGUAUUGUAUAAAGACCUUGAAUAUGAAGAGGGAGUAAAAUGGUCAUCGGAUUUUUACUGCCGUUUCACUGAGGUCUCUGUUCACUUCGAAACGAAACCUUUCCAGUACAACUAUACGGUGGAAAAUUGUGGAAUAUGCCUGUUAUAUGCCGAAGAUGCUGAGAAAUUAAAAUUUGAUGUCAUUUCGCGACAAUAACAAGUUAAGUCUGCAGCAAGUGGGAGUGUUGAUCCUGAAGCCAGUGGAAACAACUAAUCUGAGGAAGCAAGUGGAAGAGAUGGCUCUUGAUGAAGAAAGUGGAAGGGAUGAAUCUGAGUAAGCAAGUGGAAGCGAUGAGUCAGAGGACGAAAGUGGAAGCUCUGAAGCAAUGGAAGCUGCUAGGGAGUUGCCCUCUUAAUCGUCUGAGUUCUUUGUAACCACUUUUUGUUCUGCAAUUUAUUUGUACUUUAUUUUGUUACAAGUUCUUUUUAACCACUUUCCGUUAUGUAAUUCAUUUGUCGUUUAUGUUAUAAAUAAUCUACGAUGGUUAUGAGGACAGUUCAUGUAUAAAUAUUGUACUCUAUGUACAUUUGAGUGUUAAGGAAAAUCACUUUUCUACAUGGUAUCAUCUUUUCUUGCCUAAGUUUCGAUCUUGGAAUCCCUAGUGCUUUCCCUCAUGGCUGCUUCAAUAGAAUUUUGCGGCUUAAUUUUCAUGUAUUGCAUAAUUGGGAAUAUAAUACAUACAAUCCUUGUUCUCCAAGAUAAACCAAAAAAGGACAUAAGAAAAAUCCUUCCUAAUAAAGGUCGUACCCAGUGCACAAGGCUCCCGCUUUACGCAGGGUCUGGGAGAGGUGAAUGUCGGCUAGCCUUACCCCCAUUUAUGGAGAGGCUGCUCCCAAGUCUCGAACCCGAGACCUACCGCUCAUGGGCGAAGGCACUUGCCAUCGCACCAAGUGCGACCUAAUAUUUACACAAUAUUUACAUUCCUAUUCUAAAACCAACUCACGCAACAGCUUCUUCCUCUUAUUCUCUUCCUCCUACUCCAAACAUUGCCACCCUUGUUUCUGUCAAACUAACAGAUACCAACUACCUUCUAUGGGAAGGUCACUUCAAACCUUUACUUCGUGUGACUUUUACGGAACCUGUUCUCUCUCAGAUUGAUGGUCUUGCCACAUCCCAAGCUAUUUGGGUAUGUCUGGAGCAAAACUUUUCUCCAAUGUUCUCCGGAUUCGUCUAUUCUUGUUGCUUAAUGGGAUGCCGAUCGGGCAAGGUGUCUCGACACUUGUCAAUCCACUAUUGGCUACUGUGUUUUCUUGGGUCCUAACCUCAUUUCCUGGAGUGCUAAGAAACAACGUACUAUCUCCCGCUCUAGUGCUGAGGCCGAAUAUCGUGCUCUUGCAUAUACUUCUUUCAUAUCGGUUUCAUUGGCUCAUUUCCAAACUUGUCUACUCACAGGCAUCAAGUUUGUCGGGGAAGUGUUAGGGAGUUACCCUCUUAAUCAUCUAUUGAAUGAGUUUUUUGAAACCAAUUUCCGUUAUGCAAUUUAUUUGUACUUUAUUUUGUUAUAAGUUCUUUGUAACCACUUUCCGUUGUGUAAUUCAUUUGUCAUUUAUGUUGCAAGUAGUCAAGGAUGGUUAUGACGACAAUUCAUGUAUAAAUAUUGUACUUGGGUACAUUCAAUUGUUAAGGAAAAUCACUUUUCCUACAGAAGCGAUAAGUCGUUUGAGGAAGCAAGCGGAAGCGACGAGUCAGAGCAAGCAAGUGGAAGUGAUGAGUCUGUUGCUGGUUCAGGCCUCUCCUUGUUUUUAACUUCAAUCUAAAAAAUAAUUAAAGAUAAAAAAUCGAGUUCACCCAGUAUUCAACCACAAUUCCACAAUACAAGGUACAAUAUAUGGUACAUAGUUGAAAUUGACAAUUGAACUUCUAUGUAAGUACUAGCAAUUGAGCCUGCACAAUGUCACAAGUUUUAAAACUCUUUUAAAUGUGUGAAAUAUAUUAAAAUUUGUCUACAUCUAUCUCAAAAUCUAUUUACAUCGUAAUGUUCAUAAGAAACAAAAUAUAGGUAUAGGAUAUACAAGAAUUCAUGUCAGCGCGCUGCGGUGGGUUUGAAAAUUUCUCAUGUAAUUAACAAAUACAAAUAAAAAGAGGCAAGCAAAAGAGUCCAUGAAUUUCCAUAUUGCGUACCAAGUUGGCAAGAGUGGAGGAAUAUCUUUCUUAAGUCCAUGAAUUUCCAUAUUACGUAUCAAGAAAGAGAUUCCUCCGCUCUCAAUGUACCAGCUCAAAAGAAAGAGAUUCCUUCACUCUCAAUAUGGUUUAUCGUCUGCAAAUGCAAUAAAAGAAUCAGAAACAUUGCGAAACUGCCAAUUGUUGCAUGGCCCAAAUAUUUAUUUGAGACAGAAGAUAAGGUAACAUGUAGUCCUGAGUUGACAAAUAUGUAAUUGGUAAGUCAAAGAAUUUUCUUAUUCGAAUAAUGAAACUAAUUUUACGUCAUUUUAAGUAUUAAGAGAUUGGGUGCCUACUAAUUUAACAUAAAACUCAAAUCCACAUUAGGCUUACUUUCUUAUUCGAACCGAAAAACACAAUGAAAGAAGAAGUAAUAAUAACAUCGGUUCUAGAUAUAUUCGUCAUGUAAGAGUUCAUUCAUGUUACGAGUUCACUCAUCAGAGUUCAUUCAUUAGCUAAAAAAUGAAAUUUCAGAUUGACCCGUUACACAGUAGUCAUCCUCAUCAACGUAGAUGUCAUUCCCAUUUCACUCACUUUCCUCUUCUUAGUAGAUCUCCCGAACAUUUUUGUACCUAUAGUUUAAGGAAAGAAUUCUAACCCGCACAGAAUCGGGUCCCAAACAUACCCUUAAUUAUUGUAUUAGUUUCUUUCAUUAAGAAAUACCAACUGAAGUGGAAUUAUUGGGUUCUGUUUUCACUAUUUUCUGAUUACACUUCUUAAUUCAUUUCCUAUUUUCUAGUCAGAUUCCUAAUCUAAAAUCCGACUUUUAUGAUUGAGAAGUGAAUCUGACCACAAUACCACUUUGUCAAAUGGCAUAUUCAACAUGCAGAUAUAAGUUCUAUUCAAGUUUAUAACAAAUUCAUAUGAACAUUUCCAAGUAAUUCAUACAUAAUUAACUUCAAAAUAAACAUUUUUUUUAGCAAAUUGGGCUAAAACACCUGCUCUACAAAAAAAUUCUUUAAAUACUGAUUUCAAGCAAUUCAGUAACUAAAUGCUUAACUUAGAAAAAUACUCAAAUUUCAGCAAUUAGAUUUCUAACAUAACUUAAACAUUACAAAUUUAACUAAUUACAUUCAUCCAGAAUAUAGAUUUUCACAUAAUUUCAAAAGGUUCUCUCUUAAUCACACAAUUUGAAGAAACAAAAAAACCAAAUACAUACACGAUCACAAAGCUUAAUAACAGAACAGAAAUUUUAGACAUGCCAUCAGCCCAACCAAUAGACCUUCCCAGAAUCUGAAAAGCGUUUCUAUAAAUCCUGAUCUCAAGGCAACCCAAAAGCUGAAUUCUUAGCUUAAAUAAAGAUGCAAAAUUUUACUUUUUGGAAAUGCCAUUACCUGAAAGCUUAAGCAAAACCCAUGAAUCCAACCGCGCAAAAAAAAUGCAAACUUUCUCAUUGGCAGAUCAUUCAUAACCCAAAAAUCAUAUCUUAAGCAAAACUCAUGAAUCCAACUUUAAAAGGCCCAAUUCUAAACCCACCAAGAGAAAUAAAAUAUCAAAAACAGUUCAUCGUCUCUCUUUGCAUUUUAAAUCAUAUGGUCUUGUGUUUACUCGAAUGAAAAAAAAAAAGUAAACACAGAACUUAUGAUAAAAAUUCAAAUAGGCUAGAAGCCAGCAAGCGAAUGAAUUUAUAAAUUAGAUAUACUGCCACAGAAAUAAUGACCUUGGUAUUUCACAAACUUUGCAUAAGCUGAUCCUGAAGGCACAAUUUGAAGCACCAGUCUUGAAAACUGCAAAUAACCAACAACUUGUUAGAGCGGUAAAAACUCUAUAUAUAAUGCCUGGUUUUGACACUGUAAAAAAUAAUAUAAAAACAGAGCGAUCAAUUUUCAUCAGUAAACAUACCCAUAACCGUAAUGUCAGCCCAAUACUUCUUCAGCAAAGCAUCAACAUUAGCUAUAGCCUGUAAAAAUAAAAUAAAAAUCAAACUUUUUACCUGGAUCAUCACACAAUGGCAACUACAAAAAAUACCCAGAUAAAAACUGAAUGAAAAAAAUUACCUGUCUCAUGCCCUCGGAGUGAUAGGGUUCCCAUCGGUGAUGAGCAACAGAAGCAUGAUAUACAACGACCCAACGCCGAAUUAUCAUCCAAUCAUAUUUUACACAGGUAAUAAAUAUUUUAUAUCUAUACAUAUAAAAAAAAUUCAACUGACAACAGCACCACAUCCAAUUUGAAUCUAUAAUGCUAUGAUAAAGAACGAAGUAAGAGUUAGUUACUAGAAACCCAGAUUCUAUUGGUGUCAUUACCCAAUCUUGUAUUCGAUCAUAUACCAAGAUAUUGAAGCUAACAUUUUUAAUCUAAAAGCCUAGAAAUCAUAAGAAAAACAAAUGUUGAACUCACAGUAAUCUCAGCCAGCAAUGACCUCUGUAUCCCCAAAAAAUUAUAAAUUAAUACAUAGUCCAUACUCCAUACUCCAUACUCCAUACUCCAUACACAAACCAAAAAAUAAAAAAAUAAAAUAAAAUAAAAUAAAAUCUUUUUCAAUCAUUUUCUCAUCAACCAAAUUGAGCACAAGAUUGGGAAAUGAUUAAUCACCUGUAUGGGGAACUUCAUGGCCAACAAAGCCUGACACGAUCUCCCAUAAUUUCCUCAUAAUUCAUUUUUCUCAUAAUUUAUUGGAAAAAUGCAGAAUUUGGAUGGUUGUGGUCCUUACAUACAUGUCGAGCCAAAAAUAAUCACAAGGCGACACGUGGAUUUUUGGACAAAAGAGGGCAAAAAUACUCUUAAAGUACAACGGGAUUCCUAUUCGCAAGUCAUUCUUCAACCAAAUAAAAAAUGCCCAAAAUAGAUAACAAAUUCAAAAUUAUUUCAUCCAUCCUCAUCCUAUAUUUUCUACAAGGUAAUCAUUCCAUAACUUACAAAAUAUUUCACAUAAAUCACAUAACCCCCAAAAUAUUUAUUCCUAAAAUGUGUUGAUUAACCAAUUAAUGGAUUAAUUGCCUAAUUAAUCCAUUAUAUCACACAUUAAACCAUAAGUUAUACCCUCUCCUAUAAAAACCCUAUUUUCUUCUCCAAAAGGCACUUCCAACGCUCUUGAAAAACUCUCUAAACAUUUUUCUCUCUAAAUUCUAACUUUGACAUCGGAGGUUCUUCGGCUAAACAUUUUUACGCUCUUGAAAAACUCUCUAAACAUUUUUCCCCCUUCCCUUUCUUCGACGACCGACACGUGCACAAUAGGGGCAAACGCAUAGAAUUCCAUCUUCUACCAAAUAUUCAGCUCGCGGAAAUAGAAAAGGUGAGAAAAAUGAAAAUAUUGAAUUCAACUCACACAAAACCAAAAAGGAAGACAGACAGAUUGCAGACCCUUUCCAUUUGGCAAGUAAUGCCAAUUAUACUAGAAGUAUGCCUAACUUACAAAAGCCUAAAAUCCUAGAAAAACAGGAGUAGAGGAAAUGGGCUCAAUACAAAAAUUUACCAAAUAAGAAUGAUGAAUCCGUUAAAGUAGGAAAGUUUAGGCAUUCACCAAUAUUCCCACUUGAACAACAUUGAAUUUAGCAUUCGUCUUCAGAUGUCAUCUAGAUCCAUUCGUGGAGAGUGAGUGAGGGCUUAAUAAUCAAAACCAUGUCUUUUACUGCUAAAUUAUACGUAAGAAUCGUUAGAAAAAAGGCAAAGUGAAAAAAAUAAAGGAAUUGAAGAACUUAACGUAGAAACUCUAAAACAAACCCAAGUAACCCACAUGCCAAUCCAACCAAAAUCAAAUCGAAUACCUUUCAAGCUUCAUAUUACAAAUUAUCAACAAACCAUCAAAAGGAAAACCAAUUCAACCCACAUUCCAAUUCAACCAAAAUUCAACAACUUUGCCCGAAAUUAGAUCAACAAAAAGAGAAAUAGGGGAAAACCCACAUGCAAUAGGAGAGAAAUAGAGAGAGAUUUUAACUAACUUACCACUGUGUUGGAACUUCGAAAACACGAACUCUAGCACCAGUUCCUCUUACGCUAUUGACAAUGAAGUUGUGGUUCAAAGAAUCACAAUCAAUCAAGCCUACUUGUAAAGAAAAACAAAAUUUAGAAGGCAUUUGUUUAAGUAAAGAUGCAAACCUUCCCCUUUUUGACAUGAAUAAUAAAAGAGUUUGCGACAAAACCCAUUCCGAAAACUAUAGCAGCAUGUUCCUUUCUGCUUUUCCCUUUUACUGACUUCCAUAAUUAUCCCCGUAUGCACCAAAGAAACAUAAAAUGACAACCAAUGUGAUAGGUUACAAUAUCUGAACUCACUAUUCUAUUGCAGGCAAGGCAAGAAUGUUUACCAGCUUGGCUUCCUGCACCUUGACAACACGCAGAGAAAUUAAAUAUUUCUGUUCGGGCAAGAAAUUUGGCUAGUGAGCGAUCCUGGCUCGAGCACACAGCUCCCCGAGGAGUUAGCACUUUGGUUGAUUGUCGGGCUCCUGCUUGUCACGAUGCUGCAAGAGAAGAACAAAGUUAGUUCUAAAAGGCGCCUUUGUGGGGCCUUAGGUGUAGGCCUUGAGGCUUGCAAUCAAAACCAACUAAGUGAUUAGGCAUGCCACUGCCAUCUCUAUAAGGCAGAUGUAGAACAAGUGUGUUUUAAGCCGAUUACUUGCGCCCCAAGUUAUUUCUGACUUCUUGUUUAUCAAAGGAUUGUUGUAGAUGAGUUAAAUCUACAUUAAGUUCUUUUCUAUGCCUUGAGAUCAAGGAUUUUUAGUUAUCUUGUAUGUUUAAGGGAUGAAGGUCCAGAUCUGAUCAAGUCAUCAGUUUAACUGAUUUCAAUUUUCUUAUGACGAUUAAAUCAUUAAGUGAACUAGAUCUGAGAACUAAUGGGGGUUUGAGUCAUCAAAAGACUGGAAACAACUUGAAUAUAAACUGGGGAAUGCAUUAUAACACCAGAUCUAUUAAUUGAAAGACAAAACAAAGAGGGUCGGGUAAGAUUUUACCUUGUCGGGCAAGGUUAAAUGUCUUGUGGUCUUUUUUCUUUGUAGUUUCAAAAGGAUUGAGUACUAUAAGGGAUGACUGGAAAAGAGUUUAUACAAGAAAGAUCGACACUACAACAUUUAGGAAAAGGUAGCAGAGCUUUUACAUAGACAAAAAAUGCCUUUCUAAGGAAAUAUAAGGCUAAAAGGGUGCAGAGUCUGGACAAAGCACAACUUUCUGGGUGUUUGCUUGGCUGAGAGACAAGUUGUAUGUUUGUUUGUUUGAUUGGUUGAGUGUCCUUUUCUUUUGGCCCUCUUCCUCCUUUUAUAGACGAAUUAACUUGAUUUAUGCUGUUUCUGUUCUUGCCCGAAAGUAAUUGGAGGGUAGGGAACCAUCAAUAUUUUACAUGCUAUGCCAUUCAUAAAGUGCUUUUGGGCUGAGAGUUGAUGGAUUUCCAUUGGUUGUCACUUCUUUUGUAAGCACCUAAUCUUUGCAUUUAAUGGGGAGCCAUCAUGUUGUCUCGAAGUGGAUACCUAGGCUUGGUGCUGGGCUUCGAGCAAAAACUCUUCUCAUUGAACUCUUUUGGGCUUUCUCUCAUUUAAGCCCAAAGUUAAAUAUUAACCCAAACAGUGCCCCAUUCAAUCGUUGUUAAGCCUGCAAACCGAGGCGUUAAUAAUGAUUGAAUAGCCGUCUUCCAUUAACCCCUGCCGCGCAAAUGAAGAGGGUUUUAUAGCGAAGAAACUAGUGAUGGUUCAUGCAGCUUUAAGUACUUUUGCUAUAAAACCGCGACUCCAUUGGCCAAACAAAUUGGUCGGGCUUCGGGAUGAAGGUGUAAAAGAUUUGAAGGGGUUGCGACAGCAAAUGGAAGUUGGAUACGCUGAAACAUUUUCAGUCAAUAAUCACAAUGUUUAAGAAGAGUCGGACAAAAAUGUAGGCCCCCCAUUCUAGGAUAACUGCCUGAGUUAGGGAUGUAAAGCCUUCAAGUUAAAUCUGAUGUAACUUUCAACAUUUGCUGAAAUGAACAAGAUUUCUUUAAACUAUUUUGUUCUUGCAUUUUCUCUGAGAUCCAUAGGCAAAAACUGACUUUAGACCCCAUGCGACGCUUACACUUCUUCUUCAAUGUAGCAGUCCCUCACAUCCCACAGGGUUGGGUGAUAUUUUUUCAAGAAUUUGACAUUGAUUGGAUGCUUCUGUAAGCCUCCCUCCAAAUCUGCUAAGUAAUAUCCACCCUUACCCAAUACUUGGUUAAUAAUGAAAGGACCUUCCCAAGUCGGGCUCCAUUUUCCAAAGCCUCUGAUCUGAGCUUCCAAAGGAAGAAUUGCCUUCCAUACUAACUCUCAUUCUUUGAAGUUCUUCAACUUAACCUUUUUGUUGUAGGCCCAGGCAACAACUUUCUUGCCUUCUUGAAUUUUAUUUAGAGCUCUUCACUGUGUAGCCCGAAUUGAUUUUGAAUUUUGAUCGAAUUUACAUUAAUUUCCAUGGGAAUCACAACAUCUUGCCCGAAAGUCAGAGCAUAAGGAGUAGUUCCAGUUGUUGCCCUUUUGGAAGUUUUAUACGCCCAUAACUUUUCUCCCAACUUCUCAUACCAUUUCUCUGGAUUCCUGACUACCAUUCUUUUAAUAAUGCCUACCAAGAUCUUAUUGCUGGCUUCAGCUUGACCGUUCGAUUGGGGGUAGUAAGGACUAGACUGGAUCAUCUUUAUCUUGAACUUUCUGGAAAAUUCUUCUACUUCUUUCGAAAUAAAAGAUGACCCGCAUUCUGUGACAAUUGUCUCGGGCACCCCAAAUAUAUGUAAGAUCUUGGUUUCGAUGAAUUUCUUGACCGUAGUUGAAAUGUUAGUUUUUACUGCUAAAGCUUUUGCCCAUUUAGUGAAGUAAUCUGUUGCUACGAUUAUGAACGUGUGCCCUUUGCUAUAAGCUGGGUGAAUCUGCCCAAUGAAGUCCAUUGCCCAUCCUCUAAAAGGUCAAGGCUUAGCCACGAGGUUUAAGGGUACUGAGGGCACAUGUUGGAGUGGUCCAUGUCUCUGGCAUUCUUCACACAUUCGGGCAUAAGCUUUGCAAUCUUUCUCCAUCUCGGGCCAGAAAUAACUGUAUCUCUUAAGUAGCCAUCUCAUCUUUGUUCCUGCCUGAUGUGCUCCACAGAUCCCCUUAUGCACUUCGACCAUUACCCUCAUUUAUUCUUCUUAGCCUAAGCAUUUUAACAUUAGUCCAUCUGAAGUCUUCCUUAGUAGAUUUUCUUCCCACAAAACGUACUUAGUUGCUUGCUCUCUAUUCUUUUUACUUGUGGGGAAGGAUGGGUCAUUUAAAUAUCGAAGAACAUGUGUCUUCCAAUCUUCAAUCUCCAAUUCUUCAAUCAUUACAUCUAGGCUGAAUCCCCUUUCCAAGAUGGAAGGGAGAUUUCUUCUUUGGACCUAUAUGUCCCCUUCAAACUUUCUCUCUUGGAUCUGUACUCUAGAGGCCAAUUAUGCCAUCUCGUUGGCAAUCGCAUUUGCUUCUCUAAGGAUGUAGUUGGCUGAUAUUUUAGUGCCCCAAUAGCUUAACAAUUGGGUGGCCACUAAGUAAUAAUCAGCUAUAGUGAUGUGUCUGCAUUUGUACUCUUCAUUCAACUGAUUGAUCACCAACUCUGAGUCACCGAAUACUUCAACUUCAGUUGCCCCCAAUUCUAUCAAGAUCUUUAGGCCAAUUAUCAAGGCCUUAUAUUCUACCCAAUUGUUAGUAGUUUCUUGAUAAUCCAGGAGGAAAAAAUAACAAUGGUGAGUACCUUUAGGAUCGAUAAUAGGGAUCCCAGCUCCAGCAACAUUUUGGGUACAAGAUCCAUCAAAAUACAGGUUUCAUGGAGUAACUCAUAGGCUGGAUAUCCUUUUUACCUCCUGCUGGAUCCACUAUUUCUUGCCCGAGAUGGCUUUGCUUGGUGGGAUCCAGAGGUUAGCCACCUCUAGAGUUUCAGGGAUGUUAAUUAUUUCUUUUUGGGACUCUUGGUGCUCGGCCAAAAAGUCUGCAAUUGCCUGCCCCUUGACUGCCUUUUAAGGUACAUACUGAAAACUAAAUUUAGACAGUGCCAGAAUCCACUUUCCAAUUUUUCCUGUCAACAUUGGUUUUGACAGCAUAUAUUUGAUCACGUCGGUCUUGGCAAUGAUGUGGAUGUGGCAAGGCAACAUGUAAUGCCUUAACUUGCAAACACUAAAGUAUAAAGUCAAGCAUAAUUUUUCCACUCGAGUAUAUCUUGUUUCUACCUCAGUAAGGAUCCUAUUGAGGUAAUAUAGGGAUUGUUCCUUUCCACAUUCGUUGUUUUGGGCUAGCAAGCUUCCAAUUGACCUCUUCGAGGCAGAAAUAUAAAGUUUUAACGGCUUUCCCCUCUGAGGUGGCAUGAGCACUGGUGGAAAGGCUAAGUAAGCCUUUAUGCUAUCGAAAGCUUCUUGGUGUGGUAGGCCCCAUUCAAACUCUUCUUUAUCCUUUAGCCUUAGUAGAGGAGUUAGUGGCUGAAUUUGCCAGCUAAAUUGGCAAUGAAUCUCCUCAAGAAGUUAAUUUUUCCUAGUAGCUUUUGUAGUUGCACUUUAUUGGUGGGGGCGAUGUCUCUAUGAUUUCCCAAACUUUGUUCUUGUCAGCAUCCACUCCUCUUUGAUGCACGAGGAAUCCCAAAAAGUUGCUCGAUCUUACUCCAAAAACACAUUUCUUUGGGUUCAUUUUUAGCUUAUGGAUCGUCAUUCUUGUCAAGGCUUGUUUGAGAUCCAUCAAAUGCUGCUAUUCAAUUUUGGAUUUUACCACGAUGUCAUCAAUAUACACUUCCAUACUAUGCCAGAUUAAGUCAUGAAAAAUGGCAUUCAUCGCUCUUUGAUAAGUUGCACCGGCAUUUUUGAGCCCGAAUGACAUUACUAAAUACUCAUAUGCUCCUAUAUGGCCUGGGCACCUAAAAGUUGUUUUAUGUAUAUCUUUUUUAGCCAUUUUUAUCUGAUUAUAUCCAGCAUUCCCAUACAUAAAAGAUAUAACUUUGUGCUUGGACACUGCAUCUAUGGAUAGGUUAGCCAUAGGCAUGGGGUAUUCGUCUUUAGGCGUAGCUCCAUUAAUGUUUCUAUAGUCAACACAACAUCUAACUGCUUUAGUUAAUGCUUUCAAAACAGGUACAAUGUUGGCCAACCACUCAACGUAUUUGGCAGGCCUAAUAAAUACGGCAUUCACCAGCCUUUUGAUCUUUUCCUUGACAUUCUCUUCAAUUUCUUUGGACAUUCUUCGUGGUGCUUGUUUGACAGGUUUAAACCCCUUCUUAAUAGGCAUUUUAUGUUUUACCAAGGUUGGAUCUAAACCUGGCAUCUUGAUGUAAUGCUAAGCGAAACAAUCUUUGAAUUCAUGUAGAAGGUCGACAAUCCUUGCCCAAUCUUCGGUUUCCAACAAACCACUAAUAUGUAUUGGUCUUGGAUCCUCCUUAGUUCCUAAAUCAAUGGUCUCCAAGGGGUUUUGUACUUCUGGGGCUGGUUUGUCUCGUUCUGCACACAAAAACUCAACUAGUUCUGGAUUCUUGGGCAAAUCUUCUGGUCCAUCUAAGUCAUAUAUACACUCAGCUAUUUGGAUGGUCGUUUCUAACUCUUCCCAAAAAGACCUUACUUCUCUGUUCUGGCUACUUGAAGCCCGCUCCUCUGUUUUUCUUCUAAGGCUAAGUUAUCCUUUUCUUGUCUUUUCUCUCUCCCAUACACCAACAGUCUUUUUAUUAAGGACCUGACUGCAACCACUUGGUCUUUCCUAUUCUGUUCUGACAUCAAUGGUGUUGGGGGUUAGGGAUGAUAUUGGGCCGAUCUCAUUCUUCCCUUGUAAGGGGUAACCCUUAUUCUAGAAGCUUUUGGGCCAUCACCUUAGUUGGGAGGCCGUUCUUAUCAGCUUCUGAACACUGAAGAAUCCCAAUACUGGGAUCGUAGAAGUUGGCUUCUGCGAUGUUGGCUAUAGGUAAGAAUGGUCGUGAUUCGGCCUCCACUAUUUCUGAAAACCCAGGUCCCGUUUCCCUUUCUUCAUGGUAGACAACCACUUGUUGAUGCAAAGUAGAUGGCACAAAGAGACUAUGGUGAAUCCAAUAUCUGCCCAGUAAAGCUUCAUAAGUAGAAGUACUGUUUACAACAAAAAAGGCCAGCAUGAUUUGUUUUGAACCCAAAUCGACCUCUAAUGGUAAUAUCCCAUGAGUUCGGGUGAUAGCUCAUGUGAAACUAGAAACUGUAAGAUCCGUAGGAAUAAGAUUUUUCUCGCCUUUGCACAUUUUCUUCAUCUGCUUGUAAGGUAACACAUUAACUGCGGUCCUUCCAUCGAUCAAGACCCUCUUGAAAGGUACCCCUUCCAGGUAAGCAGUUACGUAUAUGGGUUUGAGAUGGUUGGCUAGGGUCAAACUCGAGCGAACAAAAACCAUUUUGUUCGAAUAUAUUUUCUCAGGCUUCCUUCCUGAUUGCUCAGGCGUGCUUGUUUGGUUGGACUCUCAUUGUCCAGUUUUUUCAACAUUAACAUGCGUCAUCAUUGGUUCUGCUGCCAAGUAAUCACCUUCCAUUGUGGGUAGUUGAUCAUGCUCGGCGCGAAACAUAGCUGAUAAAACAUAUGCCAUGUUUACGUGGAAGUUGCUGGGUCCAGGUAAAUCUUUCCCUUGCCCUAAUGUUGUUCAUAAACUCCUCCAACCAAGUCUGUGCUUCGGCAAUUGUUCUGGAACUUCGCAGAUAUUAUCCAUUAACAAUGGUGCGGGCAACCGUCUCUCGGGUGAAAUAGUUCCAAAGGAGAUCGGUUUUGGGCUCCAUUUUGGGGUAGGCAUCAUCAUCAUAUCCUCUUGAGCUCUUCAUUCUUGCUGUUUGCCUUCCUCUUCAUUCUUGUUGUUUGCCUUCUUCACCUCAUUCUUACUCCUCCAAUGAAGCUGAUGUCUUCUUUCAUAAGGAACGUUUUUGAGUUUUACAUUCUUUGAGGUUUCCAAAGUAGUGGGAAGUUUCAAUGAGUUUAUGUGGGCUUUAUGCUGCCUUUGGACCCUCUUGAUCAUGGAGGCUCCCAUCUCUUUAACAGGUCUCCCGUCAUUUCUGAUUAUGUACCAUUUUCACCCAAGUCAGGCAAGAUUUUUCUUUGUGAUCGGGUUCGUGGUCCUUCCUUUUGUUCUUACAUCUCAAUCGGCAUAAACGGGUUGGGAUGGCCUCGCAUCCACCCAUCUUGGUAUCUUGGCCUCCUUAUCCUCUACUUCCUCAGAAGCUUCAUAGUUCCUGAACACUUCUGACAAGUUUUUAGGCUGAGAGUCUUUUCCCAACCUCUGGAAGACAUUCCUAGAGGUUUCCUUCUCAGCUGCCCACAUGAUUUUCAUGUGGUUUUCAUGUUCUUCCUCUUUUCUCCUUUUAAUCAAUUCAUAAUCAAUGACAACUCCAAUUGUUGGUACUUUUAGUUCGCAUUCACCUUGACUCCUGUUGUAUAUCACUACUCCUUUGAUUAUGACAACCUUAGGUUUUUUGGGCAGCUUGAUAGCUCAUUUAGUUGGUCUAUCAACUGGUCUUCUUUCCGCCUUGACCUUCCACGUGGCCUUUCCUUUUCCUUUCUCUGCCCAUGUUAGGUUGAUCAUGCUUAUUGGGGCUUCUAGAAAAUGAUCAGCACCAGUCAUUGUAUCAGUUUGUGGUUAUCCCAAUAUCUAUUUUAUUUCUAGCUCGCAUCUCCCUUUGCUAUCUAAUGAAAAUAACAAGGGAUUAGGCAACUCUGGUCCCCUGACUUUCUUCAACACUGGCUGAUCUACUUCAAAUCUUUCCUUGUUCUUUUCUUUAUUCCUUUUUUCCUUAAGUAAAGGAAAUAGAGGAAUAACUGACUCUUCCAUAGGGCUGGUUUCUUUCUUCGCCUCUUUAACAUAAUCAUUCUCUGGAGUAUGGUACUUUAAAUCCAGCCUUCUUUGCCGAUGUUCUGUUAAGGAACAAAGUCUACUUCCUUCCUCUCUUGUUUGUAGAUAGUUUCUCUUCACGCUCCUUACCACAGCCAUCAAAGAAGUCUGCAAAUUUUCAUUUGUUACCUUUUCUCCUGAUCUCGCAGAAGGGGUCGGGCUUUCCGUCAAGGCAUAUCCUUGCAAGUCUUCGGGGAGAUUUGCAAUGCUAGAUCUUGGUGUGUACCAGGGUGGUUUUUGAUUUGAUUCCCACCUGAGGGUUUGCUCCUUCCUUUAUCUUCUUGGCAUACAAGAUUUGUAGUCCCAUUGGGCGUGCCAAAACUAUGUUCGGGCAAGAAAUCUGGCUGGUGGGCGAUCCUAGCUCGAGCACACAACUCCUUGAGGAGUUGGCACUUUGGUUAAUUGUCGAGCUCUUGCUUGUCGCGAUGCUACAAAAGGAGAACAAAGUUAGUUCUAAAAAUGCCUUUGUGAGGCCUUAGGUGUAAGCCUUGAGGCUCGCAAUCAAAACCAACUAAGUGCUUAGGCGUGCCACUGCCAUCUCUAUAUGGCAGAUGUAGAAUAAGUGUGUUUUAAGACAAUUACUUGCGCUCCAAGUUAUGUCUGACUUUUUGUUUAUAUGGGUUUAGUCUACAUUAAGUUCUUUUCUAUGCCUUGAGAUCAAUGACUUUUAGUUAUCUUGUAUGUUUAAAGGAUGAAGGUCCAGAUCUGAUCAAGUCAUCAGUUUAACUUAUUUCAAUCUUCUUAUGACGAUAAAACCAUUAAGUGAACCAGAUCUGAGAACUAAUAGGGGUUUGAGUCAUCAAAAGACUGGAAACAACUUGAAUAUAAACUGGGGAAUGCAUUAUAACACCAGAUCUAUUAAUUGAAAGACAAAACAAAAAGGGUCGGGCAAGAUUUUACCUUGUCGGGUAAGGUUAAACAUCCUGCGGUCUAUUCUCUUUGCAGUUACAAAAGGAUUGAGAACUAAAAUGGAUGACUGGAAAAGAGUUUAUACAAGAGAGAUCGAUACUACAACAUUUAGGAAAAGGUAGCAGAGCUUUUACAUAGACAAAAAAUGCCUUUUUAAGGAAAUCUAAGGCUAAAAGGGUGCAGAGUCUGGACAAAACACGACUUUCUGGGUGUUUUCUUAGCUGAGAGACAAGUUGUAUGUUUUUUUGUUUGAUUGGUUGAGUGUCCUUGUCUCUGGGCCAUUUUCCUCCUUUUAUAGACGAAUUAACUUGAUUUGUAUUGUUUCUGUUCGUGCUCGAAAUCAAUUGGAGGGUAGGUAACCAUCAAUAUUUUACAUGCUAUGACAUUCAUAAAGUGCUUUUGGGCCGAUAGUUGGUGGAUUUCCAUCGGUUGUCACUUCCUUUGUAAGCAUGUAAUCUUUGCAUUUAAUGGGGAGCCAUCAUGUUGCCUCGAAGUGGACACCUAGGCUUGGUGCUGGGCUGUAGGUAGAAAUUCUUCUCAUUGAACUCUUUUGGGCUUUCUCUCCUCUAAGCCAAAGUUAAAUAUUUACCCAAACAAUUUCCCUCGCGCUGAUCUCUGGAAUAUGCACGUCAUGUUGGCUUACAUAAGCUGAGGUUUUCUAAGAAACAAACUCUUCUAGUCUAUGACCAUUGUAAGUUUGUAAGAACAUCCCCAAUGAGGGUUUUAUCCUCAUUAAGGCUACCACAUUUGUAGCUUUAACGAAAAAUUUCAUCCCCAAUGGGCUGGAAAAUAGGGCUACAUCCACCACAUGGGCUAGCUAUAAAGGGCAAUAUUGUAACUACACCAUCUAGAGAUAUUACUUAGUGGUUAAGAAAUCUGUUAGUUUGUUGUAUUUGUUUUCCUUAGUAGUUACAAGAUACUUGUAUAUAAAUACUAAAAGUGUAAUAUUAUUCCCUUAUGAAAUGAAAUCAUAUUUUAUCAAAUAUGGUAUCACCGGCCUUUUGUUCUCACGACUUCUCUCUCUUCGAUCCAAACCUUCUCGCUUAUUUUUACGAUCUUCUUCUCUGAUUUCUUGAUCGAUUCUUCGAUCGUGUUUGAGUUCUUCGAUCUUCAGUCAUCAAUCUCUGGCAAUGGCAACCUUUGCAUCUCCUUCGUCUAAAUUGGCUUCUUUAGUUCAUCCUCUUCCAACUGCACCUCCAAAUCCUAAUUCUUUGAUCUUUGCCUCAAUCACGAUCCAAAACAUUGGAUCCAUGGUGCCAAUCAAGCUCACCACCACUAAUUACUUAACCUAGAGUGCUCUCUUUGCUCCAGUUUUUCAUCACUACAAUCUUACCAGUCUUAUUAAUGGAUCUAUGGUGGCACCGCCUCAGUUUCUUCUUGAUUCUUUGAAAAAUCGCAUCCUCAAUCCUGCCUAUGUCUCUUGGUAUGAGAACGAUCAAAAUAUUCUCAUCUAGAUCAACUCCACACUUUCUAAAUCCCUAAUUCCUUAUACAGUUGAUGUGAAUUCGACUCGUGAACUUUGGGCGAAAUUGGAAUCAAGACUUAGCACGGCUUCUCAAUCUCACAUCCAUAAGCUUUGAUCUCACAUUUGUAAUGUUACCAAAGGUGAUUCCACUGCUGCUUAAUAUCUUCAACAAAUUGAGUCAAUUGUUGAUGCCUUUAAUAGUGCUGGUUCUCCGGUUGAAGAUUCAAAUUUGAUCUUUGUCACUCUUCAUGGUUUUCCCCUGAAUAUGAUUCAUUCGUUGAUGCUAUACAAUUUCAACUCAGAUCUACAACAAUUGAUGAACUAUAUGGUCUGCUUCUUGGGAAAGAGAUCCAGUUGGCUAAUCAUAAGAAAAGCACAUCUGAAUCAUCAUUUUUUCAGGCUUUCAAUAUUAUGAUGGUAUUCUUCCAUUUCUUGCACCAAACCCUAACCCUCAAGCGUUUGUUGCUUAGGCUCCUUCUACCUUCAACAAUCAAGGUCGUGGAAAGGAUCACACUUACAAUCGCGGCAAUUUCACUCGUGGAAAUUACAAAUCCUAUAAUAAUCAGAGAUCAAACAAUUACAAUCGACAGAACAACAAUAAUCAGCAUUAUAAUCGUGGAGGUCGAAAUAAUUUUUCUUCAUCUAACAAGAAAACUUCUUGCCAUAUAUGUCAUCAGUUUGAUCAUGAGGCUUGUGACUGCCCUCAUUGCAUGAAUCAGGCCUAUGGUGGAAAACCCUCUAAUUCAGCAAUGGUUUCUAGCACCUUAUCUUCAAAUCCUACUUGGAUUGUGGACUUCGGAGCCACCUCACACAUGACCAACUCUUAUGCAACUCUGCAAAAUCCUAAAGCUUACACUAGUCCUGAACAAAUGUACAUUGGUGAUGGCAAAGGUUUGCCCAUCACUCACUUUGGCUCUAUGGUUUUGAAUGCUUAUACUAAUGCUUUUAAACUAAAUAAAGUCCUAUAUGUGCCUGAUUUGAAACAUAAUAUUCUCUCUGUAAAUCAAUUUCUGAUUGAUAAUCGAUAUUAUCUGCAUCUUUAUCCUUCUCACUUCACUGUGAAUGACCUUUCUUCGGGGAGAAUGGGUUUUAAAAGACCUGUCCAGCAUAGUUUCUAUCCAUUCCUUUUCUCCUCUUUUACAAAUGAUCAUCAUAAAACACUCAUUGCAUCUGUGAAAGCUUCAAGAGAUGUCUGGCACCAACGAUUGGGUCACCCUUUUGUCAAGAUUAUCAAUAAGCUUGCCUCUCAAUCUUGUAUUUCAGUUUUAUCUUAUACAAAUUAGUCCUUUUGUUUAGAUUGUGCAUUAGGAAAAUGUUCUAGGCUUCCUUUUGUCUCUGCAAAUUGUACAACUAGUAAGCCUUUAGAACUUAUUCACACAGACGUUUGGGGACCAUCACUUAUAGCUUUUUCUUAAGGUUUUAAGUACUAUGUCAUUUUUGUGGAUGACUAUACCCGAUAUUGCUAGUUCUAUCCUUUGAAAUGCAAGUCUGAUGUACUGUCCACUUUUAUGCAAUAUAAGUAUGUGGUUGAAAACUCUCUAUGCACAAAGAUUGUUGCUUUAAGGUUUGAUUCUGGUGGAGAGUACUUGAGUACUCCUUUCUCAACUUUCUUGGCUACACAUGGUAUUCAACAUCAACUUACUUGCCCCCCCACCCCUGAAUAAAAUGGGUGUGCAGAAUGUAAACAUCGCCAUUUAGUUGAAACUACUCACAUUCUUUUGGCAGCUUCUAAAGUACCUCAUAUCUACUGGGUUGAGGCAUUUCACACAACAAUCUAUCUUAUUAACAGAUUGCCCACUGCAUCAAGAUCAUCUCCUUGGGAAGCUCUGUAUCAUUGAGCACCAAACUACAAUUUUUUGAAAGUUUAUAGAUGUGUCAGUUUCCCAUGGUUAAAGCCUUAUACUUCCUCAAAGUUGGAUCCUAAAAGUAAGGCCUAUGUAUUCCUAGGCUACCGUUUGAAUCAUAAGGGCUACAAGUGCCUUGAUCCUACAAUCAACAUAAUGUAUAUCUCCAAGCACGUUCUAUUCAAUGAAUCAAGCUUCCCAUUUCACCAUAUAUCAACCUCCUCACCUACCUUUCCAAAUUUAAAGUUCAGGAUAAACCAUUCUAUCCAUUUUUACCUUUACAUUUACUCAUUUUCUUGCACCUGUUCAUACCACUUUAACCUCAUCUCAUCUGUCCUCUUCCCUUUAACCUACCAUUUCACCUGUCAAUUCCACCAAUACAACCUCAAGCUUUUCAGUGGCAGUCUCACAACCCAUCACCACCAACCCCAUCCAACCCAUCAACACUCAUUCAAUGCAAACAAGGUCCAAAGUCUGGCAUUUUCAAGCCUAAAGCCCUCACUGUCACUAAACACCCCCUACCCUUUCAUCUCUCAGUGGAUUAUAUACCUACAACUUACCUUCAAGCUUCAAAGUUUUCUCAUUGGUGCCAAGCAAUGCAAGAAGAAGUCAAUGCCCUUAUCAACACUGGCACAUGAUCACUUGUCCCUAAGUCUUCAUCAUAGAAUAUUGUAAGAUGCAAGUGGGUUUUCGAAUCAAGAGAAAGCCCGAUGGAACUAUAGACAUGUACAAAGCCCAGCUAGUUGCAAAGGGAUUCAAUCAACAUGAAGAUCUAGACUACACUAAAACCUUUAGUCCGUAGUCAAACCAAUUACUAUUAAGCUUCUACUCACUCUUGCAGCUUAAUAUCAUUGGUUUUUAAACCAACUCGAUGUCAGUAAUGCCUUUUUACAUGGUACACUUACUGAAUCAGUUUUCAUGCAACAACCUUUUAGUUAUGAAGAUUUAACUAAGCCAUCUCAUGUCUGUCACUUGCAUAAACCCUUGUGCGGUUUAAAACAAGCUUCAAAAGCUUGGUAUGAGAAGCUUUAUGGUGCUUUUCACUCUCUUGGCUUUGUAGGCUCUAACAAUGACCAUUCUCUAUUUAUCAGAAAGGUUCCAUAUGUGGUUUUCAUCCUAGUUUAUGUUGAUGACAUUUUGGUCACAUGUCCUAAUUCUGCAACUUGUCAAAAAGUGAUUCAGCAACUUAGCUCCAUGUUUCCAAUCAAAGAUCUUAGACCUCUGCAUUAUUUUCUUGGACUUGAAGUUAAAAGAUCAUCAUUAGGCAUAUUCAUAUCUCAGACCAAAUAUAUCUUGGACCUGUUAUCCAAAGCCAACCUGACUGGGGCCAAACCUUGUAGUACACCACUCAGUACCUCUAAACUUGAUCAUGAAUCUCCAUUACUUGAAAAUAUUUCUGAGUAUCGUUCAUUAUUUGGUGCUCUUCAAUAUCCUACAUGGACAAGACCAGAUCUCAAUUUUUCAGUCAACCUUGUAUGCCAAUUCAUGCACAACCAGAAUUUCACAUUUCCAUGCAGUUAAGUGAAUCCUAAGGUACCUUAAGGGUUCUAUUGAUCUUGGUUUAUGGUUCUCCUCCAAGUGUUCCACCACUGCCACCAUCACAACUUUCUCAGAUGCUGAUUGGGCCAGCUGUGCUCUAGAUAGAAGAUCAACUGGAGGUUAUUGUGUUUUUCUGGGAAAUUCAUUGAUUUGUUGGAGUGCUAAGAAGCAACCAACUGUAGCACGAUAUUCCACAAAGGCAGAGAACAUAUCUCUUGCCAACAUUACGUUUGAGAUUACCUAGAUAUGCAAAGUGUUGGUUGAUAUUGGCCAUUGCUUGCCUAGUUCUCCUCAACUAUGGUGUGACAACAUUUCUGCCAUAUCCCUUGCCAAGAACCCUAUUUUCCAUGCUUGGACAAAGCAUGUGGAAAUAGACUAUCAUUACAUUCAGGAAAAAGUCUUGGCAAAACAGAUUUAUGUGCAUUUUAUUUGUACUCAAGAUCAGGGGGCUGACAUUUGUACCAAGUCUCUUUCCAAGUCAAGAUUCAUGUUCCUCCGUGACAAACUUCAACUUUGAGUCCCUCAGUUUCGUUUGAAGGGGGGUAUAAAGGGUAAUAUUGUAACUACACCAUUAGAGAUAUUACUUAAUAGUUAAGAAAUCUGUUAGUUUGUUGUAUUUGUUUUCCUUAGUAGUUACAAGAUACUUGUAUAUAAAUACUAAAAGUGUAACAUUAUUCCCUUAUGAAAUGAAAUCAUAUUUUAUCAAAUACUAGCACUUCAAUUCUUGAGUAGCAAAAAGUUAGGCUACAUCUAGCCCCAUAUAGAGCCAAAAAACUUGUCAAAACAAAGUGACUACUGAAUCACAAAUGCGCGUAUUCAUAGAAUUUAUUACAAAUCACUAUCAGCUCAUGAACCAAUUUCUUGAGGUAGUACAUCACCAAGGGGGACUGAAUCAUCAUCAUCAAGUACUUUAUUUAAAAUACGGGUCAGUUUUCUCAAAUUUUCUGAAGAAUACUAAAGCUUUUCAAUUUUGGUUGCGAUUCCUUAAUAGAAUACUGAUUCUUAAUCACAUUUAUGAUAAAAAACAAUGGAGUGCCUUCUAGCAGUUUUACGCACCUUGAGAGAAUGGCUUGGCUUCCCAGUGAGUGCCAUAAAAAAGGUGGUCUUUCCACAGCCCGAAGGGCGAAGGAAUAAGUUCAUCCUGCAAUGAUAAGAACCCAGAUUUGUUUGGUUUUUUUUUUUUUUUUUUUUUUACCAGAAAUUACAGGAAAACUAAAAAAAAAUUGGAAACAAAUUUAUGUCAAAGAUUAGGGAAUCUGCAAAUUGCUACCAGUCCAUGAUUUUGUGGAAGAAAGCCUUGACUUGGCUCAGAAAAUAGACCCACCAGGUAUUACAUAUGGAGGAAGGAGGAGGAGGAGAGAAGCCUUUGAUACGGUUGCGGCAGAGAAGAGGGGCGACGUUGGAAGAGGGGAAAUUGGUGGAGUAGGUGGAAUUGAAGAGGCGGUCGAGGAGGGGUUUGGAAGAUGAGGUGAGUGUUGUGCUAGGAUAGCACCAAACCCGUUGGAACCAACUCAAGUUAACCCACAAGAAAUUUAUCAAAUGAAAAUGCAAGAACAAAAUAUUAAAGACACCAAGAUUUUAACGAGGUUCCUCAACAGUCAGUGUAACUGGAGUACGUCCUCGGAGCAGUAGGAGCUCACCCAAAAAACCACUAUCAACCAAAUGGGAGUUUACAAAGUGUUGGCAAUCUCACAACCCAUAAGCCCAAUACACCCAAUAGCUCUCACACACCAAAGAAACAAAUAGAGAAAGAAAUAUAAUGAAUAAUUUCUUCUCUACACAUAUAGCUCAAAGCUAUUACAACAACAACUACUUUGGUGGAUGAUUACUAACCAAAAUGAAGCAUCAACUUCUUCUUUCUUUUGGGCUCUCUACAACUCUCCUUGCUCUCUCAAAGAUGGACUACUAAAAACUGAAAAAUGGUGCACCCUUCCUCUUCUUUUCUUCUCCGAAACCAAACAUAUUAUGGCUUUGAAAAAGCCAUAAAACAAGCCACAUUUCAAUCCAUAAAACAAGGAAACAUUAGACAAGUUCCAUGUUUUCCUCCCCAAAAAAAGGAAGGAUGUUGUCCACCUUCUUUUUUUUUCUUUUGAAUUGUAUUGUUGUCCACUUGGCCACUUGGCCAAUUAUUCAACAGUGAGGAAUGAGAGGUGCGGCAAGGAAGAUAGAGAAUUUUUCUCCAUGCAUUUUCUCUAUGCGUCUUCUCUCUAAUGGAUCUUCUCAGAUGCCUUGUCGUUUAUUGGUUGAUUGGAAAAAUUGUUGUAUUAUUCUCUCUUCCAUGCAUAUUCUGUUUUCUCACAUUUGUUGCAAAAGAAAUCAGGUGGUGGUAUGUUUGGCAAACUAUGGUGUUGAUCAUAUUGGGGUUCAAUGGUGAGAUUCUUGUCCAUUGUGUCGAGUUAUGGGUUUUGCUAUAAUCUUAUAGGAAUUCCAAAUUUUCGUUUCUCUUAGGAGUUGUCUUAAUUGUUUUUUGAUUCUAAUAGUUUUUUACUUCUUGUUAGGAUAUCGUUUCAUGUCCCCUCUAGCUUAUUGUAUAUUUAUUUUUUUCUUUAAUAUAUUCACAAUAAUUCUACGAUAGCAAUAUUGGAGUGGAAGUGAUAUUGUUCUUUUAAUAAAAAGAAAUAGGAGUGAUAAGUAUGAUAGGUUUCUGGUAGAAGUUGAAUGGCUUCAAUCUAAUUAUGCUUGUAAAAUUUUUGGUGAAAAUUAUGUUUGUAAUUUGCAUAUUGAAGAGCUAAUUAAUUUGCAGAGGAAAAUUUUCCCCAUGGAAAACCAGAUACAAAAUUUUGAAAUUUUUGUGGGAGAAAGAAAUGAAGGAGAAGUAAAGGGCCAUCGUUUGAUGUUCCAUGGCUAUCGAAGAGCAUGGACAACAACAACAACAACAAAUACUUAUCUCAUUAAGUGACUUCGGUUGUAUGAAUCUUAAAACGUCACUACGCUCGAUUUUGCGUCAAAUUUUCCGUUAGCUCCAACUUCUCCAUGUCUUUUCUUAAAGUCAAUAUUCCAAGUCUUCAUAGGUCUUUCCCUACUCAUUUUGCCCUAUGAUAAAAGAAAAUAAAUCAAGGUGUAUGGAGGAAGAAAUUAGAGAAAAUUAAAGACAAAUAUGAAUUAUGUUUUCUUUUCGUUGACGUAAAAAAAAUAAGAGUAAAUUACAUUUUCUCCCUUGGAUUUGAGUACAAUUGCAACCUCAUACAAUAUCUUUAAAAUAUUUCAAUUUUAUACACAAACUUUUAUUUUGUUGUAAUUUCAUACAUCAUUUAGUUAAAUCGUUAAUUUGACUGUUUUGUGAUGACGUAACAAAUAUAUGACCCACAUAUUUGAUGAAGUGCCAUAAAAAAAUUUGAUUAUCAAAAAUCAAUUUAAAAAAAAUAGCCCACACGCCAAUCUUCCCCCACACCACUACCCCAUUACUCCCUACUACCAACUUAGCCCACACGUCACAUGCUGAUUACAACCCACUCGUGCCUCUUCCCGUCCCCAUGUCCCUCCAUCAUAUUAAAGGACUAUAUUUGCUUGCAGGUGACUCUGCCACCAUAUCCAUCCUCGAUUUCGCAGCCCGAUUCAGUAAAAUGUACGCGGUAUCCCAUUUGUUACUAUUUUGUAAAAGGUACACCGUAUCCCAUUUGUAACUAUCUUUCUUACCACUGUUUAUCUCACAAUCGUCUUUCAUAUAUCUACUCCGUCAGUCGGUGUGUGGAGCCGCCUUUCAUAUAUCUACUCCGUCAGUCGGUAUGUGGAGCGAUCUUCUUUUGCAGAGGCUGUGAGUGAUCCUAAUUGGCGCCGUGUCAUGGACGAGGAACUUGGUGCUUUACAUGCCAACCGUACUUGGACCUUGACAACAAGCCCCCCCCCCCCCCCCCCGGGGGCGGCCGCGGCAGGGGCAAAGUUCAUAUUGCUUGUAAGUGGGUGUACAAAGGUUAAGCGUAGUUUUGAUGGUUCCAUUGAACGCUACAAAGUCCGUUUGGUUGCUAAGGGUUUUAUGCAGGCUGAAGGUAUUGGUUACCAUGAUACUUUUUCUCCCAUUGCUAAAAUGAUCACUGUGUGUUGUCUCCUCACCCUUGCCGUUAGUCAUCGUUGGUCCCUUCAUCAGCUAGAUGUUAAUAAUGCUUUCUUGCAUGGUGAUUUAAAUGAGGAAAUUUAUAUGUCCGUUCCCCUUGGUCUUCGGCGUCAAGGGAAGAACCUUGUAUGUUGCCUCCACAAAUCCCUUUAUGGUCUCAAUCAGGCAUCUCGCUAGUGGUUUGCCUAUCUCUUCAAUAAGAUUAAGUCCCACCAUGACUCUCAUUCCUUGUAUUUACUUAAUAAAGGCCCUUAAUUGAUUGCAUGCAAUUAAGACUCCAAUAUGUUUAUUUCCUUAAGGCAUAAUUCAACUAUUCUCUCAUCAUUUCUCGGCAUAAUUCAUUGUCAUUCACAAAAUGGUUUUACAUGAGGAUGUUAACAUUGUAAAAAUAUAUUUGAUUAUUUUUAAUUGAAUUGAAAAGGAUACAAAAGGCCUUUUAUAUAGACUCAUUCUCUUGGAAGAGAAUUAACCUAGCCUACAAUUUAGCUAUACAAAAAAGGAAGAUUUUGUACAAAUCAAUUACAGACUUUGUUUCCUAUUCUAAGCUAAGAUAUCAGGGAUCUUGAUAUCAUUGACUUCUCAACACUCCCCCUCAAGUUGGAGAGUGAACGUCGAGAACUCCCAACUUGCGUAUGAUGGAUAAGAAAGCCUCAUUUCCUAAUGCCUUUGUGAAAACAUCUGCAAGCUGGUUUGAAGAGGGAAUGUAUCUUGUGACAACCGAACCAUCUUGUAUCUUGUCUCGAAUAAAAUGACAAUCAAUCUCUAUAUGUUUAGUUCGUUCAUGAAAAACUGAAUUAGCAGCUAUAUGGAGCGCCGCUUUGUUGUCACAAUGUAGCAAGGCCGGUUUUGGGUGAAGCAAACCUAGAUCCUUCAGAAGAUAUCGAAGCCAUGACAGUUCACAACAAGUUCCAGUCAUGGCUCUAUAUUCGGCCUCUGCUGAUGAUAAAGAAACGGUCUUUUGUCUCUUUGACCUCCAAGAGAUCAACGAAGAACCCAAAAAGACGCAAUAACCUGUAGUUGACCUUCGUGUCGUAGGACAUCCUGCCCAGCUGAAUCACAAUAUGCACUUAAGUUUAAGUUGUUUUGAGAAGAGAAAAACAAACCCUGUCCAGGCGUACUCUUCAAGUAUUUCAGGAUUCGGAGAGCUGCUUCCAUGUGCGGUUGUCGUGGUUCAUGCAUGAAUCGGCUCAACACAUGCACGGGAUAAGUGAUGUCUGGCCUUGUAAUAGUUAAAUAGAUCAAUCGACCAACCAACCUUCUAUACUUUGCCGGAUCUUUAAGCAACUCACCAGUGUUAGAAAGUUUAACAUUCUGCUCCAUAGGAAACUCCACUGGGCGAGCUCCCAAAAUACCACUAUCUUUCAAAAUUUCUAAAGCGUAUUUUCGCUGAGAAAUAAAGAUCCCUUUCUUUGACUGAGAAACCUCUAUUCCCAGAAAGUACUUCAAGUUACCAAGGUCCUUGAUUUUGAAGUGACCAUGAAGAAAUCUUUUAAGAGCAUUAAUUCCUUCAUGAUCAUUGCCAGUGAUCAAAAUAUCGUCAACAUAGAUCAGGAGGGCUAUAAAGGAUUGCCCUUGCUGCCUCGUAAACAAAGAAUAAUCUGCCUUUGAUUGGAUAUAACCAGCGGAUUUAAUUGCUUCUGAAAACUUUGCAAACCAUUGCCGGGACGCUUGUUUCAAGCCGUAGAGGGAUUUAUUAAGGCGACACACGAUAUUCUCCCCCUGUCGCCGAAGACCAGGAGGAAGGGUCAUAUAGAUUUCUUCAUGAAGAUCACCAUGAAGAAAGGCGUUGUGGACAUCAAGUUGGUGGAGAGACCAGUUGCGGGCAGCAGCGAGGGCUAACAAACAACGAACAGUGACCAUCUUAGCAGUAGGGGAGAAGGUAUCGUGAUAAUCAACACCUUCAAGUUGAGUGUAACCCUUGGCUACAAGGCGAGCCUUAUAACGUUCAAUAGAACCAUCAGAACGAUGUUUGAUCUUAUAAACCCAACGACAACCAAUGGGAGUUUUGCCGACAGGGAGAGGAGUGAGUGUCCAAGUAUUAGUGGCCUCCAAAGCACGGAGUUCAGAGUCCAUGGCAGCAUGCCAAUGGGAAUGAAGAGCAGCCUGAGCAUAAGUGUGAGGUUCGACCUGCCGACUGAUAGAAGCAAGGAAAGAUUGUUGUUGAGGUGAGAAACGAUGAUAAGUGAGAAAAUUAGCAAGAGGAUACCUUGUACCGGUGGUAGGACCUGUCGACGAAGAGGAUGAAUCGAUUGGUUGGGUAGAAGGCAAAGUAGGGCAAACAUAAUCACUGAAGUGAGCGGGAGGAGCUGAGCGACGGUCAGAGCGGCGAAGCACGGGUGCAGAGGGCACGGAAGGUGCUGAAGGCACGGGCGCUGGGAGCGCUGAUAUGGCAGGAUCAGGUACAGAGGGAGAUGUAGCAUCAGACGCGGGAGGAAAAGACUCAACAGGUGACACGGGAGAAACAAUGGGUGCGGAAGGAUCAGUGUAGUCAAGAAGGGGUUAAGGUAAGACAGGUCCUGGUUGGUCAUCGGAUGGGGAUUGAUGUUGGUAAGGGAAAAUAUGCUCGUGGAAAAUAACAUCACGGCUUGUAAAAAACUUAUGGGUGGUGAGGUCGUAGAGUUUAUAGGCUUUUUGGCCAACAGGAUACCCUAGAAAAACACACUUAUGAGCACGGGGAGCAAACUUAUGAGAAAUGUGAGUAUUUGUGGCAUAGGCAAGACAUCCAAAGACUCGUAAGUGGGAAUAGGUAGGGGAUGUGGAAUAGAAACGUUCAAAAGGUGUAGUGUUGGAAAGAACUUUGGUAGGGAGACGAUUAAUAAGGUGAACUGCUGUGAGCACACAUUCACCCAAAAAACGAAGUGGGAGGUUGGCUUGAAAACGCAAACUACGGGCUGUUUCAAGGAUGUGACGAUGCUUGCGUUCUACAACCCCAUUUUGUUGGGGCGUAUAAACGCAAGAGUGUUGGUAUAUGACACCGUGUUCUUGGAAAAAAUCACGAAGGGAGAAAAACUCACCUCCAUUGUCCACACGGAUUUGACAAACAAGUGUAUUAAAUUGAGUACGAACAUAAGAGAAAAAAUUCUUAAGGAGGUGUUGGGUCUCAUUUUUGUGAUGCAUAAGAAAGAUCCAUGUGAAACGAGAAUAAUCAUCUACUAUAGUAAAAAAAUAUUUGGCUCCACAAGUAGAGGCAAUUUUAUAAGGACCCCAAAUAUCACAAUGAAUUAGAUCAAAAGGUUUCUUGGUUGAAAUGGUACUAACACCAAAAGGUAAACGACUUUGCUUGGCUAAUGGACAAACAUCGCAAGCAUUAUUAGACUGAAAAGGAAAAUGUAACAUGUUUUUGGACAUAAAAUCUAAUCUAGAUGAUGACAAAUGACCUAAACGUCGAUGCCACAACUCUAUAGGUGAUAGAACGAUAUUGCAGAAACGCCUCGAAGUGCCAUCUUGGACAGGAGCCAAUGCCACCAAAUAGUAGAGUCCUCCUCGUUGCUUACCCAAACCAAUCGUCCUCUUCGUGGUCAGGUCCUGCAAAAUACACCAAGUGGGAAAAAAAGUGAUGGAACAAUUUAAUCCUCCAGUAAUUCGACUCACUGACAUCAAAUCUACAUUAAAAGUAGGCACACACAACACAUCUCGUAGCAAAAAGGUAGAACUCAAAAGUAAAUCUCCAGUUGAUACAAUAGAUGCUUGUUCUCCACUGGGCAAUAAAACUGGCAGCAUAUUAGUAUUUUUCACACUAUGAGUGAGCAGUUUUGGUGAGGAGGUGAUAUGGUCCGUCGCACCACUAUCGAUAAUCCAUCGAUGGAGAUGCGAAGGAUUUUUUGACAAACCUUUGGUAGUGGUGGCAGCAUUGGCUUGUGGGGCUGCAGAUGCAUCUUUGCCAUUCAUAAUACUGAGAAUUUGUUGAAAUUGAGAAUCUGAUAAACCUGACAUCACAGACUGCAUCUCUUGCACAGAAGGUCCUUCAGAGGAAACUAUGUGAGCUGACGAUGAGCCGGUGUCUCGCUUGGAGCGAUUCCCACCACGGGGAUUGGAUUUGUUGGUUUUAUGAAGACGAUGCCCAGGUGGAUAUCCAUGCAACUGAUAGCAAGUAUCAAUAGUGUGGUAAUCUUGAUCGCAGUGCGUACAAUGCAUGGGUUUACGAGUGGAAGAGCCUGAGGACUUGGAAUGGUGGCCCUGGCGAACUGCCAUGGCUGCUGUUGCAGUAGUGGUGCGAGAAAGGCUCAAGGAGCGCUGUUUCUCCUCCUGUGAGAUUGAGGAGUAAGCUUGACGUACAGUAGGCAAGGGAUUCAUCAAGAGGAUUUGUCCUCGAACAACACUAUAUGAAUCAUUGAGUCCCAUAAGGAACUGCAUCAACCUAUUCCUUUCAUUUUGAGCACCACAUGUGCAUGAGGAUGAAUCGCUGUAGGAAGACAACUCGUCCCACAGACUCUUCAACUUGGUAUAGUAGGCUGCAAUAGAAAGUUGAUCUUGAGAAAGACACGAAAUAUCCCGCUGUAAUUGAAAAAUCCGAGGAGCAUUACUUUGGGAGUAGCGCUCUUCCAAUUCGUCCCAAAUCUCAUGAGCACCAGUCAUGUAGAGAAUGCUGUCUGAAAUAUCUGAAUCGAUUGAGUUGAUGAUCCAGGCAACAAUCAUGUCGUUGCAUCUCUUCCAUGCAGCAUGAUCGUUCGGUUGGGUUUUUGCUGGUGGUUGUGGAACAGUGCCGUCAACAAAACCAAUCUUGUUUUUAGCACUCAAGGAAAUCUUCAUGGCUCGGGACCAGGUGGAAUAGUUGUCCCCAUUAAGGGGUUUCGAGACCAGCACCAUAGCUGGGUGGUCUGAAUGAUGAAUGAACAGUGGAUUGGAAGCAUCAGGCUUGCUUUCGCUCGAAGUUCGAUCAUCGGCCAUGGCUAAUGAUCAAUGAAAAAAAACACGCUGCUUGUGAUGAACAGCGGCAAAGAGAAACAACAGCAGAAAAAGAACUAGGGUUUCGGCCUAGCUCUUGAUACCAUGUAAAAAUAUAUUUGAUUAUUUUUAAUUGAAUUGAAAAGGAUACAAAAGGCCUUUUAUACAGACUCAUUCUCUUGGAAGAGAAUUAACCUAGCCUACAAUUUAGCUAUACAAAAAAGGAAGAUUUUGUACAAAUCAAUUACAGACUUUGUUUCCUAUUCUAAGCUAAGAUAUCAGGGAUCUUGAUAUCAUUGACUUCUCAACAAACAUCCCCACUCUUCGAGAAAAGUAUGAUGUGUUUAUUAGUUUCAAAGGUGAGGACACCCGCAAAACUUUUGCUAGCCAUCUUCAUGCUGCCUUACUUCGCAAGAAAAUCGAAACCUACAUAAACUAAAGCCUGACGAGAGGAGACGAAAUUGGAGCCAGCCUACUAGAAGCAAUCGAGAAAUCAAGGCUUUCGGUGAUCAUUUUCUCCAAAAACUAUGCGUCUUCCACCUGGUGUUUGAUUGAACUUGUGCAUAUACUCAAAUGCAGAAAGAAAUAUGGCCAGAUGGUUGUCCCCAUUUUUUACGACAUCAGUCCAUCAGAUGUGCAAAAACAAAAGCGGAGUUAUGCAGAUGCAUUUGCUCAACAUGAAAAUCGUAAGGACACCAUGGAUAAGGUGAUCGGUUGGAAAGCUGCUUUGGUGGAAGCAACCGGUUUAUGUGGGUUCGAUUAUUCAAACAAAAAAGGGUAACUAACUUUGUAACUUGUAUCAAUUUCUACUUGUGAUUAUUUCUUUUCAAAUUUUUAUUAAGUAAAAUGAACCUUAUUCAUGGUCAAUACAAAUAUAACACUGAGAAACACAAAUUAACCAUAUUUGACAUAAAAUUCUAAACCAUGACCAAUUCACCAAACUUACACAACUUGAAAAUUCCCUCCAAUACUUCACUAUACUAACGUGUGUAUACCUUACUGAAAACCCCAUCACAAAAACAUCUUUUUUCGAAAAUGAAUCACCACAUCACCAAGCAAACUGUUAUUCAAAUGAAAAAACUAAUUAAUACCUAAUACCAUAACCAUAAACCACACUCAAUAUAAUCAUUAACUAAACCAACACCAUAAAAAAAAUUUAAAAAGAGGGGUCAAAUUAAACACCUUUAAACCACAAAAUGGAAAACAACAAACCAUAUAAUUAGUGAGUGCAGACUUUCCGGCAUUCGGGACACCAAUUAUGCCAACAGACAAUGCCUUUUGGUCCUCCGCCUUCACCAUUUCCUCCUCAUCCCCUGAUUUCUCAUCAUCGGCACGCUCCAAUGCCGCCUCUAGAAGCGCCUUUGCGAUAACCAACUUAAUAAGCAUAAGUUCAAACUUAAUCCACUCCUUAAAUUCAUCCUUAAUAUGUAACGUGAACGCUGAUAAGUAACGUGAACGUUAAUAAACUUUCAGCACAUAAUAAUAAUAAUAAUAAUAAUAAUAAUAAUAAUAAUAAUAAAAAUAAUAAUAAUAAUAAGAAUAAAGGUCAUCGUUGCCUUAUACUUGUACACUUCUAUAACACAAUACACAGCUUAUCCCAGCUGAAGCAGAACUUGUAAUUCAUGCGAACUUUCUCGGUAAGCAAACAAAUGGGUGUGCGAAUUAGCUCAAAUCCAGAACAAUUAACAGUGAAUGAAAAGUGCCAGGAGCUGAAUUGAGCAAAGAAUGCAUGAAACUUUGAGAUUGAACAGGUUGGAAUGGUGGGUUUUACCUUGUUCGCAUACAGAGGGACUAAAUCUCUUUCCUUCAUGAACAAAUCUUGAUCUAUAGUUGAAAGUUUCACUGCUUUCGCUGCUGCUACUAAAUCGGCUUCUACUCAUCCUAAUUCCUUAUUCUCCUAAUAGCAAUCUUGGUUAAAUUGGCCAUAGCACGUAAAGAGGAACAAUAAUGUCGAAGAGAGGGAAUGACACUUGAGCAAAACAAUAUCAGAUGACCAACACGUGGGAAAAUUUGAUAACAGCUGAGCCAAAGGGCAUAUUAGUAAUUCUACUAUGCAAAAAUAAAAAAUAUAAAGGAAAUGAAACAGUGCAAGACAAAAACAUCAAUACACCGAGUUUACUUUUGUUUAUGGUUUUCUUGUGAGACAAGGAUAUUAGAAUUUUUUAUAUCCUUUAAGACCAUCUCCAAUGGUUGGGCUAAAAGCCAAAUAUUUUAGCCCGGAAAAUUUAGUUUUUAGCCUAGAAACAACUUUUUUGCUCUAACCGUUCUAGCCUAAAAUUUUAGCCCGGAAUUAUUAAAGAAUGAACUUAGGCUAUUUUUUUUGUUAAAUUAUAUUUUUUAUAUAAAUAAAUAUGUACAUUAUCGUAAAUUAAUUUUAUGAACAUUUUAAUCUAAAAAAAUUUAAAUUCCGAUAAAUAUUGAAAAAUUUAAAUUCCUAUUUCUGGGCUAAAUUUCGGGGGGAAUCUGGCCUUGGUUUAACAUUUAGCAUUUAGCCCAAAUUUUCCCCUUGGGUUGGAGUGGGUUUGGGGGAAAAUUUUGGGGGGUAGUUUGGCUUUUAGCCCACCAUUGGAGUUGGUCUAAGGGUUAAGAUUUAGAUUUUAUUAGAGUUUUUUAUAUCCUUUAAGAAUUAGAAUUUUACUUUAGUUUUCACUAUAUAUAGUAGUGCUUGUAUUAGUUAGUCAAUAAAUAGUGCUUUGCCGGCAUACUAUUCAACUCAAUGAUGUCGAAGAGAGGGAACGACACUUGAGGAAAGCAAUAUCAGAUGACCAACACGUGGGAAAAAUUGAUUACAGCUGGGCCAAAGGGCAUAUUAGUAAUUCUACUAUGCAAAAAAUAAAAAAUACAGGAAAUGAAACAGUGCAAGGCAAAAACAUCAAUACACUGAGUGAACAGUGUCUUUGAACUGGGUUUACUAGACUAGUUAAAGCAUUACUGGGAACUUUAAUGAAAAACUCUCAACACUGUUCACUUUAACAAAAAACCACAUUUUUACACUAAAAAGUUAAUCCUGGUAGUAUUCACCUUACCCUUUAUUUUGUCGUUUUUGUUAAAACUUAAAGUUUUCAAAUUCUUUUCAUUAAUUUUCCUUACUAUAUAUUGCUUAUCAUUUGUGAUCAUAUUUUGCAUGACGGAGGCUGAUUUCAUUGAGGAAGUUGUGGAAGUUAUAGAUAGUAUUCUAGGGUUUUCAUGAAUAUGUUUUUUUAUUUUUUACAUCUCACAUAGAGGAAUAUAUAUAUACUUAUACAAUCCCCUACCAACUAGGAAGUAGAUAUCCUAAAUAUAUUAGGAUAUCAAUUACAUACUCAAAAUAUCCCUACAUUCCUUAUUCCAAAUACAGACUCACGGCAACACUCCCCCUCAAGUUGGUGCGUAGAUAUCACGUAAGCCCAACUUGUUAAGUGAGUCAUGAAACACUCUUGAUGACACGGCAUGAGUUAACACAUCUGCCAACUGAUCUCCAGACUUCACAAACAGAAUAUCAAUCAAUUUAACAUCCAACUUCUCUUUAAUAAAAUGCCUAUCCACCUCAACAUGUUUUGUACGAUCAUGUUGAACUGGAUUAUUAGCUAUUUCUCUCGCAACUUGAUUAUCACAAUACAGCAACAUAGCUCCAUGUGGUUUAAACACAAUCUCGGUUAAGAGGAUUCUUAGCCAUAACAAUUCACAAAUUCCAUGUGCCAUACCACGGUAUUCAGCCUCUGCAGUGGACCUAGGAACCACAUUCUGCUUUUUACUCCUCCAAGUUACAAGAUUACCUGCAACAAAUGUAAAGUACCCUGAUGUAGAGCGUCUAUCAGUAACAUUUCCAGCCCAAUCAACAUUUGUGUAUCCUUUUACUUCCAAGUGCCCAUGCUUCCUGAAGAUCAACCCUUUUCUAGGCGCAUCUUUCAAAUUACUUAAGAUUCACAUUACUGCAGCCAUGUGAUCCUCACUAGGAGUGCAUGAAUUGACUCACCACACUAACUGCAUAUGCAAUAUCUGGCCUUGUGAGAGACAAGUAAAUCAAUCUUCCUACUAGCCUAUGGUACCUUUCCCUGUUUGCUAGAACUUGGUCAGGAUAAAUUGCUAGAUGAUGAUUCUGAACUAUAGGCGUUUCUGCAGGUUUACAUGCCAACAUUCCAGUCUCAGACAAAAGAUCCAGAACAUACUUCCGCUAUGACAAAUAAAUACUUUCACAACAACGAGCAACUUCAAUUCCUAAGAAGUACUUCAAGCCUCCUAAGUCUUUCAUCUCAAACUCUGAAGAGAGAUGCCCCUGUAACCUCUUCAUCUCCUCGGUAUCAUCACCAGUAACUACCAAGUCGUCCACAUAAAUUAUUAACAAGGUGACCUUUCCUUCCCUUCGUUUGAUAAACAAAGUAUGAUCAGCAUUUCCUUGUCUGUAACCAUAUUUCUUCAUUGCAUCGGUGAAUCUCCCAAACCAUGCCCUCGGCGACUGUUUGAGUCCAUAAAGCGCUUUCCUCAACCUACACACCUUGCCUGUCCUGUUUGACACCUCAAACCUAGGUGGAAGUUCCAUGUAAACCUCUUAUUCCAGGUCUCUAUGUAGAAAGGCAUUUCUUUACAUCAAAUUGCUUCAACGGCCAAUCAAAGUUAGCAGCUAAAGACAAAAGUACACAAAUAGUGUUCAUCUUAGCUACCGGAGCGAAUGUUUCUUGAUAAUCUACCCUGAAAGUCUGUGUGUACCCCUUAGCAACCAACCUUGCUUUGUAUCUGUCAAUGGUUUCGUCUACGUUGUGUUUGAUGGUGAAUACCCAUUUGCAUCCCACUGGUAUUUUCCCUUGGGAUAGCGACUCUAUGCUCCAAGUCAUGUUUUUCUGUAGAGCCUCCAUCUCGACUUCCAUUGCUUUUGUCCACCAAGAAUCUAGCAAAGCUUCUUCCACUCUUGUUGGGAUUUUGAUUCCAUCCAUUGUAUUCACCAUGGCUCGAUACUUAGAAGACAAUCGAUGUGUAGAGACAUAAUUUGCAAUAGCAUAUCGGACUUUUCCAUCAGGAGAAUACCUGUCUAGUGGUUUCCCACAAUUUUGUAUAGAUGGCAACACAUAUGUACUUUCAAUAUUAGUCAAAUCACGAGCUUCAUUAGGUUGAGAUAGACUUACCUCAUGGAUAUCCUCGGGCACAUGGACAGGUACAACCGGAGAGGAGUUAUUUCUUGAAGUGUAUUGGUCGUCCAAACUGUGAACUAAUUGUUGCAAUUCACUGUUGUCUUGAUAUGGUGUUUCUAACCGUGCACUGGGCUGUGCACCAAACUGCUCACCUGCUGCCAUGCCGUCAGGCCCACUCCUAGAUUUGGUCUCGCUGGCUGCUGCACAGCCUUUCAAAGAUGGGGCCUUACUUACACUAAUGGGUUCAGGCCCGUGGAUUUCACCAGAAGGCAGAAGUCGGCCCUGCUGGCAGUCACCGUGGCAAGCAUUCUGUUGGGUUUCACGUGGUUGCCCAGUAGGGAGAUCAAUCCAACUGUAAUCUCAUAUGUAUUUAGCUCCCCCUGAAGGUUAGAGUUGGUGUGAUCAGUGACAAAGAACAUCUCAUGCUCGGAAAACGUAACAUCCAUGGUGACAUAGGUACCCUUUUUGUUGGCCAGUAAAUCCCAAAAAAAUACAUCGAAUUGCACAUGGGUCCAACUUGCUACGUUGAUUUUUGUGGAGAUGUACAUAGGUCACACAUCCAAAAAUACGGGGUAACAACUGAAGGGAAGAGGUUAAUGUCACAUGGUCAACAAGUACCUCCAUAGGGGUGCAGAAAUUAUGUAUUCUGGUGGGCAUUCGAUUCAUCAAAUAAACUGCAUAUUUAACAGAUUCUGCCCAAUAAGAGUGAGGGGCGUGAGCACCAAUGAGAAGUGCUCGAGUGGUUUCCAGAAUAUGUCGAUUUUUGCGUUCAGCGAUCCCAUUGUUGUGGGGUGUGUGGACAAGAAGUCUCUUGAAGAAUGCCAUGAUCUUGGAAAAAUUGAGAGAGUUCAGUACUGAGAUAUUCGCCACCAUUAUCAGAUCGGAGAACCUUAAGAGGAAGAGAGUAUUGAUUUUCAACCAUGUGAUAAAAUUGUUGAAAAAUUUUCCCAACCUUACUUUUAUGUUUUAGAGUAUAAAGCCAUGUCAUUCUGGUGCAAUCAUCAACAAAGAUAAUAAACCAACGAACACCAUGAAUAGUAGCAACUGGAGAAGGUCCCCACACAUCAUAAUGGACUAACUCAAACGACACUAUUCUUUUAUUUAAACUUAAAUGAUAAGAAGUACGGUGGCUUUUUGCCAGAAUGCAAUCCUUACACUGAAAAUCAGAGUUUGAAAUGCCACAAAAUAAAGAUGGAAGUAAUCUUUUUAAAUAACCAAAAGCGGCAUGGCCCAAACGACGAUGCCAUAACCAGAUUGUCUUAUUCUUGUUUGACUGGCUACUGCACACUUGGUUCACUCUGCUUGCAGACACAUCAUCCACAUAGUAUAACCCUCUCCUCUUAGUACCACGCCCAAUUAUCGCCAGAGUCUGGAUAUCCUGAAGUAGGCAAAAAGUGGGAAACAUUAACACAAUACAAUCUAAUUGCUCAGUAACUUGACCAAUAGACAGUAAAUGAUUGGACAAUGACGGAACAAGUAGUGCAUUGUGAAUAGACAAAGAUGGAGUAAGGGAAAUAGAACCAGCUCUCGUGACAUGAGCAAUAUCACCAUUGGUUGUGAUGACAUCCUCUUUAGAAGGUGACGUCGUAUGAUAAAAUAAUGAUGCGUCGUAAGUCAUAUGAUCUGUAGCUCCAGAGUCAAUUAUCCAACCAAUAUCCCUCUUGGUAGACAAUAUUAAAACAAUACUGAUUUUACCUGAGUCUUUCGAGUUUUCAUUCAUUGAAAUCUAGUUGAUGAGAGAUAAUAAUGGACCAGAGUCAUCAACUUUGGAUGUUGCUUCCAAGACCCGGCCUGCUGAUUGGGCUUCUGCCGUGACUAGAUGUGACACAUUGGGCCUCGGUUGGCCUGCUGUGACAGCUGCAAUGCCGCUGCUACCUGCCUUGUCUUGUUGGGCUUUAGGCCCAAUGUGGCCGCCUACAUUUGCUGUCAUCCCCUGUCCAGUAGCUGCCACACGGACCUGACCCGAGGUACGUUUAUUCCCCUUAGCUUUUAAUUCUUUCUUCCUUUCCCAGUACCAUUCUGGGUAACCAUGAAUUUCAAAACAGGUUUCCUCCGUGUCGGGUUCCAUUAUAGUGAUUGCAAUGGAGUUUAUCUUUAUCAAUAUCCUCCUGCGUACGUGAUGACCGAGAGUUUCCAAAGGAUGGUGAACGAUAACUUUGCACUUUAGUUGCCAUAGCCAUAGAAGGUCAUGCCGUGAUGCUCUUUGUUCCCAUCAUAGUGGCCUGCCUCUGAGCUUCGCGUCGUACUAGAUUAAAACAUUCCUCGAUUCCAGGGAUAGGCUUUAUCCUUAGAAUCUCACUUCGUACUUGAUCGAAACCACUGUCUAACCCAGCAAGAAAAUCGUACACCCUAUCCUUCGCAAUUUCCUCUUUACGAGUUCUCAAAUCUGCUCCACAAACCAUACGAAGAGGACGUCUUUUGUCAAGAUCUUGCCAUACACCCUUUAAUUCAGUGAAGUACAGAUUAACUGGGUGACCAUCUUGUCUUGUCCGUGUAGCCUUACAUCGGAGUUCAUAAUAUUGUGACUCAUCAGAACCAUUAUAGAACAUCUGGGUGACACUCUCCCAAAUAUCUUUUGCUGUGGGUAGGAUAAAGAGACCAAGUAGAUGUGGUUCCAUAGUUUUUAAGAACCAUCCUCUCACAAUAGCAUCUUUAGUUGACCACUUCUCUCACAAUAGCAUCUUCAGUUGACCACUUUGCAUAUCCCGGAUCAUCUUCCUCGACCAUCGGAAUUUUCCCUGUUAGAUACCCUAGCUUGCCGAGCCCUGAAGCAUGAACCUCCAUCAUCUUCGACCAUACUUUAAAGUUCGAGUCACUCAACCGAUACCUUAAAGGAAUGGCAUUGAUGUUGGUAGAUUCGCCUUGGUUGGACACGGUAUGCACGGGAAUCAAGCUUGCCUUAUGUUCUUCAGCCAUCACACAACUUUUUAGAAUGGGUUUUAAUUAGAUUUUCGCAGGCUUUGAUGUUUACAAAGGCUGCAAUUCAAUUUGGUUGUUUCUAACACAGUCUGAGAUUCAAACCAUGAGAGAGUUUUACUGGGUUUUUGUGAUUGUCAAAGGCAGGCCGAACCUGCUCUUGAUACCAAGAUAGUAUUCUAGGGUUUUCAUGAAUAUGUUUUUUUCUUUUUUUCAUCUCACAUAGAGGAAUAUAUAUAUACUUAUACAAUCCCCUACCAUCUAGGAAGUAAAUAUCCUAAAUAUAUUAGGAUAUCAAUUACAUACUCAAAAUAUCCCUACAUUCCUUAUUCAAAAUAUAGACUCACGGCAACAAUUAUUUCAACGAAAUUGAAACGUGAAACCUCAUAUGAUUUAAAGGGCAUGGUUGGAAUUGAAACGUGAAACCUCAUAUUAUUUCAAGAAUGACGCUUUUCGGCCCCUUCAACUUCGUGCUUUCAAGAAUAAAUCUCCUAGAGAAGGAUAAACAGGGUUGUCAGAAAGGGUGGUAGGUUAUGCUGGAGGCAUUCCACCUGCUCUUGAAAUUUUGGGUUCCUUAUUCCUUCCAUGUGAGAACGAACAAGAGUGGGAAGAUGUAUUGAGCACGCUGAAAAAAUUUGCCCGCAAGGAGAUUCGGGAUGGGUUCAAAAUAAGCUAUGAUCGGUUAGAUGAAAAUGAGCAGGAGAUAUUUCUUGAUAUAGCAUGCUUUUACAAAGGGAAUCAUAUUCAAGAUGUAAAAAAGAUGGUAGAUUUUGGUCAAAUGCGUGGUGGAAAGAGGGAAGAUAAUGGCCAAACGCAUGGUGGAUCAAGUGCAGCACAUGGAAUUAGAGUUCUCUAUGAUGCGUCUCUCAUAUCGAUUGAUUUAGAAAGGGAAACCAUAGAGAUGCAUUAUUUGGUACAAGAAAUGGGUUGGGCAAUUGUUCGCGAACAAUGUAUUAUAGAACCCGGAAAUUGCAGUAGGUUGUUCAUUGCUGAGAAUAUCUAUCAUUUAUUGAAAAAUAAAGAGAUAAAAAAAAUACCGUGUACUUGUGUUGACCCUAGAAACUACAAAGCCUACGUGGCGCGCAGGCCGAGUAAUCUAUAAGCUAACUACGUCCUUCGGUGAAUGCGGGGCGUGCCAACUCGUCGGCCGAGCUCGGCCGAGGAGUAAAUUUGUUGAUGUUGCGUUGGAUCGCGCUACUGACUUCUGCGUCUUGCGAUUGCGGCCGAGAAAGGAACACGUCUCGGCCUCUUGGGCUCUCGAACCUGAAGACAAGGUUACUAUUCUUACGAAGUUCAAUAUCAAAUUCGGCUUUCAAUGUGCCGAAUGUAAUAACUGUAACACCUCACUUUGCCGAGAAGGUUGAUGAGAUGACCUCGACCAAUAAGGAUUUAGAAACCCUUCUCGACCGAGACUUGGAUAGGUAAUUAAUCGUUCUCGCCGCAGUGCUGUUGAUGCCAACGGAAGGUACUGCGAGACCGACUGACUCUAUGGUGACAGAGCUAUCUAUGUCGACUUAAGAUAUCACCGGUUGCUUCCACAGUGCUGUUGAUGCCAACGGAAGAUGUGUCAGCGAAAAAGGAAAAAGAAAAAUCACAAGUUGUGAGAAUUUGCACAGGGCAAUUUUGUAUUCAUUUGCAGGGCUUUGAAUGAUGUGCAACCUCUUCUAUUUAUAGCAAUGGCCCCCCCCAAGGUCGAGUUAAAAACCUACUCGGACUAGGUUUUCUUCCCCUGAUCAGCAUCAACUCGACCAGUCCUACCUUCACUAGGACUGUGAACUUAGUCCUUUAACUGAGCCGGAUUCGUUUCCGGGUUCUGCCGAGACUCCUUAUUGCACUAGGAUUCGACCUCUUGCGUUAUGACCUAGCCGACCUAGGUUUGGAGGCCCACGUACUGAACGAUCCAUGGUAUUCUUGUCGCAAGGCCUUCCGGGCCGAGAAUGACCCUACACUCGGCCCAAAACUGUUAUUUUGGGCCCAAACAUUGCCCCCUCGCUUCUGAGGUCCUCGGCCUGAAUUCUUUGGCCGAGUUUCGGCCUUGAAGAAGCGAAUCUACCACUCAGAACCCUAAUGCCCAAGUUCCAAGGUGCACUUAUUGAACAUGAUUGCACGAUCUUGAUUCUGUUAACCGAACUCGCCACGUGGCGUCCUCUAACACGACCAAUCCCAAUAAUGACGUCCAAGGCGUGCGGCUGCCUGAACCGUCUUGCCAUUAUGACCACUAUCUCAAUCCGCGAGCCACUUCCUCAAGUCGUGAGCCCACUUGUCAUCGUGCAGGCGUCGAAACGUCUUCCGCCAUUAAUUUCGCCGUCACACGUAAUCGUGCGCCCCCAACAUCUGAGACCUUCGGUCUUUUCAACUGCAUUUCCCAAAUGUUCAUCAUGAUCAUCGAUUCUUUCGGUCGAUUUUGCCCCUUUGUUUUGAAUUUCAAACGGUUACCCUUCCUGCCAAAAGCCUAUAAAUACUGAAAAUCUCUCAUUCGCACUUUACGCUCCCAAAACUUUCUGAAAACUCUUGCUCUUAUUCUCCAGUACAUUUCUUUUUCUAGGUCUUCGUCCUCAAAUCCCCCAACCCAGAAAACCCUUUUCCGCCGUGCUUUCUUCUUACAAUGGCGUCCUUCAUCUCCAAGCUUUCCAGGGAAUGUGACCAGCAUCAGAAGAUUCUUGAUCGGAGCUCGAUCAAGACUAUACGGUUUGAAAGUGACAUGAGCACCGUCCACCAAAUCUUGGGUCCUCUCUUCAAGGCUACAAUACUGCCGACCAUUACUGGCCUUCUCCAGGAGCAGUGCCUAACACCCUUGCUACAAGGGUUUGAAUGGUCGAGAUGGGAUGCGGCGAAACCCCAAGGCUCCUGGCCCUCGACGACCACAUCCUGGGCAGCCUGGGUUGUUCGAAUGGAACGGCUCUUCGGCGAGCAAUGGAAAGCCCUCGGUAUCUACGACGACAUCCUCCUCUCGUCAAUGGAUGUCGUUCACGACAAGGAGCUUAUCCUAGCCGCCUUGUGCUUCUGGUGCUCGGCCACCAACACCCUGGUUCUUCCUCUUGGUCCCAUCGGUCCCACCAUCCUUGAUGUCACCGCCAUUCUGGGGACUUCGGCAACCGGGAUCCCUAUCGACGCGGCCCUCUCUGGGCACCCGUCUAAUAUUGACCUGAAGACGCUUUUUGAUCGACGAGCCUUCGAGGCCUUGAACCGUGACGGUCAAAUCCCGUCGAAAGAAGACAUCCAGAAGCUCCACAAGAACUUCUUUAAUUACAAUACCCUCUAUCUUCACUUCGCCGGCCGAUGAGAGGAGGACCUACGAGAGGGAGAGCAUGAAGUCUUCCUCUUUUAUUGGUACAACAAGUACAUUUGUUGUACCAAGUCAAACAAAUGCUUGGUCGAGAAUAUGCCGGUAGCCGAGGCCCUGGCCAGUGGUCACGUCCUGGCACUGAGCUCCAACAUUCUCGCCCAUCUCUUCCGCUGCCUGGCCGAGGCGACCCUCCACAAAAUCGAUCCACACCAGAAUGGUCCCCUCUGGGUCUUCCAACUCUGGUUACAAGUUUACUUCGCCUCCCUUCGGCCGACCAUAGCUGACUUCUCACCAACGGAGGCGCUUGGGCCUCAGCUGGCCUCUCGACCGACACCUCCCCAUCAACCCGAAGAGGUAUUUCGGUACCUCUUCGCUCUCGACGACUUCUCCAACGACGAGUUCCUGAUAUGUCGUCGUCGAGACUAUCCUUCCUCCAUCAGGCUGCCUACCUCUACGUGGGGCGCGGAGGAGGACGCCGAUCUCCGUCAGACCUGGGGGUCGUUUGUGCUUGCUCGCGACCUCCCCCUCGGCUGCGAUGGGAAACGGUCGGGUUGGGAAGUAUAUCAUCCGAACUUCCUUGCCCGACAGCUCGGCUAUCUUCAGGGCUGCCCCGUCCCCCUUCUCUCCUCCCGGACAGUCCUAAGCCGUGGACGUGAACCUCGUUCUUCGGAGAAGGAAUGUAAAACUGCCGCAAGAGAGUUCCAAGAGUACUGCCAAAAAUUCCGCCUUCGACCGGCCACCCCAGAAACCCAUUGCACUGACACCUUCGGUGAGUGGUGGGAAAAUUACACCCAGGAGUUCUUUGGUGCUCCGGUCGAAUAGGUGCUGAACAAACUCUUCGGUGACCGACCUAAGAAGGCCUCGGCCCCCCAAACUCAAGGUAAUUGUUCAUUUCUCCUCUUUUCCUUCAACCUUGCAUAUUGAUUUGCCUUACUGAAUUCUUUUUAUCUUCUCAGGUAGUCGGCCUUCGAGAAAAACGGAGGCUGUUGCCGCGGCCACGGUCGAGAAAAAAUCGGCCGUGGUUAAAAGGGAUAAGGCUGCUGGUCGGGCCGUGCUGACCAAACGCCCUCGCCAAGAGGCCGAGUCGGUCGUCGAACCUCCACCGCCUGCCAAGCGGGUAAAACAGCUGGCAAAGAAGGGCGCACGGGAGAUCCACGUCAUCUCCAGCCAAACUACAGGGGCGACGACUCCCAGUGUUUCCCCUUUUCCUGCCGUUGUUCAACCCUCGGUCGAGAAACAGCCCGCCCCGGCCGCAGCGACAGUUCGAACGCAGCCUAUCUCUGGGACUGGUACACCAGUUGUGCCUCCCUCCGUCGAGGAAACACUCGCUCCAAAAAAGGUGGUUUCUACGACCGAGGGAACAGCCCCUGGAAAUCCAAAACCCUUGGUCUUCAUUCUGGAAGAGAGUGAGGGGAGCGACGAGGUCCCGUUGGCAGAUCGUCCUCACUUUCGUCGGCAACCUCUCCCAAGGUCUGAGAUUGUGGUUCAAGCCGGCCCCUCCACGGCUGAUCGUGGCAAGCGCCCGAUCGAGGAACCGACAGUGGUGGCCGAACCCCUCGCUCCUUCUCAGGACCAGGAUGUCCCUGCCUCUUCCGAGAUGGCUGCUCCGGUCGGCCCAUCUGCAGCCGACCGUGGCAAACGCCCGCUCGAGGAACCCGAGGCAACGGCGGAAUCGCCCGUUCAUCCCCAAGACCAGGGCUUCCAUAUUCUUCCACAAGAGGUUACCUCGGCCUUCGUAAGUACCUUCGACCAUCUUUCCUUGAUUGCUUUUUUUUUUCUAGAAUUCUAAACGAGGAAAAUACUAAAUGUCAGGUGCCUGUACAUUCUUUUCACCGAUAAUUCUACGCGCCGAAGGGCGUUAUCUACAUUUCUUGGCCGCCUCAGUGGCCAUCAAACGUAGAUAAUCUCCAUCGGCCGCGUGAACUGAGAAGCAAUCUGAGACACUGGGCUAGGCCAUUAAGUUCUUUAAGUUCGAGCAACGAUCCUGGAGACAUGGCCGAGGUCUCCUCUCGGCAGGUUAAAAAAAACACAAAACCUUCUUGCUAUUCUUGUCAUGACUUCUUUUAAACUUAACCUGAUUUGUACGUGCAGGCUUCAUGGGAGGUCGAAUUCAAGCCCUACUCUCCAGCACAACUGCAGAGUCCGGUCAUUCGGCUGCUACAACUGAAGCUGCCGAUCCAAGCGCCCUUACCCAGUUGCGAGAAGUCUUGUCGCUUUCAACAUCGCAAGUACUUGAGCGCAACGGUCUUGAUCUGCUCGGCGUAUGCCUGAACGACCUUGGAGCCGACGGUCGCCUGAGCGGAGAUGCCAUAGUUCGGGCAUCGUCUGCCUUGGAGCGUGUUCGGGAGACAUUUAGUAUCUUCCAGACCGCUCUAAAGGCCGAACAGGACCUGCAAGCCGCCACGGCCAUUCAAGACACCAUCCGUCCGAAAAUCGAUGAUCUUCGUGCAAAAGGGGAAGCGUUAGCCGAGCUUGACCGUCAGAUGGCCGAACUAGCAAAACGUCGGUCGGCCAUUGCCUCCGAGCUUGCUAAAGACUUCGAGUCAGGCGGCAAGGAUCGCCUAACUGAGUAUGCGGCAACCAAAAAACGGGUCGAGCAGCUGAAGCUGGACAAAAAGAAUCGGCAGGCCGAAGUUAUCAUGGCCGACGUGCGGUGGUUGGAAUUGAAGGCCCUGCUCAGCACUCUUCUACCGUCUUCUCCUUGAAUGAUUUUGAAUGUAAACCAAUCGACCUACCCAUUUUGUAAAUGCUUAUCAAUCUUAAUGGACUGGUUUUCUAUUCCCGCAUUUUCCAUGUGACCGGAUAGUAUUUCUUCAAAAACUUCCCAUUGAUUGGUAAUCUGUGAACUACACCGGUUCGGUCUUUAAGAUGAUACGCCCAUUUUCUGUAUACUUUAUGCACAAUGAACGGCCAUUCCCAAUUCGGCGACCACUUGCCGAACCUAGGGUCUUUUAGUCCUACAGGCAACACCGUUUGCCACACUAAUUCACCCUCGCCGAAUGUUUUCUGUCGCACCUUUUGAUUAUAGGCCCGCUCGGCAAUCUGUUUUUGUGCCACCAAUAAGUUAUAAGCGUCAAGUCGCGCUUCUUCCAAAUCUUCUAGUUCCUGUCUCAUGGACUGAUUAUAUUCGGCGCUAAACAAACUACUUUGUUCAAUUAAUCGCAACAAAUUUAUGCUCAACUCGACUGGUAGCACUGCAUCGUGUCCGUAGGUUAAUGCGUACGGGGUUGUCGCAGUCGCCGACCGGGGCGACGUUCGGUAUGCCCACAAUGCUUCGUUCAACUUCAAAUGCCAUAUGCCAGGCCUUUCUUUUAUUAUUUUUUCGAGGAUGCCUAUCAACACUUUAUUACUUGCCUCGGCCUGCCCAUUCGCCUGUGGAUAAUACGGUGUGGACUGUUCCAGCCGAAUUUUCAAAUUUGCCGUGUAUUCUUUAAACCUUUCGGCUGUGAAGAUUGUUCCAUUGUCGGUUAUGAUCGUUUCCGGUACAUCGAACCGGGUCACAAUGUGUUCCUCCACGAAGUCGCAAACCUCUUUAGAUGUUAACUCGGCAUAUGAUUUUGCUUCGACCCACUUAGUAAAGUAAUCAGUUGCGACUAUUAUCCAUGCAUGCUUAGCAGCUCCAGAAGUCGGCGUGAUUUUGCCGAUUACGUCCAUGGCCCAUCCUCUAAACGGCCAUGGCUUAAUGACCGAAUGUAGUGACUCGGCCGGGACCCUUUGUAUAGGCCCAUGGAUUUGGCACUGUACGCAUCCUCGUGCAAACUCGAUACAAUCUUUCAGUAUUCUCGGCCAAAAAUAGCCGUGUUGUCGGAGUAGCCAUCGCAUUUUCCGUCCGGAUUGAUGAGCUCCGCAUACACUUUCAUGAACCUCUGCGAUCGCCCGAGCAUUCUCUUGGGGGCCGAGGCAUAGCAAUAACAAACCAUCUUCACCCUUUCGGUAUAACUCGUUCUGGUACAUGACAUAGUUCGUGGCGUGGACCCGUGUCCUGCGACUAUGUUUCCCGGUAGGAUUGUCAAGGUACUGCAUAAUGGGUGUUCUCCAAUCAUCCGGUAUCACCUCGGUUGUGCAAAUCUCGACAGAGUCCUGCCGAUCUAACAACGAAGGUAAGGACAUAACCCUGGUGCGUAUCACGUCGUCCCGUCGGAGAAUUUGCUGGUUAACCAAGGCCGGGUAUAACUGUCGUAUCACUGGUAUCUCUUGGCCUAGUUUGCCCCCCAGGAGUUAUGCACCGGAGGCAAUUUGAGCCAAUUCAUCCGCGUCGGUAUUAUGACACCGGGAAAUAUGUUGAAAUGUAAUACCGUCGAAGGAUUCGGCCAAAUAGCUGGCGACCAUAUGGUAAGGUGCCAGGGUACAACUCAUGCAACGAGCUCGGAGUCAUCGAGGACGAGGGCGUGGGUUGCCCGCAGGUCAUGGAAAAUUCCAAGGCCGACGAUUAGGGCUUCAUAUUCGGCCUGAUUGUUGGUGCAGUCGAAGUCCAACUUAAGCGAAAAGAACCAGCGAUCGUGAUUCGGGGAUUGAAUAACAAUUCCCAUGCCCGCCGAAGAUGACGUACUUGUUGGAAAUGUGCCCUAAAGCCAAUCAUGUGAUGAUACUUUACGGACAUUUCACAUGUUAAACUAAUCUAGUUUUACAUAUAAAGGGCAUAAAUUAUUGUUUGAGCCGUCUCAUAUAAAUGUUAUAUGCUUAAACGAUAAAGUCCAAGGAAUAUGUGAUUGGGAGAAUGUAAUCUAAUGAAGUUAGAUUCAUGAGACCAUUCUUUCGUAGACACAUCCUAAAUGUUCCUGAUCAUAGGAUUGCCAAUUGGGCGUUGACGGUCCGUUAAGAUCAGUACGUACUAUGUCUUCUCUCAGGGAGAGUGACUAGUCUCGAGUCAUUGGUGUGUGACAUCAAGACAAGUACGUAGGUGCUCAAUAGAGAAUGAGUACACUGAACGUGAUCAACGAAGAGUUCUCAUAUUCCAUGUCACAUAAGAACUCAUGGUUGGGAUAAUGCAAAGUAGUCCUUUGACCUGAGGCAUCACAGUUGUCUUGUGGUUAAGUCCUUGAUCUUUGAUUAUGUCAAAGUCACCCUCUCGGGGUGUCCACGGCAUCGUUGGGGUUAAGCCACUUAGCUAUGGAGACAAGUGAAUGUGCAACAAGGGAUCUCUAACCUUCAAACAGUUGAGGGAGAAUACUCUAUGAUAUGAUUUGGAAUCUCUGGCCAGAGUAUGAAUGAGAUUAGGGAAUGCGUUCCAAAUCACAUUCAAGGAAAUCAUAUAAGCACACGAAUCACAUUGGAUAGUAGACAUGAAUAAAUAAACUAUCAUACCAAACAAUGUGGUCAAGAGUAUUAGAUUAGAGAAAGACCGUAUUGCAUUUGUAAUCCCAAACUGAAUAGGUUCUCUAUCCUCUUCUGAUUAGCUUGGGUAACCAUGAUAUGCUGCUAGGUGUCACUCAUGGUUUGUGGAAGCCCUAAACGUGUGUAAUCACUAAAGGGAGAAUUGAAAAUAGUUUCAAUUCACAAUCGAUGUAAAAUGGUUUUAAUCGCCCACUACCUCGCUAAAAGGAACCUAAUGGAUCGCACACCAUAAAAGGUGGAGAUUGAAGAUUAAACGGAAAUGAGUAAGAAUGAUUAAAUGGUUUAAUCAUUUAUUUAUGGCAAGGAUUCAUUAAUAUGUUAAUUAAUCAAACGAAUAAGUUUGUUAAAGACUUCGGGAUAGUUUUGGACCUUAAGGCCCAAUGGGCUUCGAACGUCAAGCCCAUUAACUUAAGUUGUAUGACAAUUUAAUGAAUGAAGAUUCAUUAAAGCCCAAAAGCCCAAAAUCCCCUAAAUGGCCGGCCAUAGUGUGAUGAAUUAGGGUUUUGGUUAUUUAGGUCACUUAAAGAAGUGACUAUAAAAAUGACUUUAUAACUAAAUAUUCAUUAAGUGAUUAAGGGUUUAUUUUGGGGAAAAUUGGUGAGAAUUGUCUCUCCAUUUUCUCUCUAAAGAGGCCAACACCUUGGAGGGUACAUCUAGCAAUCCUACUACUCCAAGGUCACUCAUUUCUUCUACAAUCAAACCUUGGUGAAGAGACUUAGAGGUUCCCUAUUUUGGGAACUUGGAGAAAACCUAUUUUUCCAUCCAAAUCCAUGGAUCUAAGAAGCAAGGAAUGAAGGCCCUAUCUCUUUGGGUGAUUAGCCUUUGCUUAUGCAAAGAGGAAUCUACAAAGGUAAUAAUUUCAACUCACUUUGUUUUGAGUUGAUUAUUGGUUCACCAAUCUACUAGGCUUUGAAUUUCAUGGUAAUGUUUUGUUUUUGAGUGCAUGCAAGCAUGAUUCCGCCUUUAAUUGUUAAUUGCAUGCUAUAUGAUGUUGCUCAAAUGAACAUGUUUUUCAAAAUAAAUCCUUCAAGUGGUAUCAGAGCCUAGGUCUAGUAGUUGGUGAAUCCUUUUGGGUUUUGUAGUUCAUAAGUUUAUGAUUUAAAAGUUGUAAUUGUUACAAGCUUUAUUCUUGCUUCUUUGAAUGUAAAUUUUGUUUGAAAAUUUGCCAUCUCAAAUGUUGUAGAUGUAGUUCAUAUGAGCAUGAAUAUUGGAGCUAAAAUUUGGUGUCAUGAUUUUGGGGAUUUUCGGCCAAAUCCAAAGGGUGAUUUUUUGGGUUCAUGUUUGUCUUGUUAAAAUGGUUUUAAGGUGACUUUUGGAACCCCUAAGUACCCCUAGGAUGUUAGCCUCAUUUUGAAUGAUAAAAAAUUUGAGUUUUAUUGCAUGAAAACAUUCAUGGAGCUCUUAUGGGUUUUCAUGGAUGUUCUUCAUAUGUUCUUGAUGUUCUUGCCAAGAACACAAAGGUUUGUGUUUUGAUUCAAAGUUUUGAUUUAUUUCAUAAAGUUUAUGAUAUAUGUUUUUCAAAUGAUUUAUCAUGUAUUUAAAGUGUUAAAUAUUUGUAUAAAUGAUGAUGGAAACAUCAAUCAUCAAAACAUAUAUUAUUUUUAUGAAAGUAUUUAAAGUGUUAAAUAUUUGUAUAAAUGAUGAAAGAAAUAUCAAUCAUCAAAAACAUAUAUUAUUUUUAUGAAAGGUGAAAGCACUACUUGAUUGUUUUUGACAAAACUAAUAAAUCAAAAACACCCACCACUCCUUUUUAUCCCUAAAAACCGGCCACCCUAAUAAAAUAGGGUAUUUUUGGGGCUUUUAUGCAAUUACAUAAAGUUUUUUGAUACUUUUGUGUAUUUGUACUUUGACCCGAAAGUUUACGUUUUGACGUUAAGGCCUAAAAACGCUAAAGGACAAAUUGUUUUGCUCCUUUAAUGAAGUUUUUGAAUUUAUUUAAAUUUUGGGUUCUAGUUGUAUUUACAUGAAGUAGUGACUUUUGUGUUUUUACAAAGUGACCCCAAAAGUUUAUGUUUUCGCAAUAUGGCCCAAAAAGUUGUGGUUAUUGCAUGAUGGCCCAAAUAGGAUGAGAACAAAAUUGUUUUGUCUCUUUAAAUGAGAAUUGGAUUUUCAUUUUGUUUAGCUCCACUUAAAUCAAUUUUAUGGAUACAAAAACCAAAUGAAAAUGUUGCAUUCAAUUAAUUAGUUAAAGCGUUAAUUAAUUAAAGGAUGAUUAUGAACCUAAGCCUAAUAUAAUUGAGCUAUGUGAAAGGCGUUUCAAAUUUGUUUGAACCAUGGGAAUGUGUGUAGAUUAUAUUUUGGUUGUAAUUUGAUUUGAUCAAAUGUUGUAAAAGGGCAUAAGUCCUUCUUUACUUUAAGGUAAUUUGUUUUAUGCAAAUGUUGUAAUGAGCAUAAGCUCAUCCUUUACUUUGAAGUAUUUCUUUCUUGCUUUAUUAUAUGAUAUGCAUGAAAAUGAAGUAAUUGGGUCCAACGCCCCUAAGACAACACGCCUUAAUGUGAUUAAACGCGUAACUAAAAUCAAUCUCCAUCCCUAGACCGAGAUUCAACACAAGGCUCGUGUUGAAUCUAAACAAAGGUUCAUAGUCAUCCUAAGGCCCUAAGGCAACUAUAUAGUCCAUCAAAUGAAUGCAAACCUUAUGUUAGUAGUAACAUAUACUCUUGCUUUAAAAAUCGUUUUAAAAGCAUAGUGGGAGUAUUAUGUACAACUAAAACAAUCAUAUGGACCAAUAGUUGUAAUAGGACCAAAAUUGUUUUAAUAGAGAUUAAAAUGUAUAUUGAUAUGUGAUGAGACCUAAAACCCUCAACCAAACCAAUAUUAAGUUAUAAGCGUGAGAGUGCUUUGAACACUCUUUCGUGGCCUUCCACCGUGGUAGGCUUCAAUCGUGUGUGACUCAUACACCGUAUUCGUCCAAUUCUGGGGUUGCAAAGUAUGUGCUUACAUUCAGGAGAAGCCUAUACACAUAUGAUGAAGUGAAAGGUAGGCAACUAGUGUGGCCAAUAUGGAGUUCUUCUGAGGCCAUUCUUGAACCCCUACUUGAACUAGCAUGGUGGGAAUGACUUAACUAAGUGCAAUGGUGCCAAUAUGGAGUUCUUCUGAGGCAUCAGUCUCUAGAGGCCAAAUGAGAUGGGUACUUGCAUUAGUUGCAAAUGAGUAAGCGUACUCUCUCAUUAUUAUUGUUGCUAGCCAAUAUGGAGUUCUUCUGAGGUGGGCUUGGUAAUAGUGAGUCUCCCAUAACCUACUAGGAGUUUCAUCCAAAACUCUCGAAUUCCAAUGAGGGAUAUGGAAUUUGCCAAAAAUAGUGGGUGGUGCUAUUUUGAUUUAAAGACCCGAAUCAAAUGGCUUAAAAUCAAUCAAUUUAUAUUCGUUAUGUAUUUGAUUACCAAUAUAUUUGCAAACGCUAUCCAACACUUGACAAAUAAAAGCCGAACGUUUAGUUUACGGACUUGGUACUACAAAACCAUAGAUUGUCUUUAAUGGCUUGUAAAAGUACCAAAGUAAGUCUCAUCCUCACAAUCUUCCUAUUGAUAAUGUAUCAUUAGAAGAAUAUGUUAGAAAAGGUCUAUCAUAAAGAGGACAACACUUUUAAUGUCAUAAUUCUUCAAUUACAAAUUGUUGUAUGAAGAAAUAGGAGUUGCUUUGAACAACCCUUAAUCAAUGCAAACACUUAGUGCUUGUUUCUUUGUUACAUGAACAAGGAACUUGAGAAGAAAGCACAAAGGCAUGGACACUUUAUGUGCCAUGAUUCUUCACUUACAAUUUGUUGUGUGAAGAAAUAAGAGUUGCCUUGUACAACUCUUUAAAGUUUGUAAUUAUGUUUAGAACAUAAUGGUUGGAUGACAAAAAUAGUCCAUUAACAUGGAUUUAUAAUGAUUUUGAAUCAUUAAGUGUUGAAGUGAUAAAACCACUUAAUGAGACGGAAACUAGGCAAGGACUUCACCUUUGUUUCCCUAUCCUAAUGGUUCACUAAGUUUAUUGUAAACUAUAUAGUGAACAAUAACCACAUGCUCUCCAAAAUGUUUGAUGUGUAUAACACAAUUGAAAAAGGUUUCAAGAGAGAUAGUGGGAGUUUAGGGACCAUGACUAAUGUAGUCAAAGGUGAAAGUCAAAUAAAGAAGAUAAAUAACUCCAAGGGAACAAACUUUCUUUAUGAAAGGAUGGACAUCGGAAGGGGUAUUUGCAAGAAAUGUCUUGCAAGUGUCAAGAACACACCUUUCGAAGGUGUUGUAAAUUGUUCUUGAAUAGUUCAAAACAGUUGGUUCUUCUACUUGAAUGUAUGAUUCCGUAUUAGUAACUAUGUUUUACAAAUCGUUGUAAAAGUGUGACUAAUAAGAAGUAGAAGAUAUAUGAGAGAAGAAAAGGUGCUUCACAUACGGAACGUGAAUAAGAUAUAGAUCUCUGCGAAAGCAGAUAGUACUUACUUCCUCAUAUGAACUACCAAAGAAAUUGGAUAUAUAGUAAUCUAAUUGAUUGUCUCUAUAGUAGAGAUGAUAUGGUAGUGUUAACUGUUUAGAAUAUAAUGAUGCUUAAAACCCAAAAGGUUGCAAGGUAGUGACUAAUCCCAACUAAAUUGUGAUACCUCUAAAACAUAAGUUACGAGUUGGUGAAAACAAGGAUGCUUUGGAUCGUUAGAUCCGGAUCCAAUACCUUCUUGUUAAAAUUGUAUAGAGGCGAAAUGUUCGAAUCUUUAUUCUUUUGGAAAGAAGAAAGAAUCACAAAGUUGUUGAGGUUAAUUCACUUAGAUGUUAGUGGCACUUGUCCACAACAUAAUACUACUCAUGUUAUAUGACAUUCACCGAAGAUCACUCUCGGUUGGACUAUAGUUUAUUUUGAAUAAACACAAGUCCGAAUACUUUGCAAAAGGUUUCAAAGAAUUCAAGAAAUGUAAAUAGAUGAGUAAGAUAUCUAAAGUAUUUACCUCCUUAGAUUUGAUCCAAGGAAAGGUAACACUUUAGAUGAGUUUCCUUGAAAGAUAUCAAGGAAAAUAGCAUCAUAAGAUAAUGUAUUUCUCCAUUAGGAGAAGAACGAACUCAAAUAAGAUUUAGUUCGUUAGAUGUUAUCUAUUACCCAUAUAUAGGAUAUAUACUUCUAAAACAAUAUGAUUGUCAAUUAGAAGAUCUUCCAAAAUUUUCAUAACUCCAUAAGAUGUAGUUGGAAAGAAAGACAAAUCUUAAGCAUGUUAAAGAUUUGGGGUUGUGUGGUAACAAGCAAUAUUUGUUUGAUAACAAUCUUGUAGGAUAUCCUUAAAUUAACUUUUGGAUAUCGCUUCUAUAAACCAACUAACAAAUGUUGUUUUGUUGGGUAGUUCAUUGUAAUUCUACAAUGUGAUUUGCCUAAAAGCAAAUGAACGAGAGAUAGAACUCGAAGAAUGGGUUCUUUGAGAGACAAGAAAGUAAUCAACAUAUAAAAACCUAGUUCCUAUACCUCAAGCUCCAAGGUAGUCGAUAAGGAUUUAUAAACCGUCUCAGUUGAAUGGUUUUGAACUUUAUGACUAUGUCAUAGAGUUGCACCUCUUAAUUCGAAAGAAGUAAGAAUGAAAAUCCUUAUGACUACACUGAGUGCAUAUACGAUAUAUACUCAAGGAAAUGGUAAAGUACCAUUUGACUCGAAAUAAUGAAACCUUCAUAGCUAAUUGGUAGCUUAAGGUGACUACAAUCAAAGAAAAUGGUUGACUUUGAAGAAACCAUCUUUGAGAUAGUCUUAGUUUCAAUUAAUUCGAAGAUUGCUAGCUACAACUAAAUGGUGAUUCAAUAGUCUUGAUAAUAUAUGUCUAAAACUAUGAAUCACAAGACAUGUAAGUUGUAGAGAUCCAUCCAUCAUGGAUCUUAGCAAGUUAGUGGGAGCUAUUUGCAUUUUAUGAGAAAAAGGAUCAAAUCGUUUGAUUUCUCAUAAAGAAGUAAAUGAAUCUUUUGUUUACUAGUUUUACAAAAGAUUAGUGGGAGUUAAUCAUGUUCCUAAAAAUUUAAAUAUAUAUGAUAUAUUUAUUUUGGAAAUGAAAAUAAUACUUCUUCGUUAAAGUUAUGACUUUAAUACAUUAUAUGAAGAUAGAAUGUAUAUGGGAGAUAUAGUCUAUGUACAUGGGAUGGAAAUCUAUAAUGAUAUAUUUCAUGAUAUAAUUGGAUUAUAUCAAUCCCUAAUAAUAGACAAUGGAUGCUAGGAAGUUUCUCAUAUGAUGAUAAACUUCAAUAAGAAGGACGAUUCUAGUGAGACUAGCAAGUUGCCCUUCUCAAAGGGAACGUACCCUUUGACUCCCAAAGAAAUAAUGCGUAAAUUGAAUCCUUUAUGCAGACGCAGAAAGGUGAUUUAUGUAUGAAAAACAUUGAUAUGAGUUGUACCUAGAACGGUACAAGAUGAUAUCAGUGCAAGCCCAGGAUCAGAACCAUGGCAACUGUCAAGUGAGUCCUUAAGUAUUUGAGAAAUACUAAAGGAUAAAUUCCUCAAAGAUCGAGGAAGAAUCAAAGUGACGUAAUGGAAGCGUAAAUGUAUUAGAUUAUGAAUCUAAUCCAUCAUUGGAUGUUUCUUCAUUAUGAAUGAAGAGAUAAACAGAUAUCUCUUUAUUAUGACUAAAGAGAUAUUUGGAUGGAAACAUUAAAGUAUGACUUUAGUGUGUUCCAUUAUGAAUGCAAGAUAUAUUGCCAUAUAGAAGUUUACAACAAUGUUGUUUGGAUGGGAAAGUUCAUUUAUGAACUCUCUAUUCGGUUCCAACCAGAAAGUGUAUGACACUAAUGGGGCGAUAGCUCAAGCCUGGGAAUCAAGGUCUCAUCAAGAUCCGAACUCAAAUGAGAGACUGAACCACAUGAUUGAGAAUCAUGUAUAAUGGUGACGUCGUUAUUCUCAAGGUUGCUUCUAUGGAUAACACAUAUAGAUGUCCACUGUCUAGGCCUACUAUUCAGCCAUUUAUGAAAUGACUACAGAAGAGGUAUCAUCAAGAUGACCAAGCUGAUUGGCUCUAGUGCAAGUGGGAGAUUGUUGGAAAUGUGCCCUAAAGCCAAUCAUGUGAUGAUACUUUACGGACAUUUCACAUGUUAAACUAAUCUAGUUUUACAUAUAAAGGGCAUAAAUUAUUGUUUAAGCCGUCUCAUAUAAAUGUUAUAUGCUUAAACGAUAAAGUCCAAGGAAUAUGUGAUUGGGAGAAUGUAAUCUAAUGAAGUUAGAUUCAUGAGACCAUUCUUUCGUAGACACAUCCUAAAUGUUCCUGAUCAUAGGAUUGCCAAUUGGGCGUUGACAGUCCGUUAAGAUCAGUACGUACUAUGUCUUCUCUCAGGGAGAGUGACUAGUCUCGAGUCAUUGGUGUGUGUGACAUCAAGACAAGUACGUAGGUGCUCAAUAGAGAAUGAGUACACUGAACGUGAUCAACGAAGAGUUCUCAUAUUCCAUGUCACAUAAGAACUCAUGGUUGGGAUAAUGCAAAGUAGUCCUUUGACCUGAGGCAUCACAGUUGUCUUGUGGUUAAGUCCUUGAUCUUUGAUUAUGUCAAAGUCACCCCCUCGGGGUGUCCACGGCAUCGUUGGGGUUAAGCCACUUAGCUAUGGAGACAAGUGAAUGUGCAACAAGGGAUCUCUAACCUUCAAACAGUUGAGGGAGAAUACUCUAUGAUAUGAUUUGGAAUCUCUGGCCAGAGUAUGAAUGAGAUUAGGGAAUGCGUUCCAAAUCACAUUCAAGGAAAUCAUAUAAGCACACGAAUCACAUUGGAUAGUAGACAUGAAUAAAUAAACUAUCAUACCAAACAAUGUGGUCAAGAGUAUUAGAUUAGAGAAAGACCGUAUUGCAUUUGUAAUCCCAAACUGAAUAGGUUCUCUAUCCUCUUCUGAUUAGCUUGGGUAACCAUGAUAUGCUGCUAGGUGUCACUCAUGGUUUGUGGAAGCCCUAAACGUGUGUAAUCACUAAAGGGGAGAAUUGAAAAUAGUUUCAAUUCACAAUCGAUGUAAAAUGGUUUUAAUCGCCCACUACCUCGCUAAAAGGAACCUAAUGGAUCGCACACCAUAAAAGGUGGAGAUUGAAGAUUAAACGGAAAUGAGUAAGAAUGAUUAAAUGGUUUAAUCAUUUAUUUAUGGCAAGGAUUCAUUAAUAUGUUAAUUAAUCAAACGAAUAAGUUUGUUAAAGACUUCGGGAUAGUUUUGGACCUUAAGGCCCAAUGGGCUUCGAACGUCAAGCCCAUUAACUUAAGUUGUAUGACAAUUUAAUGAAUGAAGAUUCAUUAAAGCCCAAAAGCCCAAAAUCCCCUAAAUGGCCAGCCAUAGUGUGAUGAAUUAGGGUUUUGGUUAUUUAGGUCACUUAAAGAAGUGACUAUAAAAAUGACUUUAUAACUAAAUAUUCAUUAAGUGAUUAAGGGUUUAUUUUGGGGAAAAUUGGUGAGAAUUGUCUCUCCAUUUUCUCUCUAAAGAGGCCAACACCUUGGAGGGUACAUCUAGCAAUCCUACUACUCCAAGGUCACUCAUUUCUUCUACAAUCAAACCUUGGUGAAGAGACUUAGAGGUUCCCUAUUUGGGAACUUGGAGAAACCUAUUUUUCCAUCCAAAUCCAUGGAUCUAAGAAGCAAGGAAUGAAGGCCCUAUCUCUUUGGGUGAUUAGCCUUUGCUUAUGCAAAGAGGAAUCUACAAAGGUAAUAAUUUCAACUCACUUUGUUUUGAGUUGAUUAUUGGUUCACCAAUCUACUAGGCUUUGAAUUUCAUGGUAAUGUUUUGUUUUUGAGUGCAUGCAAGCAUGAUUCCGCCUUUAAUUGUUAAUUGCAUGCUAUAUGAUGUUGCUCAAAUGAACAUGUUUUUCAAAAUAAAUCCUUCAGUACAAGAGCCGUCAAAGUACAUCGUCCAGUGGUUGUCGCGCGUCUGAACCAUGCCGAUGUCAACGUCGUUGCCCCCAAAACCGUAUGGGGAGGGAUGUUGAGCAAGGAAAUCAGCCAAUGCUUGGCCCUUGACGGCUUUCUGAGCUACAUAUUGCAAGCUAAACUCGGACAGUGCCAUGGUCCAUUCCCAAUGCGGCCUUUUACGAUUGGUCGGGUGAGCAUGUAACGGAUGACUUCGGUCUGGGUAAUAACUUGGGUAACCGAUGGGAGCAUAUAAUGCCGGAGCUUGGAAGUGGCGAAAAACACGGCCAGGCACAGCUUCUCGAUGGCUGGAUAAUUGAUCUCCGGUUGACUGAGAUUGCGGCUGAGAUAAAAAAUAGCCUGUUCUCGUCCGGCGUCGCUGUCUUGUGCAAGGAGGCAGCCGAUGGACUCUUCGGCCGCCGAGAUGUAGAGCUUAAGAGGCUUACCACGCCGAUGAGGAACCAGGACAGGUGGGUUCGUAAGGGAGACUUUGAUUUACGUAAACGCCGCCUGAUGCUCAUUGUUCCACACAAAUUUAUCGGAGUCCUUGAGUCUCAAAAGCGUGGAAAACGCUUUCAUUUUACCUGCGGAGUUGGCAAUAAAUCGACGGAGGAAAUUGAUCUGGGCGAGUAAGGACUGGAGUUGUUUCUUCGUCGUUGGGGGUGGGGCAUUGAUGAUUGCGCGGGCCUUAUUCUCAUCGACUUCAAUCCUAUGGUGAUGCACGAGGAAACCAAGAAAAUUUCCGACCGACACGCCGAAAGCACACUUGGCGGGAUUCAUCUUGAGGUUGUGUCAACGCAUGCGGAGGAAAGCUUGUCGAAAAUCGUCCAGAUGUGUCUGUCGGCGUUUAGAUUUGAUGACAACAUCGUCGAUGUAAACUUCGACGAUGGUUCCAAUUAAAUCAUGGAAAAUGGUAUUCAUCGCCCGUUGGUAUGUGGCGCCGGCAUUCUUGAGGCCGAACGGCAUAACAACCCAUUCGUAAGUCCCGAGUGCCCCCGGGCAACGGAAAGCAGUUUUGUGCACAUCGGCUUCGGCAAUGAAUAUUUGGUAGUAUCCGGCGUGUCCAUCCAUAAAGGAUAAGAUUGCAUGACUCGCCACAGCAUCGAUCAAGAGGUCUGAAAUCGGCAUUGGAUACUCAUCUUUGGGAGUUGCCAGAUUCAGAUUUCUGAAAUCGAUACAGAUGCGUAGGGCACCAUUUUUCUUUAAAACAGGCACGAUAUUUGCCAACCAUUCAACAUAUCGAGCUAUCCGAAUGAACCCGGCUUUCAAAAGCCGAACCAAUUCGUCCUUGAUGCCGAGUUGUACUUCGGUCGAGAAUCGACGAGGUGGCUGACGAAAAGGUUUGCAUCCGGGCUUAAUAUGUAAUUCAUGCUCGACCAGAGUACGCUCUAAGCCGGGCAUUUCAUGAUAGCUCCAAGCAAAACAAUCUUUGAACUCCGUAAGCAAGGCACGAAGCUCGUCCUUCAUUUGUUGGGGAAGUAACGUACUAACAAACAAAGGCCGUGGAUCAUCGGCCGUCCCAACAUUAAUCUCUUCCAGGGGGUCCUUCACUUGGGGCCGAUGAUCUUCGAGUUCGGCCGGGGCGGCUUGAAUUUUAUCAAGAGACAAAACAGGACCAUUAUCUCCUUCGGCAAGGAACUCGACGAGGUUAACGCCCGAAUUUGGUUGUUUGGAUAUAGUAUACCAAUGGGCCAGCAGUCGUUCCAUAGUAGAUGAAACCGCGGCCCUACGUCUUUCCCGAUCGGUGUCAAACAUUAGCUUCGGGGAGGAAAUUAGCUAAUCCGAGUCUCGCCGAAUCCUGCUGGAUAGUCUCGGCGCCAACCUCGAUAGCUUUCUGAACGGAAAUCCGAGUCGACCGUCCCUCUUCAUUGAAGCCUUGCAAAGUAAUGUAGCCGACGUGAUCGUCAUAAUACCGUGCUUGGAUCAUGUUAGCUUCGAAGGGCUGGCUAUCGGCUGGAUGAACAGUGACCGAUUUGCCGUCCCAAAAGACAAGCACUUGGUACAAUGAGGAAGGAAUACAGCUGGUUUGAUGAAUCUAAUCUCGGCCGAGCAGUGCAUUAUACUCGGUUUUGGAAUCAACCACGAAAAAGGCGGUCAUGUGGGUGCGACCGGUAAUAUUCACAGUUAACGGAAGUACACCUUUGGUGUGGGAUUUGUCGCCGACAAAACUACUCAUUGUGAUUCCUGACGGAAUAAGCUCGUCAUUUGAACGGCGUAAGGCUUUCAUGAUGUUCAGAGGCAUGAUAUUGAUGGUAGCUCCACAGUCGACAAAAACUUUGGAAACUGGAUAUCCCUCGAUGUGGGCCGUCACAUACAAUGGCUUUAAAUGGUGAAGCUUGGCCGACGAUGAGUGAGGGAACAAUUCGGCCAAAACGGCCUUUAGACUAUCAUCUUUUGUUGUUGACUCGCCUUCAGCAAUCGAUACAAAAUCAACAUGGCCGGGUUCCUCGGCAACCACAUCUCCAUCAAGGAAAUUUGGUUGAGCCGUGCUUGAUUGAAAAUCGGCAGGUAACACAUGGACCAUACUGAUUUCCAUAUUAUCCAGGACUGACGGGCCCAUCUGGUCAAGACCCUCCUCAUUCGGUUGGUCGGCGACUACGGACUCAGUUGUCGUCAAAGUCGGACAACGAGACUCUUCUGUCCCUUCUUCAAUGACGUCACUCGGCGGAGCUGCUUCGGCGACUUGUUGGUUCUGCGUGACCGCCUCAGGUAAGGUUGAGACUGACAACGUACUUGGGGUCAGGACCUGAACCUGCUCCUGGUAGUGUAGCCGAGCAUCCCUAGUGCCGAGAUAAGCAUCUAGACGGGCAAUACGUGCGAUUUCAUCGGUCGUAAGGCCGAAGAGAGAAACCGCCGAAAAUACUUCAAAGUGAUAUCGUAAAUACUGAAGGUCCUCCAGCGAGAAAGGAAGGUCGACUGCAUUGAUAUCGAUGUACGGGUCGACUUCAAAUCCAAGGACACGAGCUUCUCGUAUGUGCUGGAACCUGGCUUUCAAUCCUGGAUCUGAGGUCUUCUGGAUGAUCCGCUCAGCAUCCGGACAAGUCAGGACCAGAUCAAUGGUGUCCUGGCAUGCCUUCGGCAAACCAUACAGAUCGUUGGCCGAAUGUUUCUUAUGAAAUUCUCGCAUAUACUCCAAAGACUCCCCAAGGAACGGGGGAUGCAAAUUCCGUCGAAUUUUGACUAAAGGUUCUUGUAUAGCUGGCGGGGAUAAUUUGCUUUCGGCCUCUUGCCUGAAAUGUUCAAGGCGUGCCUUCAUUUCCCCUGGUCGAAUGAGGAGUUUGAUCCGUUUAUCAGCUUCUUCAAACAUGGUCUCGACAUCUUGAUCGACCAGUCGUUUCCCCUGAGCCAACUCUGUCAUAAUUGCUGGAGAUGGUCGGUCAUCAUCAGUGGCAACUGUGUCCUUCGGCCGCCACUUAGGGGCCGAAGUUUCUUGGGCUGCUCGUUGGUGAGCCAUGCAAUCUAUCCGUUGAUGUCGGCGUUUCUGAGAUUUGGACAACGCGGUGUAGACGCCCUUCGAAGAAUGGUAUGUAUACCAACGUUGAUCUCUAGGCUCGGGAGGCUUGAAGGUCUUUUGGCUCCGCGAUGAUUCUGAACUGCUAGAAUUACGCUUAUAGUAAUCAUCGUCAUAGAAUGAAGCAUCAAAAUCGAAGCGCCACCUGAUGUUGGCCUUCAUUGGCUACCUUUUGCCGAGUUGCGGCCACAGGUUGCGAAGAGGGCUUCUCCUCUGGUUCACUGUCGACCUUCGCUCUACAUUUCCUGCACAAAACCGUCGUCCCACUGUCUUCAUCGGUGCUAUAAUCCAUCAUAGGUUUGACAAUAGCGGGCCCUGUUAAAGCCGUAGGUGGUUUGUUUGAACGAAAAUCAGCCAUGAACCGUGGCCAAAAAUUCUGAUUCCGCGGGUUGCGUCUCAACCACUUCGGCCUUGCCUUUCCCUUUGUCCUUGGGUAGGUAUGCGUCGACCAUAUUUACUGUUGCCGUGGGGAACGGAUCAGUAUCAGCACUCAUCCUCUUCUCGAGAAACUUCAGUUUGCCAUUAUCAAUCCAGCUUUGGACGUUAUCGCGAAAUACAACGCAAUUGUUUGUCGUAUGUUUGCUCGAAUUGUGGUAUUUGCAAUACACCUUUCCUUUAAGCUCUUCGGCCUUAGGAAUGUUAUGACCAGGCCGAAGCUUAAUGAUUCUUGCUGAUAACAGUUGGUCAAAAAUUACGUCAGCCUUGGUAAUAUCAAAAGUAUAAACCUUUGACGGUUUCAAUGUUCCUUCAGUGGCCGAGCGACUUUUGGCUUCUCUAGAAUCAACCUGAGUCAAUGCCUUGCAAACGUAUGGCUUAUCUAUCACUAUCUCAGCCGCAUCCACACUAACGCAUUCAUCCUCGGUUGAUGCAUAAUUGACAGUAGGGUUCUUGUAAAUCAUUCCCCGAGUUGGAGUCUUCGAAGUCUUUUCCUCGCGGAGCAAAUAAUCAUACUGCUCAACAUGUUGGGCUAAUUCGUACAUAUCCCGAAAAUUUGCCCCCAAGAAUUUCUUUUUGUAUUCGACGUCAAGGCCAUUCAAAGCAAGCCUGACAAAUUCGACUUCGGGUAAAGGCACUCGGCACCAAUUCCUAGCUGAUUUGAUCCUGGUAAGAUAAUCCAUUGGUGACUCAUCAGACGCUUGAGCCAUCCGUGCUAAUGAAGAGACUGACAUCUCCAUCCCCGGCCGAUAAAACUGCUCGUGGAAUUUCUCGACCAACUCCUCCCAAUUUUGGACGGAAUUAGGAGGGAGAUUGAUGUACCAGGCAAAUGCCGAGCCGGUCAAUGAAAAGUUGAACAGCCGUAACUUAUGGACAUCACUAUUAACAUCUCCGCAUUGCGCGAUGAAACGAGCCACGUGCUCCAACGAAGACAGGGACGAUUCACCGGCAAAAAGACUAAAAUCUGGGAUCUUGAAACCCUUCGGGUAUCCAAACGUUUCCACGUAAGCUGGGUACGGAUGAAUAAACUUGGGAAACUUCGGCCCUUUCUUCAUGGCCGAGUCGAUCAUCCGCUGAACUUCGGUCAUAUCAACAGGUGUUGCUUCGAUCCUCUGGUCGGUUCUGUCUGAUCUACUAUUCGACCCUCCUCCUUUUUCCAAGUUAAUUGGUUUGAGCGGAGCAGGAAUAGGCUCGGCCGGUACAAUCGGUACCGGGUUGUUUCCUGGUGGACAAUGUUGGAGAAGAUCGAAAGGCCUGCUGCCACCAACUUUACUAACCAGCAUUUCGAGUAGCCUGGUUUGUCGAUCAUUGGAACUGAGUAUCGCGUCAUGCAGCUUGUCAAUGCCUCGACUGAACGUCUGCUCGACUAACCGAGACUGCUCGUCUAGUCACUUUCGGAUAAACGACCUCGUUGGUGGGUCAGAUCCUUCACCACCAUCCUCGUCACACUCCUCUACUAUCCCUUCAUUGAGAACGCAUGUGUUUCUGUUAGGGAUUUCUAAACCACGGAGUUGACCGCCGAGAUUAACUUCUCUCUCUCGGCGAGUCGCGCUCGUGGACUCAGGUGUCGUAGUGCUAAAGGGAUUCUGCGCCUGUGGCACACUCUGUCCUAUGCUCUGACUCGACAAAUCGGCUGUCGACUUUCCCAUAACUGUUUUAUUUUUUACCGAUCGUGUUUCAAUUGGCAUGAACUUCGUAGUUUAGCACUGGGUCCCACUGGGCGUGCCAAAAUGUUGACCCUAGAAACUACAAAGCCUACGUGGCGCGCAGGCCGAGUAAUCUAUAAGCUAACUACGUCCUUCGGUGAAUGCGGGGCGUGCCAACUCGUCGGCCGAGGAGUAAAUUUGUUGAUGUUGCGUUGGGUCGCGCUACUGACUUCUGCGUCUUGCGAUUGCGGCCGAGAAAGGAACACGUCUCGGCCUCUUGGGCUCUCGAACCUGAAGACAAGGUUACUAUUCUUACGAAGUUCAAUAUCAAAUUCGGCUUUCAAUGUGCCGAAUGUAAUAACUGUAACACCUCACUUUGCCGAGAAGGUUGAUGAGAUGACCUCGACCAAUAAGGAUUUAGAAACCCUUCUCGACCGAGACUUGGAUAGGUAAUCAAUCGUUCUCGCCGCAGUGCUGUUGAUGCCAACGGAAGGUACUGCGAGACCGACUGACUCUACGGUGACAGAGCUAUCUAUGUCGACUUAAGAUAUCACCGGUUGCUUCCACAAUGCUGUUGAUGCCAACGGAAGAUGUGUCAGCGAAAAAGGAAAAAGAAAAAUCACAAGUUGUGAGAAUUUGCGCAGGGCAAUUUUGUAUUCAUUUGCAGGGCUUUGAAUGAUGUGCAACCUCUUCUAUUUAUAGCAAUGGCCCCCCCUAAGGUCGAGUUAAAAACCUACUCGGACUAGGUUUUCUUCCCCUGAUCAGCAUCAACUCGACCAGUCCUACCUUCACUAGGACUGUGAACUUAGUCCUUUAACUGAGCCGGAUUCGUUUCCGGGUUCUGCCGAUACUCCUUAUUGCACUAGGAUUCGACCUCUUGCGUUAUGACCUAGCCGACCUAGGUUUGGAGGCCCACGUACUGAACGAUCCAUGGUAUUCUUGUCGCAAGGCCUUCCGGGCCGAGAAUGACCCUACACUCGGCCCAAAACUGUUAUUUUGGGCCCAAACAACUUGCUAUGAGAAGACAGCUAGAGAAAACUCAUUUACGAUAAAUAAUAUGUAGUUUUGAUUAAAUUUUGUUGUAUGUUAAUGUAUUCACAUUUAUACUUUGUUUUUUAUUAUCAGGGAACUGAAAAGGUUCAAGCCAUAUUCUUUAACAGGUCCAACAUUCGAGAGCAAAACUUGAUUCGUGCAGACGUUAAAAAGAUGUAUAAUAUGAGAUUGCUCAAUGUUGAUAAUUCUAGCUUGUGCUUGGAAAACCUCUCUCUCUUCUCGAUUCUCUUCGUUAUCUUUCCUGGGAAGGAUAUCCUUUGAAAUCUUUGCCCCAAGAAUUUUCUCUUGAAAAUCUUGUUGAGCUUAAUAUGCCCAACAGCGAAGUCGAGCAACUUUGGAAUGAAGGCCAGGUAUAUGUGCUUAUUAUAGUUUUUGUUUAAGAUGUAAUGUAGAAACUUAUUCAGACUAAGUUGUUAAUUCUUAUUGUUUCUCUUUAAUUUGUUACAAAAUCCUAUCAACUUAAAAGUGAUCAAACUUUGUUACUCCAAACGUCUAACUGCACUUCCAAACCUCUUGGGGAGUCCAAUUAUCGAGCACAUAGAUCUUUUCGCAUGUGAAAAUUUGGUUAAAAUUCCUUUGAAUUUUCAAGAUCUUGACAAGCUUACUUUUCUUAAUCUUCCAAGGAUGCCAGGCAAUAUUGAAAUCUUAAAGUUAACAGGCAGUGGCAUAAAGAAGUUGCCGUCAUCAGUUUGGUCUCAUGAAAAAAUUUCUUCCUUGGAGAUCAGAUAUUGUAGAAGACUUAAGAAACUUCCAAGAAGCAGUUGUAAGCUGAAAGUCUCUGGUGCUUUUAGUCUAGAGGGUUGCUACUCUCUUGGCGAGUUUUGGGAGAUUCCCAGGGGUAUUGGUGAAUUAGAUUUUUCUAGAACAUCAAUAGAAGUAUUGCCCAUAUCAUCAAUGGAGUGUCUCUUUUGUCUCACCACGCUUAAACUGAAUGAUUGCAAAAAUCUUGCGAGUCUCCCACCAGACAUUUGUGAGUUGAAAUCUCUUGAGGUACUUGAUCUCACUGGUUGCUCUAAACUUCAAGAUGUCCCAAGUAACAUCUACAAAUUAACAAAUCUUAAAACUCUAGCUUUUAUGACUGUUGGAAGCUUCAAAAUUUUCCCCACCCAGCUGGCUCAGUUGGUUUGCUCUCUCUUGAAGUGCUAAACCUUGGUCAAAACGGUAUAUUAGAAAUCCCUGAGAACCUCAUUUGCUCAACCUCAUUACGGCAUAUUAAUUUGAGAGGAACCAAAAUUCCCUCAGGCAUCAAACAAGCUUCUCAGCUGUCUUGCUUGUGCUUAAUCGAGUGCAUGAGCCUUGAAUCUUUACCAGAGCUCCCAUUGCUAAGUCAUCUUGAAGCAGAUGGGUGCAAGUCACUGAAGACAGUGUCAAGUUCAACAACAACAACAACAAUAACAAAGCCUUUUCCCACUAAGUGGGGUCGGCUAUAUGAAUCCUAGAACGCCAUUGCGCUCGGUUUUGUGUCAUGUCCUCCGUUAGAUCCAAGUACUCUAAGUCUUUUCUUAGAGUCUCUUCCAAAGUUUUCCUAGGUCUUCCUCUACCCAUUCGGCCCUGAACCUCUAUCCCGUAGUCACAUCUUCGAACCGGAGCGUCAGUAGGCCUUCUUUGCACAUGUCCAAAUCACCGAAACCGAUUUUAUCUCAUCUUUCCUUCAAUUUUGGCUACUCCUACUUUACCUCGGCUAUCCUCAUUCCCAAUCUUAUCCUUUCUCGUGUGCCCACACAUCCCACAAAGCAUCCUCAUCUCCACUACACCCAUUUUGUGUACGUGUUGAUGCUUCACCGCCCAACAUUCUGUGCCAUACAACAUCGCUGGCCUUAUUGCCGUCCUAUAAAAUUUUCCCUUGAGCUUCAGUGGCCUACGACGGUCACACAACACGCCGGAUGCAUUCUUACAUUUCAUCCAUCCAGCUUGUAUUCUAUGGUUGAGAUCUCCAUCUAAUUCUUCGUUCUCUUGUAAGAUAGAUCCUAGGUAGCGAAAACGGUCGCUUUUUGUGAUCUUCGCUAGAUUGCUCAAGUCAUUAGUGUGGAUAAGUAUAUAGAUGGAUAGAGAUAGGAAAGCAAACACAAGAUGUACGUGGUUCACCCAGAUUGGCUACGUCCACGGAAUAGAGGAGUUCUCAUUAAUUGUGAAGGGUUUACACAAGUACAUAGGUUCAAGCUCUCCUUUAGUGAGUACAAGUCAAUGAUUUAGUACAAAUGACAUUAGGAAAUAUUGUGGGAGAAUGAUCUCAUAAUCACGAAACUUCUAAGUAUCGGAGUGUGGUAUCGUCUUGACUUGCCUUAUCUGUCUCAUAGGUAGAUGUGGCAUCUUCUCUGGAAGUACUCUUCCUCCAUCCAGGGGUGGUAUCUUUAACUGGUGGAGAUGUACAAGGUAAUGUAUCAAUUUCACUUGAAGCUUACUUGUAGUUUCAGGCUUGGUCAAGCGCGAUACAAACCAUGUAGUAGGAGUCCCCAAGUCGCCGAGCUAGGGGAUCUGCUGAAAGAGGUGACAGACAAGGUAAGCAAUCAGAGCUUCGGCUGAUUGUUCACAUUCUCCCUAUCUUGCAGGCAGCAUGAAGGAUAAAGAGAAGAAAAAUGAGAAGAGAUGAUAUGGGAUACUUUUGCUUUUGAAGAAGUAACUUUCCACGGGCUUAUUCUUGAACUGAGCUGGAGGGUUUUCUGGUUUCCUCCAGAGUAUAAGGCCGACUGAAGAAUUUGAGGGUCAAAACAAGUCCUUCAAAUCUAGAGUACGUUCGACCCUGCUGAUAUGGGAUACUUUUUCUUUUGACAGAGUAGUGGAUGUAUCGGCACGUGUACUGUUACGCUUGUCUCCACAUGCUUCCUUGUAUCCUUCUCACUUGCCCUACCUGUUCCUCAGGCAGAUGCGGUAUCUUCCCUUGAAGCAUAAGAUGUUGAAGAUGAGUACUCGAGAGCAAUGCCAGGUAAGUAAUCAGGUAAGGGGUUCCAGGCAGUCAGUUUCUGGCUGGAAGCUUGAUUCCAAGUGCUGACUGAUUGCUCUCUUUCUCCUUGUCUUGCAGGUAAGAACAAGGCCAAAGUAAAAGACAGGGAAAAAGCAUGAUAUGGGAUACUCUUGCUUUUAACCCUGAUGAUAUGAGAUAUUCUUGCUCUAGUAUAGGUUGUUUGCAGAGGUAUUAUCGGGGGGAAAGAAAGCUGAAUAUUUCGAAAGGCUUCUUUGGGAGUGCCCUCUCAGAUAUGAGAAAGGGUUGAGCAUUUUUGCAGGUCUGCCUGUCCGUUGGGGAUGGAGGUCGACAUAUAUAGGAGUCUCCCUAACAACAAGUAAUAAUGCUAUUCCUUUACCCUGCUUGGUCAUAGCACGGUAGUGGGAGCUGUCAGCUUCACAUGUUUUAACUCUGUCAGAGCACUUUGAAAAAGUGGUCUGUGGUAUCUGGAAAGCUGAUGUUGCGUGUGAAGAUUACAGACAAGCUUUAUCCAAGGAGAUCCGGCUCUUGAAGUUGGGAAAGUGGUGCCUCUUCGGUUUUCGAACAAGCAAUCCUAUCGGGGAUCUGGCUCUCGAGAUUCGGAGAACGAUGCCUCUUCGAUUUUUGAGAAAGCAAUCAUGCUGGGGGUCUGGCUCUCGAGAUUCGGAGAGCGGUGUCUCUUCGAUUUUUGAGAAAGUAAUCAUGUUAGGAGUCUGGCUCUCGAGAUUCGGAGGGCGGUGCCUCUUCGAUUUUGGAGCAAGCAAUCUUGUUGGGAGUGUUUUCUCGAAUGUGAGUAAAGGUUGGGCAUGUUUGCUAGUCUACCUUGCCACGAAGCACAGAUGUUGACACACAGGGACUUUCCAAUUAUCCAGUAAUGGUACUGUUCCUUUACCCUCUCUUUAAUUUUUGAGAAAGUAGUCAUGUUGGGAGUCUGGCUCUCGAAAUUCGAAGGACGGUGCCUCUUCGAUUUUGGAGCAAGCAAUCUUGUUGGGAGUGUUUUCUCGAAUGUGAGUAAAGGUUGGGCAUGUUGCUAGUCUACUUUGCCACGAAGCACAGAGGUUGACACACAUGGACUUUCCAAUUAUCCAACAGUGGUACUGUUCCUUUACCCUUAUGGGUAAUAAUAUGGUAGCUAGACCUUCAAAAUUUAUGUGUCUAAACUUUGUUAGUACUGUUUCUUUGCUAUUCUUUUACCCUUCUUAGUCAGAGCGAUGCAGUGGGAGCUGCAAGCUUCACUUGUCUCAACUUUGGCAGAGAACUUUGGCAAAGUUAUCUGUGGUACCCAUGAGCUACUGUUGCGUGUGAGAAGUGGGUGAUUGAACAGUAAGAUUCAUGUGCUUUCUACUUCACCAGAAGUCUUCGACAGAAUGCUCAUAAUUUCCGCAAAGCUGAGUGUGCGUGUGACAAGUGCUGACAAGGCUAGAAAAGUAGGUGCCUCUUCGAUUUCUGAGAUCAGCCCUCGUGGUCUCUGAGCAGCCCAACUUUUGAGAAAGUAAGCGCCUCUUCGAUUUCUAAGAUUGGCCUUCGUGGUCUUUGAGCAACCCAGCUUUUGAGAAAGCAAACGCCUCUUCGAUUUCUGAGAUCGACCCUCGUGGUCUCUGAGCAGCCCAGCUUUUGAGAAAGUAAACGCCUCUUCGAUUUCUGAGCAGGCGCCUCUUCGAUUUCUGAAACUCCGUCGAGUGCAGAUUUUUAUAGGGGCUGGCAUUAAGUUCCAAAGCACACUUGAAUCUCCACCAGUAGAAGCUCCAUUCUUGCACUUCUAAGAUCUUGAUUUGUCCGACCUCUUAUCUCUUCAACACCUUUGAAAAUGUCUGGCCCCUCCGACCGUCGUUUUGACUUGAACCUUGUUGGAGAGGCAGCCUCGCCUUCUCCAGACAACAUAUGGCGCCCAUCCUUCGUCUCCCCUUCUGGUCCUCUUACCGCUGAGGAUUCCGUGAUGAAGAAUGAUAUGACCGCUGCGGUGGUGGCCAGGAACCUUCUCACUCCCAAAUAUAACAGACUACUUUCCAAACGGUCUGAUGAGUUAGCUUUUAAGGAUUCUCUGGCUCUCAGUGUUCAGUGUGCAGGUUCUGUGUCUAAUAUGGCCCAACGCCUAUUUGCUCGAACCCGCCAAGUUGAAUCUUUGGCGGAUGAAGUAAUGAGUCUCAAACAGGAGAUUAGAGGGCUCAAGCAUGAGAAUAAACAGUUGCACCGGCUCGCACAUGACUAUGCUACAAACAUGAAGAGGAAGCUUGACCAAAUGAAAGAAUAUGAUGGUCAGGUUUUACUUGAUCAUCAGAGAUUUGUGGGUUUGUUCCAAAGGCAUUUAUUGCCUUCGUCUUCUGGGGCUGUACCGCGUAAUGAAGCUCCAAAUGAUCAACCUCUGAUGCCUUAUCCUUCUAGGGUUCUGUCUAGUACUGAGGCUCCGAAUGAUCCCCCUCCGGUGCCUUCUAUUUCUGGGGCUCUACCGACUGCUAAGACUUCUCCUAAGCAACCUUUGUGAAGGCUCCCUCUUGUUUGUUUAUUUUGACUCAUGUAUAUGUACAUAUUUGUAACUUAUCGGGGAUAUCAAUAAAUAAGCUUUCCUUCAUUUCAACGUAUUGUGUUAAAUACACCAAAGCCUUCUUCGCUAAGUUCUUUGAAUUUUCUUUUGUUGAAGCUUGUAUGUUGGAGCUUUGUGAGUGGAGCAUGUAGGUUGACGUAGUGUUCCCUUAAUUUCCCGAGUGAGGAAAACUUCUCGGUUGGAGACUUGGAAAAUCCAAGUCACUGAGUGGGAUCGACUAUAUGAAUCUUAGAACGCCAUUGUUCUCGGUCCUGUGUCAUGUCCUUCGUUAGAUCCAAGUACUCUAAGACUUUUCCUAGAUCUUCCUCUACCCCUUCGGCCCUGAACCUCUGUCCCAUAGUCGUAUCUUCUAAUCGGAGCGUCAGUAGGCCUUCUUUGCACAUGUCCAAACCACCGUAACCGAUUUUCUCUCAUCUUUCCUUCAAUUUCGGCUACUCCUACUUUACCCCGAAUAUCCUCAUUCCUAAUCUUAUCCUUUCUCGUGUGCCCACACAUCCAACGAAGCAUCCUCAUCUCCGCUACACCCAUUUUGUGUAUGUGAGGAUGCUUCACCGCCCAACAUUCGGUGCCAUACAGCAUCGCCGGCCUUUUUGCCGUCCUAUAAAAUUUUCCCUUGAGCUUCAGUGGCAUACCGCGGUCACACAACACGCCGGAUGCACCCUUCCAUUUCAUCCAUCCAGCUUGUAUUCUAUGGUUAAGAUCUCCAUCUAAUUCUCCGUUCUUUUGCAAGAUAGAUCCUAGGUAACGAAAACGGUCGCUCUUUGGUAUUUCUUGAUCUCCGAUCCUCACCCCUAACUCGUUUUGGCCUCUAUUGGCACUGAACUUGCACUCCAUAUAUUCUGUCUUUGAUCGGCUUAGGCGAAGACCUUUAGAUUCCAACACUUCUCUCCAAAGGUUAAGCUUUGCAUUUACCCCUUCCUGAGUUUCAUCUAUCAACACUAUAUCGUCUGCGAAAAGCAUACACCAAGGAAUAUCAUCUUGAAUAUGUCCUGUUAACUCAUCCAUUACCAACGCAAAAAGGUAAGGACUUAAGGAUGAGCCUUGAUGUAAUCCUACAGUUAUGGGAAAGCUUUCGGUUUGUCCUUCAUGAGUUCUUACGGCAGUCUUUGCUCCUUCAUACAUAUCCUUUAUAGCUUGGAUAUAUGCUACUCGUACUCCUUUCUUCUCUAAAAUCCUCCAAAGAAUGUCUCUUGGGACCCUAUCAUACGCUUUUUCCAAAUCUAUAAAGACCAUGUGUAAAUCCUUUUUCCCAUCUCUAUAUCUUUCCAUCAAUCUUCGUAAGAGAUAUAUUGCCUCCAUGAUUGAGCGCCCUGGCAUGAACCCGAAUUGGUUGUCCGAAACCCGUGUCUCUUGCCUCAAUCUAUGCUCAAUGACUCUCUCCCAGAGCUUUAUUGUAUGACUCAUUAGCUUAAUACCCCUAUAGUUCAUGCAAUUUUGUACGUCGCCCUUAUUCUUGUAGAUAGGCACCAAAGUGCUCGUUCGCCACUCAUUUGGCAUCUUCUUCGUUUUCAAAAUCCUAUUGAAAAGGUCAGUGAGCCAUGUUAUACCUGUCUCUCCCAAAACUUUCCACACUUCGAUUGGUAUAUCGUCUGGGCCUACUGCUUUUCUAUUCUUCAUCUUUUUCAAAGCUACAACCACUUCUUCCUUCCGGAUUCGACGAUAAAAAGAGUAGUUUCUACACUCUUCUGAGUUACUCAACUCCCCUAAAGAAGCACUCCUUUCAUGUCCUUCAUUGAAAAGAUUAUGAAAAUAACCUCUCCAUCUGUCUUUAACCGCGUUCUCUGUAGCAAGAACAUUUCCAUCCUCAUCCUUGAUGCACCUCACUUGGUUUAGGUCCCUUGUCUUCUUUUCCCUUGCUCUAGCUAGUUUAUAGAUAUCCAACUCUCCUUCUUUGGUAUCUAGUCGUUUAUACAUAUCGUCGUAAGCCGCUAACUUAGCUUCUCUCACAGCUUUCUUCGCCUCUUGCUUCGCUUUUCUAUACCUUUCACCAUUUUCAUCGGUCCUAUCCUUGUAUAAGGCUUUACAACAUUCCUUCUUAGCCUUCACUUUUGUUUGUACCUCCUCAUUCCACCACCAAGAUUCCUUUUGGUGUGGGGAAUAGAUAUGAAUUGCUUCGAGAGCAGCUUUACUUUUCUAAUUGCCAUCGGUUGGGUCAUAAUGCAAGGAACAGCAUAAUGUUUGAUGCACUGCUUAGAAUCAUGCGAGUGGCAACUGCGGCUUCAAAGUUAAAAGAAGAAGAGCAAGAUUACGUAUGUCUCUCUCUCUCUCUCUCUCUCUUAAGUAACAUGAUGUCAAUCAAUGUUGCAGGGAAAGUUUAAAGAAGAGGAAGAUUACGUAUCUCUCUCUCUCUCUCUCUCUCUGUUAAGUAACAUGAUGUCAAUCAAUGUUGCAGGAAAAGUUUUCUGAGCCCUUAGUUACCGUUGUAUGGCCGGGAUAUGCAAUUCCAUUUUGGUUCGAACGUAGUAGUGGGCUAUUUUCGUACGAGUGUCAUUCUAGUGAGAAUGAAUGUCAUCCUAGUGAGGAGAAAGAGAUCCGUCAUCGUAGUGGGGGAAAAGAGAUCCUCUUCCGGCUACGGGGCUUUAAUAAAUGUUCAGCUUCCUGCAAAUUGGUUUCGUGAAGGUUUCUUGGGUUUCGCUCUAUCUGUUGUUGCAUCCACUAUCAAUGUUAAACAGUGAGUGCGGUUUGGAUGCAAGUACAAUUUCAAAACUAAAGAGGGGGAAAGUCAUGAAAUCAAUUGUUAUUUCAAUUGUCCAUGGGAAGACGGAGAAUAUAGUUGCAGAUUAGAAAAAAAGCAUGUGUUCGUAUUGUAUAAAGACCUUGAAUAUGAAGAGGGAGCAAAAUGGUCCUCUGAUUUUUACUGCCGUGUCACUGAGGUGUCUCUUCUCUUCUACCGAGAUGCACACUAUACAAUGGAAAAGUGGGGCAUAUGCCCGUUGUAUGCCGAAGAUGCUAAGGAAUUAAAAUUUGAUAUCAUGUCGCGAUAAGAACAAGAAGAGCCCGCAGCAAGUGGGAGUGGUAACUUUGUAACUUGAAUCAAUUUCUACUUGGGACUAUUUCUUUUCAAAUUUUUAUUUUUGUGUUUUUUAUAGGAAGGGAUAUCCAUUAUAUAAACUUCAGUUUCUACUUAUGACUAUCGGAUUUCAACAAAUCUUAUAGACAAGCGAUGACUCUGAUCAUUCAUAAUCAUAUUUUGCAGGGCGGAUGUAUUGAGCACACUUAAGGGGAUCAUAUUGAGGAUGUAAAAAAGAUGGUAGACUUCGGCCAAAUGCAUGGUGAUUUAUGCGCAGCAGAUGGAAUUAGAGUUCUCUGUGAUAGGUCUCUCAUAUGGAAUCAUUCGAAAUGGGAAACCAUAGAGAUGGAUGAUAUGGCACAAGAAAUGGGUGAUAUGACACAAGAAAUGGGUUGGGUAAUUGUUCACAAACAAUAUAUUGAAGAGCCUAGAAGACGUGGUAGGUUGUUCAUUACUAAAGAUAUCUAUCAUGUAUUGAAAAAUAACACUACAAGUGCAUUCACGUUUUCUUUUGAUGUAUGUGUGGACUGUAUAGAUUAAAUCUUUUGUUUAUUAAAAUCUUCUAACAUUUUUAAUGUAAAUAAUAUUAAUCGUCUAUGAUAAUUUUUUUUUACAAUUUCUAAUUCCACAGUAACGCUCGGGUACCAAUUUCUAGUAAACACUAUUUGUCGUCAAUUCAAGAUAAUAUAAAAAGAAACUACACCUGUGCAGUGUGCAGUGGUCACAAGUACCAAUUUUGGGCAAUCAGCCAAAUAGUGCUUAUCCUCUCGAAGAUCUGCAUAUCUAUCCAUUAUAAACCAAUCUUUAGUCUUGCAGAAAAUAUGCUGACAACACAAUCUGCUCAUGCAGUUAAUUUUAAGAAAAACUAAUGAAAAGAGCUUGAAAACUUUGAGUUUUAAUGAUAAGGACAAAAUAAAGGGUAAAAUAAAUAGUACCAGAUUUGACUUUUUAGUGUAAAAAAUGUGGUUUUUCAUUAAAAUGAACAGUAUCACGGGCUUUUCGUUAAAACUCCCUUAAUUUUAAUGUUUUCCGUCAUCACCAUUGUUACAAAUCAAAUCCUAUGUGCAGGUUUAUGCUAUAAUACAUAACUGAAUAAGAUAGUUGUAUUAAUACGUGUUUGUUAUUUCCCUUUCAACAUGUUUGGAUCUCACUCCUCAAAGAAGAGAUCAGACUUUUAUGGACACAAAAUGUAUCACAAAGUAUCACUUUAACCACUCACAAAACAACUAAUAACAUCUCUCGAAUCAUUCAUUGUGCAUAUUGAUGUCAUUUUAAUAUAGAACCUUUUAGUAAUCUAAGUUCAUCAAAGUGUAUUUCCAACAAAAUACACAUACCAAAUUGACACUUAGUUUCGCAUGAUACAACAAAAUAGAGUAUAAAUACACCAAAUGAAAGGACUUUUUCAUUCCCAAUGGCCAUUUGUAUGGGUUUGGCUUGCUUUUAGUAACCCAACGACAAAUAAAAAACCCUUUUGUGCCUUGAAGCUUAGAAAUGCAGAAUACCCAUAGCCAAAAACUCAGUAAAAAAGGCAUGGAAUUGAUAACCCAUUAAAAAAAACAACAAAGAAAGCAAUUGGGUUACCAUAGUCAAGCACUCUCAUUCGCCUUGAAAUGGGGUACCACCAUAGACACAUAUCCAAACCAGGUGCUGCAUCACGAAAUUCCUUCUCAACUUGCUUUAUGCGUUCUCUUGUUGAGGCCAAAACCAAAUCCAAAGGAUACUUUCCACACCCAUAUAUAAUCGAACAUAAAUCGCAUACACACUCCAAUUACCAAAAAGAAAAUGUUGCAAAUGGGAAAUUAGAUAAUGAUAUUGAAAACCCCUAUCGAAGCACAUUAAUUAUCUAACUAAUGAAUGUGAUUCGAGAUACAAACCCAUGUUUGGCAUUGUGUAUGUGGAUUUUAUCCAAUAUGGGAACCCCAAACGCAUGACGGAUCAUAUCCCGCCCUUGCAUCGCUGGUUCCAACACAGCAUCUAUACACAAAAUCCCCAAAAAAAAUAAAUUAAAACAUAGUUCAUAUACAAAUCAACUAACGAAUAACAAAAGCAAAAAACAUAUUUUUCAAUCAUUUUCUCAUCAACCAAACAGAGCACAUAUUGGGAAAUGAUUAAUCACCUGUAUGGGGAACAACUUGCUGAUACCCUUCAUGGCCAAAGCGAACACGAUCUCCUAUAAUUUCCUCAUAAUUCAUUUUUCUUUUACAAUUACUGGAUAAAUGCAGAAUUUGGAUGGGUUGCUGUCAUUUCAUACACAAAUGCCAAAUUUGGAUGUUGUAACAUCAGUGGAAGAUCAGGCUACAAAUUCAAAACACAAAAACCCAGACUAAACACAUUUAUGAUCAAAACAAUGGAGUGCCUUCCAGCAGUUUUAUGCACCUUGAGAGGUUGCCUUAGCUUCCCAGCGAGUGUCAUAAACAAUGUGGUCUUCCCACAGCCCGGACGGCCAAGCAAUAAGGUCAUCCUGCAAUGAAAAGAACCCAAAUUUGUUUUUUUUUUCCAGAAAUUAACAGGAAAAACUAAAAAAUUUGGAAACAAAAUUAAUUCAAAUGAUUAGGGAGUCUGCAAAUUGCUACCAGUCGAUGAUUUUGCGGAAGAGAGCUCUGACUUGGCCGAAAAAGAAGACCCAUCAGGUACUACAUAUCGAGGAAGGAGGAGGAGGAGAGACGCCUUUGAUACGGCUGCGGCGGAGAAGUGGGGCGACGUUGGGAGGGGGGAAGUUGGUGGUGAAGGGGUAGGUGGAGUUGAAGAGGCAGUCAAGGAGGGGUUUGGAAGAUGAGGCGAGGAAGGAGAGGGGCGUAUGAAGGGACUGAUCAAUGGUAGACGAAGAGAGAAGUCGAGAUUUUUCCAUCCCGUUCCCUUUCUGCGAUCACCGACACGGGAAGGAUGAAUGAAUUCGUAAAUUACCGUGCAGGGGUGUAUUCAAUUUGGAUUUUGAGAGAUUUUAAUGAAUUUAGACGUAUUCAAUCAGGAUUUUUACUGAUUCUCUAAAAUUUAAGGUCUAUUGAAUUAGAAUUUUAAGAUAGUUUAUUAAAAUCUUUAGAAAUCCGGGUGUAUUCAAUAGGGAUUUUAAAGAAGUUUAUAACAUUCCAGGUAUAUUCAAUUAGAAAUUGAAUUUAAAGAAUUUGAGAAAGUUGAGGAAUUAGAGUGAAUUUGAGAGAUUUGUAGUGUAUUUUAAGCAUUCACAAAUCUCACCUCUUUCCAUGAGAUUUCAAGGGAAUUGAAUCAAAAUUUUAUAUGGAAUCUCUACAAAUCAAUUAAACUCCAUAAAAAUCUAUGGAUUUAUAAAUUCAUUAAAAUCUCUCAAAUUCUCAAUUGAAUACACCCCCUAAAAAAAGCUUGAGAAUGAGUGGAGCUGAAGGGCAGUUUGGUCAAAUCACCGUUGGUGAACCGUGCUCAUCUCCUGAAUUUAGCCCCAGUUUGGUAGUGAGGUGCUUAAAAAAAAGCUAGGGUGAAAAAAAGCUAGAAGGAUUUGAGGUGUUUGGUAAAUUUUCCAAAAGCAACUUUGUUUUAAAGCUGAGGGUGAAAAGAAGCCCAAAACCGGAAGCUGCUAUUUGCAGCUUCCCAAAAACAGCUACAGCUUCCCAUACCAAAAACACGGGUGAACAGUGUAGGUUUAAUGAAUUUUUCAAUAAUCCAAAAUUGCCCUCCUUCCUUACAGUCUCUCCUCUCCGCCUCUCUCUCCUUCUCGCCUUCCUCCUUUCUUUCCUUCAGUCUACUCUCCUCUCGUAUACCCGAACCAGGAAACCAGAUCUCUCUCGUUCUCUCGUUCCAAAACCAGCGUUCUCCCUUGUUCUCUCAUUCUCCAAGUUCGUUUGGUAAGUUUCUCUUGUAAAUUUUGUUUAUUUAUUUGUUUGGAUUUUUAACAUUGGGGAUGGGAGAGGGAAAAAGGGGUGGGAAGAGCAAAGGGAUGAGGGUAUGGGUGUCGGGAAAAACAAUUGGGGAUGGAGGGUGGGGAAAAAUUAAUUGGGGAAGGUGAUAUGGUUUGUGGAAAAAAAUAAUUGGGGAAAAAUUAGGGUUUGUGGAGGAAACAAGAAAAAUUGAGAAUGUCUGCUUCUGAUUUGGGUUUAGGUAAAGGAUAAUUUUUUAUAAAGCUUUGCUCUGGUUCUAAUCUGUGAAUUGUGCUUCUGAUUUGUCAUCCCUUUGUCAGUGUUCGUAUCGUAUCUCUCUGGAAGGAAGUGGGUUUCUGAGGACAUCGCUGAGGCUGUACUCGAACAGGUGGGUUAUUUUUGUCUUGGUACAAAAUUUGGUUUUCAUGUUUUUGAUAAAUUUGUUUUGUGAUUGCAUUUAUAUGGUAUUUGGUUUAUGUGUUUACGUAUUAGUUUGCACUUGAAAUGAGUUUUCUUUCAAGCAUUUUGUAAUUUUCGUGAUCAUAUUCGAUUAGUGGUACAUAUCCUCUCGUGAAACCUAGGGAUUAAAGUAGAAGACCAAAACUUGAAAGAAUGAAAUUAGGGUAGCUGAUUUAUGUUAAAUUUGAGCAUGGAGUGUUUGCAGCAACGUUGAUUGUUGCAGGCUGGCCCAGCUGUAUCCUACACAAAAGAGAAACUUUUGACUGAUAAUUCCUACCGCAAGUUUCAAAUGUUUACAACUUCAACCUCUAAAUCAUAGCUUUGUAAAGUACUUACCAGGUUACAUGAUUUCUAACGUGUCUUAUGGUUUUAAGCAAGAAAAUGCAAUGUCAAACAAAGAAAAUGCAUUCUGCAAACCCAAAAAACAUAUGAUGCCCCAAAAUGAAGUCCAAGAUGAACAAAAUAUCUUGAUCAUCAUAAGUUGGGUGCAACAAAAUGCUUCCCAAAGUUCAGCCUGCUUGGAAUUAUGUCUUUAAGAUUUAUUGCCAAAAUUCAACAUGUCAACAUUAUACAGUUGAAAGCCACUGAAAACACUAACGAAAAUAAGAAUAAAAAAACUGCACAAUUCCAACUACAAAAGGGAAGACAAAAAACAGUUGUUAAAAACCAGAGGCUCUGUCACUUACGUGUACUGAUGAAGAAAGUGACGCACAUAAUCAGACACAAUUUGAGAAUCAGCAGCCUGAGAACAGAAUAUUAGACAGAUUAAUGACAGAACAGAGCAACUACAAAGUCUAUUACCAGCCACCCAAAAAAAGGCCUUGUUACUUAGCUAUCGAACAAUGUUCCUGAGAGAUUGAAUGAUUCAAAAACAAAUUAAGCAGGAGUAAAGAGAGAUAAAGAAUGAAAUAGGUAGAAGUGGUUAGGUGUUUGUUGGUUAGGAUUAGAUAAAGAAUGAAAUAGGUAGAAGUGGUUAGGAGUAAAGAGAGAUAAAGAAUGAAAUAGGUAGAAGUGGUUAUAUGUUCAGGUGUGUUCAUCUUCUUUUCUUUUAGGUUUUUUGGUGUUUGUUGGUUUGGCUUUCAGCUCUUACUUGAAACAAGGUUUUUCAGAGAUUAGGAUUAGAUAGACUACUUGUUUCAUUUCUCAGUCUUCUUGUCUACUAAAAAAAUAAUAAUAGUCAAGUGAAUAUUUUUAUCUUAUUCAUCGUGUGAAUUUUCAUGUAUUUUUAUGGUUGAUCUAUGUGUUAAUGAAUUUUCAUGUAUUUUUAUAGUUGACAUUACAUUCUGAAAUUCCAAAGAAUAAUCGAACCACUUUUCAAACUUAUAUGUUAAUUAACAUAAUUUUUUUUCUUUCUAUAAUGUGGUCCUUUUUAUUAUAAGUUUUCUCUUCUGUUCAAACUAACUUCCACUUAAUGAUUUAGUGUGAUGAAAUGUUUAUUUAGUCUAGAAUGCUUUAAUGGUCGUAAAUUGUUGUGUCCGAGUAGUCUUAUAUAAUAAAUAGUUGUAUGGAAAAUCACAUGGACUAAAAUUACAUUUGGUAAACCUGAGGGGUAUCCAUAUAAGCAUGUGUUGGUAAACCUGUGGGGUAUCCAUAUAAACCUGUGAAAUUUAAUCUUGUGAUUAAUGGUCCAGUUUUUUUCCCAAACUGUGAUGUAAUCUUUUGUAGUUGUAUGUGCAUCGUUUAUUGGUUAUUUCUUGGUUAUAUUACAAAUCAGUAGUUGGUAUCAAUGGCAAAGAAUGGGGCAUCUUCGUCAAAUCCUAUUGCUACAUGGAAUGUCCACAAUAUAUCUAUAUUUUGUGAUAUUUGCAUUAAGGAGGUUGAGGCCGGACAUCGUCCGGGCACUCAUUUUGACAAAGAUGGAUAUGCAAAUAUUAGAGCUAACUUCAAGGCAGAGACAGGGCAUGAUUAUGAAAUAAAGCAAUUGAAAAAUAAGUGGGAUGCACUUAAAAAUGAGUGGAAGUUGUGGAAAGAGCUAGUUGGUAAAGAAACUAGCCUAGGGUGGAAUUCGAGCAAGGGUACCGUUGAUGCCUCUCAGGAGUGGUGGAAUAAUAAAAUUCAGGUUUGUGUAUUUAUUUUUUAAUAUGUAUUAUGAUAUCAUGCAAUAUGGCUUAACCAUAUUCUUUCUUACUUGUAGAUAAACAAAGAAUAUGGAAAAUUCCGAAAAAAGGCAUUAGUCCUGAGAUGGAGGACAAGUUAGAUGGGAUGUUCUCGAAUACAGUUGCUACCGGCGAACAUGCCUGGGCACCUUCCUCUGGAGUACUACCACCAGAUACAAGAGAUGAAUCUAUAGGACAAGUUGAUUCAGAUGAUGAGGAUGAAAUUGAGACCAUGCAGGAUAUAAGGCAAGCUAGUAGGAAGGGAAAAAAAGAGCGGCUAACCAAGGAGAAUUGCAAAACAAGAAAGGGAAAAAAAUUGGAGGUGCUGCAAAACUUUGUGGUCAAAUUGACCAUCUUGUUGAAGUUUAUGAAACUAGGAGUUCUACAAACUCAUUGAUGUCCAAACUGCAUAUAGGAAAUAGUAUUUCAGAAGUGUUAGCGACUAUUGCACAAUUGCCUGGUUGUGAGCCACCUAGCGAGUUAUGGUUGUUUGCUACAUGUUUAUUUUAUAACGCAGAGAAGCGAGAGGUGUUUGGCACGAUGAAAGAUCCUGAAGUCUAGCUAACUUGGUUGAAAUAUAUGUUCAACAAAGAACAAUAGGGAGCUAAAAGCCGAAAACUAUGAAUUAGGACUAUAUGUGUGGUUGUACUUUGCAUUAAGAUUAUGUAUUGAAUGUUACUACAUGUUUAUUGAAUGUUGGAUUAUAUGUUGAAUGUUGAAUUAUGAUUUCUUGUUAAACGUUGGUGUAGACAUCGAAAUUUCGUAAAUAAAUGUUGACCGAUAAAUCAAAGUGUCAACGCUCAUGUAUUACAUAAAUUUUACACGUAGCGUGUGACUCAACGAAAAUUGAAAUGAGUUGGAAAAGUCAUCAAAUAGGACACGUGUCAACACCUGGCAGAAACGACUUAUUUCAUCUGGGAUAUUAUAUUCAAAAUUAGGCAUUGGAAAAUUCUAUAAAUACAAGCCCAUUUCAUUCAUUUAAGGGAACCAAUUCAUAUUACACCUUGAAGCUCUGAAGCUCUGAAACUCCGAAGCUCUCAAGCAUCCAGGUUCCCGAAGAAUCAAGAAAGCCUUCUUCGUUCUUCGUUCAUCGUUCUUCCAAGAUCAAGCCCCGACGACCCUUUGGAUCAACAAGCAUCCACCAAUUCAAGAUCAAGCCCCGACGGCCCUUGAAGAAAGCACCAUCGUUCAUCAUCAGUUCAUCCAAGAUCAAGCCCCAACGGCCCUUUGGAUCAACAAACGUCGACAAAUCCACAUAUCCAACCGUUCUUCAAGAUCAAGCCCAAAAGCCCUUGGAGAUCCGUUCGUCACUGUUCUUCAAGAUCAAGCCCAAAAGCCCUUGGAGAUCCGUUCGUCACUGUUAUUCAAGAUCAAGCCCAAAAGCCCUUGGAGAUCCGUUCGUCACCGUUCUUCAAAGAUCAAGCCCAAAAGCCCCUUUGAAGAUCCGCUCAAAUCCACCUUCAAGAUCAAGUCCACGGCCCUUGAAGAACGUUCAUCCUUAGAUCAAGCCCAACGGCCCUUUGGAUCAAUCACACAUCCACAAAUACACACCUUACGGAGAUCGAAUCAGAGGAUCAAAAUAGAGAGAGAUUGUAACCCAAAAUCAUCAAAUACAAAUAUUUGUUUGUGCCGCGUUGUUCUUGUCUCUUUCGUUUCAGGAAUUUUCCGUGUUCACAAAUUGGCACGCCCAGUGGGACAAUCUCUGCCUUUCAUCUCUUUCUCCAUUCAAGAAAUUCAAGCGCACUUCCAAAAUUAAUGGCAUCAAGGAAGGCUCAAACUGUUCCCGCAACCGGCGCAAAGAACAAAAGCGUCCUCGUCGCAACUGGUGUCACUUUGGGCAUCACGACUCGAAGCAUGGCAAGAGCUACUUCUGCCGCCUCUUUCACCUCUGCAUCAACUCUGCCAAGGGAACAAAAGCACCCAAGGCAUGAGCCUUUGAUCACCUUAGCCUCACUAAGGGCACCAAGGGGGGGAAGCCCAAGGGAAUACUCCGAAUCCAUGCUCUCCGAUGACAAUUCAAGCGGCAGUUCAGCCAUGCAAGUCAUGACCGCUGGAGCAACUUCAGUCGAGGAACAGCUUGCUCAAAUGAAUGAAGCAAUCGCAAGACUAACUCGAACUGUGGAAGAAAAAGACUUGCAAAUCGCGGCAUUAGUCAACCGACUGGAGGCGCAGAACAGUGAGAAACCCGACCCAGAGGAUGAUCCGCUAAAGGGAGGAGCUGGCGGAGACGAAGAACCCCCGGUGAAGAAAAUCGAUGGGAAGCCGAAACCAGACCAAGCAGCGGCACUCAUGGGAUCCAUUUCUAUCCAGCAGCUGCAAGAGAUGAUCACCAACACCAUCAAGGCACAGUACGAAGGGAGCUCAUAUACAUCCGGGUUGUAUUCAAAACCGUAUUCAAAGAAGAUUGACGCCUUAAGGAUGCCGAGGGGUUAUCAACCACCAAAGUUCAUGCAAUUUGAUGGAAAGGGAAACCCAAAACAGCACGUCGCCCACUUCGUUGAAACUUGCAACAACGCAGGAACCGAAGGGGACUACCUCGCCAAGCAGUUUGUGCGCUCGCUAAAAGGAAACGCCUUUGAGUGGUACACGGAUCUGGAGCCUGAGUCCAUCAACAGUUGGGAGCAACUUGAGCGGGAAUUCCUCAAUCGCUUCUACAGCACUCGCCGCACUGUGAGCAUGCUAGAGCUAACAAGCACAAAGCAGUGGAAGGACGAGCCAGUCAUGGACUACAUCAACCGAUGGCUUAAUCUAAGCCUCGACUGUAAGGAUAGACUCUCCGAGAUUUCUUCAAUCGAGAUGUGCAUCCAGGGCAUGCAAUGGGGUUUACAAUACAUCAUUCAAGGUAUCAAACCACGAACUUUUGAAGAAUUAGCUACCCGUGCCCACGACAUGGAGUUGAGCCUCGCCCACCAUGGAAAGAAGAAGCCCAAGACGUCUUCCACAUCACAAUCCAAGAAGGUGAAGAAGAAAUCGUCGAGGAAGAUGUCAUGGCGGCACCGUCACAACUCGAAGAUGGGGGGCAAGCCACGGUUGACGAUCUCAAAGAACUCAACUUAGGCACAAGUGAGGAACCGAAGCCCAUCUUCGUGAGUGCAUUAUUAGGUGCGGACGAGAUAGAGAAGUAUUACCAGCUGCUAUUAGAGUACAAGGACGUCUUUGCUUGGACCUACAAGGAAAUGCCCGGCCUCGACCCUAUCAUUGCGGUGCAUCAUCUUGCAGUCAAGCCUGGAACGCGACCAAUAAAGCAAACUCAAAGACACUAUCGAUCCGAGCUCAUCCCACAAAUCGAGGCCGAGAUCGACAAGUUGAUCGAAGCAGGCUUCAUUCGAGAGGUGCAAUACCCCAAGUGGAUCUCCAACAUCGUCAUAGUCCUUAAAAAAUAUGGACAAAUACGUGUCUGCGUGGACUUCCGAGACCUCAAUAAUGCUUGCCCAAAGGAUGACUUCCCCUUGCCAAUCAUCGAAAUCAUGGUGGACGCAACCACUGGCCAUGAGGCACUGUCAUCAUGGACGGCUCUUCUGGAUACAAUCAAAUUCGCAUGGCUCUUGAAGAUAAGGAACUAACAGCCUUCCGCACUCCGAAAGGUAUUUACUGCUAUAAGGUGAUGCCCUUUGGUCUGAAGAAUGCUGGAGCUACAUAUCAACGCGCGAUGCAGAAGAUCUUCAAUGACAUGCUACACAAGAACGUAGAAUGUUAUGUGGACGAUGUGGUGGUCAAGACAAAGAAAAGAUCAAAUCACUUGAAGGAUUUGCGAGUAGUGUUCGAAAGGUUGCGAAAAUACAACCUCAAGAUGAACCCGUUAAAAUGUGCAUUUGGCGUCACAUCUGGAAAGUUCCUUGGCUUCAUUGUCAAGCAUCGGGGCAUUGAAGUAGACCAAUCAAAGAUCAAGGCCAUUCAAAGCAUGCCCGAGCCAAGAAACCUGCACGAGUUGAAAAGUCUACAAGGUCGGCUAGCCUUCAUCAGACGCUUCAUCUCCAACCUUGCAGGGCGUUGUGAACCGUUUAGUCGACUCAUGAAGAAAGAUGUUCCGUUCGUAUGGGACAAAGCAUGCAACAACGCUUUUGAAAGCAUAAAGAAGUAUUUAUCAAGUCCACCUGUCCUGGGGGCACCUGUACCAGGGAAACCGCUCAUAUUGUACAUUGCUGCUCAGGAAAGUUCAGUUGGAGCACUCUUGGCACAGGAAAACGAGGUCCAGAAAGAAGGAGCGCUCUACUACCUCAGCCGAACGCUUACCGGCGCUGAAUUGAACUACUCCCCAAUAGAAAAAAUGUGCCUGUCCUUGAUGUUUGCCAUCCAGAAGCUCAGACAUUACAUGCAUGCUUACACCAUCCACUUGGUUGCUAAAGCUGACCCGGUCAAAUACGUCAUGUCUAAGCCAGUUUUGACAGGGCGACUAGCUAAAUGGGCAUUACUUCUUAAUCAAUACGAGAUCAUCUACAUCCCAGCUAAAGCCGUCAAAGGACAAGCGCUAGCAGACUUCCUUGCCGACCAUCCAAUCCCAGCCGAUUGGAAAAUCGCAGACGACCUGCCCGAUGAAGAAGUGUUCUGCAUCGACAUAUUCCCGACAUGGACGAUGUUCUUUGACGGAUCUGCACGAGCAGACGGAGCAGGGGCAGGAGUAGUAUUCAUGUCGCCACGAAGGCAAGUACUACCUUAUUCAUUCCAGCUAAGCGAACUAUGCACCAACAACGUCGCUGAGUACCAAGCACUGAUCCUCGGACUCCAAAUGGCAAUCAACAUGGAAAUCGCAGCCCUUGAGAUAUACGGCGACUCCAAGCUCGUAAUCAAUCAACUCCUGACGGAAUAUGAGGUGAGGAAAGACGACCUUGUCCCAUACUUCCGGCUGGCAACGCAGUUGCUAUAAAGGUUUGAGGCCGUAACACUAGAACACGUGCCAAGAAAAGAGAAUCAAAUGGCAGACGCUCUCGCCAACCUAGCCUCGAGCAUGACAUUAGGAGAAGACGAAGCUACAAACGUGCCAGUCUGCCAAAGAUGGGUAAUCUCACUUGUCACUGAAAUAGUACUAAGUGAUACAAACGUUAUUUCAAUACUUCCGGUCAACGUUGAAGAAUGGAGACAGCCUCUGAUCAACUACUUGGAGCAUGGAAUGCUUCUAGAUGAUCCGAAACACCGCUCUGAAGUACGUCGACGAGCAUAUCGCUUCCUCUAUUACAAAGGGACACUCUACCGGCGAUCUUUUGAAGGGGUACUUUUGAGAUGCCUAGGCGAGGAAGAAGCCAAUCAAGCCAUGGAAGAAGCACACUCAGGAAUAUGUGGAGCGCACCAGUCCGGACCAAAGCUUCAUUUCCAGCUCAAAAGAAUGGGUUAUUACUGGCCAAGCAUGGUAAAGGACUGCUUAGAAUACGCCAAAAGGUGCCAAGCCUGCCAAUUUCAUGCCAACUUCAUACACGAACCGCCUGAACCAUUACACCCCACAGCUACUUCAUGGCCGUUCGAUGCAUGAGGAUUGGAUGUCGUAGGACCAAUUGCGCCAAAGUCAUCUACAGGGGAGGCUUACAUCCUGGCUGCAACAGAUUACUUCUCUAAGUGGGCUGAGGCCAUACCCCUGAAGGAAGUCAAGAAGGAAACUGUCGUCCGUUUCAUCAAGGGACAUAUCAUUCAUCGAUAUGGGGUGCCUCGCUACAUUGUCACCGACAACGGAAAGCAGUUCUCAAACCGACUCAUGGACGAGCUCUGCGAGAAGUACAAGUUCAAGCAGCGCAAAUCCUCCAUGUAUCAUGCUCCGGCCAACGGUCUUGCAGAAGCAUUCAACAAGACAUUGUGCAACCUCCUGAAGAAGGUAAUCGGUAGAACAAAGAAAGACUGGCAUGAAAGAAUAGGCGAAGCCCUAUGGGCAUACAGGACAACAUAUAGAACGCCUACCCAAGCCACACCUUAUUCUCUUGUAUAUGGCGUAGAAGCUGUUCUACCACUCGAAAGUCAAAUCCCCUCGCUAAGGAUGGCUAUACAAGAAGGCUUGACUGACGAAGAGAACGCAAAGUUGCGUCUUCAAGAACUGGAGGCACUGGAUGAGAAAAGACUCGAAGCCCAGCAGCACCUGGAGUGUUAUCAAGCGCGACUUUCUAAAGCCUUCAACAAGAAAGUUCUCCCUCGGUCUUUUCAAAUGGGAGAUCUCGUCCUUUCAUUGCGUAGGCCUAUCAUCACAACUCACAAGACAAAGAGCAAGUUCACGUCAAAAUGGGAUGGACCAUACGUAGUACAAGAAGUCUACACCAAUGGCGCCUACUUAAUCAUGGCGGAAGACGGCUUGAAGAUCGGCCCUAUCAACGGCAGAUUCUUAAAGCGCUACUACCCUUGAAAGGCAACAAAUUACCGCUCUUUAUUCGCACGAGCCUAAACUGCAUGAACCAAAGCUCCUGGCCCGCAAGAGCAUAAACUGCGUACGCCAAAAAAAAAAAAAAAAAAGUGUAUUUUGAACUACGUUAUGACUUGAUCCCUCCUCAACAAAGGGUACGUAGGCAACUCGAAGUGUCAAAACUUCAAGUACAGUCACACCAUCUAAAAGAAAUAAUAAUAAUAAUAAGUAAACACUUUGAGGAGCGAAGAGCAAAAUCAAGAACAUAAAUGCUUUAUUUCUUUGAAAGAAUGAGUUGGCUCCAAGGCCUUAUUACAAGAAAUAUUACUUGAAAACUAUGUCUCUAAAACCACGAAGGCGAUCUCCAAGCGAGCCUUCCAAGGUCUUCAAAGUCUCUACCUCGGUGGGAGACAAGAUGGGUAACUCAAUAGUCGUGCUUUUCUCUCGUUCUAGGCGUGAAAUCUCUUCUUGGUACUGAGAAAGUGCAGUUCCCUGCUCUGCGAGGAAACUUUCAAGUUAUGAUGCCUCGACUAUCAACUGCUCUCGCUCUCGCGCCAAUGCAUCUAGACGCCCUUGGACAGAAGUUAACGAAGCCUCCGUGACUUGAUAAUCUCCUGAAACAGCUUGCUGAAAUGACCGGACUUGAGCCAGUGAUGAGUCUAUCAUGGUUAGCUGAUGAGCUCUGACAUCUGGACUCAACUUCUCUAAGGAAAUAGCACGCAAGGAAGAAUAUUCAGUCGAGGCGGCCAUGAGUUCGGCAAUCUUGAUCUUCAAGGAGGAGGAAUCAACGUUAAGGUUGUCAAUCACUGAAACAAACUUCGACAAAUCCUCAUUAAGCAACGGGAGGUCUUCCAGUGGACACUUAGAAAUCCUCGCCUCAAUAUGGCCCUUGAUCUCCAUUGCUGCACCAAGACUUAUGCGAUGGAUGAGUCGCUCAGUACCGCUAAGAUUCGGUCCUCUCAAAGAGAUCUCAGAGCUAGCUGGCAAAGGCGUUGGACGCAUGACGUGUUCUUGCAUACCCCCACCAACACGUGGUAAACUCGGGAAGUUCGACGGAUUCGGAACAAGCUCUGCACCAGGAGGAUCCCCGAUAUCCCCGUCUGUAGGUAGGUUACCUGCAAAUAGCAUCUCCGUAUAGGAAUAAACAUCUGCAGUUGCCAAAUCAAAAUGACGGGAAGGCCCAACCUAAAGAAGACAAAGAAAGAUGUUAGAAAUAAAAGCCAAAACGACAAAAGCAAAAGAAAUCAUGAGAGAAAAUAAAGGAUAUACAUCUCUCUCAAAUGGCUCACGGUCAUCGAAUUGAGGAGUUCUAAACACUUCUUUCUUCUUGUGACGAAAAUUGACAUCACUGUCAGCCUGAGCAUCCUCAAGUGGUCGCUUGUUUGAAACUCGUGGACGCUGCUGCAAAAUAAAUCCAUCUUCGUGUGAGUCACCUUCAUCCCCCGCCUAUUCAGAAGCAUCCGGAUGUCGAGGAGACAAGCAUGGACGUUGAAGAGUUAAAGCUACAGGUCUAUCUUGUAAGGGAGCCGCACUCGCGCGAUCAAGGGGUACCAUUCGCAUAGAAACCACAGGACAACCCUCUCUCGACGUAUCAUCACUUAAGUGAGAAGAAUUGGCGCCACUUGCCGUCCCCGAGUUCUCAUAAUGUGUCUUUGACCACCAACGUGCGUAAACACGGGUCACUGGAUUACUCCUGAACUCAUCAUUGGUCGGCAGCGUAAUAACAGCAUUUGUGCAUGAACGGGUACAAGACUCCCAAUGCAUGUACACGGCUUGCAGGGAUACCGAUGGGUUCUUUUCCUUCAACUUGCCUGGCUCGCUUUGGACAAAACCAAAUUGCCUGCUGAAACGGUAGGGGCUAUAUGACUGGAUGAUACAUCGGUCUUCUUGCCGCAAAGAAACAAACCCCAAGCGAAGGCUUAUAAGAUAAGACAAGUCCGAGAAGCGGAGAUGCGAGUUGUCUACGAUGCCUCGCCGCACCGAGCCAACUCUCACUAAGGGGUCCAUCCUCAAAUCUUCACAACUCUUAAAUAUCGCUCGCGCUUGCAAAUCGUCAAGGCUCUUCGCGGAGAGCACACCAGAAUACUUCGUCAUCAAAGGCCCUAGCUUGGCUCCGGUCAAUGAGGAAGGUCUUGACUUAUCCAGAGUCGACAGAGAAAAAUGAGUGCCAAAAUAUUCACCCAACCAACCAUACAUAGUGGUAAGGAAGCACCGCAACACGAUCUUCAGUGCUUGCCGAGUCAGAAACCAUGCUCAAGCCGUUGUAAAUGCUGGCUAAGACCGGAAUAGCGAGACUAAAAGACUCACCUGCAGCCAUCUUGCUAGCAACUUUGAAAACUCCAGGGCGAACUAAGUUGACGUCGCCUGCGGGGAAAACAAAUUUACAAAGCCAACAAGCUAAGAAAGCAGCCAGGUAAGACUCCUCCACAUGCUCUGGUGCUAUGCCGAGAUCCUCAAAUGCUCUCAACUCGUCAGAAGAGCGACGCCUGGUUGCGCCAAUAACCCCGGACGGGUCUGAGUCGCCCUUUGGCCUAGUGGUCUUGUUACGACCAACUUUCUUCAAAGGCUUCUUAUAUCUCAUGGCCUCCCAGUACCAGAAUCGGAUCCAUGAGGAAAUCCUCACGCCUGAUUUACCCCGAGCAUCCUGGAAAAGCCUGUGAUACGCCCAAAACAAAUAGCGGCAACUUGCAAGCAAUCCUCGGUUAUUGCAAAGAGAAAGGUCCUCUGCGCUGGGAACGACCUCGUCGUAAAACUUGCCUUGGAUCGCAAACCUCCUAUCCGGUGAAGAUCCCAAAGUGAAAUUGACAUCUCCCCUUGCGCCGUGUGAAGUGUGUUGGUGGCCGAACACCAACACUCUAAGAACGCACGAAUAACGGAAGGAUGGCGAUCGUAACUAAACAAAGACGCAUACACGGCUUGGUAAAGGUCCACCUUAGUAAGCACGUCCUUAGAUCGGCUUAAGACAUCUUCGAGCCACUCCCAAUAAAACUCAUCAAAAACGGCCUCUCCAGCAGUAGACAGGGUACCCCUCCAAACCUUAGCUCCAAUGCGGAUGUGAUCACCAAGUAACUUAAAUGAGGCCGAAUGAUUGUCACCAGCAUGGUGCGACGGAUUCAAGAUAAGAAUCUUCGUGAGACGCGCCUUCUUCUUCGUAUCUGUUUGGACAAAAUCUACCACAUCCCAAGAUACUUCGGAAGACCACGACUUAAUAUGCAUGGAGUUAUCUUUCACGGGAAGAGCAAGCGCUUUAGGACCAGUCAGUGGCUCGUAAAGCUUCAACGUCGUUCCUCUGUCUUGCGAGUCACCUGCCUGCGCAAGAAUGGUAAGGGUGCUGCCCUUAAAGCACUUAAAAAAUACCAUGACCUCGGAAAAACCAAAUAAAUCAACAGCAGCACGGCAAAAAGGGUAGCCACUAGACAAUCCUUCCAAGCAGCGGCAAGAGGCACAUCAACGUCACCACAAAGGAAAGUUGUGACCAAAAGGCAUUACACAACGUAGACUCGCUGCAGUCUCUCGCACAGCACCACACGGCAGCGCAUCACCGGGGGAAAGCUGUGAUAAAAAGGCACUGCGCAGCGAAAUCCCGCUGCAGUCUUUUACACAACACUAUGCGAUAAGUGACGCACUGCAACAAACCCAAGCAACAAGAAUGUGGUGGUUAUGCAAUAGUUAUGCAGUGACGGUGCAAUCCUCGAGCACUGUCAAAAAAAAAAAAAAAAGAGAAAAAAAAAAGGGUACGCAUAUCACAUAUAAAUAGACAUUGUAUAUAUGAACAUGACAAGGAUGCUGUGCACCUUUUCAUUUAUAUUAUUUUAUAUAUAUAUAUAUAUAUAUAUAUAUAUAUAUAUAUAUGUAUUUGGAAAUUCAAAGAAUUUGAUUAAUAUCAAUAUAAAAUUUUUAGGAUUAAUAACAAGAGCAUAUAUAAACAAAACUAAAUUUAAAAUAGCUUUAGUGUUCAUGAUGAAGCAAUGAAUUAAAAUUAAUGAUGCUGAUAUUCGAUUGAAAAUAUAUUUAAUGAAAAUCAAACAAGACUUACAGAAGUUUCGUCUAUUGACGAUUUUGAAAAUUAAAGACUGAUGCUGGAGCUCGCAGGCAUCCUUGAUUACUUAAAAUUAAAAUAUAUUUAUAUUACAAUAUUUUUGCUGAGAAGCUGUAGACUCUGUUCGAUGUGAAUACGCAGAGUUUUCCUUCUGAGGAGAAGAUGCCCCCCUUCCUGAAGCUCGAGAGUCCUUUUUAUCGGAGAAGGAGGUGAUCCGAAAUGAUUGAAGGAUGGAAGCGGGAUUCCCGCUUGGCAUGUGCUACUGCUGUAAAGAGGCCGAAAGCUGAAGAUGCUGUCAGGGACUGUGACUUUCACGAGGGUGAAUACUGUGGAAGAAAUGAUGGAUGAAUAGUAAAAGUGAUUUUACUAUUCAUGAAUAGUGCCUUGUCUGCUACUGCUGAUUUCCCUUGCGGCUAGCUUUGUCGUCUCAUGCAGCUACUACUUACAAAAUUACAAAAUACUCUACUGAGUCUAGAUACAAUGUAUGCUACUGAGAUUACAUUUAUACGAAUUUAGAAAUUCCUAUACAUGCUAUUACAAGUUUAAAAUUCGUAAGGGUCUUGGGAAUCAGGCGGGAAAAUAUUCCCUUGUGCAGCGCACUGUGAUGAAGCAUCCGAAGAGUUGUCGGAGUCCGAACCAUCUUCAUUUUCUUCUUGAAGUUCCUUCAUGAGGAUUUGGGCUAGAGCCUUGAGCUUUGAUGAUUUCUUUUUCUUCGAACUGCUCGAAGAUCUGGAUGACUUGGUCUUGCCUUUGAGAGAGGAAGAAGGACUAAUGUCCGAUAAUGAAUCGAUUUCUUCCUUGGUUGGUUCUGGUAAAGCAGUUGUUGAAGAGGCUGCUACUGCGGGUACUGAACUGGAAUUCAUGGGGAAGUCCCUGAGCACAACUUCAAUGAUCUUCUGGUAGUUGAACUUGUCCCACCAUUUGAUCAUUCUCUGUCGAAAGACUUGAUUGGAUUCAAUCUCGUAAUUCCAGCGGAGGAUCCAGGGGAUCUUGUAUUUUGCCAUGAACAGGGCGAAUAAAGGGAUUCCUUCAUCAAAACGCGUUCUAUCGAACUUCUUCUGGAAAGUGCCUGAUAAGACUUGCUUGAAUUUGUCGGGCAUGAGGUCAGAGAUAAGGCCAUGUUCUGACCACCAUCUGGGAAACCAUGCAGGAAAAUUCAAUCUGAAACUUCGGUCAAAGGUUAUGAACCAUGAAUGACUAAAAUCUUCGGAUUGGUGCAGGAAGAUGUUAGUCCAAGCUUGAAUGUAAUCAAAAUAGGUAUAAUGGUUUGAGUGACUGGGAAAGCUACUGCUUUUAAAAGGCUUGGGCUGGAAAAGUGGAACUUGCCAUUCUGAUUCUAAUAAGAAUUUAUUAAUGGUAAGGGAAUGAUACAGGAUUCUGUUUUGGUUGCCAGAGGAUUUGUCAAAGAUAGGUUUUAUGGUGAUGGAUGAAGUCUCAUUGAGAAUAGUGGUAUAGUAUUUGAGGGUUUUGUGGAAUUCACUUGGUUGAAAAUGGGAAUUGGUUGGAAACAUCUUUUUGGUUAUGACCUCAGGUGUUUUCAAAUGUUUGAGAUUGAAAGGAAUGCUGAAUAAGUAUUCUUUGGAUGGUUUAAUAAUAUAAGGAGAUGUUUUGGUAUAACUUACAGAGGGGGAUGGCGAUUGCCUGUAGGUAGAGGAGAAAGGAUCAUACUGGUUUACUAACGCUGUUUGGUAAUUUGGUCGGAUACUUCCUAGAGUUGAUCCUAAUGGAGUAAAUCUAUUGGUAAUGGCUAAGGCCGAGGAACCGGGAAUAGGUUCCUGUUUUGGUGGUGGUAAUGAGGCAGGAAGCCUCCUUUGUUGGCUACUGCCUUGUGGAGAAGCAGUGUUCUUAUUAGACAUUCUUCCCCUGCAAAAUUCUCUGGUUAGGAAAUCUGGAAUGCAGUUAUGGCUGCCUUUAAUGUAUUCAAUUUCAAAAUCAAAGAUUGAUAAUAUGGCUUGCCAUCGUGCAAAAAUCUGUUUUGAUGCAAUAUUUUGAACAUCUUUUUGUAAAACAUGUUUUGCAGAUUUGCAAUCAACUCUAACGAGAAAUUUUUGAUUUAAUAAAUCAUCUUGAAAUUUACUAAUGCAUAAAACUAUAGAUAGUAUUUCUUUUUUAAUAGUACUAUAAUUAGCUUGAGCAGGAUUCCAUACACCUGAAUGGAAGCGAACAAUUUGUUCAGGUGAACCGGAGGAAGUUUGCUGUUUGAGGAUACCUCCAUAACCAACGUCAGAGGCGUCAGUUUCAACAAUCUUAAAAGAGUUGGGAGUUGGAAUGCCAAGACAGGGCAAAGUCUUAACAUGAUUUUUGAUCUGUUUGACAAUAGAAGUAUGAAUGGUAGACCAGGCAGGAGGAUUCUCUUUAAGGCGAUCAAACAAGGGUUUACAUUGUUGACGCAAAUGAGGAUAAAAUUCAGAAACAUAAUUCAAAGAUCCUAAGAAUCUUUGGAGUUGGGUUUUUUCAGUAAUCUGGUCUGGAAAUUUAUCUGCAAACUGGAUGACACGGUCAAUAGGUUGGAUGGUAGACCUAUGAAUAUUAUAACCUAAAAAUCUAAUCUUUAGUUGAAACAACCUAAUUUUAGUGGCUGACACAACCAAUCCAUUUGAUCUAAUGAUCCUAGCAAACAAGUGUAAAUGUUUCCAAUGUUCAUCUAUAGAUCUAGAGAAAACAAGAACAUCAUCAAUAUAAACAAUUGUAAAAUGACUAUACUGAUUAAAAAUCUCAUUCAUAAUAUUCUGGAAUUCAGAUGGUGCAUUCUUCAAACCAAAAGGCAUAACAUUCCAUUCAUAAUGGCCGAAAGGCGUUACAAAAGCAGUUUUAUAUUUAUCAGAUUCAUGGAUUUGGAUUUGCCAAAAACCUGAUUUCAUAUCAAACUUUGAGAAAAUAGUUGCUUUACUAAGCCUUUUUAUUAAAUCUCUUUUGUUGGGAAUUGGAUAUCUAAUCCAUUCCAAAACUUCAUUCAAAGGUUUGUAGUUAAUAACUAAUCGGGGUGAACCCCUCUCAAGUUCUGCACUUUUCUGAACAUAAAAUGCAGGACAUGACCAAGGUGAUUUACUUUUCCGGAUAAUUCCUUUAUUAAGAAGGUCUUGUAUUUCUGCUUUACAGAAAUCCAUUACUUCUUGACUCAUUUGGAUGGGUCUGGCCUUAGUAGGGAUUUUUGACUCAUUAAAUUCCUUGAUAUAAGGUAAUUUAACGAUAUGUUGUUUGCGGUGCCAAAAGGCAUUGGGAAUAUCAGAACAUACUUCUUUAACAAGUUGUUCUUCAAAUUUAAGGAUUUUUUGAGAUAUAAUCUCUUGUUUGAGUUGUUCUUCAGUUCUUUUGUGAUGAAUAUCAUCUUUCAAGAAUUGAAGGUGUUUAGUCUUAUUAGAAAUUAUAUUUAAGGAUCGCGAAGUGCUAUCCUUCUGGAGAUGUCUAAGUUUUUUGAGGUCUGUUUCCAGGCAGAACUCAAAAUUGACUUUCUGUCCUAAGACCUUUGAGGUAAUCCUAUUAUGAUGUGUCUUAAAAGGAUAGAGGAGUGCUAUAAAGGGUAGUCCUAGUAUGACAGGGUCAGAUAAGUUCUUAAUUAGAACAAAAGGUGUUUUGAAACAAACUUCAUCUUGGCAAACAUGCGCCUUAGGAAGUUCAUAUUUGAUUUCCAUCGGAGAUUCAUUAGCAGCACUAAGGAUUUCCUUAGACUUGUGGAAAUACCUAGUGGGAAUCAGACCUUCUUGAAUACAAUUCAAGUCUGCUCCUGAAUCAAUUAAUGCGAUUGAUUCGAAACGAAAGUCUUCAAUUAUUAUUGUUACUUUAGAAUACCAUUUUUGGAUUCUAAUUUUGUGAAGAAGAUUCAGAACUAAUUGUUCUGAAUGGGUGUCAUCUUCAGACUCAUGGUUACUACUGGAAGAAGAGGAACUGAAUAGUUCUUCUUUUGGAGGAGUAUCGGCUCUAGUGAGUUGUGUACGAAUCUCUUGAUUAUCAGAUUUUAGAAGUUUAAUUUCUUCUUUUAUCUGAUUGAUUUCUUUUUGGAGGUCACUAACCGUAAUUUCUUUCUUAGUUUUACUAAACUUUGCUAGUGUAGAACUAAGAGAGAUUGGAGGUUUCUGAAUGUGAGAUUGGCUAGUGCCUACUUCUUCAUGGCAAACUAAAUUUUUAAGUUUUUUGAGGUAGAACCUUUUGAGUUCAGUAUCCUCAACAAUACUUAUUAGUUCUAAGAGUAACUCUUCUUGUUUUUCUUGUUUAGUUAAUACUGAUAUAUUCUUACAACAAGCAUCAAGACAUCCGAUCUUGAUGUUUGGGGUAGAGUGCUUACUAGAGGCAGAUUGAUAAGAGGAUGAUGAGGUAGAACCCAGAUCAUCUUCUGAAGAAUGACUACUGUCAGUAUUUUGGAGUUCUAAAGCUUGAAUAAGCUGAAGCUUUUCUUCCUCAGAAAUCUUCAACUGACUUAUGGUCUUCUUAACUUUGCAUUUAUUGGCAUAAUGGCCUUCUUUGCCACAUUUGUAGCAUUUUCCCUUGUGACUAUUGUCUUUGGAAUGGAAUUUUCCAGAGGAUUUUCUCUUUCCUUUCCAAUUCUUGGAUCUAGGGUUUUCAUAAAACGGGUUUGGUUUGGCAUACUUGCCUUUAUGGUAUUUGGAGUAAUGGGGACGUGAUUUAGAAAUCUUUGAUUUAUUGAAGGUAGUUGAUUUUUUCUUGAGAUUGGAAGGAGCGAUAGGUGGUAAACCAUAUUGCUCACAGAAGGUUCCUAAUUCAUAUUUGGCUAUUGCCUUAUCAGAUUGUGCUUGUCUAGAUAUUUUCAUAUCUAUACACAUUUUCAUACCUUCUUUUUGGAUAGUACUUAUGAUAUGUCCAUAAGUAAGAUCAUUAUAUGGUAUAAUACCAUCUUCGUUUAUUAAGGUAUUCCUUAUUUUGUGUGCAAAAAGGUUUGGUAAUCCAUUUAUAAAUUUUUCUUUCCAAAAUGGUUGAUUACUAUCAUCUCUAAGCAUAACUCUUGACAUAAAUACAUCUUUAUACCAUCUAAAAUCACUUAGGGUUGGACACCUUAAGUUGCUUAGUUGGUCAUGGAUUCUAGAUGUGAUGUUGGAAGGGAUUCCUAUGAAAUGUUGUAUGAUUGUAUAAAGUAAGGUAUUGACUGCAUCUGGGACACCACGUCCUAGAUGUUCGUCGAAGAUAGGUAUUCCUUCUUCAUCUUGUUUUACAGCAUUUCUUAUUAGAUUUCUGGAGUCUUCAGUGAGAUGUUUCUCCCACCAGGAAUGAAGCAUUCCUGUGAAUCCAGAGACAAGGAUGUCGACAAUUUGGGUUUGACUAAGGUCAUGGUUAGUGAUAUAGCUAUUUGCUACCAUGGAAAUGUGCUGGAGUUUGUUUAGUAACUCUUGUUCUGAUAAACCAUCUAUAUUCCAUUCAUAGAGUUUAUCAGAUGAAACAGUGAAUUGGGAUUGGAAAUUCCUUUCUUCAAAUUGAAGAUCAGGAGGUGUUGGUCUGGGAUACCAGUUUUUAGUUAAGGAUGUAGGAUUGGUCCUUUUAGUGUUAAGACGUUUUAAUUCAAGACUCUGAAAGGCUUGUUCCAUUUGAUUGAUGGACUCAAUACUUUCAUCUUCUGAAUCUGGAAUUGAGGAAGGUGUUUCAGAAUCAUGUGGAUUAUUAAUCACACGAACUGAUUUGUCCUUUUCUAGCUUAUGAAGCAUUUGUUCUAUCUUAAUAGAUGUUGAGGUUUUUAAAGAGGGUGACUCUCUAAAACUAGUUAAAGGUAUUUCUUUACUAAGUGGUUUAAUUGACAAAUUGUCAAUCUUAGUUUCGAUUUUAUCCAACUGUUUUCCUAUGAUAUGUAGGCUUUGGUUGGUAAAAUUGUUUUGUUCAAUAACAGGUUUGACACCUGCAUCUUCCUUCGGAAGUUUGAACGGUGAGGCUGGGACCUGCGUAUUCGCAGUACUAAUAAGUAUAGUUUCUUGUGGAGGGUGACUGGAGGAGACAACUGUCUUGUCCUCUUUAACCCAAUUUCUUUGGUGAUUACCUUUACUUGGUUUUCAGACUCAUAAUGUUUUUCUACGAAGUCGAAGAAAAAUAUUUCAAGUCUGUUGGUUUGCAUGAAGUCUUUCCAUGCCUUAUGAAUUUCUAAUUUUUCUUCAGUAGUAUAUUUACUUCUGAAGAUGUUUCGUCGAGGGACAUUUUCUAAGGCUUCGAUGUCUCUACAGAGUUUCUUACGGUCAUACUUAAAAGGUUCUAGUCUGGUUAAAACCAAUAGUUGGUGGUGUACUGGUUCUGCAUCAAAAUCAGAAGCAGUUGGGGAUGUUUGUUCUUCCUUAGGAGGAAUGGAUGGGGUAUGAUAGGUAGGCUGGACUACUUGAGCGUUUGUCUCAAGUGAUUGGAGUUUGAAAUGUAAAAGGUCAUUUAUUAAUUCUUGUUGGGUGACAGAUGAGCCUGUAUCUACUGAUUUUAAUUUCCUAUUAACUAGGGAAUUGAUUAAUUCUUGAUCUCGACCUUGCCUAUCGGUUGGCAUAGAUCCAGAGAAAGAAUUCCUAUUGGAAGUAAAGGAUUUGAGUGAUCGAUUAGAAUCACAGGAUUUCCUUUCAGGACGAUCAAAAUUAAUUUUAACCGUUCCGUCGAAGUAUUGUUCUACGUUGUCUAAGUUAACUAGACUAUUUUGGAUGGCUACUGGCCGACUCUCGUUUAUCAGACACCAAUCUGAAGGGAGAUUGAUUUCUGACCACCUAAUGGUUCGAGGUAUUUUAAUAUUGGCAUUCUCUUGAUCAGUCUGGAUCAAGAGAGUAUGAUCCUUCGGACUUUUGGUUAAAGCCUGAAAGUUCAUAUUUGUGCCAGUGACCUUAUAAUAGAUUCUAUAAAUUAAGGCCAAAGGCUGUGUUCCUUCUAGGACUUUAUAUCCUGAAGUUUUGAUAUUUAGUGUAAGUGCUUUUAACAUAUGUGGGUCGGACAGACUUAUGGUAAGAUCUGGGAAGCAGUCAAAGUGGAUAGGUCCAUUACAGAGGCUGGAUUCAACCAUACCAAGUAUACUAUCACUGAAGUCAGUGAAUCUAGCAUCUCGGAGACAUAAGAGGAUAGAGGUAUUAAGACCUCUACGUGUUAAUGGUUUGGCUGCAAUUUGCACUAAACCUAUAUGAAUAUAAUUAUGACCAUCUUUCCUAUGAGAAUUAAUUUGUUCUGGGGUAAACAAUUGGCAAGUCUCAUGAUCUUUACUAAGAGCAUAAGCUUGUUCAACCGUUUUGACAUGGUGUUCUGUUUUAAAAGAGGCGAAUGCCCAUUUCUUUUUAUAAAUAUUUUUUGAAGAUAUUUUUGGAAUAUUCCAUUCAGCAAAAUCUAGACUACUGUCUGUUUGAAAUUCAAAUUUUUGUUCUUCAUUGACAAUAUCAGGUAUAGUUCCUAAAUUUGAUCUAGAGCUAGUGCUGGCCAUAGAAUUAGAUCUAAACAAUCUACUCAUACUUAAAAUUUCAAACAAUCAAAAUACAGAAACCUUAACAGAAAAUCUUACUAGUGCUUCUAAACACCAAGCUCUCUGGGUCAUGCGCGCCGCUCAGGCCCUAUCCUCCGGGACUUACUGUUUGGGUGACGCCUUACUGCUCAGACCUUAUGGAGAUCAGGAGACACUAAAAGGUUAAACUGAAAAGAUUAACUAUAAAGAGACUGAAUAAAUCUAAAAGUACAAACAGAGUAUAUAUAUAUAUAUAUAUAUAUAUAUAUAUAUAUAUAUAUAUAUAUAUAUAUAUAUAUAUAUAAACAUGAUGAUAGUACUUGCACCUUCCAUAUAUAUAUUAUUUUAUAUAUACAUGAUAGGGCCUGCACCUUCCAUAUAUAUAUAUAUAUAUAUAUAUAUUGCUUUAUAUAUACAAACAUGGACGACAGUACCUGCACCUGCCACAUAUAUAUAUAUAUAUAUAUAUAUAUAUAUAUAUUAUGUAUACAAACAUGGCAACAGUACCAUGCAAAUAUAUAUGUAUGUGAAUAAGCCUCACCAGAAAGGCUUCACAGCGACCCAGGAAGGACGUGAGCGAGCCAAUGCAGCAACCAGGAAUGAUGACAAAGGCAGUGCAGCAACCAGGAAGGACGUGAGGCAGUGCAGCGACCAGGAAGGACGUGAGGCAGUGCAGCAACCAGGAAAGGAUGACAAAGGCAGUGCAGCAAAGACGAUGGUUGUGCAAUGGUUUUGCAGUGGCGGUAAAAUACAGCGAGAAUGCAGUGGCUGCGCAGUUGGCUGUGAAACUGUUGUGUAGUUGUGGUGUCCAGAGAAACAGGCAAACCUGCGCAAAUAUGAAGCAGCAAGCUUCUGGGCAAAUAGACAGAACUACACUUGAUAGGUGAAAAUUUUCAAGCCGAUGGGAAUGGAAUAAGGAUCAAGUGCCUGUCUAAAAGCCUCACAGGAAGGCUUACUUAUACACACCAAAACAGACCAACAUUACAGAGCACAUGCCGCGAAUGAUGAUACUCACAUGCAGCAAUCUUUUGUUAAAGCUGGAAAAGCUUUAAACGCCUAUAUUUACCUGCUAGCAAGCAGCAUAUUUGGGGAAAAAACAAAGACAUACAGCUUUAGCUGUAUGUUUGAGAUUGAAUAAUCACCAUGUAGGUCAUCUUCCCACCGUCAGAUAUCUAAUGGCAGCUUGGUGUCAGCAAAUCGUGUGUUGAUCUCUUGGCCUCAGUGGCCUCUUAUCCUAAUCCGGACGACAAGAUCAAAACAACCAGAUUCAAGGAUCAAGCAGGCGGGGAAAAACAGGCAAUGCUUUAACAUGUGCAGCCCGCCAGCGAUUAAGUCCGAAGCUGAUUUCCAAGGUUUCAGAUGAUACACAAGGCAGGGCUAUGCUGCAUGAGCUACAAACCGACAGCAUAGGUACUUCUUUGUUACGACAUGGACAUGAGGAGCAUCUGUUCGAGAAGGCGCCCACCACCUUAGACGAACGAGAAGUACGUGGACGUGCUGACGACGUCGCUGUCGCUUAAGGAUGAUGCUGACGGUGACGGCACCAAGCUCACCGACACUGAGAUUAAAUAUGUUGAAGAGGCCAUAUUCAAACGUUGCGUGCUGUCGCUGUUCCUGGGUCCACCACCUCCACUGCAUACAUUUUCAGGUCAUGCAUCCAUUUUCUCCUAUCUGUUCAUACUUUCUGAGUGAUCAGACAAAGGGAGAUCGGACAUCACUCAAAACGCUCAAAAUCUGGAGAAAAGCAAAGGCAGAGGUGCAAAGCAAAAGUGAAAAGGAAGAGGAAAAGGAAAAAAGAAAAGCAAAAUAAAAAAAAAAUUAAUUUAAAAAAAAAAAUCAUUAUGAUUUAGAUUCAUUUUGUCUGCCAAGAGACAGAGACAGUUGGUGAAAUAAAAAAAUAAAAAAUAAAAAAUAAAAUAAAAAAUAAAAAAUAAAAAUAAAUGAAUAAAAAAAUAAUAAUAAAAAUAAAGAAAAAAAUGUACGUAUAGACGCUAAGUGAAAUAAAGCUCAUUUAUUAAUGUUUUCGAUAAAUUAAAAAUAUGUACAUAUACAUAAAUCAAAAUAAACAAACGAGAGAGAGCCUUCACAAAAGUUGCUCAGGCGGAGCCUUCACAAAGGUCGCUCAGGCGGAGCCUCAGCAGUCGGCGGGGCCACAGAAGGAGGAGGUAUCGGAGGUUGAUCAUUCGGAGCUUUACUACGCGGUACAGCCCCAGAAGAUGAAGGCAAAUGUUGUUAGAACAAACCCACAAACCUCCGAUGAUCAAGUAAAAUCUGACCAUCAGAUUCCUGCAUCUGGUCGAUUUUCCUCUUCAUAUUGGUGGCAUAGUUGUGUGCGAGCUUGUGCAGCUGUUUAUUCUCAUGCUUGAGCCCUCUAAUCUCCUGUUUGAGACUCAUCACUUCAGCCGCCAACGAUUCAACUUGACGGGUUCGAGCAAAUAGGCGUUGGGCCAUGUUGGACACAGAACCCGCACACUGCACACUAAGGGCCAGAGACUCCUUAACAGCCAACUCAUCAGACCGCUUGGAAAGCAAUCUGCUAUCUUUGGGAGUGACAAGGUUCCGGGCCACCACCGCAGCGGUCAUAUCAUUCUUCAUCACCGAAUCCCCAACGGUAAGAGGACCAGUAGGGGAUAUGAAUGAUGGGCGCCAUAUGUUGUCUGGAGAAGGCGGGAUUGCCUCUUCACCAAGAUUCAAGUCAAAACGACGGUCGGAAGGUCCAGACAUUUUCAAAGGUGUUGAAGAAAGAAGAGGUCAGACAGAUCAAGACCUUAGAAGUGCAAGAAGGGAGUUUCUGCAAGCGAAAAUUCAAGUGUGCUUGAAACGAACUGCGUGCCUCUAUAAAAAUCAGCACUCAAUGGGAUUUCAGAGAUCGAAGAGGCAAGCUCAGAGUUCGAAAAUGCCGAUUCAAAAAUCGAAGAGGCAAGCUCAGAAAUCGGAGAAGCAUCUUGCUUUUCCAGACGCAUUAGCCCCCGUCACACGCAAACUCAGCUUUGCGGAAAUCACGGGCAAUUUGUUAAAGCGCCAAUCCCAGAUAUCGAAGAGGCGCCAGUCUUUUCAGCCUUGUCAGCACCCGUCACACGCAAACUCAGCUUUGCGGAAAUCACGGGCAAUUUGUUAAAGCGCCAAUCCCAGAUAUCGAAGAGGCGCCAGUCUUUUCAGCCUCGUCAGCACCCGUCACGCGCAAACUCAGCUUUGCGGAAAUCACGGGCAAUUUGUCGAAGCGCCGAUCCCAGAUAUCGAAGAAGCGCCAAUCUUUUUCAGCCUCGUCAACACCUAUCACACGCACACUCAGCUUGAUGAAAAUUACGGACAAUUUGUCGGAAAAUUAUGAUAAAGAAGAAAGCACGUGAAGCCAUACUGAUCAAUCACGCAUUGGUUACCGACACGAGUAAAAGAAUAGUACCUCUACAGGUACUAACGAAUUUCCUAUAACUGUCCACCUUCACCUUCAUAGCAAGGCAGACACACAGAGCCUCUCUUCAUCUCAAAAAAAUGUUUUCCCAACGAAACCUCUCGAGUCAUUCGGUGUUCCUUAUUCGUUGGAGUACCUCUGCAAGCCAAUGACUCCAAAGCAAAAGUAUCUCAUAUCACCAGGGUAGAAAGCAAGAGUAUCUCAUAUCAUGCACUCUCCCUGUCAUUUCCUUUGUCCUUGUUCCUACCUACAAAGACAAGGAUAAAGAAAACAAUAUGCCGGAACUUCCACUCAAACUCGGGUAAGGAACUGACUGCUUGGAACCCUUCCGUGAUUGCCUACCUAGCACUGCUCUCGAGUACUCGCCUUCCACUGCUGCUGUACUUUCAAAGAAGCUGCCACAUCUGCUUGGAGGACAGAUAAGGCAAGUGAAAAUGAUACCUUGCAGCAUGUGGAGACAAGGUGCAGAAGGAACAAGCAGAGAAGAAUGCGGUCUGCACGAUCAACUCAGCAGAAUGAGUCCGAACUGAGGAACUCGAGAAGCUGCCACAUCUGCCUAAAGAAACAAGCAGAGAAGAAUGCAGCAUGCACAGUCAACUUAGCAGAAAGAGUCUGAGAUGAAGAACUCGAGAAGAUGCCGCAUCUGCCUGAGGACGGUGAACUCGUUUUGACCCUCAAAUUCUUGGGUCGACUUACUAGGCGUUGUGGGCUGCACGUGCCGAUUCACCACCUUUGAAUAAAAUCCUUAAAGACCAAGUCACCAAUCGGAAGAGGAGCCCAUCAAUCUCGAAGAUCAUACCGUUGACCAAACUACUCAGGUGUGAAUUAGAAAGAUUGAACAAAGCAACAAGUCGUCACCUUCACCUCGUGCCUGCUUGCCGUGUGUUCGAGUCAGCCUUCAAGAAUCAAGCCUCAACGGCCUUUGAAGAAGCUUCCAGCCAAAUUCAAAAUCAAGCCUCAACGGCCCUGGAAGAAAUCACAAGUCCGAUUCAAGAUUAAGUGUCUACCAUCCUUGAAUCAAAACCUAGUUCAAGAAUAAGCUGUGGAAAAUCAACAAUUAGAGGAAUCUAGAAAAUCCUUCAACCCAGUUCAAGAUCAAAGCUGUGGAAAGUCAACAAAGCGCAACAAAAUACGUGUCGAUUCACCCACUACCAAAGCCAAAGAUCAUCUACCACAUGAAGCUCCUUGUGGUCCAAUUUCAACCUUCAAGAUCAAGCCUCGACGACCCUUGAAGAAAUUUCAAACAAAAAAUUCAAGAUCAAGCCUCAACGACCCUUGAAGAAAUCUCAAGCCCAAUUCAAGAUCAAGCCUCAAUGGCCCUUGAAGAAAUCUCCAGCCCAAUUUAAGAUCAAGCCUCGACGGCCCUUGGAUCGACAUCUACAGUAAGGGACUUCAAAACGCAUCUCCUACACGUGACAAGCACAUGUAUACGACGUGCCUUGAAGUGGGGGCAUUUGUAGACAUCGAAAUUUCGUAAAUAAAUGUUGACCGAUAAAUCAAAGUGUCAACGCUCAUGUAUUACAUAAAUUUUACACGUAGCGUGUGACUCAACGAAAAUUGAAAUGAGUUGGAAAAGUCAUCAAAUAGGACAUGUGUCAACACCUGGCAGAAACGACUUAUUUCAUCUGGGAUAUUAUAUUCAAAAUUAGGCAUUGGAAAAUUCUAUAAAUACAAGCCCAUUUCAUUCAUUUAAGGGAACCAAUUCAUAUUACACCUUGAAGCUCUGAAGCUCUGAAACUCCGAAGCUCUCAAGCAUCCAGGUUCCCGAAGAAUCAAGAAAGCCUUCUUCGUUCUUCGUUCAUCGUUCUUCCAAGAUCAAGCCCCGACGGCCCUUUGGAUCAACAAGCAUCCACCAAUUCAAGAUCAAGCCCCGACGGCCCUUGAAGAAAGUGUUCUUCGUUCUUCGUUCAUCGUUCUUCCAAGAUCAAGCCCCGACGGCCCUUGGAUCAACCAUCCACCAAUUCAAGAUCAAGCCCCGACGGCCCUUGAAGAAAGCACCAUCGUUCAUCAUCAGUUCAUCCAAGAUCAAGCCCCAACGGCCCUUUGGAUCAACAAACGUCGACAAACCCACACAUCCAACCGUUCUUCAAGAUCAAGCCCAAAAGCCCUUGGAGAUCCGUUCAUCACUGUUCUUCAAGAUCAAGCCCAAAAGCCCUUGGAGAUCCGUUCGUCACUGUUCUUCAAAGAUCAAGCCCAAAAGCCCAUUUGAAGAUCCGCUCAAAUCCACCUUCAAGAUCAAGUCCACGGCCCUUGAAGAACGUUCAUCCUUAGAUCAAGCCCAACGGCCCUUUGGAUCAAUCACACAUCCACAAAUACACACCUUACGGAGAUCGAAUCAGAGGAUCAAAAUAGAGAGAGAUUGUAACCCAAAAUCAUCAAAUACAAAUAUUUGUUUGUGCCGCGUUGUUCUUGUCUCUUUCGUUUCAGGAAUUUUCCGUGUUCACAGUUGGAUUAUGACUUGUUCUUGAAUGUCGGAGUAUGACUUCUUAGUGAGUGUUGGAUUAUGACUUGUGGAAUGUUGAAUUAUGUGUUAGGUUACAGGUGUAUAUUCAAUAUGAAUACCUCUGAUGAUGAUGUUCAGGAUUUGGAGGAUGGUGUAAUUAUAUGCGCUGUAGCGAGAGCUAUUGAAACAUAUGCAUUCUUCUCUAAGGAGCAUCAUUGAACGAACUUUUGGGGUAUGGAAGAAAAGAUGGGCAAUUUUAAGGGAUAUGCCUAAUUACCCGUUCAAUAAGCAAGUGAAGAUUGUCAUUGCUACAAUGGCUCUUCAUAACUACAUACGGAGGUAUUCUGAAAGUGAUCGUCAUUUUGAUGACCCCAGGGACUAUUGUGAAGAGAGCGAUAAUAGUGAUGAUGAUGAUGAAGAAUACCAAAAUUAUCAAGUUGAAUGAUCCCAUGAGAUAGAAGCAUUAAGAAAUAGAAUAGCAGCAAGUUUGAUGAAUGCAUCUAAUUAGACUACUUUCAAGUACAUUAACAAUAUUGUACUAAUGAAUCCUAGCUAUUCAGUCUAAAAUAUUUCAAUUGAAAUACUUUGUCAUACUAAUUAAUAUUUAAGAUAAAGUUUAUAAAUAUUUCUUUUUAAAAAAUAAAGUAUAUUUAAUAAUUCACUUUUAUUUGUUAAGAAAAUUAAAUUAAUAGCACAUAUAGUAUUAUACCCUUUUUGGUCAUUUCACACAGUCACAGCUUUUUUACAUAAAAGUUUACCAAACACUUUUUUUUCCAAAAGCACUUUUACAAAAAAGUUUACCAAACACUCUGCUGGCUUUAUUUCACAGCCGCUUAUUCUCACAGCACAGUCGUUUAUUCUCAUAGCAGUUUUUUUUCAAAGCACAGCAAUACCAAACCAGCCCUUAGUAUGCGUUAGAAAUUGUGCCGCAAAAAAUUUAAAAAUGGUAUGAAAUAUUAUGUUUGAAAAAAAAAAAAGAUUUUGUUGCAAAAGAUUAAUAUUAUUUACAUAGAAAAUGUUAGGUAGAUUGUUACAUACAAAGAUUUGAUCGGCACAUUCUACACAAGUAGUUCAUGUGGCCUUUGAUUGAUAGUACUUGCACACAAAAGAUUAUAGAUUUUUGUAUUAUUUACAUGCAAAAAUGAUAAAGUUCGUAAAAUUUUGUAGCAGUUACCUCACAUAACUUCCCUUUCGAAAAAUACGAAUUGAUGUGUAUCCUUGAAUGUGAUUCCUGAACAUUAUGAGCAAUCUUAAGAGGGUAAGGAAGUGAACAACAAUAUCGCAUCUAAAGUAAUCUGAAGCAAUAUAUUAUAACCAUUUAAGAUAUCACAUAAAAGCUUAAUAACCAUAGCUACAUUGAAGAAUACAAUGUGAAAUGCAUAGGACAGUCUAAAACAUGAGUCCACCCAUGUGCCACCCGGAGGUUAACAUUUCUCUGUUCAAGUAGAGAUACAACAAAAACAAACUAAUGUGUCAAGAUCUUUGGAAAUUGCUACUGCCUUGGGGGUGGAACUUAAAACUAUUAUUUAUGUUGUUUAUAUGGCUAGCUUUGGAUUGGGGUUUGCAUUCUCUUUAGAUUGAGAUUCUUCUUUGGCAAUGCAUUUUCUUUCUAAUGGAUCUUCUUAGGGUGCCUUGCCAUUUAUCGGUUGAUUGGGCAAAUUGUUGCAUAUUCUCUCUCCCCAUCCAUAUUCUGCUUUCUCACAUUUAUUGCGAAGGAAAUCAAGUGGCGGAUUGUUUGGCAAAUUAUGGUGUUGAUUAUGUUGCGGUUCAUUGGUGGAAUUCUUGUCCGCCAUGUGCAAUUGCGGCUUUUGCUAACAAUCUUUCGGGAUUUCCAAUUUUUCGUUUCUCUUAGGAAUUGUCUUAAUUGUUUUUUGUUUGUAAUAGCCUUCUACUUCUUGUUAGGGUAUGGUUUCAUGUUCCCUCUAACUUUUUGUAUCUUUAUUUUUUAGGAAAACUAACGAAAAGUCCAAAAAAACUUCUUUUUUAACGAAAAACCCAUUUUAAAGGUAUAUUGAAUAGUGUCAGUUAAAGGUAAAAAUGUAGUUUUUCAUUAAAAAUGAACAGUACCGGAAGUGUUUUGUUAAAACUCUUUUUUUUUUCUUCUUCAAUAUAUUCACAAUAAUCUCUUUUUUAUGUUAGGUAUGUUGAAGUGGAAGUGACAUUGCUUUUUUUAUUAAAAAAAAGGAGUGAUGAGUGUGACAGGUUUCUGGUAGAAGUUGGAAUGGCUUCAAUCUAAUUAUGUUUGUAAAUUUUUUGGUGAAAAUCAUGUUUCUAAUUAUUGCUAGCCCAUUGUAUUAAUCUUAAAACAUCAUUACACUCGGUUUUGCAUUAAAUUUUCCGUUAGCUCUAACUACUUCAUGUCUUUUCUUAAAGUCUAUUUCCAAGUUUUCUUAAGUCUUUCUCUACCAAUUUUGCCUGAAAUAAAAAAAAUAGAUACAAGGUGUAUGGAGCAAGAAAUUGGAGAAAACUAAAGACAAAGUUGAAUUAUGUCUUCUUUUAGUUUAUAGAACAAAUAAUUAUUGAAUAUUUUUUAAAUUUUAUUGGUGAAAAAUUAGGUUUGUAAUUUUCAUAUUAAUCAUAGAUAUACAAAAUUUACAGAGGCAAAUAUCAUUUAAAGUUAAAAUUUUACAGAACAAUGGAGCUCUCAAUGAUGCCAAAGUGGAUGAUUUUGGCCACUUUUAUCACCACUAAUUUUGCUGGCAUCAGCUAGGCCCCAACCUGACCCGACCAAGUUGAAUUCAAGUAAUAGGUUUAAGCUCAAUGUUGGAGACAGAGGACUCUCUGGAGUAUGGAGUCUUGGACUGUUUUUUUUUUUCUUUCAGAAAAUGACUCGAAGCUUCUGCUGCUGAUAUGUUGGAACUUAAGGUCAUCUCCAACCGAAUGAGUUAUAUUUAGCCUUCAUCUAAAUUAUAGUCUUGUAAGAAAUUAUUUUUUAAUAAACAGUGUCAGAUCAUAUUUAUAUACAAUCUCUAACCGAAAGACACUAUUUUUAGUCACCUCAAUAAUUUAUUAUUUUAAGUUUGUUCUUUAAUUUUAUCAGUUAAUUGAAUUAAAUCAUAUUAAAAUAAGGUUUCCGGACAUAUUUUAAGGGCUACUUGUCCCUAAAUGUUGUUUUAAGUUUCAUGUUAUUAAAUAUUUUAAAUUUACUUGCAUGUUAACAACUUGAACAUUAAAAUGAUGUAAGAUAGUAUGGAAGGUUGAAAAUGAUAUGAGAAAUAGUGUAGAAAUGACUUAGGUACUUAUAGGGAAAAUUUUGAAUUAAAUUUUUUUUUUUCAAAUUCGUAUUAAAAAAAUAAAAGGCUACAUGAUGUCAACUAGUAGUACAACUGAGUUCAACUUUUAGGGCUGACUGUCUAUAUUUGCCCAACCCUUUGGCCAUUUGGCUAUAUUUUGGCUCGGUGGGUCCCAAAUUUUUUUGACCUAACCCUUUAUUGGAGAUUGAUUUUGUGUCAAAACAGGCUAUAUUUUAGCUUAUAGCCAUUUGGCCAGCUUGGUUGAAGAUGGCCUAAAAGUGAUGAAAGGACCCCCAUCCCCUUCCACAGUUGGCUUUUGAAGUCUUGGUAACUUGACAGUCAACUAUAAUGUCAACUGCUAAAGCCUGAUUCUAUCUCAAUUGCUUAAUUACAGCCUGAUUCUCUCUUAUUAGCACCUAAAUCCCUUUUUAAUUAUAUUGUUUCACACUUUGCGGUUCAUCUCUCUGCAACUUCCUAUGCUAAAGUUGGUAAUCUGGUAUCUCUAAUAUUCCUCUAUUCAUUUUGCCCUAAAAUAAAAUAAAUACAAGGUUAUGGAGGAAGAAAUAGAGAAAACUAAAGACAAAGUUGAAUUAUGUUUUCUUUUAGUUGAUAGAACAAAUAAUUAUUGAAUUUUUUUUAAUUACUGGUGAAAAAUCAGGUUUGUAAUUUCCAUAUUAAUCGUAGACAACAGAACUUACAGAGGCAAAUAUCAUAUAAAGUUAAAAUUUUACAGAACAAUAGAGCUCUCACUGAUGCCAAAGUGGAUUAGGAUUUCGCUGAUGCGUAUACUACUAUUUGGUUCCAAAAUAAUCUCUCUUCCAUGAUAUUAUUGUUGGAUAAUUUGGAAUGGAGACUUAUUUUCUGCAUCACGUGCUGGUUUUUGUCGCACUGACGAAACAAAAGUACUUUUGAAUAGGAUUUGGCUCUCGCUGAUGAUUCCGAAUCUAUGAUCAUUACUUAUUUGAAAGAUUGGCUUGGGGCGAAGAUGGUUUAUUUCCUAAAACUCCUUCGAACACAUGCUUUCCUUCGUUAAGAACCUCCUACUGAGGGUUGGGUAAACUUUAAUGUUGAUGGGUGUCGUAAGGGGAGGCCAAUUUCAUCAGUGUUGGCAGUGUCCUCAAAAACUCAUCGGGAGCAUGGGUUUUUAGUUUUUGUGCUACUCUUGGUCGAGGUGAAAAUCUAUGUGCUGAAGUUUGGGGUGUUUUUAUUGGGGUGCAUCUUGCAUGGAAUAACGGAAUUAAGAAAAUUAUGGUAGAAUCAGAUUGUGCUCUUACGGUUCAAUUCGUUAUAUCUAUCGUGAAAAGAAUUUUGUUACUAAUAAUUUGGCUUGUUUAAGUUUGUCAUGCAGUUUGGGUUGAGUUUUUUUUUUGGGACACUUUAUAUCCGGUCCUUAGUUGGUAUAGAUUUUUGACUAAAACCUUAUUGUUUUUUACUUUUUGAUUAAAGUCCCUAUAAUUUGUCCACAUCAGCAUUUACUGUCAAUAUAUUUCCAUGUCAGCUUUCUUUUUAUUUUACUAAAAUAGUUAAUUAUUGCAUUUUUUAUCCCACGCUGUGUUUUUAUUUCAGGACUCUUAUGCCUUCAACGCCUCUUAUGCUUACCGAACUGAAUUAACGCAUCCGUUCCACCAAAUAAUCACGCUCAUUUGAUUUCGUUCAGUUUUUUAUUUUCGUAACCGCAAAAUCCACAAUAAUCUCACUCAAAUUUUCAAAUUCAUCAUUAUUAUUUUUGAUAUGAAUCCUCAAUUUCACUUUCCGGCAAAAUUUGGGUCAAAAUCAUAUUUUAUCCGCGAGUGUUCGAAGGAGCGCAGUUUUUGGCAGGGGAACUUGUUGAAUCAACGACCCUUACGAGCUAAAAUUCCAGGUAUUGGAACUUCAAUGAUUUCAGCAUGUCCCUUAUUGUUUUGUAGUGUUUUUUUCUAGUGUAUACCAAGUGUUUGUCGAAAUGUUUGAAUGAUAAUUUUGAGUACAAUUCAAUUCAAUUGCACUGUAUUCGUGUUUUACAGUGGUCCAUGAUAUAUGUGGUUUUGAGUGAAUAUUUGAACAGUAAUAGAACUCUAGGAGGGGGUACAAACGAGUUGGCAUGGGGUAUAAUGCAAUAUUUUGUUGAGUUGGGGUAAUAACUAGGUGCGGAUACAUUCUUAAAUGUUGGGAGUGUGAAUUCAUUUUACUAACAUUGACAAGAAUGGGUACGAACUAGGUGGCAUGGGGUACAAUCCAACACUUGUAGACUUCCAGAAUUGGUAUGCAGGGGUACAAACCAGUUGGCAUGGGGUGUAAUGCAAAUGGUUGUUGAGUUGGGGUACAAACUAGUUGGUAUAGAUUUUGACAGGGGGUACAAACUAUUCGAUAUUAACAAGCAGUUGGCAGGGUUAAAAACUAUGAGAUAUUGACUAACAGGGGUGCAAACUAGCUGGUAUAGAUUUUGGCAGGGGGUACAAACUAUGAGAUAUUAAUAAGCAGUUGGCAGGGGUACAAAUUAUGACAUAUUUGACAAUCAGGGGUACAAACUAGUUGGUAUAGAUUUUGGCCGGGGUACAAACUAUGGGAUAUUAACAAGCAGUUGGAAAGGGUACAAACGAGUUGGCAUGGGGUGCAAUUCAAUACUUAUAGAUUGGCAUGGGGAAUAAUGGAAAAUUUGUUGAGUUGGGGCUGUAUAGGCGCGGAUACAUUAUCAGUGUUGGGAGUAUGAAUUCAUUUUAUUAACAUUGAGUUGGAGGGGUACAAACUAUAUCGUGAUGGGGUACAUUCUGAACACAGAUUGUCCCAAGAUCAUUUUACUAACAUUCAUAAGUGUGUAUGGCCCUUUCACCAGCUUGAAAAUUUUGAUAAACGAUGGGGUUCUGAAUGUACAUUGUAGGCACAUUCUCAACAUCUUGAAAAUUUUCUUAAACUUGUUAAUGUUACUAUAUUGUUCCCUUACUAAUAUGUUACAUAAAUACAUAUGGGAGUUGGACACAAGAUUGUGAUGAAGAUUUGUGCAAGAAUUUAAAUGUUUCUUUUUUGGAUAGGUACAUGAAACUAUGAGGUAUCGUUCGAGCCUUCUUCAUUUUGCUAGGUUGUACCCGAGAAUAGAAGGAUUUAUUCGUACCGGGCAUGAUGAAGAGAUGAAAAAAACACCAUUUUGGAACUUGUUUAAGGCAUAUCGUGAUGGUCAUGUUACAAGUGAGUUUUGCAAAAAAAUUGACACAGAUGUUGCUAGAAUAGUAAAUCAGUACAAUAAAGAUAUGAAGUUCUUUGUGUUUGGGGACAUUUAUGCGAGGUUCACACCAAGUGAUAUAGCUGCAAUUCUUGGCUUGCCUAAUAUGGGUUACACACUUAAGCAUACUGGUAUGAAAGGUGUGAGAGUGAAACACACUACAUUUAUGACAAGGUAUUUUUGCGUUCAAAAGGAUCGGGUUACAAAAAGUGACGUUGAGGGUGCACUUAUUAAAUCGGUUGCGGGGGAUACAGAAGAAAGCAAAAAAGAUUUUGUAAGAUUGGUAUGCCUAUACUUCUGCAACUCUCUAUUAUUCUCCAACACAGCAACACAUGUUUCAUGGACCAUUGUCAAAUUAUGCGAAGACCUUGAUCAAAUAGGUGGCUACAAUUGGGCAGCGGCUACUUUUGACUGUCUGUUCAGUUCACUUCACAGGGCAGUCAACCCGAGUUCAGUUAACGGUUGUGUGGUUGCAUUAUUGGUAAGUCACUUUAUAUUGAAACAAUUUUUGUGUGUAUAUAUGUAGUUAAUUUAAUGUCUUAUUAUUAAUAUGGUUGUGAAACAGUUUUGGGCUUGCGAUAAAAUGGGAAUGUGUAACAAAAUUGCUGGAAGGGAAAACAUAUGCCCGAGCUUUUUAAGGUGGAGCAUGACAGAUUUCCAUGAAAAGCUUAUAGUAACAGAUCUUGCCACUAUGAAGGUAUAACAAUUUUUUUAUUAACAUUAUAUAAAAAUCAUUCGAUUCAAGUGACAUUGUAUAUUGAUUUAACUUGCAGUCACAUGUGAACCACGAGAUGGUGCUUUAUGCACACGCGGAUGAUGAGAAUGUACCCAUAAAACUGGAUGAUAUACUUGGAAACGCUGUCAAUAAGGAGGAUGAAAACCACGCCAAUUCACAUAGUCCAGCAACUAAACUUGUCGAAUUUGAUGCUCCAAAUUGGCAACUCAUUGCAACACAAGAUUUUUAUUCCUCAUCAUCCAAGUUUUCCCCGAAUGUCAGCCCACGUGUGAUUGCAACGAAUGGGAUGAACGACAGUGCAGCGGAAAAGAACAACCCGCAGUCUGGAAUGAGUGAAAUGGAUAUUAGAUGUGAAACGGCUGAAAUAAAAGUGGAUGUACUGACAGAGUCAUUGAUUAUUGCUGAUAAUGAUUUGGAGGCUGCACGGAUGCAAAUAGAUACACUAAUUGAAGAGAACAAGAAAUUGAAAAAACAGUUGGCUGCAAUACAGAACAUGGGUUCGUAUUCGUCAGUACUAACACAGUGCUCCAUGUACAGACGAAUCAAAACAAGAGAAGGCAGGAUAAGGCGCAGGCUACCUGAUUUUAGCUAUGGAAGCACUAUUAAAAAGCGAAAUACCAGUAUGAAACGGGCAAGAAACUCAGCUGAGUGCAGUGUUGCAGCCCAUGAUGUCAGUCGGAAAAAGGUAAGAACCGACUCAAAAAAGAUUUGUAAAAAGAAGAAUGUGCUGAAACCAAUUUCUAUUAUAGACCCUGACUUUGUAGAGCCUAUGCGAACAAUGCUUGAAAAUCCGAAAGAGAAAAACACAUUUUGCGAUAGUGCUUCUAAGACUGUUGAUAAGCAUCCAUUAGUACAACAAAAGCAUGUUACCAGUGAUGAAGGCAUGAACUGGGACACCGAUGCUGUUAAAAAAAGACUUGAACUUAAAAAAACCCCUGUGGGUCCAUACUUUGAUGAUGAUGACUUCAACAGGCUUGAGAAAUUUGUGAAUGUUGAAUAUUCAGGGUAAGAAACCUACUUGUUAGUUGCUAUUGUAAUAUGUUUUUCUUUCUUUUUUUUUGGUACGUUGUUGAUUGUUUUUUUAUCAAUGUCAUAUUUUUUUGUAUUUUCAAAUAGGACUGCAUUAUGGAAAAGUGAUCGAGCUAUCAUCCUACAUGAGGAUAUUAUGUUCUUACUCACUAACCAAGCAAUCACUACAAAUGUAAGAUUAUUGAAAACUUGUUUGGAAUACUGAUAUAUUUGGUUUUGUAAUGUGGUUUUGCAUAAUGUUUUGAUUUUGUAGACAAUUGAUGCAUAUGGAGAUAUCUUACACAUGCACCUAGAUAAUGAUAAUAAGAAGAUACAGAGGGAAUCGUAUUUCAUGUCUGCAAAUAUAUGGGUUAGUAACUUAGUAUGGAUAUUUAGUUUUCAAAUUUUGAAUAUUAACCUUGUAUUGGGUGAAAUGGGUCCAUUUUAUUUAAUCGUUACAUGCCAACAGGAAUUCAAGAUCUCCAACAACCUAAAGGCUCUUGAAACAUUUCUUUAUAACCCAUUGCUUAAAGUGUUUGGCAAGUAUGACAUGAUAUUCUUUCCCAUAAGGCAUGGUUUUGAAGAUCACUACACUUUAGCUCUACUUGACACCAUAGAAGGGAAGUGGUACCAUUACAAUCCACGCCUUCCGGAAAAUGGAAAUCUGCAUAAUCCAUGCUUUAACGAUGCUGUGCAAUUAGUAAGUUUAUUUUCUUUACAAUGAAUGAAUACUAUACAAUCGGUUAAACUUGAAAUUUCCACAUUACAUCACCCUCCUAUCUGUAUCAAAGAACAUGUAUGUCAUUACUUUUUUUUUUUUUAUCUUUACGUAGAGGUUGAUUCAUCAUUAUCAUUGCAGAGUAAGAUGGUGAUGGAAUUCCUAAAACAUCAUCAAAAGCGUUCGAUAUUUGCACUUCGCGAGGGAGUUAUUGUCAAGGGUUUAUUCCACCCUGAUAGUGGUGCGAUGGAGGGGAAAAUGUACCCAAUGUCAAAUGAUGAAAAACUUACAUUUCAGAGUAUAAAGGAUAUCCACAUUGAUUGGCCAAUUGUGCUUGUCCAAAAGUGCCCACAACCUCCUCCAGGCUCGUGAGUACAUUAACUUAUUUUGUCAUUCCUAUUAUUUUGUACCUGGAAAAUAUUCAUAUAGUAGCUUAACACUUUAUGAGGAUUAUGAAUAUGCAGGCUUGAUUGUGGCGUCUCAGUGUUAUAUUAUAUGGAGCACAUGUCAAAGAUGUGGCCAAUAAUGGAAAAUUUUGAUGACGAUGAACUGCUCGAGUAUAGAGCAACAUGUGUGGGUGCAUUUCUGAACGAUGAAUCUAAUUGGUCGCAUGCAUAGGGCACCAACAUGCAGUCAUGGCUAUGAAUCUAAUUUGAUGUUUUUGUUUUAUGGUAAUAGAUAUGAUGUACUUUGUGUACUUUAUGGGUUUAUAAGAUUGUUUUUUUUUUAUGAGAACCAAUUGACGUUUGAAUCCAACUAAUGUGAUUACAUUUAAUUAGUUCAUGUUCACGAGCAUAAUGCUUUUUUUCUUUCUUAAUAUGCAGAAUGAAAAUGAAUUGUUAGAGGUACAAAGGGAGGGUACAUUCUUAACGAUGGGAUUUGAAUUCAUGUCACUAGUACAUUAUCAUUUGUUAGUGUUAAUGUAUUCUCACCAUAUUGAAUUCAUUUCACUUCUAAAUUCUUACUUGUUAAUAUUUGUUUUAAAAUUUUAGGUACAUUCUCGACAUCUUGAAAACUUUUUAAAACUAGUUAAUGGUGUUAAUUUGCACCCACUCUCACGAAAAGUGUGAGGGGUAACAUGAGGUAUCAUUCGAGCGUUGUUCAUUUUGAAAUUCUAAAGAAAUUGCACCUUCAACAAUAGAAGGAAAAGUUCUCUGAACAAAAAAAAUGUAGCCAAUGCAAACAGUAUUGUAACCCAUGCUGUAUGGCUCAACUUCUAAAAUUCUAAAUACAAAUGAACCAAAUUUGAAUACAUAGAAUAGAAGCAAAAUUGUCACACCAAGCUCAAAUUGUGUACAAUUUAAAUGUAAAAAAAUUAUGCAAAGACUGAAUAACAAUGGGAGUAGUAGCAUAAGCUUAUAUAAGAACUGAACAAGUCCUCUUAUUGUGAUGGCCCACUUGAUGACACCGACCACACUCCAAUGGUCUAGCUUCCUCCCCAGCAGAUUUGAUCCUCUUGAUCCUUGGUCUACCAGGUUGCUUCCUAGUUUUAGGAGGUUUCACUAUAAAAUCUGUAUCUUCACUCAUGGGAGGCUUAUCUAUUUGAGGAAUAGGUUGAAUUGGAAAUGAAUAGGAAGACUUGUAGUAAUCAGCGCUGAAAUAAGCCUCAGUGUAAUCAAAAGGAUUUGCACCAUUUUUCAAGAUUGCAGCAAGUGCGUGUGAGCAAGGGAAGCCUUUUAUCUGCCAUUGAUGACAUGAGCAGAUUUGUCUUUCCAAGUCAACCAUCAAUGAAGUAUCAUCGGUUUGCACUUCAAACACAAACUCACUAGACCGUCUAACAAGCCAAUGCCUACCAACCUCAAUAGAUGCAACCAUCUCAGCCUCCAUCUCCGGGCAUAAGAAAGUGGUCCAUUUGUUUGCCUCAAGAUAUCUUUCAGCAUUCAUUUCCAUCAACUUAAUUCUUAUACCAUCCACCAAUUGGUAAAUUGGUAAGAGACGCUCGUUACUAAUCCAUGCAUUAAAUGAUUCUGCAACGUUCGACCACAUUUCCCCGUACCUAACACAUCGAAAUAAUAAAAUGAGCAAUCUGCAUAAUUUGGUUAUAUGAGAAAUCUGAGAAAUCAAACAGUGUAGAAACAAGUCAUCUUCAUGUAAUAUUAUAAAAUGACACAUGCAUGAAUAAAAACGAAACUUGUAUUGUGUUUUGGAAGAUAGUAAAUUAACAAAAAUUGUUACCUUUUACCCUUGAAAAAUGCAUCGCAAAAAUUCUCUUGUGGGAGAUCCUUCAAAAAUUUGCGCAUUAUAUUACCUCCUUCCUUGACUAAAGCUGCUCUUUUCAAUUCAUACAUCUCGGGGGUGGCAGCAUAUGCACACUCAUUGAACUUUUGAACAAUUUUAUUUCGAAAAACAGAUCCAAGACCAGAGGGGUACUUUUCUAAUAUGUUUAGCUUGAUGUGAUACAAACAAUAUGCAUGAGGGGAGUCUGGAAAAGUAUGCGUCACAGCCGGAAUCAACCCCUUGUGUCGAUCAGAAAUGAAAGUUAUGGUACGUUGUUGUGGCUCCAAAAUCUUAGCCAAAUUUUUAAGAAACCAUAUCCAAUUAUUUUGGUCCUCACCACCAACUAAUGCGAAUGCAAGAGGAAAGAAUCCUUCAACCAACAGAUUAAAACAUGACAAAAUAAGUGGUCAGCAUUAUAUACCAAACUUAUGAAUAAAAGUGCAUCGUGAGCAAUAUACAUAAUCAGGUUAAAGGUACCGAAUCUUCAAAAUUUUGAAAGAUGCUAUAUAAUCAUGUUGAAUAGGAAGAGUUAUUAUUAUGCAAAUUAUUAAAAUAGAAAAAUUUAAGGGACAUGUGCAUACCUUGAUUGCCAUUUUUACCAAUUGCAACAAGCAAUGUUCCUUUGUAUUUGUCUUUCAAGAAAGUACCAUCCAAAAACAACAUAGGCCUACAAAACUUAAAACCCUCAAUAGAACCACCAAAUGCAAUAAAUAUCCGCUGGAAAUGAAAGGUUUCUUGGUCAAACUCCAAUUCGCAAUGAGAACCAGGAUUUGUUUUUUUGACAGCUUCUACGUACCAAACCAUUUGAUGAUACGACAACGAGUCAUCACCAUGAACUUUAGUUUUUGCAAUCUCUUUCCCAUACCAUGCAUUGUAAUAGGAAAUAUCUAAACCGUAGUCUCUCUUGAAAUCCAUUACAAUAUCAAUUGGUUUAAUACGGGGUCUGGUCCGUAUCUUUUCAACUAUAGCAGAAGCUACAACUUUGGAAGUCAUCAUACCACUUUUCUUCUCACGAAUGCGGCCUGUGCAAGUGUGUUCGUUAUUUAACCUCUUAAUAUAAAAGAAAUUGUUAACACGACAUACUGAUGCAUGCACACGCCAUUGACAACCUUCAGAAUAUUUCUUAUUACAUACAGCUGUAACUCUUUCCCUAUCAUUCUUCACAUACACAAAUGUGAAUCCCAUUUCAACCGCAUACUUACAAAGUUUGUCUCUGAAUUCUUCCACUCCGCCUUCAAAUCCUUGAUUUACAUGAUUGAUGUAGGUCUUCCAAGAGUUUGACAGAUACACUUUGCCUCCCGGUGUUGCAUAUUUCCCUAAAUAGUCAUUCCCAUCACUAUGAAUAUUUCCUUCAAUUAUAAAUGUUUGUGAAGCAUUGGUAUUUCGGCUGACACGAUCAUUAUCACGACACGACUUUUGGUUGAUAACUAUAUCAACACAAUAAUAUUUCUCGUUGACAACCGACAUGUGCAACAUCCGCACAUCCAUAUCAGAUUGCAAUAGGCAAGUAGAAUAUCCAGGUAAAGCAUAUGUAAGAUCGAAUAAACCAUGAGUCAAAUUACUAAGCCUUGAGCAAACCUCAUUGUACACUUCAGAGAAUGUAGUGUGGCAAAAAAUUGGGAUAGAUAUAGUGGUACCCUGAUGAGUGCAUCUCCCCAAUAUAACACCUUCCAUCUGAAAAAUAAAAGAAAGUAGAGACAACAACAACCCAAAGCAUUAUAGCUUGACAUGAAAAAAGUGCAUAUAAAUUUUCAUAAGGAAAAACAAGAAAGAUGAAUUAAACUAUGUCCAGUUACUAUUUGCUGUUCGUACCCCCACUCCAAAUACCGUAUAUGUCAAACAGAAAAAUAGAUGGCAAAAACUCUCUGCCUUAGCUAGUCCUCCCUUGAUUUAUCUGCUCAGUUUAAUGUUGUACCCCUGUCUAUACUUUUACAACUCUCUAUUAAUUUCCAACACAGCUACACGUGAACCAUUGGUAAAAAAUGUACACAAUGCGAUUGAAUUGUACCCAUGCACACCAUAAUAGAGAAAAAGACUUAUUCAAUAAUUUUUAUGAACAAUUUCUAUGCAUACAAAAAUUUCAUAUUCGAAAUUCUCUUUCAAACAUUUCGACAAACACUUGGUAUGCACCAUAAAAACACUGCAAAAACUACAAGAUACAUGCUGAAAUCAAUUAAGUUCCCCAAUACAUGCCAAAAAAUUUGUUAAAGAAUCAUUUUACAUAUGCAAAACCAAUUGCAAAACCAAUUGUGAAAACAAUACUGCACUACCUGUAAAUAUGGGUACAAAAAUUAUAAACCCAAGAAUCUACCAUUACGGCCAAAUCGGUAUAAACGAACUAUGGUGCAAAUUCAAAAAAUGAAAAAAUACCUCGAAUUUUAGCUCGGAAGUGUCGUUGAUUCUUCAAGUUACUCUGCAAAAAAAUGCGCUCGUUCGAACGCUCGUGGAUAAAGUAUGACUUCGACUCAAAUCUUGGCGAAACUUGAAUUUGAAGAAUCAUAUCAAAUAUAAUAAUGCUAGAUUUGAAAAACUGAGUGAGAUUAUUAUGGAAUUUGCGGUUACGAAAAUCAAAAACGGAAGAAAUCAAUUGUGCAGGAUUAUUUGGUGGAAUGGAUGCGUCAAUUCAGUUUGGUAAGCAUAGGAGGCAUUGCAGGCAUAAUAGUUGUGGAAUAAAAACGUAGCCUGGGAUAAAAAAUUGCAAUAAUUAACUAUUUUAGUAAAAAUAAAAAAAGGUGACAUGGAAAUAUGCUGGUAAUACAAUGCUGAUGUGUACAAACUUCAAGGACUUUAAUCAAAAAGUUAAAAGUAACAAGGUUUUAAUCAAAGAGGAUCAAUAAUUAGGGACCGGAUCCUAAUUUCUCCUUUUUUUUUUAACAAGCUCCCACUUCUUAUCAUCGAGUGUUAAUUGCAAAUAUGACUAUGAUUUCGUGAUAUUCUUACGUAAUUCUUUCUUCUUUUAGGGUUUAUGCUCCGCUGUCAUAAAAGAAAAAGACAUUGGAUUGGGAUUUCGGCCACUUGAUUCACUCACAUCAGUUUAGGCCCCAACCCGACCCGACCAACUUAAAUUCAAGUAAUGGGCUUAAGCCCAGUGUUGGAGACAAAAGGACUCUUUGGAGUUUGGAGUCUGGGACUGUUUUUCUGCUGCUCAUACGUUGGAUCUCCCUCCCAUACCCUUUCGCUGUUGGCUUUUGAAGUUUUGGUAACCUUGAAGUCAACUACAAUGUCAACUGCUAAAGCCUGAUCAAAUCUCUGCAUGCAACUGCUCCAAGGUAGUCUCUCUGGCCGCAACUUCCAUCUCAAUUGCUUAAUUAGAGCCUGAUUCUCUCUUAUUAGCACCUUAAUCCCUUUUUAAUUAUAUUGUUUCUCACUUUGCAAUUCAUCUCUCUGCAACUUCCUAUCCUAAAAUUGCUAUUCUGGUAUCUCUAAUAUUGCUGACAUGAAAAAUUCAAAAUGCUAUUUUGCCAAAAUCACAUUGGUUACUUUGAUUGGUGCCUGAUUGCGUGGUUUACAGUUAUGCCUCGUUUGGUGUCUAGGAUUGGAUUGGAAUUGAUAACCCUCUAAAGAUGCCUCGUUUGGUGUCUCGGAUUGGAUUGGAAAGGAUAACCUUUAAAUUCAACGUACAUUGAAGGGAGACCAAAAUUAUAUUUCGUUUUGGGGAGGAUCGGAAUGCACAAGUUUUUUUUCCUCGAGUAAUCCAUCUCCUACCCCCAACCAAGUUGACCGUAAUUUUUUCAUUUCUUCAUUCAAAAUACCUUGGCUUAUCCAUUCGAAUCCAAUCCUUUAUACCAAACUAGGCCUUUGGGUUAUGAAAGUAUGAUGCUUUGACUACUUUUGGGUUUGCAGGCUGCGAAUAUGGCCGAUUCUUCUUCUGAUUCUGUUUCUUUUACCCCUCCUCGAGAAAAGUAUGAUGUCUUUCUUAGUUUCAGAGGUGUGGAUACCCGUGAUACUUUUACCAGCCAUCUCUACGCUGCUCUAGUUCGCAAGAAAAUUGACACCUACAUAGAUUACAAGCUUGAGAGAGGAGAUAAAAUUGGACCUGCCCUUCUCGAUGCAAUAGAGAAAUCAAAGCUUUCGGUGGUCAUUUUCUCGAAAGACUAUGCUUCGUCCACAUGGUGUUUGGAUGAGCUUGUGCAUAUACUAGGAUGCAAGGAAAGAUAUGGACAGACUGUUAUACCCAUCUUUUACGGAAUAGAUCCAUCACAUGUACGAAAACAACAGGGGAGUUAUGCAGAUGCGUUUGCUCACCUUGAAAAACGUUUCAAGGACAAUUUGGACAAGGUGAACAAGUGGAGGGAUGCUUUGAAGGAAGCAGCCGAUAUGUCAGGGUUUGAUACUUCUAGCAAAAGAGGGUAACUUACUCUCUAACUCGUACCAAUUUCUGCUUGUGACCAUCUGGUUCAUCAAAUAUUUGUUAAGGCAUGCUUACUAAAUAUUGUAUCAUAUUUCUUAGGACGGAGGCCAAUUUUGUUGAGGACGUUGUCGAUGAUAUUAUGACCAAAUUGAAUCGCAAAUCAUUACGUGAUUUAAAGAAGGACAUGGUUGGAAUUGGAACUCAAAUUGAGCAAAUUGAAUUGUUAUUAUGCAUUGAUUCACCAGAUGUUUGCACCGUAGGUAUUUGGGGCAUGGGUGGUAUUGGCAAGACCACCCUUGCUGAAGCUGUUUUUCACCGACUCACUUCUAAAUUUGAGGCUUCAUGUUUUCUUCCAAAUGUGAGGGAGGAGUCAGAAAGACAUGGACUAAAGCACUUGCGGAAUGUACUUCUUCGUGAGAUACUAAACGAAAAAGAUCUAAAUAUUGACACUCCAUCUAUAGGACUAUGUUUUGUUCCAGAAAGGCUCAGCCGUACAAAGGCACUCAUUGUUCUUGAUGAUGUGAAUGAUUCAAAGCAAUUGGAACUUCUAGUUGGUGAUAAUAUUCGGUUUGGUCGCGGAAGUCGAAUCAUUAUAACUACUAGAGAUAGGCGCCUUCUUAAGGUAAUCGUUGAUGCUGAUAAGAUCUACAAGGUUGAGGGAUUAAACUGUGAUGAAGCUCUUCAGCUCUUUCAUUUGCAUGCUUUCAAAAAUAAAUCUAUGGUUCCAUAUUAUACAGAGUUGUCGGAAGUGGUGGUAGAAUAUGCUGGAGGCAUUCCAUUAGCUCUUAUAAUUUUGGGUUCCUUGUUCCUUCACUGUGAGAGCAAAGAAGAUUGGGAAGAUCAAUUGAACGAGUUGAAAAGGUUUCCCAACCGAAAAAUUCAGAAUGUGUUGAGAUUAAGUUAUGAUGGAUUAGAAAAAAAUGCAAAGGAGGUAUUUCUUGAUAUAGCAUGUUUUUACAAAGGGAUGGAUAUAGGUUUUACAAAAGAAAUGUUAGCUAUUCGCGGUUUCUUUGUAGGAGGGAUUAAAGUUCUCAUUGAUAAGUCUCUCCUAUCAAUUUCAACAAGGAACUGCCUAGAGAUGCAUGAUUUGUUACAAGAAAUGGGUCGGGAAAUUGUUUCUGAACAAUGUAUUGAAGAGCCCGGAAAACGCAAUAGGUUGUUCAUUGCUGACGAUGUCUGUCGUGUAUUGAAGAACAAUACGGUAAGAGAAAAAUGCCUUCAACUUUGUAUGACAAGACACCAGUGAAACACUCAUUUCAGUACAAAUUGCUGCAAUCUUAUCCUUAUUUAUAAUGUGUUUUUUGAUUGUAGGGAACUGCAACCGUUGAAUGCAUAUUCUUUAACCUCUCUCAGAUUAGAGGGAUACAAGUGAGUCCUGCAGCCUUCGAAAAGAUGUACAAUCUCAAAGUGCUAAGGAUUGAAAACAAAAGCUUUGACAAGAAGUACAACAAAUUAUACCUUUCUGAUGGUCUUCAGUCUCUUCCCGAAGCACUUAGUUAUAUUUACUGGGAGGAAUACCCUUUGAAAGCCUUACCAUCAAAAUUUUAUCCAGGAAAUGUUAUUGAACUCCGAAUGCCCUACAGCCAAGUUGAGAAACUUUGGGAUGAAAGCCAGGUAUUUAUUCUUAUUUUAGUUCUUGUAUAAAAUGGGGGUGGAGCUAUUCAAGGCUUACUUAUAAACUCUUUGUCAUUUCUCGUUCAUUUGUUACAGAUUUUUGGGAACUUAAAAGAGAUUGAUCUAUGUUUCUCCAAACAUCUAAUUGAAGUUCCAGAUCUAUCUCGAAGUCAAAAAAUUGAGCAUAUAAAUCUUGGUGGCUGUACAAGUUUGGUUCGGAUUCCUUUGUACUUUCAGUAUCUUGAAAAGCUUAAGCAUCUUCAGCUGGAAGGGUGCUCAAAUCUCAAAUAUCUUUCGGAGAUGCCAGGCAAUAUUGAAUCCUUAAAUUUAUCUAUGACUGCAAUAAAUGAAUUGCCGUCAUCAGUUUGGUCUCAUGAAAAGAUUUUGCACUUGGAUAUUCGAUCUUGUAAGAACCUUAAGAAUCUUCCAAGUUGCAAUUGUAAGCUGAAGAUCUCAGGUACUUUUAGUGUAAGAGACUGCUCAUCUCUUGGCAUGUUUUCAGAGCUUCCCAAGGCUAUAAAACUGUUAGAGUUGACUGGGACAGCAAUAGUUGAACUGCCGUCAUCAAUCGAGUGUCUUUCUGACCUCAUUGAAAUUCAACUGGAAAAUUGCAAAAAGUUUGCGAAACUCCCGUCAAGCAUUUGUAAGUUGAAAUCUCUUGAGAGACUUGAUCUCACUGGUUGCUCUGAAUUUGAAUGCUUUCCAGAAAUCUCGGAGCCUAUGGAUCAUCUAGAAUUUCUUAGUUUAGAAAGAACAGCAGUUAAAGAGCUGCCCUCAUCAAUCGAGUGCCUCUCGGGUCUCACUUCAAUCAAAUUGAAUGACUGCAAAAGGCUUGUGAGUCUCCCAACGAGCAUUUGUAAGUUGAAAUCACUUCACAGACUUGAUCUUACUGGUUGCUCUGAAUUUGAAUAUUUCCCAGAAAUCUUGGAGCCUACAAACCAUCUGGAAUUGAUUGGUUUAGAAAGAACAGUGGUUAGAGAGCUACCGUCGUCAAUUGGAAAGCUAUCUGGGCUUCAAACAUUAGAGCUAUAUCUCUGCAAGAACCUCGAGUUUGUCCCUAAUAGCAUCUACAAUUUGAACUGUCUUAAAACUCUUAGCUUUGAUGGCUGUUUAAAACUUAAAGAAUUGCCUCCCUUCUCGGUCGGGUUGUGCUCGUUGGAAAGACUAAACCUUAGUUACUGCAGCAUACUGGAGAUCCCUGAUCACCUCACUUGCAUAACCUCAUUACAAGAUUUAGAUCUAAGUGGAACCUUGAUUAAAAGCCUACCUACAAGCAUCAAACGAGCAUUUCAGAUGCGGUGGCUGCGCUUAACCAAUUGCAAAAGCCUUCAAACUUUACCAGAGCUCCCAUUGCUACAUUCUCUCGAAGCACAUGGCUGCACAUCUCUGAAGACAGUGUCAAGUUCAAGGACUGCACUCGCACAAGGUUGGGAUGAUUAUGAAGUUAUCCGAGGGCUUCCAGAGGAACUUAAAUUUUCGAAUUGUGUAAAGUUGGAUGAGAAUGCAUGGAGCAACAUAAUGUCUGAUGUGCUGAUUAGAAUUGUGCGAAUGGCAAUAGCAUUAUCAAUCCUUAGAGUUCAAGAUGAAGUAACAUAUGUAUGGACUCUCUCUCUAUCUCUCUCUCUCUCUCUCUCCCCCCCCCCUUGUUGUUUACUAGAAUAUGUUGGUAUGAUUUCUAACAAAUUAAGGUUGGAGGAGCUGCUAUUGUUUGAUUCAAUAAUCAUGAUGUUCAUCCAUGGCACAGGACUUUUAUCAUGCAAGAUAUUCGACUCCCUUUGUAUGUCCAGGGAGUGAAAUUCCAAAUUGGUUCAGCCAUCAAAAUGAGGGAUCUUCAAUAAAAAUCAAGCUUCCUCCAGAUUGGUUUAACACAGAUUUCUUGGGUUUCGCUCUAUCUGUUGUUGUUUCAUUUGAUAACUAUAAUGUUAUACGGGGUUUGAAUUUUGGAUGUAAAUCUAAUUUCAAAAACCGUUAUGGUGGAAGCCAUGAAUCUGAUCGUGAAUUCAAUGGUUGGACCACGGAUGAGACCAUCUAUAAUCUUGGAGAACAGGAUGACUACAAUUUCAAUGCUGACCAAGUGUUUGUGUGGUAUGGUGACUUUGAUCUUCUAGAGGGAGAAAAAUCCUCCAGUCCUUUUCCGAAUGUUGUCACUGAGCCCUCUCUGGACUUCUAUGUGGUUGAUCAUCUCGACAGACCCGAGGUGAAGGUGAAAAAGUGUGGGAUCCGCCUGCUGUAUGCCCAAGAUUCCGAGAAUUUUGAUGUCAUGUUGGGAGGUGAAACAAAAGUAGAAGAAGAUGCUAAAACUGAGAAACUUGGUGAUGAAUCUGCAGCUAGUGACAUUUUUAGCUCGUACAAGGAACAAGAAGAUGAAAUAUUCAAUCAGAGAAUUAGAAAGAAAAGGAGAACUGGAGGCGCAAGAGCAGUCAUGUUUGUGGAAGAAGAUAAUGGAACUAAGAGUCUUCCUGACAAGUCUGCGGCAAGUGUAAGCAAAGUUUUCAGCUCAUGCGACGAACAAGAAGAUGAAUUCCUUCACCAGAGAAUUGGCAACAAAAGAACAAAUAGAGGUGCAAGAUCAAGCAUGUUCAAAGAGACCAAAAUGUGGUGGUGGAUAUUGUUCUUGGUUUGGGCCUCUCUUCUUGUUUGGGUUCUGUCCUUCGUGUUGUUGUAAGCCUUGUGGGCUGAAGACGGUUUCGGGUUUCUUAAGCCUAUGGAUUUUCUAGCGCAGUCGAGCCCUUCUCCCUCCCGUGUACAAAAGUUAAUAAAAAAAAAUCGAAUUUUGAUUAUAAUACCAUUGAAGGUACGCAGUUCUCCCCAGUCCUCUAUAGUAUCUAAUUAUGUUUAAGUUUAAAUCACUAUUAUUGCAGCCAUCAUCUUAUUACAAGUUGCAACUACUAUAUCGCAAAUGGAUGACAUGAUUAAAGAAAUUCAAACAGAUUGUCAGAUUAUUGCUAAUUAGAAGUAGAUUUAAAAUUUAAAAUUGCAAACUUUCAUCUAAACUAAUAGUGACGCAAAGUUGACAUUCACACGGGUCCACAUAUCCAAGAUUCCCCUUCCGAUUGGGGCUUGCAUCCUUUUAAAAUUGUUCUCCACUAGACAACACACAAGGUUUGUGACAAUCAUAUUACUAUUUUUUAUUUCUCAUCCCGGACUUUGCCCUUUAAUUAUAACAAAUAAUGAAAGAUCUAAACAACGGAAAAAUAGAAGAAGAAGAAGAACAAAAAAAUGGCUUGCCGGCCAUGUCUUGGAUAUUAUGUUGAUGUGAUUCCCUUUUCUUUAGUUCGAUUAAUGGUUGAAAGUUUCUUGGCACAGAAGCCUGAUCAUUUAGUCUCUGCAUGAAACUGCUCUCUCUUCUCUUGCUUCCUAGCUAGUAACGAAGGCAGCUUUCUCUCUGCAACUUCUUCAUAGCACUCUUGCUUAGUUCAAUCUUGAAACACAACUUGUUCUUGAUUACAUUUUUUUCUCAACAUUUCCGGAGGCAAUUAAUUUCUCUCCACUUUGAAUUAAACUCUGCACUUUCUGAACAUAGUUGGUAUGAUAUCUCGUACUAAUCUCUUUUAUGUCACAAUUGUACGAAACUGGUCAAAGUUGGGGAGAUUUGUUGGUCCCUCAUUUCUUAAAUGAAUGAUUAAAUAUGCAGUCAAGCAUCUCUAAUUUGCAUGUUUUAUGAACAUAUGUAUAUAUGGCAAUUUAUAAACGUUCUCUUUAUUGAAUGUGUUGCAAUAAUUCAGUAUGACAAUAUAAGCAUAUCGUAUCAAAACUAGGUGGAAUGAGGAGGUACAAACAAAGGUGAAGGCUAAGAAGGAAUGUUGUAAAACCUUAUACAAGGAUAGGACCGAUGAAAAUGGUGAAAUGUAUAGAAGAGCGAAGCAAGAGGCGAAGAAAGCUGUGAGAGAAGCUAAGUUAGCGGCUUAUGACGAUAUGUAUAAGCGACUAGAUACCAAAGAAAGAGAGUUGGAUAUCUAUAAACUAGCUAGAGCAAGGGAAAAGAAGACAAGGGACCUAAACCAAGUGAGGUGCAUCAAGGAUGAGGAUGGAAAGGUUCUUGCUACAGAGAACGCGGUCAAAGACAGAUGGAGAGGUUAUUUUCAUAAUCUUUUCAAUGAAGGACAUGAAAGGAGUACUCCUUUAGGGGAGUUGAGUAACUCAGAAGAGUGUAGAAACUACUCCUUUUAUCGUCGAAUCAGGAAGGAAGAAGUGGUUGUAGCUUUGAAGAAGAUGAAGCAUAGAAAAGCAGUGGGCCCAGACGAUAUACCGAUUGAAGUGUGGAAAGCCUUGGGAGAGACAGGUAUAGCAUGGCUCACUGACCUUUUCAAUAGGAUUUUGAAAACGAAGAAGAUGCCAAACGAGUGGCGAAAGAGCACCUUGGUGCCUAUUUACAAGAAUAAGGGUGACGUACAAAAUUGCAUGAACUAUAGGGGUAUUAAGCUAAUGAGUCAUACAAUGAAGCUCUGGGAGAGAGUCAUUGAGCAUAGAUUGAGGCAAGAGACACGGGUUUCGGACAACCAAUUCGGGUUCAUGCCAGGGCGCUCAACCAUGUAGGCAAUCUAUCUCUUACGAAGAUUGAUGGAAAGAUAUAGAGAUGGGAAAAAGGAUUUACACAUGGUCUUUAUAGAUUUGGAAAAAGCGUAUGAUAGGGUCCCAAGAGACAUUCUUUGGAGGAUUUUAGAGAAGAAAGGAGUACGAGUAGCAUAUAUCCAAGCUAUAAAGGAUAUGUAUGAAGGAGCAAAGACUGCCGUAAGAUCUCAUGAAGGACAAACCGAAAGCUUCCCCAUAACUGUAGGAUUACAUCAAGGCUCAUCCUUAAGUCCUUACCUUUUUGCGUUGGUAAUGGAUGAGUUAACAGGAUAUAUUCAAGAUGAUAUUCCUUGGUGUAUGCUUUUCGCAGACGAUAUAGUGUUGAUAGAUGAAACUCAGGAAGGGGUAAAUGCGAAGCUUAACCUUUGGCGAGAAGUGUUGGAAUCUAAAGGUCUUCGCCUAAGCUGAUCAAAGACAGAAUAUAUGGAGUGCAAGUUCAGUGCAAAUGGAGGCUAAAAUGAGUUAGAGGUGAGGAUCGGAGAUCAGGAAAUACCAAAGAGCGACCGUUUUCGCUACCUAGGAUCUAUCUUGCAAAAGAACGGAGAAUUAGAUGGAGAUCUCAACCAUAGAAUACAAGCUGGAUGGAUGAAGUGGAAGAGUGCAUCCGGCGUGUUGUGUGAUCGUCGUAUGCCACUGAAGCUUAAGGGAAAAUUUUAUAGGACGGCAAUAAAGCCGGCGAUGCUGUAUGGCACAGAAUGUUGGGCGGUGAAGCAUCAACACGUACACAAAAUGGGUGUAGGGGAGAUGAGGAUGCUUCUUUGGAUGUGUGGGCACACGAGAAAGGAUAAGAUUAGGAAUGAGGAUAUCCGAGGUAAAGUAGGAGUAGCCGAAAUUGAAGGAAAACUGAGAGAAAAUCGGUUACGGUGGUUUGGACAUGUGCAAAGAAGGCCUACUGACGCUCCGGUUAGAAGAUGCGACUACGGGACAGAGGUUCAGGGCCGAAGGGGUAGAGGAAGACCUAGGAAAACUUUGGAAGAGACUCUAAGAAAAGACUUAGAGUACUUGGAUCUAACGGAGGACAUGACACAGGAUCGAGCACAAUGGCGUUCUAAGAUUCAUAUAGCCGACCGACUCAGUGACUUGGAUUUUUCAAGUCUCCAAUCGAGAAGUUUUCCCCACUCGGGAAAUUAAGGGAACACUACCUCAACCUACAUGCUCCACUCACAAAGCUUCAACAUACAAGCUUCAACAAAAGAAAAAUUCAAAGAACUUAGUGAAGAAGGCUUUGGUGUAUUUAACACAAUACGUUGAAAUGAAACAAAGCUUAUUUAUUGAUAUCUCUAAGAAGUUACAAAUAUGUACAUAUACACGAGCCAAAAUAAACAAACAAGAGGGAGCCUUCACAAAGGUUGCUUAAGAGAAGUCUCAGCAGUCGGCAGAGCCCCAGAAGAGAAGGCACCGGAUGGGGAUCAUUCGGAGCCUUAGUACUGGACAACACCCUAGAAGGAGGAGGCAUCGGAGGUUGAUCAUUUGGAGCUUCAUUACGCGGUACAGCCCUAGAAGACGAAGGCAAUAAAUGCCUUUGGAACAAACCCACAAACCUCUGAUGAUCAUGUAAAAUCUGACCAUCAGAUUCCUUCAUCUGGUCAAGCUUCAUCUUCAUGUUUGUAGCAUAGUCAUGUGCGAGCCGGUGCAACUGUUUAUUCUCAUGCUUGAGCCCUCUAAUCUCCUGUUUGAGACUCAUCACUUCAGCCGCCAAUGAUUCAACUUGGCGGGUUCGAGCAAAUAGGCGUUGGGCCAUAUUAGACAUAGAACCUGCACACUGAACAUUGAGAGUCAGAGAAUCCUUAACAGCCAACUUAUCAGACCGUUUGGAAAGUAGUCUGUUAUCUUUGGGAGUGAGAAGGUUCCUGGCCACCACCGCAGCGGUCAUAUCAUUCUUCAUCACGGAAUCCCCAACGGUAAGAGGACCAGUAGGGGAUAAGAAGGAUGGGCGCCAUAUGUUGUCUGGAGAAGGCGUGGCUGCCUCUUCAACAAGGUUCAAGUCAAAACGAUGGUCGGAGGGGCCAGACAUUUUCAAAGGUGUUGAAGAGAAAAGAGGUCGGACAAAUCAAGAUCUUAGAAAUGCAAGAAGGGAGCUUCUACUGGUGGAGAUUCAAGUGUGCUUUGGAACUUAAUACCAGCCUCUAUAAAAAUCUGCACUCGAUGGAGCUUCAGAAAUCGAAGAGGCGCCUGCUCAGAAAUUGAAAAGGCGUUUGCUUUCUUAAAAGCUGGGCUGCUCAGAGACCACGAGGGCCGAUAUCAGGAAUCGAAGAGGCGUUUGCUUUCUCAAAAGCUGGGCUGCUCAAAGACCAUGAAGGUUGAUCGCAGAAAUCGAAGAGGCGCUUGCUUUCUCAAAAGCUGGGCUGCUUAGAGAUCACGAGGGCCGAUCUCAGAAAUCGAAGAGGCACCUGCUUUUUCAGCCUUGUCAGCACCUGUCACAUGCACACUCAACUUUGCGGAAAUUACGGGCAUUCUGUCGAAGAUUUCUAGUGAAGUAGAAAGCACGUGAAUGUUACUGUUCAAUCAUUCACUUUCCACACGCAACAUCAGCUCACGGGUACCACAAAUAACUUUGCCAAAAAUCUCUGACAAAGUUUAGACACGUGAAGCUUACAGCUCCCAUUACAUCGCUAUGACCAAGAAGGGUAAAAGAAUAGCAAAGAAACAGCACUAACAAAGUUUAGACACAUAAAUUUUGAAGGUCUAGCUACCAUAUUAUUACCCACAAGGGUAAAGGAACAGGACCACUGCUGGAUAAUUGGAAAGUCCCUGUGGGUCAACCUCUGUGCUCCGUGGCAAGGUAGACUAGCAAACAGGCCUAACCUUUACUCACAUUCGAGAAAACACUCCCAACAAGAUUGCUUGCUUCAAGAUCGAAGAGGCACCGUCCUCCGAAUCUCGAGAGCCAGAUUCCCAACAUGAUUACUUUCUCAAAAAGCAACGAGACACCGCUCUCCGAAUCUCUAGAGCCAGACUCCUAGCAGGAUUGCUUUCUCAAAAAUCGAUGAGGCACCGUUCUCCGAAUCUCGAUAGACAGAUCCCCGACAGGAUUGCUUGUUCGAAAAUCGAAGAGGCACCGCUUUCUCAACUUCGAGAGCCCUUUAGAUAAAGCUUGUCUGUAAUCCUCACACCGCUUUCUCAACUUCGAGAGCCAUAUCUCGUUGGAUAAAGCUUGUCUGUAAUCUUCACACGUAACGUCAGCUUUCCAGAUAUCACAGACCACUUUUUCAAAGUGCUCUGACAGAGUUAAAACACGUGAAGCUGGCAGCUCCCACUACCGUGCUAUGACCAAGCAGGGUAAAAGAAUAGUAUUACUCCUUCUUGUUAGGGAAACUCCUAUAUAUGUCGACCUCCAUCCUCAACGGACAGGCAGACCUGCAAAAAUGAUCAACCCUUCCUCAUAUCUGAGAGGGCACUUCCAACGAAGCCUCUCGAAAUACUCAGCUUUCUUUCCCCCCGAGAAUACCUCUGCAAACAAGCUACACCAGAGCAAGAAUAUCUCAUAUCAUCAGGGUUAAAAGCAAGAGUAUCCCAUAUCAUGCUUUUUCCCUGUCUUUUCCUUUGGCCUUGUUCUUACCUGCAAGACAAGGAGAAAGAGAGCAAUCAGUCAGCACUUGGAAUCAAGCUUCCAGUCCGGAACUGACUACCUGGAACCCCAUUGCUCUCGAGUACUCAUCUUCAACAUCUUAUGCUUCCCGAGAAGAUACCACAUCUGCCUGAGGAACAAAUAGGGCAAGUGAGAAGGAUACAAGGAAGCAUGUGGAGACAAGCGCAACAGAACACGUGCUGAUACAUCCACUACUUUGUCAACAGCAAAAGUAUCCCAUAUCAGCAGGGUCGAACGUACUCUAGAUUUGAUGGACUUGUUUUGACCCUCAAAUUCUUCAGUCAGCCUUAUACUCUGGCGGAAACAAGAAAACCCUCCAGCCCAGUUCAAGAAUAAGCCUGUGGAAAGUUACUUCUUCAAAAGCAAAAGUAUCUCAUAUCACCUUUUCUCCUUUUCUUCUCUUUAUCCUUCAUGCUACCUGCAAGAUAAGGAGAAGGAUAACAAUCAGCCGAAACUCGAAAUCAAACUUCUGAUCUGGGAUUGAUUGCUUGGAGCUCUGAUUGCUUACCUUGUAUGUCACUCUUUCAGCAGAUCCCCUAGCUCGGCGACUUAGGGGACUCCUACUACAUGGUUUGUAUCGCGCUUGACCAAGUCUGAAACUACAAGUAAGCGUCAAGUGAAAUUGAUACAUUACCUUGUGCAUCUCCACCAGUUAAAGAUACCACCCCUGGAGGGAGGAAGAGUACUUCCAAAGAAGAUGCCACAUCUACCUAUGAGACAGAUAAGGCAAGUGAAGACGAUACCACACUUCGGUACUUAAAAGUUUCGUGAUUACGAGAUCAUUCUUCCACAAUAUUUCCUAAUGUCAUUUGUACUAAAUCAUUCACUUGUACUCACUAAAUGAGAGCUUGAACCUAUAUACUGUGUAAACCCUUCACAAUUAAUGAGAACUUCUUUACUCCGUGGACGUAGCCAAUCUGGGUGAACCACGUACAUCUUGUGUUUGCUUCCUGUCUCUAUCCAUUUACAUACUUAUCCACACUAAUGAUCGGAGCAAUCUAGCGAAGAUCACAAACUUAAUAUUUAAGAUGAUAUUCUUUGGUGUAUGCUUUUCGCAAACGAUAUAGUGUUGAUAGAUGAAACGCAUGAAGGGGUAAACGCGAAGCUUAACCUUUGGAGAGAAGUGUUGGAAUCUAAAGGUCUUCGCCUAAGCUGAUCAAAGACAGAAUAUAUGGAGUGCAAGUUCAGUGCAAACGGAGGCCAAUAUGAGUUAGGGGUGAGGAUUGGAGAUCAGGAAAUACAAAAAAGCGACCGUUUUCGCUACCUAGGAUCUAUCUUGCAAAAUAACGGAGAAUUUGAUGGAGAUCUCACCCAUAGAAUACAAGCUGGAUGGAUGAAGUGGAAGAGUGCAUCCGGCGUGUUGGGUGACCGUCGUAGGCCACUGAAGCUUAAGGGAAAAUUUUAUAGGACGACAAUAAGGCCGGCAAUGCUGUAUGGCAUAGAAUGUUGGGCGGUGAAGCAUCAACACGUAGGUGUAGUGGAGAUGAGGAUGCUUCGUUGGAUGUGUGGGCACACGAGAAAGGAUAAGAUUAGGAAUGAGGAUAUCCGAGGUAAAGUAGAAGUAGCCGAAAUUGAAGGAAAGAGGAGAGAAAAUCGGUUACGGUGGUUUGGACAUGUGCAAAGAAGGCCUACUGACGCUCUGGUUUGAAGAUGUGACCACGGGACAGAGGUUCAGGGUCGAAGGGGUAGAGGAAGACCUAGGAAAACUUUGGAAGAGACCCUAAGAAAAGACUUAGAGUACUUGGAUCUAACGGAGGACAUGACACAAAACCGAGCGCAAUGACGUUCUAGGAUUCAUAUAGCCGACCCCACUUAGUGGAAAAAGGCUUUGUUGUUGUUGUUGUUGGUUCUUUGCCAAAAUCAAAACUGAACCAAAGUUUCGGUUCGGUUCGGUUCAAUUUUCUUUUGAUUUUUUUUUGUUUGGUUUUGUUCGGUUCGGUUUCAGUAUGGUUUUGGCUUUUUUAUUUUAUUUUAUAAAACUUGAUCAUUUUUUAAUAUGGAAUUUAGAAAAGAGGCUUGCAUUGGUAGACUAUUGAUAAGAAAAUGGGCAAAGUGGGAAGGUAGUUAUACAUAUACAAGAUUAUAUAAACCAAUAUUUUUUAUCAACAACCUCAAUUGCAAAGAAAAAUGAUCACCGCCAUAUACAUUUAAAAAACAAACAAAUAGAGAAGCUCUUCCAAGUUCCAAAGCCUUCCAAAAAUUUCCCUUAUAACCAAUGGAAUAGCCUUCCUAAUUGAACCAAAUAUGCUCCUUGAAAAUGUCCUAGGCUGAGUUUCAAACUUGGCAACAAAGUUUCACAAAAGAAACAUCAUGGCAUACAUUUAUAAAGUGUAGAGGGAUUCGGUUUGGUUCGGUUUUUCCUCUUUCGGUUUGGUUUUUUUUCGGUUUUUGGUUUUUCGGUUUAGGUUCAGUGUUCGGUCCCUUUUUUUUCAGUUUUCGAUUUUUUGAAUCCACCCUAAUCAAAACUCUCUGCCAAGAGUACGACGUUAUCUUACAUUAAAAUAGCUGCAGUGGCAUGUUUUGACUAGCAAGUUUGCAGGUUAUGAGUUUGUAUGCUUCUUCUGCUGUAGCUGCGGCUGCCAUCCCUCAUCUACGAAAGUAUGAUGUAUUUCUUAGUUUCAAAGGUGAGGAUACCCGUUAUACUUAUACUAGCCAUCUUCAUACUGCUUUACGUGGGGAUAAAAUCGAAACCUACAUAAGUGACAGGCUUGAGACGGGAGAUGAAAUUUCACCUGCCCUUUUGGAAGCAAUUGAAAAGCCAAAGCUUUCAGUAAACAUUUUCUCAAAAGACUAUGCUUCUUCCAAAUUGUGUUUGGCUGAAUUUGUCCACAUACUACUAUGCAAGAAAAAUGUGGACAUUUUGUAUUCGAAAGUCUGGUCGACAUCUUUACGAAGACCUACUCGGUGUAACAUGACGUCUUCAAAUGUCGUGGGGCCAUAUUUAGUAUGACCACCCAAUCCAAGGAUAAAAGUUUCAGAGCUUACUUGAAGUAGUUCCGUGCAGAGUUGAAUAAGCAGUUGAAUAAGAAAAAGUAUGACUACACCACCCUGGUGGAAUGCUUUGAUGUAGCGGAUGACCUCACUGAUUGGGAUGACAAGACUCAGAAGAAAAUUUCCAAUCAGGACCAUACCAAGAGUUCUGAUAGGAAGUGAGAUGACCGUGAUACCCCUCCUUCUUCCCCUGUCGGAAUGACAGGGGAGGACACAAAGACAAACAAGCUUUGUUUAAACCAACGAAGUACACAACCUUGAACACCACCAUGAAUAACAUCUUCCAUAACAUCAAGGAUAAGCCUUACCUCAAGCGGCUGAAGCCUCUCCCUAACCAUCUGGCGAAGAAAAAGCCAAAUGAGUACUGCUCCUUCCACCAGUGUAACGACCACACUACUUGGAGCUGCCACAUGCUGAGAGCUAACAUUGAAGAACUACUUAAUCAGGGGAAUUGCUGGGAGUUCGUCAAAAGCAAAGCCAUAAAGGAGAAACCUGCUGAAAAGGAAAGACCUAGGCAAAUCCGGACGACAAGAGCUCACUGAUGAUGAGGAAGACCGGUGCCCGGCAAAGAAGCCUACCCUCAGCAUUAAUUGCAUCUAUGAGCCAAAAAGCAAGAAAGUUAGGAAUCUUGAACCAAGGAAUGGGACUCUAAUCACCUUAAGGUGGAACGUCCUCAAGUAUUGCUGACAACACUAAAGACCCUAAUCUGAACAACAAGUGGUUUGAUGCUUCGAUUAUAUGAGGAGAUAUGUAGGCCGUCCAUUUUGGAUCCAACCAUUAUAUUCAACGCGGUUGUCCAUGCAAAGACAAGUCCAUGGAGAACUCAUCUCUUUAACUCCCCCACAAUAAGCUAUUCGUCAAAGAUGAUCCCUGAUGUAAACACACGUUAUAUCGUCUUUUAGUAGAUCUACAUCCGUGAUCUGGUUCUCCUUCCUAGAGAUAUUUAGGCAAUCCGAUUGGGAUUCAAUCGCACCCUUAUCAAACCCUAUUCUUUUAUUAAUAAAAUUUAAAUGUGAUUAUUUUGCAACUUUUGUCUUUUUUUUUUCUUUUUUUGCGGUACAGAGAAUCCUUAAUAUCCUAAACAACACACGGCUUUGAAACUUCACAUAGUUGUAAGUCUAACAAUUCAAAUUGAUAGUGUCAGAUGAAUAUUCUAUUGCCAUUUGUUCUAGUUAGCAGCUUAGGAGGUUUGAACCAUAUUUAGCCCGGCUAGGAUAGGCGGACUACUGACAUGGGGACAAGGCUCCCUAAUUCAGAAAUCCAGCUCACCUCUGGCUUUUGGAAAGAUUAUACAGCCUAAAGAAUUAUGGAUUGUAACAUUAAAACCUGAGCUCUGCGCCAUCUGAGUGGUGGCUCCAAACUUCGACCACGAGUAUGAUUACUUCUAUCCCAGAUCAGCGUACUAAAUGAAGUAUGUUCUGCGACACCAUGUGUCCAAUGAAGGUCCAAAGAGGCAUCCAAACUAGGAAAUCCUCAAGAAGAAUUUUAUUAGAGUGAAACUCCGAUAAGCAGAAGUGCCUUGGCCAAGCCAACUAAGUGUAGUCUGGUCAGAAAUGCUCAGGUCCGUAAUGAAUUUUCAUUUAAUCUUUAUUAGGGAAGAACAUACAAUUUGAAGUGGGAAGGAAGCCCGUUCUUGGUACCACGCUGCGACUAUUAAAAUCCUUAUACCUAGAAUCGGGUAAGGUAAAUGAACAAAUGGGCAUAAGGUUAUGAUUAAAAGAAGAACUCUAAUAUGACACCAAGAACUAAAGACCAAUCUAGGUAUAACUCGACACUUUCUCAUCCUUAAUUCGAUCAAUGCAUUAAGGCAAGUUCGGAGCAAAAGCUUUUCAUGGGCCUGAUAUUUGGUGUCAGAGUAAAGUGGUACUCCGACUAUCGCAGUUAAAAUGUUCAUAAACACUAAGUUUAAGAGGUAAUGUAUUUCUGAAGAUGCAAACAAGACCUCGGUUUAAUCCAAUAUAGCUUUCUAGCGAUAGCAAUGCUAGAGAUGGAUUUAUGUUGGAUUGUAUUGGGAAGAACAAUGGAAAUUCAAAAAAAGAGCUGAACUAGACCAAUGAGACCAACCCAAGCAGCUACUCGCAUCCUAGCCGCCUCACCUGCUUUAGCGCCAAGCGACUCCCCUACGCGCUCCAGAGAGCACCGCAAGCAACCAUGGGCCAGGCCUAUUGGCGUAGCCUCGUUCCAACCCAGUAUAAGUUUCGACAUCAGCUCUAGUGGAGGCCAACGGCACCUUGUGAUGUUGCCCCGUUAAGCGUGAUGAAAACAAGGAAGGGAAGAAGAAGAAAGUAACAAUUUCAUACCUAGGAUUUUUCUCUAUGCGAGUCAUGAAUUUUAAAAAUAAGGAAUUUGUGAAAAUUCAAGCAAGGUUAUCCUAUUUAUACUAAAUCCUUAUGGUAAAGAAAAAGGAAAACUUUUUCUUACUAAGACUUGAAGAUCUACCUUGUCUUGGAAGAAAAUUCUAUGCAAAUAGGAAGUACAUCUCAUUUUGUUUCCUAUUUAACACAAACUGAUGUGGGGGCAUUUGUGGAGACAUAAAUUAACCACAUCCAAUAGGAAAAGGAUACGUGGACAAGACUCAGAAGAAAAUUUCAGAGCUAACAUUGAAGAACUACUUAAUCAGGGGCAUUGCUGGCUAAGAAAAAGCCAAAUGAGUACUGCUCCUUCCACUAGUGCAUCGACCACACAUGCUAUUGGCCUCCACAAGAGCUGAUGUCGCAACUUAUACUGAGUUGGAAUGAGGUUAGGCCAAUAGGCCUGGGCCAUCGUUGCUUGCGGUGCUCUCUAGAGUGCGCAGGGGAGUCGCUUGGCUUUAAAGCAAAUGAGGCGGCUAGGAUGCGGGUAGCUGAUUAGGUUGGUUUAAUUGGGCUAGUUCAGCUACAAUUUUUUUUCUUUCUUUUUUUGAAUUUCCACUGCUUUUCCCAAUACAAUCCAACAUCAAUCCAUCUCUAGCAUUGCUAUCGCCAGAAAGCUUUAUUGGAUUAAACUGAAGUCUUGUUUGCAUCAGCAGAAAGACAUUACCUCUAGUGUUAUGAACAUAUUAAUUGCGAUAGUUGGAGUACCACCUUACUUUGACACCGGAUAUCAAACCCAUGAAAAGCUUUUGCUUUGAACUUGCCUUAAUGCAUUGAUUAGAUUAAGGAUGAGAAAGUGUCGAGUUGUAUCUAGAAUGGUCUCUAGUUCUUGGUGUCAUACUAGAGUUCUUUUUUUAAUCAUAACCCAUUUGUUCGUUCACCUUGCCCCAUUUCGAGUAUAAGGAUUUUAAUAGUCGGAAAGUGCUACCAAGAAGGGACAUCCUUCCCACUUCAAAUUGCAUGUUCUUCCCUAAAAAAUAUUAAAUGAAAAUUCAUUAGGGACCUGGUUGCUUGCAUACAGGUUGGAAAACACCUUUGGAAUCCUUUUGUCAGGAUUUAUGUGUUGGACCUGAGCAUUUAUGACCAGACUACACUUAAUUGGCUUGGCCAAGGCACUUCCGCUUAUUGGAGUUUCACACUAAUAAAAUUCUUCUUGAGGACUUCCUAUGCCUCUUUCGGACCUGCAUUAGACACAUGGAGUUGCAUAACAUACUUGAUUUAAUACGCUGAUUUGGGAUAAAAGUAAUCAUACUUGUGGUCGGAGUUUAGAGCCACCACUCGGAUGGCGCAGAGCCCAGGUUUUAAUGUUACAAUCCACAAUUCUUUAGGUUGUAUAAUAUUUCCAGAGGCUAGAUGGUGAGCUGGACUUUUGAAUCAGGGAUCCUUGUCCCCAUGUUAGUAGUCCUCCUAUUCUAACCGGGCUAAAUAUGGUUCGAACCUACUAAGCUACUAACUGGAACACCACAAAAUGGCAAUAGAAGACUCAUUUGACACUAUCGAUUUGAAUUUUUAGACUUACAAUUAUGUGAAGUUUUAAAGUCGUGUGUUAUUUAGGAUGUUAGGGAUUCUCUGUACAACAAAAAAAAGGAAAAAAAAAAAGAAGACAAAAGUUGCACAAUAAUCACAUUUAAAUUUUAUUAAUAAAAGAAUAGGAUUCGAUAGAGGUGUGAUUGAAUCCCAAUCGGACUGCCUACAUAUUUAUAGGAAGGGGAACCAAAUCAUGGGUGUAGAUCUAGUAAAAGAUGAUAUAACGUGUGUUUACAUUAGGGAUCAUCUUUGACGAAUAGCUUAUUGUGGGGAGUUAAGGAGAUGAGUUCUCCAUGGACUUGUCUUUGCGUGGACAGUGGUGUUGAAUAUAAUGGUUGAAUCCAAAAUGGACGGCCUACAUAUCUCCUCAUAUAAUCGAAGCAUCAAACCACUUAAAGUUUAGAUUAGGGUCUUUAGUGUUGUCAGCGAUACUUGAGGACGUUCCACCUUAAGGUGAUUAGAGUCCCCUUCCUUGGUUCAAGAUUCCCAACUUUCUUGCUUUCUGGCUCAUAGAUGCAAUUAAUGCUAAGGCUAGGCUUCUUUGCCGGGCAUCGAUCUUCCUCAUCAUCAAUGAGCUCUUGUCAUCCAGAUUUGCCUUGGUCUUUCCUCUCAGCGGGUUUCUCCUUCCUGGCUUUGCUUUUGACGAACUCCCAGCAAUGCCCCUGAUUAAGUAGUUCUUCAAUGUUAGCUCUCAGCGUGUGGCAACUCCACCUUGUGCUGCUGCCCUGUUAAGUGUGAUGAAAUCGAGGAAGGAAAAAGAAGAAAGUAACAAUUUCAUACCUAGGAUUUUUCUCUGUGCGAGUCAGGAAUUUUAAAAGUAAGGAAUUUGUGAAAAUUCAAGCAAGGUUAUCCUAUUUAUACUAAAUCCUUGUGGUAAAGAAAAAGGAAAACUUUUUCUUACUAAGACCUGAAGAUCUACCUUGUCUUGGAAGAAAAUUCUAUGCAAAUAGGAAGUACAUAUCAUUUUGUUUCCUAUUUAAACACAACUUGAUGUGGGGGCAUAUGUGGAGACAUAAAUUAACCACAUCUAAUAAGAAAAUGAUAUGUGGACUAGGCGCUCACCAUGACGGUUCUACCCUUAACGUCGUGAGCAGGCAAUAGAUUACAUCAAGAGAGUUUGAGACUUGUCUGCCCUGUGGGUAAUAGGCCUUUGAGCCACUAACAUAUCAAAGGCGAUUUGGGUGCAUGAUAUGUCUUGCCACCAGGCCACACUCGGGCCUAAUGGUGUCAGGAAGCAGACUCUCUAGAGUCUUCUUUUGGGUGUCUGGCGCGCCUACGCUCUUACCGACAUGAAACUCAAGACUACUAGCUGGCAGGACUAUGAAAACUGAAUUGUACCUUCAAAGACUGCCUAGAAUGGUCUGCAACUUCCCUUCACAAUUGCCUGCUAGGGUUAAGUUCUUUAUAAACAGCCAAGUCAAACACAAGGAAACGACAAUCGUCAUUUAAUCCUCAUAACCUUCUCAAGUUCUUAAUUUCUCUCAAACUAUUAUGACUUAUGCAUAAAGGUCAUUUGUCGGAUCUUUUUCUCUAGAUGUUCAUCAAUGAGGCUAAUGAUGUUUAUUCUUUUGUAGGUGAAAUUUUGUCAAAUCGGUCAUGGACCCAUAUACAAAUUUUGCAUCCACACUUACCACGUCUUUCAUGCCACACUUAUACGUACCAUCUCUCUAAUACAGAUGUGACUCAUAUGCUUGGUGAGCCUUACCUCUAUUAGAAAUAUAGUAAAAGUGAUAUGAACAUGUAUUUUCACAAUACUUGGGUACUAACUGAUCAGUACUCAUUUUACUCAUGAAGUGGCCCAAUAAAACGAAGAAAAAUGUACUUUUAAACACUCAUUAUUCUGGUAGCCACACCCCUUUAAUCUCCUAACCAAACACCAAUAUUAUCUCUGAUCCACCAACAACUGAAGAAAAUUAAAACCAACAGAAAACUCAAUGGACUGAUCCAUCAUAGAUAUUAAUUUAAUCCUCACCAUAAUUUAUAUCUUGUACAAACACAUAGUUUGAUUCCUAUGCAAAACAUAAUAGGCAAUACCACAAUUGACAAAGGAGAAGAAUGAUGAAAGCUAUAAAAUAAAAAUAAAAAAUCCCAAAUUAUUGACCAUGGACAACUUGAGCAGCGGUGUCACAGCCCGUCUCGGAGAAGUAUAUUAUUUAAUUAUCGACGAUGUGAAAUUACCUAAAUACCCUUGGACGUUGAGAAUUAUAUUGGAGUGUUGUGGUUUUGACUUAAGGUUGUGGACCUAUUAGUUAUAUUCCUCUAUUAUUGGACCCAAUUAGAACUAAGUGUUCUCUUAGUUUUGAUUGGUGGCUUUUGGACCACACACACACCCACCUACCCUCUCUCUCCUCUCGUUCCCGUGCUCUCUCUCUCUCUCUCUCUCUCUCAGAUUCACUCUCUCUCUUCUCUCUUGUACGGACACAACCAGAAACCCUUGCAAACGUGACAGAUCGAAGAAGAAAAUGGUACCAUUGUGUUCCUAAGGUCCUCACGAGUUUAAAGGUACCAAAUAUAGGUAAGAUUACCUUCGAUUUCACGUCGAACCACAAAAACCGAUUUGAGGUACUAUUCAUGCUCACGUAAAAACUUAUGUUUUAGGGAAAUUUAAACUCAUAGGGAGCUUAAGGAGGUCCUUACGAAGCUCGGAGUAUUUCGUUUGAAGAAAUUGGAUGUCGGAAUCAUGAGAACGAAGAGUUUUAAAUUUGGCCGGAAUUAUCGAGGCUUUUUUCCGACGAAUUUCUGACGAGUUGGAGGUCGGGGCAGGUAUGGUUUUGUUUGUCUUGUUGAGAUCUUUAAAAUGGUACAAAUUUCAUAGAAAAUGGUGCAAAAAUGAAGAAGUUAUGAAGGUUUUUCGAUUUCCCAGUUUUCCGGCAACGGCGAGGAGUCCGGCGAGCAAUCGGAGAAGACGAGUGAAUAUUCCGUCAGAGUUGACGGAAUAUUCUGACGCCGUCAGGUAAACUUAACUGAAUCCAUUAGCUUUUAACAAAAUAUUCCACAGAAUAUUCCUAACGGGGUUAGAGAAUCUGUCAGGAUUCCUUGCGCGUGGCCGCGAGUAUUGCCGUGCACUCGCCGGCGCGUGGCGAUGCGUGCGGGGUCAGAAAAUUAUUUUACAAAUUCCUGGGUGAUCGUGACAUUGUGUAGGUCACUGUGGUAUAUUCAUAUACCCAAUUUGAGCUAUGUAUGAGAAGUUAUUACAUAGUUUGAUAUAUGUGCAUUAAAGUGACGUUUAUAUAGUUGCUUUUCCUAUAGGCGAGACCUAUCCGGAGGACGAGCGUAGCCAGGCUAGGCAUGGGGGUUACGACCCGGCUUCAUAUCUAUGAGUGGGCAGUUAUUUUCAGUCUAUAUAUAUAUACUUGACGUUUUUCCCAGAAAACGUAUUUAAGGAAAUGUGAUUUAAAUGUUAUGCUAUGCCUAUAUUUUAUUUUAGUAUAUGCAUUAUCAUAAUUUUGCAUAUUGUUGCAUGGUGCUGUGGAGGCUCAGGUAAAUUCAGGUAAGUUAUGUUUGGUUAUGUGAAUCAUCGAUGAUGUGAUAUGUGAUUGAAUACUGUUGAGCUCAUAAAACUGCACCUAGGGUGAUUGUGAUUUAGCCAGAGAUAUGAAGUACAUGCCUGUUUAUUAUGUCACCUCCCGCACCAUAUGCUCAUAUUAGAUCCAAUUUAGGUGCACAGUCUUGUCGUACAGACCUUAUUUAUGGUUCCGACUCGUAGGUGACUAGCGAUUUAUCGCCCGGCUAUUAUGUGAGAGUAGUAUUGGGCAUAAUUAUAUUACACCCAUGAUCGUCGUACAGACCUUUGCAUUUGGUUCCGACUCUUGUGCAGUAUAUUGCCGUAUAGGUCAUUGUAGUGACUCUGGUUAGAUUGACUUUUGAGCUAUGAAUUCAGCUGUACAGACUACCAUAGGGGUUCUGGCUAACAUGUUAUAUUUCUAUGAAACUAUUCUUACCUGAAUUGCUUAUUCUGUUAUAUAUAGGCAUGGCAUACAUACAAAUAUGAAUCUUGAUUUUGAGCAUGAUUUGAGAUAUAUACAUAUUUAUAUAUUCUAUUUUCUAGGAAAGUAUCUAUAUACUUGUUUUACGGCGAGGGGUUAGUAUAUUCAAAGGAAAAUAAGGUUUUUGUGUAAAUGUGUUUUGCUGACCCACUCAACUAUGUUUUUCUCCCCUCCAGGUUUUAGGUAGCAGAGUUUGGUGGCCACGAGGAAUCCAACGGUGCUAUGACAGAAUCCGAAAAGUAGGAUUCACCUUAGGGUGUUGUUGUAUCUUAGUAAUUGUCCUGCUUGACUGCGACUAGAUCUUCUUAUUGCUCUGAAAGUGAAUCUUGAUUUUGCGCACAAGGCUACGUCACGCUCACGUGACGGCCAACACGUCUUGACUUUGGUCAGGUGUGUCAAGCGGAAUGGAGAAGUCAUUGAUGGUGGCUUGCUUCGACGAAGAAGAGAGAUUGAGGGUGAUAUCUGCAGUGUUUGUUGCUAGAAUUGUAUAUAUGUUGGUGUUUGGCUAGAGAGUUAAGAAUGACAAGUUGUAAUUUUAUUGGGCAUCAUAGUCUGGUGAGUAAAAUGUAGUAAGUAUAACAUUACUAAAAAACUAUAACUAAAUGUAGUAGAUAUGUCACGCCCCGGACCCGGGGUCGGUAAUAAAAAAAAUAAAAUACUCAAACUCGAAUUCGAAACAUGAGUUAAAAGCUUAAUAAAUAACCGGAAAUUGAAACGGGUUGGAAAAUAAACUCCUCUUAUUAAAUAGCUCCAAAAUCCUUGCAGGGUGUACAAAAGUAAUAAAUUAAAAUCCUUAAAUUUCUCCUCAAUCACAGCCUCAGCUCUUCUAACACGUCUUGCCAAAUAACUCAUCUGUAAAAUAAUAGGUGAGGGGUGAGCAACAACCACCGUCGCUCAGUGAGUAGAAUAUGUAAUAUGCCAGUCAAGCUUGCCACUUUAAUCACACUAUAAAAUAGGAUAAUAAAAUCAAAGCUUUAGCCACGUAAUUCCAUAUCACAUCGUCCCUUCACAUGUUGAUCAUCUUCUAUCUUCUAUAUAUAUAAAGUGAGAAGCACACAAUGGUGAAGCAUUCUGAAAUGUCAAAAAUGUCCUCAUUUCAUACGUAAGGCUAUUGGAUAACUGCUCAUAAAAAUAGAGUUAAAAACGUAAAAAUAUGGAAUUACAUCUCAAUAAUGAUUCCGACCAUUGGAUCAAAUCACCCACACUUUAAAUUAAUUUUCACCCAUUAGAUUAAGCAUACAGUUACUGCUCCAGAUUAAAAAAAAGGAUAAUCGACCACAACUACUCCAGAUGGAAUCGAAGCACUCCAUAUCAGCAGUUGCAUAGAUUGGAGAUGGAACCGACCUCCAUCGCACGUUCUCGAUCACCACAGUGCAUACAAAAGAGUAAAUUGGGUAAUUUUCUCGAACAAUAUUCUUAUCUAUGCCAAAAUUUUGAAAUGGGUUUUCGCCAGAAAUUUUCACUUUCUGCUUCAAUUCAGGUACUCUGUGCCUAAUUGAAUUGUUCAUAUCUACUAAUGUUUUGAUUUAUUAACUAAUUGCCCACUUUAAUAUAUACUAAUUUGGAGAUUUUUACUUGAUUAUAAUUUGAACUAUUUGAAAUUAUUUAUCUUUACCAGAUUUUGUUAAUGGGUUUUGGACCAAUUUGUAGAAAGCUCUCUCUUUUGUGUAUUGGUUAUUCAGUUUCUGGCUUAAUUUUUGCCAUUCUGGAAUGCCAUGUUGGAAGUUCAAAUCAAAUACAGUAGCCGAAACUAAUGGAACACUUUUCAGAAAUUGUUGGAACACUUUUCAGAAAGUGGUGAAACUAUUUUUAGAAAAGCUACAUGUGUGUGUGCAUCAAAAGGUGGUGCAUGUGUGAAAGGGUGUAAAGAUGGUAAACACCAUCAUUGAUUGCAUGUGUGUGCAUUUGUUUUUAUUAAAAAACACUUGAGUGGUUUGUAACUUUUGCAUGUAUAAUUAAGCCUCUUGUAAGGCUUUAGAAAAAUCCAUCCGAAUUCCCAUUUCCAUUUUAGCUUGUAAGCAAUUGAGUUUGUAAACUCUUAUUAAAUAUAUCAAAGUGUUUGCUUGUUUUCCGUGCAGUUUGUCCAACACAAAAAGUUUGCUUCUUCAUUUAUUUUUUUCUUUGUUUAAUUGUAUUGAGAGUGAUAGUGAGAUGUAUGAUAAAGUUAGAAAACUUAUCACCCAAAUAUUUUUGGUAUUGAGUUAGUCAACUUUGAAAUACCAACAAUUGGUAUCAGAGCCAGAUUACCGUUCUGGCAAGUGCAGUAGCUAUGGCAUCUAACUUAGUGCAGCUCCAGGUUCCAACAUUGAAGAAAGAAAAUUAUGAAAGAUGGUGCAUCUAGUUCAAAACAUUGUUUGGAUCACAGGACCUAUGGGAAGUUGUCAGUAAUGGGUAUGAUGAACCCACUACUGAGCAAGAAGCUGCCUACACUGCAGAUCAAAGGAAUACUCUCAAGGACUUACGAAAGAAUGACAAGAAGGUGAUGUACCUUCUAUAUCAAGGAUUAGAAGAUUCAACGUUCGAGAAGAUUGCAGAAGCAACAACCAGCAAGCAAGUUUGGUACACUUUGAGCACAAUUUACCAAGGAGUAGAUCGAGUAAAAAGAGUUCGGCUUCAAUCAUUAAGAGCAGAUUUUGAGGCUGCUCAUAUGAAAGAAGGAGAAAACAUUUCAGACUACUACUCUCGACUACUUGUAAUUGUGAAUCAAAUGAAAAGGAAUGGCGAGAAGCUUGACGAUGUUCGUGUCAUGGAGAAAAUCCUUCGGUCACUCACAUCCAACUUUGAGCUUGUGGUGACUGCCAUUGAGGAAUCCAAGAAUUUGGAGACGAUGAGUGCAGAGGAACUGCUAGGAUCCCUCCUAGUUCAUGAACAACGCAUUCAGAAGAAUGCAAGCCCCACAACGCUAGAGCAAGCUUUGGAGUCAAAGUUGAAUAUUGACAAACCAAAUGGAGGUCGUGGACAGUGGAAUUCACGUCAUGGAAGCUCAUCCAAUCAUAGCCGAGGACGAGGCCGAGGAAGAGGUUGAGGCUAUGCACAAAACCGAGGUCAAUCUCAAUAGUGGAGAUCUACUUGAGGAAAGGCGCAUAUCCAGUGUCACAGUUGCAAGCAAUAUGGACAUUAUGCCAAUGAAUGUUCAUAUAAAAAUGGUGAGCAUGUCAACAUGGCAGAAUCAAGUGGAAAUGCUGGUGAGGAAUUUACAGUCUUACUAGCACACCAUGAUAUCAGUAGCCAACAAGAUGUUUGGUAUUUGGACUCUGGUGCAAGCAACCACAUGUAUGGAAAGAAAGAGUUUUUUGCUGAACUCAAAGAUGGGCCUUAUGGAUCUAUAAGUCUUGGUGACUCCCCAAAGUUGCCAGUUGAAGGCAAAGGAAAGAUCAAAAUCAUCUAGAAGGAUGGUAGAGAAGAAUACAUCUCUGAUACCUACUACAUACCAUGUAUGAAAAGCAACAUUCUGAGCAUUGGUCAAUUGUUCCAGAAAGGGUAUGUUAUACAUAUGGAGAAUAUGCUUCUCACUCUCAGGAAUGCAAGGAGAAAGCUUAUUGCAAGUGUUCAAAUGUCAAAGAACUGAAUGUUCCCGUUGAAGUUGAACACAAAGAUUGGAAGCUGCAACAUUGGUGUGAUAGAAGAUGAGUCAUGGAAAUGGCAUCUUCGGUUUGGCCAUCUUCAUUUCAAUGGCCUAAAGUUAUUGUCAAGUGGAGAAAUGGUUCGUGGUCUACCCCAGAUUGAAGCCACACACCAAGUAUGUGAAGGUUGUGUGCUUGGCAAACAAGCACGAUCAUCGUUCCCUGUUGGUGAUAUAUGGAGAGCAAAGGCACCACUGCAGUUAAUGCACACGGAUAUAUGUGGUCCGUUGGAUCCUAUGUCCUAUGGAGGUAAUAGGUAUUUUAUUACCUUCAUUGAUGAUUUUAGUAGGAAGACUUGGGUUUAUUUUCUCAAGGAGAAGUCGGCUACCCUAAGAAUCUUCAAUGAGUUUAAGGCACUCACAGAAGCUGAAAGCAACCACAAGCUUGUGGCUGUGAGAUCAGAUAGAGGUGGAGAGUACACCUCAAAUGCUUUCCAAGCAUAUUACAAGGAGUAAGGAAUUAGGCAUCAACUGAUUGCUGCCUAUACCCCACAACAAAAUGGGAUAGCCGAAAGAAAGAAUCAAACCAUCCUUGACAUAACAAGGUCUAUGCUUAAAGAGAAGAAUUUGCCAAAAGAAUUGUGGGUAGAAGCUGUAGCUUAUUCGAUUUAUUUGUUGAAUCGAUGUCCAACAAAGAGUGUCAAGAGGAUGACACCACAAGAGGCUUGGAGUGGAUACAAGCCGAAUGUUGCACACUGCAUAUGCUCAAGUUCAAGAAGCCAAGAGGAGGAAACUCGAUGAUAGAGGUGAGAAGUGUGUGUUCGUGGGCUAUAGUGGAAAGUCCAAGGCAUAUAAGCUUUACAACCCACUAACUGGAAAAUUAGUGGUUAGUAGAGAUGUCAUCUUCAGUGAGGAAGAGGCAUAGAAGUGGAACAACAAAGAAGUUAGUAAAGAGAAGAUUGUUUCCACUGAUUUUGAAGAACCAGAAGUUGUACCACUUAUUAAGCAACAACCUGCUCAAUCAAUCACAACAACUCCAUUGCACAGAAUUGCAAGGAGUGGUCAUACUUCCAGUGAAGAAAGCAGCUCCUCAACUCCAGUGAGGCUAAGAAGUCUCAUUGAGAUAUAUGGACAAGAAAGAGAAGAAGAAACCAACCUUUUCUACUUGUAUGCAGACCAUGAGCCUCUCUCAUUCAAUGAAGUUAUGGAAGAAGAUCGUUGGAGAAUAGCCAUGGAGGAAGAAAUCCAUGCCAUCGAGAAGAAUCACACUUGGGAGUUAACAAAGCUCCCACCAAAUCAGAAGGCUAUUGGUGUCAAGUGGGUCUAUAAGAUCAAACGCACUGCAAAUGGGAGUGUGGAUCGAUACAAAUCAAGGCUUGUAGCGAAGGGCUACAAACAGAAGUAUGGAAUGGACUAUGAUGAAGUCUAUGCUCCAGUUGCAAGACUUGACAUGGUAAGAUUGCUAAUCUCUCUUGCCGCUCAUCAUAAAUGGAAAAUUUAUCAACUAGAUGUCAAGUCAGCCUUCUUAAUGGAGUACUUGAGGAAGAAGUGUACGUGGAACAACCAAAAGGAUUCCAAGUACAAGGAGAAGAAGAAAAGGUGUAUCGUUUGAAGAAGGCUUUGUAUGGCCCCAAGCAAGCACCACGAGCUUGGAACUCAAGGAUUGAUAACUACCUUCACCAAAAUGGAUUUCAGAAAUGUCCAUACGAGCAUUCAGUUUACAUGAAGAAUGGUACAAAAGGGGAGUUCUUAAUUAUUUGUCUCUAUGUAGAUGACUUGUUGUUUACAGGAAACAAUGAAGCAAUGUUCCAUGAGUUCAAGCAAUCCAUGUUCAGUGAAUUUGAGAUGACUGACAAUGGAUUAAUGUCAUACUUUCUUGGCAUAGAGGUGAAACAAGAAAGUGAUGGUAUCUACAUCUCUCAACAAAAGUACAUAAGAGAUAUAUUGGAGAAAUUCAAUAUGGACAAGUGCAAUAUUGUCAACACUCUAGUUGCAAUUGGAUUGAAGCUGUCCAAGGAAGGAGAAGGUGAGUUUGUAAACUCAACCGUGUACAAAAGAUUGGUUGGAAGCCUAAGGUACCUUACAAUCAUAAGACCUGAUAUAGUUUAUGGCGUUGGACUCGUGAGUCGGUACAUAGAAACACCAAGGAAGUCUCAUUGGCUGGCCGCCAAGAGAAUUUUGAGGUACAUAAGAGGUACUCUAAACUAUGGUCUGUUUUAUAAUUUUGGUGAAGAUGCAAAAUUAUUUGGUUAUUCAGAUAGUGAUUAGGAAGGUGACCAAGAUGAAAGGAAAAGCACAACUGGUUAUGUGUUUUUUCUAGGAUCAACAACUUUCUCAUGGACUUCAAAGAAGCAAUCAAUUAUUGCUUUGUCAUCGUGUGAAGCCGAAUAUGCUGCUAUAGCCUCAACUGUGUGUGAGGCAAUUUGGUUAAGAAAUCUGUUGAAGUCAGUGUGUCAUCCACAAGUGGAAUCGACUGUGAUUCAUGUGGAUAACAUCUCAGCUAUCAAGCUUGCUAGGAAUCCAGUCCAACAUGGAAGGAGCAAGCAUAUUGAUACCAGGUUCAAUUUUCUGAGGGACCAUCUGAAGCAAAAGACAAUUGAACUUGUCUAUUGUCACAUGAAGGAACAAGUAGUUGAUGUGGAUGCAAAUUUUCUCCUCUUCGAUCUUGGACGAUUUUGCACCUACAAAACAACUAGCACCUUAGGUUAAGGCCAAAAGCCUCACGCGCCCACGAUGAAUGGGGGGGGGCUUUGGCCGAAGAACCUCCGAUGCCAAAGUUAGAAUUUUAGAGAGAAAUAGUGUUUAGAGUGUUUUGGAAUUUUUGCAAGAGAUUUGGAAUGAGUGUUUGGUAAAAAUGGGUGACUAUUUAUAGGACCAAAUUGGUCCACAUCUUCAAGAAAUGGCCGGCCCUUUCUUUGUGCUUUGGGAUGAAUUUGUGGUUUUAUUAGCCACUUUAUUGGCUAAUAAAAUAUAAUAGAAAUAAAUGGGAAGUUACCCAAUUGAAUGACUAGCAUUAUUUGGCUAAUAAAGUGGAAGAAAUUUGAAAAGGUGUGGAGCAAAGAGAGGGAAUGUGGCCGGUCUACUAGGUGGGAUUUUAGGGUUUAUUUUAGGUUUAAUUAGCCAAUUAAUUGGCUAAUUAAAUAUGAAAGGAAAUGUUUUAGUAUUUAUGGUAUUGAUUGGCUAAUUUAAAAGGGAAGGAAAGGUGGAAAAGGUAGAAAAAGGUGAUGGAAUAGGCUUUGAAUGGGGUAGCCGGCCCUAUAUAUCAUUUUUUAGGUUUGAGUGGAUGUUUCAAAUUGAUAAUUAAGGGAUGAUUUUAGGAGAUAUGGGAAGAAUAUAUUAUUUAGAUAAUUAAUUAACUAAAUAAUAUAUUAGGGAAAUUAAGUUUUGGAAAUAAUUACCUAAAAUAAGAUAAUUUGGAAUUGGUUACCUCUUUUGGAGCAUUUUUGAAUUGGUUGAGGAUGAUUACCCACUACUUGCGCGUAGGAAUCCCGGUAUGCCUCAAGGGUAUUUUUGUCCUCUUUCAUUCAAAAGUCCACGUGUCGCCUAGCGAAUAUUUUUGGCUCCACAAAUGCCCCCACACCUGUUGGGCUGCUUGCAAAAAAGGGCAACAGGUGUAGAGAUUUUCUCACUUUAGGCAACUCUGAAUUGAUUUCUAUUUUGUUGUUGAUUCUCUCUUUAAAUGGAAAUUAGAUCCUUCUAGGAAAGGGAAAUAAAUUUCUCUCAAAGCCUAUUUAAGUCCACCUUAAGUGGGUUAUUAAAUCAACUUUGGAGAGCGAUUUAUUCUACCCUACAGGAGAGAGAUAGCUUAGAGGAUAUUUGUUCCCCCUCCUCUAGCAAUCUUCUACAUCUUGCCCGUGCAAAGGACCGUAUUUCGUUGCUUUCUUCGUCUUCUUCGUGCCGCACCAAUGUAAGAAAAAUUUAAUUUUUCUUGCCUUAUUCUUGGAUAGUGCUAUUGCGGGGUGGUGCGGCACGUCGGCUGGCAGGGGCCAGAAGCUGGCUCGGCAUGAGCUGAGGAGAUAUCGUGGCAGGGACCACUGCUUGGGCAGCUUGGCUUGGCCUGAGCCAAGGGCAGCUUGUGCAGCUGGGGUCGAGGAUUGUGGCGCUAGGGCACAGUGUUAGGCGAGCUGCAUAGCUCAUGUCCUUUGGGCUCUUGGACCUGACUCGGGCCAGGCUGACGAUUGAGAGAAAUAAGGAGAUUGCGGGUCUCAUGGGCUGCUGGAAUGUUGGGCAUGUAUGCCUUCUGCCUGCUGGAAUGCUGGGUUGAGCUCCCCUGCUGAGUACCAUGAAUGUCGUUGGCUACUUAGUCUUCUUUGCUGAAAGAAAGGUGGGCUGCUCCAGAAAGAUGAGGUAAAGAGGAUCAAGGCGGAUGCACUGGCUCGUCUGAUCGCUGUCGUGGAGCUUACUAUGAAUGAAGAUGGAAAGAAGAGAUCUUCCCCGCCUGCUCAUGAGAUGCCUAGUUAAUAAAAAACUGAAGACUUCUUCUGCUGCUCAUGAAGGUCCGCUUGCUACCGAGAGGUAUGUGAUUGACAUAACUUCUUCUAAUGGGAAGAAAAUAAGGCUGCUAGAUCUGAGCAUGUGGCGUCUUCCAUGUUGAGAAUGGCUAGUACAAUUGUGGAUAAGAUUACUCAGCGUAAAGGUUUUAUCAUGCCCCCAGUGCCGAAGUCUGUAGGACGUUCUUUAGGAGCCAAGUCCGGUUCACCUUUGUAGAGACUUGCUAUUAUGAAGAGUGGUAAGGUGGACUCUGCUGCUAAAUUGGCGCCAAAGCCUGCUCCCUUUGCUGCUGAGAUUGAUUCGCCUCAGAUUCAAUAUCUUAAGCUUGCAAUUUCUGAGCUUCGUUUCGCUACUUAUGCUAAGAAGAUAGUGGAUGAGCUUCUCUAUUUCUCCGGAAGACUUGCUUGCUUUUACUUUUAAGGCUUCCAUUGGUGAAGUAGUUGGAGAAGUUAGUGCCCAGACUGGGGCAGCCGGGGGUGAAGCGUCGGAUGAUGCCGCUGCUAAGAGCGUUACGGCUGUUGAAGGUGUGGCGACCGAGUAGUCAUGGGAUGUCCAAGCUGCUGUAAUGUAGUAUUUUAGGUAGCCUUUAGGAUUUUCUUUGUUUUUCCUUGUAGCUUUUGUUUUGCUUGAAUUCCUUCGGCCUUUGCUAGUUGUUUAUAAACAUGUUUUCCUUCGUUUUUCUUCAUCUUCACUUCUUUUGUUCAUGCCUUUAGACUUGAUAGACCAGUGGCAGGCAUGCUACUUUUUUAUAAACAGACAAACUCGCGUAGCCUAUGCAGCCGUAGGUGUUGGUGUAGAACUUUGCAAAGUUGUUAGCCAUAGGGUUGGCAGCCGGAUGCCUUACUUACAGAAGCAGACAAGUCCGCGUAACCACUAGGCUGUUAACCUUGACUUUCUUCAAUUCCGUAGGUUGUGUAGCAAGUAUCACAACACUUUAGGACUUGGUGUAGGUUGUUCCGCGCUUGGCAGAGGUGAAGCUUAUCGACUACGUAGCAUGUCGGCAGUGGAUAAAACUUCGUAUAUGCGCGCUAGCUUGUUUAACCUUUCACAAGAAUGUGCGGUUGUAUAAGUCUAGUGCGGCUUCACUGCUCUAAGGGCAAGCCGUAGGCAGUCUUCCGGAAUCCGUAGGCUACCUUAGUGCACUCGGUAGCAGCUUUAGGAUUCCAGGGCAGCCGUCCAUUGGAUGUACGGCGUAAUGUGCCCUCUCCGUCUCUAGGGCUCGGUUCCCCACGGAUUAGGCCAAGAGACCCAAAAUCCUUGAGUUAGCUAAGCCUUGAAAAAGACCAUUGCGGCUACUUCAAGGAAUCCCGGCGCAAGCCAUCGUGCAUCUAGUUAUACUAGGGCAGCCAGGCUCAUCCACGUCUGGAUAUUCGGAGUGUAAAGUUUAUCCUCCCGUCUUGGAGAGCUGACCCAUAUGGGUGUCGGAGAAUUGGUUUACCCUCUCGCACUGGAGAGCAUGGUUGGUCCCUCGGGGGGCGCAAUUCCUGCGAUGAGUCCCUAAGAAGGGCGCAAUCUUCUUUUGAAGUGCAUGAGUGAUUAGUUGUUGUAAGCAUGCAGCCACGCCAAGUUGUGAUUACUUCUAAAUUCCUCAUUGAAAAACGAGUGAAACGAACGAGAACUUUAGCUGUAAGGUAGGGACUGCAUAACAACUGGAUAGUCCUCAGCUUGUGAGGUGGUGCCCGUCGAGCUUAUUGAGUCUUCGGGUUUUGAUGUAGCGGGAGGUCACACAUGGUACUUCUUCAGAUUGUAGGCCAUCUAUUUCUUUUCAAUCUUUUUGCCGCUUCAUGGUGGUGAGGGUGUAAUUACUCUUACUCCCUACUCUGCUGAUCUUGUACGGACCUUCCCAGAUGGGAUCCAUCUUUUUGGAGCCUUCUCUGCCGGCAGUGAUGAAGGCUUUUCUGCGUCGUCGACAUGCAAAUGCCAGAAGUCUCCAUCGGGUGGAGUAGGCGCAGCUAGAGUGUGCUCGGCUACUUCUGAGGCAUCGUUGGGCCGCUCUGUUGUGUCACCUAGGCUCGGCGUGAAGGCGCAGUAGGGAGCUGUGGAGAUGAGGCCAUGUCAUACGCAACAGGAAAUGCUCAACUGCCGGUAUUGGGCCACUCUAGAGUUGAAUCAUUGAGCAAGGGUCGGCUAGGGCCGUGUGAUGCGCAGCAAGAAAUGGUACUCAACUGCCGGUACAUGUUGCUCCUAUGUAGAAUCUUUUAGGGUGACGAGGACAAAACUUGCUUUCGAGUGUGUCCUUCCAGUGUUGUGUUUGUCAGAAAACUUUACAUCUGCCAAGGUCAACGCCUUUAUCGUCGCGCGUCUGGAUUGGGCAGAAUAGUACGUCAUUAAGAUGAUUGCAUGCGUUUGAAAGUAAAACUUGUGCUUCUGGGUUGCAACAACUAUCGCCAAAGUUAGCUUUUGAAUUUUUAAUAACAUCGAGGAGAGCUUUUGAACUGUAGAAUACAGGUAAUUGUGGAAUACAGGUAGUCGGGCCCCCAUCUCUUCUCGCAUGAUGGUAGAGCUUAUUGCUACUUUAGAUACCGUCAAACAUGUGAAUAAGUCAUCCGCUGCUUCUAGGGAGGUGAUGUUGGGUACUUCUUCAAGUCAUUGAAUGUGCAUUGGCGAGCCUCAUCCCAAAGUGCAUACUUCUCUGCCAAAGCAAAAGAGUCUGCCAGAGUUAGAUCUUUUUUCAUGAUCAAUUUUCCGAAUAGCGGGUGGUCUGCUGGAAGUCCUUUUUGGAAGGCUGCUCUAGCUAUAGAGUCGUUGCAUCCAACUAUUUUUGCCUUCUCUACUUUGAACCUCCUCACAUAGUCGCGAAGCGACUCCUUUGGGUUCUUCUUGACGUUGAACAAAUGAUCAGACUUCUUUUUGAUCGAGCGAUAGGAUGAAUAUUCUUUGGUGAAAACCAAAGAAAGUUCGUAGAAAUCCCGGAUGGAUUGUGGCGGUAAGGUGUAGAACCAAUCUUGCGCCUCGCCUUGUAGAGUGGUGGCGAAUAUCUUGCACAUGAGCUCAUCGUUGUUUCGAUAAAGGAUCAUUGCGCUUCGGUAGCGCUUUAAGUGUCUCUCCGGGUCUUCAUCCCCUUUGAAAUAUGUGAAAUGUGGCAUGCUGAACUCUCGUGGAGGCUCUGCCUGCUCGAUCUCGUCCGUGAAGGGUGACCUGCUUAUGUUGGUCAUGUUCCGUCGUAGUGCCUCGUCGGUGACCUCAUUGCGUUGGAAAUCAUGCAAUCGCUUGGUCAAGAGUCUCUCUACUUCUUCCUGAAUUUGCCUUUGUUGGGGUAGUGCAGCUCUCGGCUGCCCCCAGCCAUAACUUGCUGGUCUAGCUGCUUUUCCUGUUUUGGCUCGUCUAUGUGUUGGCUGGCGUCGUAUAUGCAUGAUGCAGUGCAUAUGGUGCAUUCCUGCAGCAGGCGAGCGAGUUCUUUGCAGGCUGCUGGUUGAACUUGAGCUGGAUUGAGUGACUGCUUCUUCUCUCCGUCCGUCGUGCUGCCUACUCUGAUGUGAGGUGGAUGAUGCUCCUUGUGGGCUUAGCCGCGAAUGAACACUUUGUCUGGAAGGUUGCUCAUGUUGACUACCAGAGUGUAACCCCAACCGUGAAUGUAUGCUCAUUCGUUGGCCUAGUCGAGAGUACACGCUCCUCCGCGCGCUAAAACGGGAGUAUACGCUAUCUCGGGGGCCCAAUCGGGAAUGUACACUGCCUGAACGUUCAGCUCGUGGCUGGUUGAAUGGCUGCUUGCUGGGAUGCUGCUGGAAAGGUUCGUCUGCCCUUGUCCUACUUCGGGAUACCUCGUCCGGGGCACGUUGGAUCCCGAUGCGUUGCAAAAGUUGAUUCACCAAAGUUGUCUGUUGUGCAAGGGGCGCUCGUCAACUCUAUGACUUACUUGUCGAGACAAGUGUUGUUCGCCAUUUGGAUUGGAAGAGCUUGGAAUGAAUGCGCCUCCUUGAGCAGUGGAAGGGUGGUAGACUCCGGGCGCGAGAUUUGAGUUGGGAAAUGUCAAAUCCGUGAAAAAAUGUGGUGAGAAUGCCCCCGGCUCGAUGGUAGGUCCAGAUGGUUGAGAUAGUUUUGGGCCGACUUGGGCUGCUUGGAAAGCCACGGGAGCAGUGUGGGCCUUGAGAGUGGGGCUGCUCGUCGGGAGUGGGCUGCUCGUUGGGAGCAGGCUGGGUCACGAGAGCAGGCUGCUUGGCAGGAGCAGGUUGCUUGGCCGGAGCAGGCUGGGCCACGGAAGCAGGCUGCUUGGCAGGAGCAGGUUGCUUGGCGGGAGCAGGCUGGGCCACGGAAGUAGGCUGCUUGGCAGGAGUGGGCUGGGCCACGGGAGUGGGCUGCUUGGCAGUAGCAGGCUGGGCCACGGGAGUGGGUUGCUCGACGGGAGCAGGCUGGAUCACGGGAGCAGGCUGCUCAAUGCGCGGUGCAUGUGAAUGCGAGGCUUGGGCUUGGGUCCACGUGAACUUGGAUGGCACGGCUUGGAUCGUGGUCUUGGUACCGUGAGCCUUGGAUGGCACGGCUCGGGCCGUGGUGAAGGCUCCAUGGACCUCGCCACGAGUGGCUACCGAAGUAGCCAUCGUGGUGGUUCCCAUGGUGGCGGUGGUGAAGGCAUCAUGGACCUCGCCGUGGGUGGCUACCGAGGUAGCCACCACGGUGGUUCCCAUGGUGGAAGCUCGUGGUGAUGAUGCCGCUCCCCUUAUUGUCGCAUUUUGCCUUACGGAUCUCCGGGUCGUGGUGAAGGCUCCAUGGACCUCGCCACGAGUGGCUACCGAAGUAGCCACCGCGGUGGUUCCCAUGGUGGCCGUGGUGAAGGCACCAUGGACCUCGCCGCGGGUAGCUACCGAAGUAGCCACCACGGUGGUUCCCAUGGUUGAAGCUCAUGAUGAUGAUGCCGCUCCCCUUAUUGUCGCAUUUAGCCUCACGGAUCUCCGCAAUCCCAUUUCUUGAACAUUAGAAUUUUCACUUGUGGAAUUUUCUAAAUUUCUAGCCAUUAUAUUUUGCUUAUACGUUUUAUCAAAGAACCUUUGCAAGUAAAAAAUUCUAAUAAUAAGAACGUAUGAAAAAUAUUCAAAUGGACUAGAAAAUAAAGAAAAAACCUUUUUUGUGCGAGAGUCUUCUACGAGUAUGGAUUUCAACUCUCAAUGAAAGCACCAAUUUGUGGAUGCAAAUUUUCUCCUCUUCGAUCUUGGACGAUUUUGCACCUACAAAACAACUAGCACCUUAGGUUAAGGCCAAAAGCCUCACGCGCCCACGAUGAAUGGGGGGGGCUUUGGCCGAAGAACCUCCGAUGCCAAAGUUAGAAUUUUAGAGAGAAAUAGUGUUUAGAGUGUUUUGGAAUUUUUGCAAGAGAUUUGGAAUGAGUGUUUGGUAAAAAUGGGUGACUAUUUAUAGGACCAAAUUGGUCCACAUCUUCAAGAAAUGGCCGGCCCUUUCUUUGUGCUUUGGGAUGAAUUUUGUGGUUUUAUUAGCCACUUUAUUGGCUAAUAAAAUAUAAUAGAAAUAAAUGGGAAGUUACCCAAUUGAAUGACUAGCAUUAUUUGGCUAAUAAAGUGGAAGAAAUUUGAAAAGGUGUGGAGCAAAGAGAGGGAAUGUGGCCGGUCUACUAGGUGGGAUUUUAGGGUUUAUUUUAGGUUUAAUUAGCCAAUUAAUUGGCUAAUUAAAUAUGAAAGGAAAUGUUUUAGUAUUUAUGGUAUUGAUUGGCUAAUUUAAAAGGGAAGGAAAGGUGGAAAAGGUAGAAAAAGGUGAUGGAAUAGGCUUUGAAUGGGGUAGCCGGCCCUAUAUCAUUUUUUAGGUUUGAGUGGAUGUUUCAAAUUGAUAAUUAAGGGAUGAUUUUAGGAGAUAUGGGAAGAAUAUAUUAUUUAGAUAAUUAAUUAACUAAAUAAUAUAUUAGGGAAAUUAAGUUUUGGAAAUAAUUACCUAAAAUAAGAUAAUUUGGAAUUGGUUACCUCUUUUGGAGCAUUUUUGAAUUGGUUGAGGAUGAUUACCCACUACUUGCGCGUAGGAAUCCCGGUAUGCCUCAAGGGUAAUUUUUGUCCUCUUUCAUUCAAAAGUCCACGUGUCGCCUAGCGAAUAUUUUUGGCUCCACAGUUGACAUCUUCACAAAGCCACUGCCAGUUGAAUUAUUUCGGUUGCUGCGUGAAAUGCUAGGCAUGAAGGUAUUUUGAUUUGAGGGGGCGUGUUGGAAGUUCAAAUCAAAUACAGUAGCCGAAACUAGUGGAACACUUUUCAGAAAUUGUUGGAACACUUUUCAGAAAGUGGUGAAACUAUUUUUAGAAAAGUUGCAUGUGUGUGUGUAUUUUUUUAUUAAAAAGCACUUGAGUGGUUUGUAACUUUUGCAUGUAUAAUUAAGCCUCUUGUAAGGCUUUAGAAAAAUUCAUCCGAAUUCCCAUUCCAUCAGAAUCCCAUUUCCAUUUUAGCUUGUAAGCAAUUGAGUUUGUAAACUCUUAUUAAAUAUAUCAAAGUGUUUGCUUGUUUGCCGUGCAGUUUGUCCAAUACAAAAAGUUUGCUUCUUCAUUUAUUUUUUUCUUUGUUCAAUUGUAUUGAGAGUGAUAGUGAGAGGUGUGAUAAAGUUAGAAAACUUAUCACCCAAAUAUUUUUGGUAUUGAGUUAGUAAACUUUGAAAUACUAACAUGCCAGAGGCAUUUAUAGGAGUUACUAAAGUUACUCAAUUACCAGUUCUUUACAAAAAGCCUUCUUCAACCGCCAAAUUCUUGAGCUUUCAUCCCACCAGAGAUUGGUGGCUUCAGCUUCAUUGUCGCUCAGACUGGUGACCCAUUGGUGUCGGGUACGGUUUAUUUUGUUUGUCUUUUUUCCCGGAUUUAAUUUGAUGUAUUGUAUUAUUUAUCUGAUGACAAUGCUCCACUAGCUUCGAAUUUUGUGCUACACGUUAACACCCUUUGAUCAUCCAAGGGCUCUCAAUAGAGUUGGGGCGGCGGGAUCCGGAUCUGAGAUGGUUGAACACUCUAUAGCCAGUUAAUACUUUUGCCCACCAAUCCGCUCGGUUGUGUUCGUAACAUCUGUGUUGUGACGUUUCUUCAUCUCUCUUACUUGAGAUUCUUUAAAUUUUUUGUUCAAAUGUUAUGCAAUUGAUCGCUGGGCAUUUGAAGACGAACAGGGAGGAAAAAUUGGAUAAUUAUCCUCCUAAACUAAGCGGUUAUAAUUAUAAAACGUUGAAAAAAAAAUUGGAGCUCAAAUUUGAAACUGCAAUGAGCAGUUGCAAUUGGUUUUUUUCCUCUCCCGCAAAAACUAAAUUGUCUUCACUCUUAGGUAUGUUAUGUUGAUGUUUGAUUUAUUUUUAAUUUCCUUUUUUAUCAUUAGCUCCAUAUUUGAUCAAAUACUAGCCUCUCCGCACGCACAUGUGCGUGUGAGAGGCCUUUUUUCAAUCAUGUGUGCUACACGCCCCUAUAUGUGUCUUGCAUUAGUUUUUUUCAUUGUAAUUGUCAAAAUGGCUCACUAAACAAAUUGAAAACAACUAACGCACGACAUCUUUAAUAUAUGAGUUGUGGUUUCAUUCUUUUGGUUAACUUCGUUUAAUUCUUUUUUCCUCCUGUCCAUGAAUUAAUUUUAAUUAAUUUAGUACAAAUGUUCAUUUUUUGUUUCUAGGAAAUUAAAAGUUUGAACCUUUUUUAUUUGUGUAAUCAGUUUUGAAGUUUGUUUCACAGGGAAAAUAUGGAAGAAGGAAGAGAAAUAGCGGAAGAAGAGGGAACAAAGAUAGUUUAUCAUACUCAAGAGUGCAGGUAGUAUUCUGUGAUUUGGCAUAAUUUUGUAUAUAAUUGAUUUUUCUUCUCUAAUAAUCUUCCCCUAUUUCCUUUUGUUCUGUGUAUAAUAGAUCGUCUAAAAUUUACAAGUUCAUGGCUCAUUCAGGCUACAAAAGAUUUGAUUACUUUCUUUUUAGGAAUAUGAACUGGAACAACUUCAAAGUUCGGGUGUAAUUAUUUGUCUUAUCAAGUAAUUUACUGUAUCUUAUCCGUUUUUGUUUUUCAUGCAUGUGAUUGUAUUUUUGAUUGGAAGGUUAUAAAAAUGAACACCUUUUACAGUGCUCCAAAUUAAAUACGAUAGAUAUACAUGUUUUUGCACGAAUUAAAACAACAUUAUUACUACAUUAUGUAUUCAAUUUUAAAUUAAGGUACGGUAUCUAUACCAAAUAAAAUAGGGUUGGCAUAUUAAGAGAACAACCUCCAUUUGCACUUUUAAUAGAAAAAGGCUCGGGUUCGAUUGUAAAAACAAAAGCAAAAUUGUUACACCCUUUUUUCUUAAGAAUAAAAACAUGAUUAGGCGAUCUACUAAUAAAGAGAUUGGAAACUAAUGUAAUAAACUUUCAUCUUCUAUAGGAAAAUAUAAACAAGUUAAGCAUGACUAAUUAAGAAAACACCAUUUGCAAACACAUAAAAAUUCGUCAAUCAACUCUCAAUGAAUAAGAAUGUCGAUAGACAAAUGAACACCUAAUACCUCCUAAAAAAGGCUGCUUUAAUCAUCUCACACGCAACUGUUGUUUCACUAUUGCAUGAAAACAAUUGACGCAAGAUAUAAUUAAAACCGCGUAGCGCCGGUAAUUAAAAAAAUGCCUCUAGCUUGACCAUGAUAAAAGAGAUCAUGAUUUAGUAAUGGCAUCAUCACGUUAUAAGUAGACUUUAUUUUUUGUAUGUACAUAUUGUGCAUUGUUUUGUUUUGAAUCAAUGUAUCAAAACAUACCAUCAUUUGAUCAUGAUAUAUAGCUUGAAAAAUGUGACAUAAGCAGUACAAUUAAACAUUAAUGCCAUUUUCGUUUACAUAGUUAUCAAACAAAUUUUUUGCGCCCUUAAAGAUGUCGUGUGUUAGUCGUUUUCAAUUGACAAUUACAAUGAAAAAAACUAAUGCAAGACACAUAUAGGGACGUGUAGCGCACAUGAUUGAAAAAAGGCCUCUCACAUGCACGUGUGCGUGCGGAGAGGCUAGUAUUUGAUCAAAUCUGGAGCUAAUGAUAAAAAAGGAAAUUAAAAAUAAAUCAAACAUCAAAGUAACAUACCUGAGAGUGAAGACGAUUUAGUUUUUGCCGGAGAGGAAAAAAACCAAUUGCAACUGCUAAUUGCAGUUUCAAAUUUGAGCUCCAAUUUUUUUUCAACGUUUUAUAAUUAUAACCGCUUAGUUUAGGAGGAUAAUUAUCCAACUUUUCCUCCCUGUUCGUCUUCAAAUGCCCAGCGAUCAAUUGCAUAAAAUUUGAACAAAAAAUUCAAAGAAUCUCAAGUAAGAGAGAUGAAGAACCGUCACAACCCAGAUGUUACGAACACAACUGAGCGGAUUGGUGGGCAAAAGUAUUAACUGGCUAUAGAGUGUUCAACCAUCUCAGAUCCGGAUCCCGCCGCACCAACUCUAUUGAGAGCCCUUGGAUGAUCAAAGGGUGUUAACGUGUAGCACAAAAUUCGAAGCUAGUGGAGCAUCGUCAUCAGAUAAAUAAUACAAUACAUCAAAUUAAAUCCGGGAAAAAAAGACAAACAAAAUAAACCGUAUGCGACACCAAUGGGUCACCAGUCUGAGCGACAAUGAAGCUGAAGCCACCAAUCUCUGGUGGGAUUAAAGCUCAAGAAUUUGGCGGUUGAAGAAGGCUUUUUGUAAAGAACUGGUAAUUGAGUAACUUUAGUAACUCCUAUAAAUGCCUCUGGCAUUCCAGAAUGGCAAAAAUUAAGCAGAAACUGAAUAACCAAUACACAAAAGAGAGAGCUUUCUACAAAUUGGUCCAAAACCCAUUAACAAAAUCUGGUAAAGAUAAAUAAUUUCAAAUAGUUCAAAUUAUAAUCAAGUAAAAAUUUCCAAAUUAGUAUAUAUUAAAGUGGGCAAUUAGUUAAUAAAUCAAAACAUUAGUAGAUAUGAACAAUUCAAUUAGGCAUAGAGUACCUGAAUUGAAGCAGAAAGUCAAAAUUUCUGGCGAAAACCCAUUUCAAAAUUUUGGCAUAGAUAAGAAUAUUGUUCGAGAAAAUUACCCAAUUUACUCUUUUGUAUGCACUGUGGUGAUCGAGAACGUGCGAUGGAGGUAGGACAAUGUAGAAUAAGAUUAUACUUAUUUUGAAGCCCAAUGGUUGCUGGAGAUGGCCGGAAAAUAGCCUCAAAGUUGACUGGUCUGAGUGAAAACUUGAAAACUCGCCAGAAACUAGGUAAACUUUAAAGGUUCAUAACUUCUUCAAUACUCAACGAAAUCAAGUGAUUCAAAAAACGAAAAUCAUACUUCUCGACGAGACAAAAAGAAUGGUACAUUUUUCAAUGGCUAACUCGCCGUUGUUUGGCCGGAAAAUGGCUCGAAAGUGGCUGUCUUGGUCUCAAGUUAGCCACUUUUGAGCCAUUUUCCGGCCAAACCACGGCGAUCUAGCAGUAUAAAAAGGUACCAUUCUCUUUGUCUCGCUGAGAAGUAUGAGUUUUGUUUUUGAAUGACUUGAUUUCAUUGAGUAUUGAAGAAGUUAUGAACGUUUAAAGUUUACCCAAUUUCCAACGAAUUUUCUAGUUUUCGCUCAAACAAGUCAACUUUGAGGCUAUUUUCCAGCCAUCUCCGGUAACCAUUGGGCUUUGAAAUAGGUAUAAUCUUAUUCUAAACUUUCCUAUCUUCAUUUUGAUAUAUUAUGGGUCGAAUUUGGUUAAGAAACGAUUGAGUUACGAAUCUUUGAAAAUUGCCCAAACUUCCGGCCAAGAGCUCCGGAACACUUAACGGAGUUUUUAACGGAAUGAUCAAAAUGAUGGAUGGUGGACAAUCUCAGGGUCCACUUUUAUCGAUUUGGAAUCUCAGAGACCAAAGUGAUGAGUUUUACAAAUCUUAGGGACCAUUUUGAUGAUUUACCAUAAAACAUUUACACAAAAUCCAACAUGCUUGACUUAAAAUAGAUAGAGAUUUAUAAAUAGAUAUAACCCACAAUAGUUCAUGGUUUUCUUUUAUCAGAAAAUAAGAAUAUUUUAAACACAUUACAUAAACCACUCACCUUAAUAAUCCAAGCUUUGACAAGACAACCCAAUUAACAUCUCCGCACACCUCAAACCCUAGCUUUCCCUUUCUCUUUUCUUUUCUAAUCUCUCUCUAAACAUAUAUAAUAUUUAUAUACACACACAUACAUAUAUAUAUAUAUAUAUACACAUACACAUAUAUACACACACACACACACACAUAUAUAUAUAUAUAUAUAUAUAUAUAUAUGUAUAUAUAUAUACAUCAUCUCUACGUAGUGCAUGCAUUGCAUGCUUCUGUGGUUUCAAAAGAAUGGAGCCUUUGCUCCUAUUUAUAGGGGAUUGGAGUCGGCUAUAAUUAAUGUUAAAUGCAUGACUAAGCCUUUCAAUGAAGUGGUGGCAAUAGAAUGUAAGAAAUCAUCUAGGAUAUUGACAGCUACAUGGAAGACGUGUUCAACUUAAGUUGGAGGUGUCAUGAACAUGGGCUGCCAAGUAUAAGAAUCAUCAAAUUGUAGGUGCAGGUGUCAAAUACAGGGAUUAAGCAUAUGCAACACGUUUAAGUUAAUAGCUGCAUACGAUCAUCACAAUAGAGUGCAUAAUAAGCACUCGUAAUGAUUGCUAAAGGAUGAAAUGGAAGGUGGUGCUGUCAGUUUGCAUGAAGCGAGAAGAGCAGGUGCUACAUUCGUAGGAAUGCUUGAGGUAGAUUGACAGGUGGUAUAGUAAAAAUGAAUGGGUGGGAUCUAGUGAGUCUAUUCUUGUCACGCCCCGAUCCUGACAUACAUCCAGGAUUGACACAUGACGUCACCAAGUAUAUGUAUAUCUAACAUACCCCGCCUCCAGAAUAUGUACCAAGCACGCUCAAGCCUCAAAUUGAGUAGUGAUUUUUCGUAUACUUUAUGACUGCAUCUAACCUCCUCGUUAGACUGCCUACGUACCCUCAUUAGAAAUCAAGUCAUUCGUAGUUCGUCGUUCACUAAUUUAGACAAUUAUUAUAGAGCGUUCUAACAAGAAUACAUAACAUUCUGUAAUCAAUUAUUAGAACUUGACAUGCAUGACAUUACCAAGUUCAGGGCUACAAAACAAACCAAUAUGCCGCUCAAGAUUCUGAUUCCAUCCAUCAUAUAAAUUCCAUGAUUUCAGUACGAUACUUCCAUCCACAACAUGUAACAUAUCAAAUAAGCAACGAAGCACAUACUAUUCUCAAGCCACAUUGGUCAACUAAAAUAAUUAGAAUAAUAACAACCAUAACCAAGGUCAUUCCACAAUCCCGUCAAUCAAUCAAUUCAUGAAUCAAAGAUACAUGAUCUUAGCAUUUAAUUAUGUUAAUCAAUGAAUGCAGUAACAUAUCAUUUCACGAAUUUAACCGAGGAAUUCUAUAUAAUUCCCUACUUGGAUUAUGAAUAAAAACAUGGUAAUUCUCAUUUGUAUUCACAAGAUCUAUUGUGGGUAAUUCUUAUUCACUCGAAUCAAGGAUUCUAAGAUAACCUUAUGGAAAUGAACAAGAGCAAGGAUUCCAGACGACUCAACUGAAUCCAACAACAUCGGGUUCCGGACGACUCAACGGAACCAAAAUGUCACACGGUUUCUCGUAAUCCACCUAGACCUGUCACAUGUAAAAUCAAUGCCUACAUUAUGGGAAUGGUACACUGGGCAAAUCAGGCACUCAGAUAAGCUGCAAGGUUCGGGUGAGUGACAAUAAUACAAGUAUGUGAUAUUCAAUAAAAACAGACCAUCGAUCACAAUGUAUAAACAUCAAGCAUAUAAUCAUGCUUUAUGAAAUCAUAAUCAAGUAGCUGAAAACUCCGUAGGAGUCACCCAGACAUCCAACGCUUUUUCUAAUUCAGGCCACAGGAUUCCCAAAAACCAUCAUUCAUAUGCGCAUUAAAACUAGGGCUAGAGGGACGCAGUUUGGCCGAAGCCUACAUAUAUGUAACCAAACAGGAAGUGACCCCCUAUCACGGAUUAACCAAGCAGAACCACCCCUGCAAUAACCAAGUAGACAGUGACCCUCUAUCGUGGAUUAACCAAGCAUAGUCACUCCUACGCAUCUGUUAAGCAGUGAUCACCUAUCGCGGAUUAACCAAGCAUGAUCACCCCUAAGUGUGUGUGUAUGGCCAUACCAAAGAUAUAAGGAUCGCCUAUCGUGGAUUAACCAAGCACGAUCCAUAGAAAAUAUGGUCCUGUAUCGUAGAUUAACAAGACCAUGGUCCCCUAUCGCGGAUUAACCAAGCAGAGUCACACCUACAAAACUGUUAGGCAGUGAUCACCUAUCGUGGAUUAACCAAGCAUAAUCACUCCUAAGUAUGUAUGGCCAUAAGGAUCGCCUAUCGCGGAUUAACCAAGCACGAUCCAUAAAUACUAUGGUCCCCUAUCACGGAUAUACCAAGUAGGACCAUUCAUAUACAUCUACUACAUGGUGCAGUCAAUUCAACACACAAUCUACCCUUACUUCAACCCCUAUGAUUUACAAUAUAGGCACAUGCUCAAUCAACUUCUCAUGGCCACUAGCAUACAUAUCAUGCAAGCAUAUAAAUUCUAUGGAAUACUUCUAAUAGGAUUCUAGGAUCACAUGGUCAUAACCUUUAUCAUUCAUAUCAUUCAUAUUAUCAAGAAAAUAACUAAACACACACACACACACAACACACACAUAUAUAUAUAUAUAACAAUAUGACUCCCAUACGCAUAAACCGAUGUAUAUAUUAUCUGGGAUAACUUACUAACCAAUAUAGGCCCACUAAGCCCUACAUAGUCUCUAGUAAUAUUGAAUUUAAUAUCUAAGAUCAAUUUGUAACAUAUUGACUAUAAGUAAGCAGUAAUUAGAUUAAAACAUAUAAGGUUUCCUAGAACCCCCUACCUUGAAUUCGAUUAAUUUUGUUCCUUUGAAGAACCUAAUCGGAACAUAAAAUUACAAUCAAAAGUAUAAAUACAAGUAACACACCUUAAUAACCAAACUAAGUGUUUAAACACAAAAUUAAUAUUAUUUAAAGAAAGUACAUUGAUUCUGGAAUCUACCACUCAAAUAAUAUCACUCAAAUAGCAAUAAAGAAGAUUAGAAAGGAAUCUGGAAAAGAAAAUAGGUGUGGCAAAAACAAUACUAUGCUUCUCUACAAAAUCUGCAGAAAACAACACUAUUGGACCAAGUUUAGGCUCGCUUUGGAACAUCCAAAACUAAACCAAAUCAUGUAAUAUUAUAUGGGUUUUGAAGCUUGUGUUAUGUACUUUAAAAGAAUACAAAGUUUGUANNNNNNNNNNNNNNNNNNNNNNNNNNNNNNNNNNNNNNNNNNNNNNNNNNNNNNNNNNNNNNNNNNNNNNNNNNNNNNNNNNNNNNNNNNNNNNNNNNNNNNNNNNNNNNNNNNNNNNNNNNNNNNNNNNNNNNNNNNNNNNNNNNNNNNNNNNNNNNNNNNNNNNNNNNNNNNNNNNNNNNNNNNNNNNNNNNNNNNNNNNNNNNNNNNNNNNNNNNNNNNNNNNNNNNNNNNNNNNNNNNNNNNNNNNNNNNNNNNNNNNNNNNNNNNNNNNNNNNNNNNNNNNNNNNNNNNNNNNNNNNNNNNNNNNNNNNNNNNNNNNNNNNNNNNNNNNNNNNNNNNNNNNNNNNNNNNNNNNNNNNNNNNNNNNNNNNNNNNNNNNNNNNNNNNNNNNNNNNNNNNNNNNNNNNNNNNNNNNNNNNNNNNNNNNNNNNNNNNNNNNNNNNNNNNNNNNNNNNNNNNNNNNNNNNNNNNNNNNNNNNNNNNNNNNNNNNNNNNNNAAUUAAUUUUAAUUAAUUUAGUACAAAUGUUCAUUUUUUGUUUCUAGGAAAUUAAAAGUUUGAAACCUUUUUUAUUUGUGUAAUCAGUUUUGAAGUUUGUUUCACAGGGAAAAUAUGGAAGAAGGAAGAGAAAUAGCGGAAGAAGAGGGAACAAAGAUAGUUUAUCAUACUCAAGAGUGCAGGUAGUAUUCUGUGAUUUGGCAUAAUUUUGUAUAUAAUUGAUUUUUCUUCUCUAAUAAUCUUCCCCUAUUUCCUUUUGUUCUGUGUAUAAUAGAUCGUCUAAAAUUUACAAGUUCAUGGCUCAUUCAGGCUACAAAAGAUUUGAUUACUUUCUUUUUAGGAAUAUGAACUGGAACAACUUCAAAGUUCGGGUGUAAUUAUUUGUCUUAUCAAGUAAUUUACUGUAUCUUAUCCGUUUUUUUGUUUUUCAUGCAUGUGAUUGUAUUUUUGAUUGGAAGGUUAUAAAAAUGAACACCUUUUACAGUGCUCCAAAUUAAAUACGAUAGAUAUACAUGUUUUUGCACGAAUUAAAACAACAUUAUUACUACAUUAUGUAUUCAAUUUUAAAUUAAGGUACGGUAUCUAUACCAAAUAAAAUAGGGUUGGCAUAUUAAGAGAACAACCUCCAUUUGCACUUUUAAUAGAAAAAGGCUCGGGUUCGAUUGUAAAAACAAAAGCAAAAUUGUUACACCCUUUUUUCUUAAGAAUAAAAACAUGAUUAGGCGAUCUACUAAUAAAGAGAUUGGAAACUAAUGUAAUAAACUUUCAUCUUCUAUAGGAAAAUAUAAACAAGUUAAGCAUGACUAAUUAAGAAAACACCAUUUGCAAACACAUAAAAUUCGUCAAUCAACUCUCAAUGAAUAAGAAUGUCGAUAGACAAAUGAACACCUAAUACCUCCUAAAAAAGGCUGCUUUAAUCAUCUCACACGCAACUGUUGUUUCACUAUUGCAUGAAAACAAUUGACGCAAGAUAUAAUUAAAACCGCGUAGCGCCGGUAAUUAAAAAAAUGCCUCUAGCUUGACCAUGAUAAAAGAGAUCAUGAUUUAGUAAUGGCAUCAUCACGUUAUAAGUAGACUUUAUUUUUUGUAUGUACAUAUUGUGCAUUGUUUUGUUUUGAAUCAAUGUAUCAAAACAUACCAUCAUUUGAUCAUGAUAUAUAGCUUGAAAAAUGUGACAUAAGCAGUACAAUUAAACAUUAAUGCCAUUUUCGUUUACAUAGUUAUCAAACAAAUUUUUUGCGCCCUUAAAGAUGUCGUGUGUUAGUCGUUUUCAAUUGACAAUUACAAUGAAAAAAACUAAUGCAAGACACAUAUAGGGACGUGUAGCGCACAUGAUUGAAAAAAGGCCUCUCACAUGCACGUGUGCGUGCGGAGAGGCUAGUAUUUGAUCAAAUCUGGAGCUAAUGAUAAAAAAGGAAAUUAAAAAAUAAAUCAAACAUCAAAGUAAUCACAUACGUGAGCACGAUGUGCAAGUACUAGCAUUUUAUUCCGUAUCUAGUCUGUCCGAGGAAUGAGAGGCACCACUGUAAGAAGCAAUUGAGUCGACAUUCGGCUACAAAUUGCAGUUUAGUCAAUAAUUUUCUAGACAGGCCGGCUCCAGACUCAGAUGUUUUUAUUCUCACGUUUUUGAUGAUAUUAUACCAUUUCACUAACGACAGUGCACGUCCAUUUAGCUUGGAAGCAGAUAAUGAUCAGACCUCUCAUACGGAGUUCGUGAGCCACUAAUGACUACCUCUACUCUGUUUAGGUAUCAACUAUAAGUGUCCUCCUAGCGAAAUCUUAGGCCUUUCUUCACACAGUAAUUCACAAGAUGAGUUCUUUUCCAACGAUAAAUAUGGUAACAUGGAGAGGAUAUAUAUAAUAUCUGUCUGACAUACCUCAGGAGUGACUAUACCGCAUAACACAAGAUAAUUAACUGGUUUGGGGAUCAAGUAUGUCUUCAUAACAUUGGAGCUGUUAUGUGCAUAGUUCACUGUUUAACUCUGAUGUUAACUAAUGACGUGGCUCCCAUGCGGACAAUGACUGGACGCCACGUGUCAUUAAGGGUCCACGUGGAAAUAAAAAAAAAGAAAAGAAACAAAACCCCGCUUCUUCUCGUGCGCAGACGAUACCAUUUCAACUUUCUUAGCCUUCCCCUUUACCUUCUCUGCUGUCUUUUGAAUCUCAGCACUGCUCUUCCCAUCCGCCGCCGAUUCCUGGCUCGACUUCGGGCUCGCCGCCGACUUAGGGUUCAGGAACACGAAAGCGUCUUUGUCAUCGUUGUUGUUUCAAAGCCUCAAGUCUCUAACUCUCCACAGCUUCGAGGAUCCCGUGGAAUUGCUCUUGUUAUGAGUUCCAUUUCACGACUCAGAUCAGGUAGCGAGUUCCAUUUCACUAAGACUUGUCCAUUUUCCUAUGGUAGAUUAUACGGAGUUCCUGACCCAGAAAGACAUUAUCUUUAGUGUAAAUCUCAGUUUACUGCCUUCAAGUUUCGUGGUUUUUAACAUUUGGUACAUGAAGUUUUUUUCGUCCUAAAGUCAUACCAAGUGUUAAUUUUGGGACAGUCUUAUACAUUCGUUAGUCAAACUGCUAACUCUGUCGUUAACUAAUGACACGGCGCCCAUGUGGACAAUGACUAGACGCCACAUGUCAUUAAGGGUCCACAUGAAAAAAAAAAAGGAAACAGAACCCCCUUUAUUCUCUUGCGCAGAUGAUACCGUUUCAACUUUCUUAGCCUUCCCCUUUACCUUCUCCGUCGUUUAUUGAAUCUCAGCGCUGCUCUUCCCAUCCGCCGUCGAUUCCUAGCUCGACUUCGGGUUCAGGAACACGAAAGCGUCUUUGUUGUCGUUGUUGCUUCGGAGCUUCAAGUCUCUGACACUCCACAGCUUCGAGGAUCCCGUGGAAUUGCUCUUGUUACGAGUUCCAUUUCACGGCUCGGAUCAGGUGGCGAGUUCCAUUUCACUAAGACUUGUCCAUUUUCCUAUGGUAGAUUAUACAGAGUUCCUGAGCCAGAAAGACAUUAUCUUUAGUGUAAAUCUCAGUUUACUAUCCUUAAAUUUCGUGGUUUUCAAUAUUUGGUAUAUAAAGUUUUUUUCGUCCCAGAGUCAUACCUAAAGUAUUUGUUUGUACCAUACUUGACCAAUUCCGAAACUACUGAGCACCGGUCAACGUUAUACCAUCAAGGACCCAGAAGAGAUUCCCUUCAACUAGGAGGUCAAUCACAAUGCGACACGUGUCGACAUCAGAAGCCAAUCACAGCUCGACACGUGUCAACAUCAGAAGCCAAUCACAACACGACACGUGUCAAUGUUAGGACAAAACUAGAAACUCUCCUCUAUAAAUAGGGAUCAUUCUCCCACAAUAAUCUCUAAUGUCAUUUUGUACUAAACUAUUCACUAGAAACUCACAAAAUGAGAGCUUGAACCUAUGUAUUUGUGUAAACCCUUCACAAUUAAUGAGAACUCCUCUACUUCGUGGACGUAGCCGAUCUGGGUGAACCACGUACAUCUUGUGUUUGCUUUCCUGUCCCUAUUCAUUUACGUACUUAUCUUCACAAGUGAUCGAAGCAACCAAGCGAAGGUCACAAACUUGACACUUUCUGUUGUACCAAAGUCCUCGCUGAUUUUGUGCAUCAACAUUUGGCGCCGUCUGUGGGAAAUGACACUUAUUCCCACUCUCUUCAGCUUUGUUAAGCUGGUUUCCACCGCUCAUACACUUUUUUUUGGCCAAACAUCUCUCUCCAACAUGGGGAGCGAAAGAAGCCAUAGCACACAGAAUGACACCCCCAUUGGACCUAGUAUGAAGCAACGAAAGCAGGAAGGAAAUAGAGUUACUCUUCAAGCUAAAGUCGAUGAGUUAGAAGCUCAGAACAACAAGAUAGUGAUGAGGAACGAAGUCCUCCAGGAGCAGUAUGAAAAACUUUUUCGAGAUGCUUCACGAGGCUAGGCAUGCUCAAGCCACAAGCUCGUCGCCCCUGCUGAGGUCAACAAUCAUCUGAAUGCCCCCCAACACGGAAGGGUCACGAUAUCCAAACGCGAUAGUGCCCUGAUCAUUACGGAGCAUCCGGAAGAUGUCACGCGCGAGGCACUCACUAUCGUAUACUAUUGGCAGACCAUCUGAUGAGCUGGAUGAUCCUCUCACAAGUCGGCGAGGUGCUGGCUUUAACUCGAGGAUGUGAGCACACGCAGGAGACAGUAGGGUAGUUAGGGGAGGGUACACGCCGAGUCAUCAGAUUACCAAUAUUACACAUGACAUAAGGAGUUAGAGAUAGGAGUCAAGACAGCAGAUAUAUAUUACCGAGCGAGAUCUAUAAGGCGGGGCGAUACACCGGUCACUGGAGCAGUCGCGGCAGAGUGAGGUGGGGGCGAGCGUACAAUAACCAGAGUGUUACUGGGGGAUUGAAGGGCUGGGAUACGGUCGGUUCAUUUAGGGUGUUGUUAUAAGAUAGACGUGUGGGUUUUCGUACGAGGGGCGCAGAGCGCGGGGUUAAUAUUGAAGGUAGUUUAAGGCUGUGUCGGGAGGUAACAUCUACUAAGUAUCCAUGCGACUAUGGGUAAGUGAUCCGAGAUAGGGAUUAGGCAGGAACUGGAUAACCAAUACGAAAAGAGGCAGAGGCUGGGUAUCCAUUGGUCCAACCAUUUAAACAAAAUCUGGUAAAGAUACAAUAAAUUCAAAAUAGUUCAAUAAUAAUAAGUCGAGAAACGUGCCCUCGCCAAAAUAUUUAUGUUAGUUAGAUUGGACGAAAGAGUCGGAGGGAUUUAAUAUAUUAUACAAUAAACUGACUACACCUCUAGUUAGCCAAAUCUAUCACUCGUAAACCAAAGUUAAAUUCAAUAGUUGCCACAAGUAACCUUUUCAAUUGGGACCACAAGCCCUACGACAAAUUUCUGCAGACCGGCUUAAACACCCAGUAUGUCACAACACCUUGAUUCUCGCGUGAGAUUAUGCACAGAGACUAAUUCGAGUUUUCUGCAAGGACACUUCAACAGCAGCCUCAGACCAAGAAAUCUUCAUUCUUUGUAUCGGUAUGGUACACUCUCGAGUGCUUAGACUGCCGCGAGUUCGCGUACGGCUACGCCACUGAUAAGAUACCACUGAAGUCAGACCAAUAUCUACCCUCCUGUAUUCCUCUCUGACAGCAUCACCCUCAAUCUGGUUGAGCUCCGGAGCUGACCGACGGCCGGAAAUAGCUCAACAGUGCUCACAAAAGUCAGCACUGGACUCUCACAGUGCUCACCCUGCAAGUCUACAUAAAACAUGCGACUAUAUCCACGUUAAGAGAAACUAGGAUCCGGUUGUUAUCUUGUUUUUUUUUAUGUCUCCGAUAAAGUAUAAAUCACUACUGAUUCAUUCACGAGACAAAGUCAGUGCCACUUGAUACAUUACUGAACAUAGUGAAAACUCUGUCUGAUGGAGAGGCCCUUUAUAAAUAGAUAAAGUAGAUUGGUACGUCAUGUAUUUAACAUAUUAUCGAUAUACUCGACGAGUUCGUUCUUUGAGUCAGGGAAAAUGGUGCAUGCUUAGUGGGGCUUGUCUGGGAUUCGUAGUACGUAUAGGAACUUUUACAGUAUAUUUUUGGGUGCAUAUAUAAUCGAGAGACAGAGAGCAUAUAGUUUCAUAGCGACGUAUUAGGUUUGAAAAUAUUGGAUUAAUAGUUUCUUUUGGAUUAGGGAGUCAGGAGAUAAUGAGUGUUUGUUGUGUUUUAUAUGGCAGUUUAGUUGAUAUUCGAUUGCAUAAGUCUAUUGAUAGACAUGUUUAUGACUUUAAGGUAUUAAAUUUCAAGAAUUGGGUUUUCUAUCGUUGUUCUACAACCAUAUAUUCUACAAUCUUGUUGAGAGGGCUAUUUGCUUACAGAGUCGACAACUAUCGAGUGAAAUCUCUAUAUUAUAUCUGCGUGUCUAUUGAAAUUAAGUCGGCUAUUUAAUUUCCUAACAUCUUCUGGAUAUCGUUGUUGCCUAAAUUAUGAAGCUUUGAUAUUUGAAUGUCGUUUUCGAUAAUAGUAUUUUAUCUGGUUCUGAAGUUUUUAUGCGGGCUUAUAGUAUUCUGGAUUGAAGAUGUAUGAUUUUAGGGAUACUUUUGAUAAGUGUAUAUAGGCCUCGGAUAGGCUUCGGAAGAUGUCGUAUCAUAUAAUGGGAGUUUAACGGGAGAACAUUGUUAUAUAUGGAGUUAGGAGAUUGCGUGGAAGAAUUUCAGGGUACUUUUAUCGAUUUGGAAUCUCAGAAGAGAAGCAGAGAUUCAGGAAGCAUUUGUGAAAAUUCUAGAAAAGGACUUGAACUAAUAGGUUGUUUGAGGCGGAAUGAUUUACAUAAAACAUUUACAAAAUACAUGGUCUUGACUUCUAACAGAUAUCACGCAGAUUAUUGAGAUAGGAUAGAUAUAAAACUAGCGAUUCUAAAUAUGAACAAUCUUACCUUGUUGUGAGAUAUAUUUUCUUAAUCAGGCCAGUAAGAAAUUUACCAAUAUUAAACCCUAUAGGGUGUUUCAGUCAGUACCGAUGACCUUUAGAGUACUUAAAGUGGAAUACAGAGUUAUGGAUUAGGAGCAUAUCACAGAUUUAAGCAAUUCUUAACGCACGUUAACCACACUAGCUUCUUACAUUUCUUAUUUUAUUAUAUACGUAAUAUAUCCUUGCCUCAUCAGAUUAUCUAACUUGAUUUGGUUAAUAUGUGGAUGGACUAUUGCUUGUCUUGGCAGUAUUUGCAUAUUCAAAAUAAUCUUUCAUAGUACAUUGAACAUAUCUAUUGCCUUAUAUUAGAUAUUCAAUUGAUAGUUCGACUACUUCAUGAUGACACCUAAGUUCGAUAACGAUUGCAAUAUUCACACAACCACAGGACAUGGACUUUCCAUAUAUAACGAUAUAAUAUCCUUUAUCAUAUUACAUUAUAUUUAGGUAUUGUUAUAUUAAUAAUGGUAAAAUAUAAUAUUACAUCAUCUUAAGGUAAUGCAUAGCAAUUGCAUGGCUUCUGUGUUUCAGGAAUAGUGAGCACUAUGUAUUCACUAAUUAUAUUUGUGAGGAGUGAAGUCUGCUCGGGUCAUAAUAUAAUAUGUCAUCAUCUGGGAUAGAGUAAUUGAAAUAGAAUUGGCAAAAGAGAGAAGUUAUAUGUAGCUAGUGGCUGGUGCGAAUGAUCACCUAUAUUGAUAGCAUAUAAUCGAUUAUGCUACGAUAAAUCAGAUUAGAAAUACAAUGGAGGAUCUAGUUUGUUUCGGUGCAACAACUUUAAGUUUGAGGGCAAUAAUGUAUACAUGGGUCUCAGUAAUAGAGGAAACCCUAUAAAAUAUAUGAGUAAAGAGUUGCCAGUUCUACUGAGUAUACCAUUGUGAGAAGGGUUAAGUCCAUCUCCUCUGUAGGCUUUAUCUAAAGUUCUAAGAUCUUGUUGAACUCAUGAUACAGAGGAGACCAAGAGCAUUGGUAAUAGAGCACGUAUAUUGUAUUUGUGCUUAUAAUAUGAUGAAUUUAUUCAGAGAGUUACGAGGUUGGUCUGCGAUCGGAUGGUAUGCUAUGAAAGUGGUUAGGAGACUGCUUGUUUGAUAUGUGCUAUGUUCAGAUAUGCGAAUGCUCUACGGUAUGUUAUCAGAAAUCUAUUGGAACUCACCCCGUUAUACAAUAAUCGUAUAUCAAUUUGAUGAGAUGUCGGCUUUGAGAUAUUAUAGGUUUUGAGAAGAACUGUGCUAAUAUGGUAUCAUAAGUCGACGGUCUGACCAUACCUUGCAAUGUCGAAAUGUUCUAUCUCAGAUUAAAAAUGAGUAUGACUACUGAGCUGUAAAGUAUACACUCAUAAAUCUUAUAUCGAGGUCGUCGUUGUAAUAACAAGAUUAUCAGCACAGUCCGACUUAACCCAGACUUGAUUUUACUGGUAGUAUUUAGAUCGUGAUUCUCUACGUUGAACUUUUGCGCUUUUCAUUUCGCAACUAAUUUUCGCUUAGGAGUGAGCAAAGUCCACGGCUUCUUUUCACGAGGAGACCAUGGUUGGUUGUAGAUUCAACUAAUUUCAUUGUCGUACUUUUUGGUGGUAUUUGCUGAGGAGUUGAACUUGGGAAUGACACGUUUUUACCUGAGUGCACCGGGCAUUUCCUUAAGUGUUUCUUUUGCUGAGAUUUGCACAUAAGUGAGGACUCAAAGUCCUUUUUGUUAGUAAAAAAACAGAUUGCAAUCUGGCACAGAUUGCCAAAAACUGCAGCUGCACAGAUUGCAGAAUCUGCCACCGCAAAGCUUGUGCACUGCAAUCUGGCACAAUCUGCACUGCAAUCUGUACGAAACUGCACUUGCAAACGAAAUUGUAAUGCUGCAACAAUCCUGCACAAUCUGCACAAACUAGCACUGCAUCGAAUUGCAAUCUGCCACAUAUCUGCACUGCAUCAGAUUGAAUCUGCAAUCAAAACCUGCAACUGCACCAAGAUUUUGCACAAAAUUGUAACUGCACAGUCACACACUGCACAAUAUUAAAUAACAUGGAUGAUACUUCUCAAAGCCUUUUUGGUCUUUUGUCGUCAACAAUCUGUGUGUUUGUUUGUUCACUCUGUUUAAAUUGGUGCUGGGCCGUGCCCUUCUGUUUCCCCACAUCUCAGUUUAGAGGUAAUUAUUUGUCGAAAUAUCUUCUAUUUGGAUUAAUGAAUAAUAGUCUCCAUUUUGUAGUAUAUAUGGAUUUUUUACAGAUUUUUACAAUAAUGUCUCAAUUCAAAGUCAAAGUACCCCUAGUAGUACUAAUGUAAGCAUCAUCUCGGCUUACAAUCAACAUGUCCUCCAACAACCCAACACAAGCACCCCAACAGUCCAAAACCAUCAAUGCCGCUCCACCCACCCCUCAUCCUACUAGAAAAAAAGAAAGCACCACUCUAUCCAAUAGAAAAAACAACCAACUAUAAUAGAGCACUUCAACUAGAGAGAUCCUUCUUUUAGAGAUUCUUGGUUUUUGGCCGAUCAUUGUCACCUAAGUGUACGGUCUCAGGGGAAAUGCAAAAGUAAGGGAGCGGGGAGGGGAGGGGGAGGACAGUUGCGUUAUACAUUAGUAGCUCUUUUUUUUGCAAUGUGAUUAACAGUACGGGGGUGGAACUAAGUACUACAUUAAAGCAUCUCAAUAACAACAUGUGGCAGUGUCAAAUAAUAAACCAAAAACUGAUGAGUUUGCACAAAGGGUUCUAGGCCAGUUCUGGACCUUCUGGAUGGCAGAUGUCCAAUAAAAACGAUGGGCUUGUUGCGUCAAUUAACGAGGGUUGGGAGGGUGAGUGGCAACUAAGAAUGUAAUUUCAGUAUUGGUGUGAAUAGGCGUAUUGCAUCUUAAUUCAUUCUGGAAAUAUUCUGAGUUGCUUACGCUACUAGAGAUAGAUCAGGCAUGAGAGUAAGUUCGUCCCGUUUACACGUAUUAUUAAAGGCUAGAUUAGUAAGUUGAGGCCAGAUGUCGAGCCAGUUAUAGAUCAUGACCGUGAGGUGAAUGUGCAUAAUAGUUCAGGACAUGUCGCACUCAUCAUGAAUUACAGAUUGCAUGUUCCAAAGUUCACGGGGCAGAAUCACCAUAAUAUGGCGAGCCGCGCAGAGAGUUAUCUUGAUCACAUCUAAUCUCAUUUUCUAUUGAUGUUGUAUAGAAACUGCAUUCGCAAUAAGCCCACCUACACAAGCAUGUGAAUAUAAAAUCAUACGACGAGCCACGGAAUGACCACAUACUAUCAUCUCAAGCUACACUAUUGCGUCAAGAAGUGGAGCUCUAUAUUGUAGACAUUAACCUUUAUCGACAUCUAUACAGAGAUCAUUCCACCACAUUGGACAAGUGUGCAAGAUCACUCUGAAGCUCUCAUCAUUCAUGGAUCAAGGAUAAUCAUGGAUUUUAGCGCCACUAACUAAUUAAAUGUUAAUCCAAAUGAAUGGAGUAAAAAUUACUCAUUUUACGAAAUUUAAAACCCGGAGGAAAUUCUAUAUGAAUUCCCCUACUUGUGUAUUAUUUGGAUGGAAUGAUAUCUGGGUAAUGGCUCUCCAUCUUGUGAUACACAAAGAUCUGGUGUGGAGGAUAAUUCUUAUUCACAUUGGCCGCACACAAAAGAAAGAUUCAUAAUUCAAAGGAUUCUAAGUACCUAUAAGACUAUGGUAAAAUGAUUGCUAUAAGAGAGAUAAGGAUUUUCACAAAGUCAUCCACAGGACUCGAAAACACACUGAUCAACAGACAAAUCGAGAUUCACGGAGGCGAAACUCAAGAACGGAAAGCAAAAUUGUGCAAAACGACAAUGUUUGGAAUUAGAGUGGAGGGAUCUGAAAGAGCGGAGUAUUCCUCCGUAUCCACCUAGAACCUGUCACAUGUAUGCACCUACAUUUAUCGGGAAGUUGUAGGUUCACAACUGGGUGAAAAGAUUGACAAAUGCAUCAUCAAGCACUCAGAUAAAGCCUGCAGAAGUCACUUGAGAUGAUGUGAGUGAGCAAUUAAUGCAUGGUUGAUGCUAGAUUUUCAGAAUAUGAAGUAUAAGAGACUUCGUAUUUCGAUCCACGCAUUGUUAAUAAAAAUCAAGGACAAUUAAUAAUAUAAUGGCUCUAUGAUGAAAAAUCAUAAUCGAAAGGUAGCCUAUGAAAAAAACUCGUAGGAGUCACCAUAGCAUAAAAUCCAACGCUUUUUCUAAUUCAGGCAUACGCAGAAUUCCCAAAAUAACCAGAUACAUAUUCAUGGACAAAGGUUUGACUAUGUCACAUUAAGGGUCUGAGGAGGGGACUCGCCUAGUUUGGAGCGAGCACUCUAUACAAUAAUUAAUGUAAACACAAAAUAUAAUGAGGAGGGUUGCGAACCCUAAUCACAUACGGAAAUUUAACCGCGAGAAAAAGCUCAGAAGAAACAAGGUUAAACCGUAGGCAAUAAACCAAAAGUAGUGUAUGGCCGUAGGACCUCUCUAAUCGUGGAUUAAACCAAGCAUAGUCACUCGCUAACGCAUUCUGUUAAGCAGGCUUUGGGUAUUAGAAAGACCCUGCUCGGCGGAUUAACCAAGCAUGAAUUCAUGUGAGGCUACAGACGUCCCUAACAGUGGUGAGUGUGUAUGAAGCAUUAAUAAGAAAGAUAAUUAUAAUGUAGAUACUGACUAUCUGAUAGGAUAAGCCAGCACGAUUCCAUGUAGAAGUAAAAUAUGGUGCGCUGUAUACGAUGAGUAAGACAAGGACCAUAGAGUUCUCCCUCGUAUCGCGAGGAAUUAAACAGAAGCAAUGAGAGUCACAACGCCUACAAAGGUUGAAUAGCCUAUCUGUUCUAUCUUAGAGGUGGGCUAUGUGAGACGGUUAGAGAUCAUCUUAUAUGCCGCUUACGGAUUAAACGGCAAAAGCAUACAAAUCUCGUCCUCGAAGAUAUGAUAAUAAGGGAGACAACAUGCCACCAAAUGAAACAUUAUCGGAGACUGGAGGCGACAGAGCCGCACACACUACCCGCGCAUCUAUAUGCGUUGCCCAAAUGAAAUACUUGUUACCUAAUCACGGAUAUUAACCAAGGUUAAAAAGUUCAAAAGCAUUUGAAAGGAUGAUCGAGAGGACUGAUUGCAUUAAAAGCCACUACAUGGUGCAUCAUUCAAACAAUCAUUCUACCCCUUUAUCCCCCUACUGAUUUACUAUAGGCCACACUGCUCAAUCACACCUUCUCAAAUGGCCACUAAAGCAUACUAAUCAUGCAAUGACAUAUAAAUUCUAAUGGGAAUACUUCUAAAUAGGAUUCUCUAGGAUCAUAAUGGUGCAUUGAAAAAACGCUUGAUGCUCUAUAUCAAUUAUCGAUUCAUAUUAUGAGAGAAAUAAAAUAACACACAACGAACAAGACACACACACACAACCAUAUGUGGUAACGGUUAAAUGGGAGGGAAUAUGAUAAAUAUGACUCCCAUACGCGCAUAAACCAGAUCUGAAUAUAUAUAAUCUGGAGGAGUAAGACUUGAAACUAACUGGGAUAUAAAUAGGGCUACGCUAAAGCCCAAACAUAGUCCUCUAGAUAAUGUUAUUGAAUGUUGAAUAUCUAGAGAAUAUCAAUUUUGUUUAAUCGAUAAUUGAUGAGACAGCUAUUGCAGUAUAUCAUUAGAUUUUAUAAAACAUACUUUGAGAGUUUUAGCUAAAAGCCACCCUAAACGCUAUAUGAAUUGCCGAUAUAAAUUUUUUGUCACAAAUUUUGACUAUAAACAUAAUAUCACGAAACAUAAAAAUACGCAAUAUCAAAAAGUAUCAUAAUACAGAAUGGGUUCAAUACUACACCUUAAGAGCUUGCCAAACUAGUGUUUAAAAGCACAAAAUUAAUAAAUAUUUUAAACAGAGAGAAGACAUUUGGUAAUUCUGGAAUGCACUCAAUGACAUUAUAUCUCUUCAUGAGCACCAGCUAGAAUUAAAGAAGAAUUAGAAAAGUGAGAUCAGGAAAAAAAAGGUGUGGAAAAACAGAGACAUGCUUCUCUACAAAAUAUGAGCAGAAUAGAAUUACAAGACACGCUAAUUUGUAGCCGUAAGGUCUUAAAGGCUCGCUAUUCGUGAUAUGGGGACAUUGGUACAUCCACGAAACCAACUUGAGACCAGAAGUUCAAAGUAUAUUAUAAUACAUGAGAAGGUUUUAUGAGGAGUCUUGUGUUCUAUAAUGUAACUUUAAGAUUGACAGUCCCAGUUUGUAGAAAUGGACAGAAUAAUUGAUCAUAAGCACAAAAUAAUAUAAUAUGUAGCCGUGUGAAUCGGAACACCCAAUUUCUGAUUUUGCUGUUUGGCACUCGCGACCCCAAAGUUUUAAAUAAGGUUUUUAUCGUAACCCAUAUAACGCAACCACAAAACUGGAGUGAAUCAAAAAAAUUGGGAUGUAACUCGAGUCAAUGGAAACAUGCCAAUGCACCUUUAUCAACACACAUGCACCCUAAUUAUUGUGCCUGCACCAAAGGACUACUAAAGACUAGCGAAAAUUAAGAGCCGAAAUGAAUGCAUAUCGCAAACCUUUGCAAUUCUUAUGUAACGCAAAAGAGAAAUAUCAAGAUAUUUUCUGAGGCACAACUUGCAAUACAAGCAGCUCAACACUUUGCCACGUGAUACAGUACAAUAUUAAGUUUGCCACAUAACUUCGCGAGUACAGACAUCAAAUAUAUCAGUGUGAUUAGACAACAUCUCGAAAACACUUAACAUAAGAUCAAUAAUGUUAAAUUUCAAGAAACUAAUGUGACCUUUUUGAUACCAACCCUUACUACAAAGGUUUCAUAGGAACUCUAUAAAACACACCCAAUCCCGAAAAAACUUAAACCAAGGGUAGCACUUAAAAAUAUCAUGGAGGAUUUAGUUAAAACUUAAUGUUGCAUACUGAAUAUGACUCAACCCUAAAUAAAAACUAAGAACUCCAAAUAAAAUCAUGCCAAGUUUCUCAAUAUAUAAUUUCCACUUAAGGAACUUAAAUACGGAAAACUCAAGAUAAGGAGUGGAAACAAAGACAGAGUAAUUUCAAAUCCUUAUCAAUCUUGGAAUUCUUACCUUCAUAAAUCCACGUUGUCUCGGUUCACUACCAUCCGCGAUACUUAAACAAUUGAUAUUUAGUCAAAUCAUCCUUCCGAUGUUGUAUUCUGAGAGGGAAUUAUUUCGUGCCGAGAGGAUGGAUACGGAAGAAAGAAGCCAACCUCCUCUCCUCGCAGGUGUUAUUAUUUUCGUUCCCUGCACACUUGACCACACCAUAGGAAAAGUGAGAGUAGCGUUCGCCAUAGGUAUACUCCUUGCACCCCCCGCCUUUUUUUUUCUUUUCGCCUCUCCUUUCCUUCCUCCGUGUUGCCCUCUCAUCCCUUCCGUUUUCUCUAAAUUGGGUGCAAAGUAUCUUUAAAAAAAAUCUUAGAUUAACAAGUAUGAAUUGGGGACCUACGUUCCCUAACAAAGUGGGGAAAUUACUUUAUUACACUAAUAAGUUUAGUAAAAUGAUUUCCAAAUAUAUGACAUGGAACUAUUUCUCCAGUCAUUAUUGAUCACUGUGACUUUGCAAAUAGCUUUCGUCCUAGGAGCGUAAUUUGGUGUCAGAAAUCUUGAUUUGCGAGAAGUAAAACGUAAACUUGUAGUGACCUCGAAAAAGAGGGUCAGCGAAUUUUAAAAUAAUUUUUGCACUAACAUUCACUCUGUAUUGAUAAACUAAUAUAUUAAUCACAUUGCACAAAUCUAAAUUCAACACAACUUAUAUAUAAUUUUCAAUAGGGAUCUAAUAUAUAGAAUUACUCGAAGUAAAAUAGAGCAUGAAAUAUCAACGUUAGUAUUAUCCAAAACAGUGAAAUUCCGGAAAAAACGGAUUUCAACAAAUUCUAACAACAUGAUAUGAUCUUAAGAAACAAACCCCUUCUUGUACGUAACUUUGUUUUGCACCUAUAUUUUAGUUUUUCUGAAAUUUGCCCCUUAAUGUUGAGAACAGCUACUUUGACAAUAAAAGGGAGGGCAAAUGAGCUAAUAGUUUGAACACACACACAUUUUGACAAAAUGAACGAAUCAUAAUGCGUACCAAUUUUUCCUAUUCUUAUAUACCUUCCCUCCGUUUGAUAACAUAAUAUUUACAUAACAAGAGGGGCAAAACGGUGAUUAUUGUAAUAUUAAAGAUAUGACCGCCGUAUAUAUAGUAGAUCUAUAUCAUCAAUUUGUCCUCAGACUCUUUGUUAUUAAAAAGUCUAAAAACACUAUCUAUGCUCCCAACCACUACCAAACCACACGGGUCGGCAACGCACAUUCCACCGGGCCCUAGAUGUGUCUCCUAGUCACGAGAGAGAGUGAAAUAAGAAGUGCAAAAGAUAUGUCGCUUGCGGCUUUAACACCAAAUAUUGGCAGCACCUCGUCCAGAUAAUCGGGAUAGUUAUCACAUGAGUUGUUUUCAGGUAAAACGCAUGCACGAGGAGCCAACUCCCAUAAGUGGUGGUCACGAAAUUCUAUUAUCAACGCUGAGGAAAGUUCUGCUGGCCUUGGACAUUCGCAUCAAGGUGACAUCUAACUUCCAAUGAAGGUUCCUUUAAACGGAAACCCUCUGUAAGACCUAGUGAGAGUUUUCGGCUCCAUAAUAAAGGCUCUCAGGCUAAAGAUUAGUUAUAUGUAUUGGUGUUAACGGAAAAUAAUAAUCAUUUAUAGGAUUUACACCCCCUGAGCGGUUUUGUGGGGUUACUGCUUCCAUAAAAUAUAAACAUUUCCUUAAUAUGAAUAGAAAUACAAAAAAAGAAAAUGAAAAUUGGUUACAGAACACGCACAAGCAAGUGAUGGAGUGGCUCAAUAUCUUACUUUAUACGUGAGACGUCAAUCAAGAACAAAUUACCAAUGAAAAAAACCCACUAAAAUAAAAAUAUUAAAUAUAUUUAUUUCAAAGAAAAUUUAGAUUUAUUAUAGUAAAUAUACAUUUUUUUUUUAAAAUACGGGUUCUCACAAGUUAAAGAAGCAUAAAUUAAGGAACAAGUCAAUCUUCAAACACUUCAAUUUUCUCAGUAAGUGAGAGACCUUCUCUCUGAGAGUGAGAGUUUUUUCUCUCUGUGAGGGAGAGCAGCAACAAAGCCCAGCUUUUUCUUUUGCCGCCUUCAGUCCUUGAUUCCCGAAAAGGUCGCUGAGGACUACUUUCUCUGUCUCUCUUUGAUUCCUCUGUCUUCUUUUAAUUUAGUUGGUUAUUAUUCAUCUGGCUUUCCUUCCUGUUUUUCCUUGUCCUCGCACACGCUAUUUAAUAUGAUCCUUCUUGCCCCUCAACUAACUCAUCAUAUGCCCUCCAAUAUUUUUAUUUUUGGCUUACCGACUCUCCAAAAUGGUCUGUAUUUUGAAACAUUUGGCGUCCUCCACACUUGGCAGCAGUAGUAUGUAGUAGUUUUAUGGGUUGCGCUCCUCACACCCCAAAAGAUCUAGUAAUGCGCCACCACCUUGCCUACUUGCUUCACUCGCUGUCUGGCUUUUUGGCAAUGUUGCUUGUGGUAAUUGAUGCAACUGUUUAGGGGCGCAAAUAAAAAGGAUAUAUGAAUAGUAGUAUUGAUAGGUAGGGAAAAUGUGAGAGGGAAGGAGGACAAUGAAAAAAGGCUCAAAACAAUUCGCCUUCUGGUCACUAAGUACUUUAGUCACCUAAAACUGAACCACCGCCAAACACGCUUAACACAGAAAGAACAAAGCAACAGACUUUUAAACAAGAGAAAGACACAUAAAAAUGAGUUUACAACUCAAAUAUCAAUAUGAUAUUUCAAAUAACUUCUCCCCUUCUUCUUUACAAAUACAAGUAUUUAUAGGCUUCCAACUUAAAAGUGAAAAAUAUGAAAAUACAUAAAAAAUAAAGGCUUACAAUAUAACUCUUAAAAAACUAAAUGAUUUCAUAAAAUGUCAUUAACCUAGGAAUUCCAUAAGCCACAAAUUUAAAGCUAGUUACAUGCAUUAUAACUCUAAAAAUGCACGUAUUAUAUUAUAAAACUUAAAUCACUGCUACCAGUAAUUUUAUGUAAUAACGCCUUUAGUCCUUGGCUUGCAUCAUUCUCAUAGGGUUGGAGAGAAUUCGUCCUCGAAUUCGGAUCAUCAUCUGAUUUGGAGUGAUAAAAUUGAACUCUGCCAGUCCAAACAAAUAGAUAUGGGAGCAUUUAACAUUGAUUGUUGAAGUGUGUAAAGCACCCUUAAUAGCAUACCUCACAACCUUGACAUUCUCUUUCGUUUGAUUUAUAAUGUCAACCAAAACUUUGGAAAUUCUGAAGUAGAAGAUAUCAACCCCAAUUAAAUCAACCCUAAUUAAGAUCCCACAUCGCCCGGGGGAGAGGAGGUGAUGUGCCUUAUAUGUACAUGUCUACCUCUCUACAGUGAGACAUGUUUUGGAUGGAAGCCCAAGUACAAAUUCGUGAGGGUGUGGCCCAAAGCGGACAAUAUCUCACUAUGCGGACUGGGAUGUGACAAUUUGGUAUCAGAGCCACUCCCCGACCGGGCCGACGAGGGCUUCAGACCCGUAAGGGGGGUGAAUUGUAAGAUCCCACAUCGUCCGGGGGAGAGGAGAUGAUGUGCCUUAUAUGUACAUGCCCACCUCCCUAUAAUGAGACAUGUUUUGGGUAGAAGCCCAAGAACAAAUAAGUGAGGGUGUGGCCCACAACAGACAAGAUCUCACUAUGCAGACUGGGAUGUGACAAAAUAUGUGACUAAUCUUCUUAACAAGGCAGGGAUGGUGAAUUGCAGACCUUGUUCCACUCCUAGUAAACCACAUACUCAAUUGUUGAAAGAUGAAGGAGAAUUUCUAGCUGAUCCUGCCAUGUAUAGGAAUUUGGUGGAGGCAUUGCAAUAUUUGACCUUUACUAGGCCAUAUAUUGCAUAUGUUGUUAUCUAUGCAUGUCAAUUUAUGACAACUCUUGCUGAAGCUCAUUUUUGUUUAGUGAAAGAAUUCUAAGGUACUUAAAGGGUACAUUGACUUGUGGAAUUACUUACUUUGGUGCUGAUAAUCUGGAACUAUAUGCAUACAGUGAUGCUGACUAGGCAGCUGAUAUCAAUACAAGGAGAUCUACAACUGGAUAUGUAGUUUUUCUAGGGUCUAAUCCCAUCGCAUGGCAGUCAAAGAAGCAAGGUAGUGUUUCUCGCAGUUCCACAGAAGAUGAAUACAAAGUUUUAGCCAAUGCAGUAGCUGACAUUGCUUGGAUACGAUUGGUUUUAUGAGAUCUCCAUGUGUUUCUUCUUUCUGCACCAUUGAUGCAUUGUGAUAAUCUUUCCCCAUUGACCUUGUGUCUAAUCCUGUUUUUCAUACCAUGAUAAAACACUUAGAUGCAUAUUUUCAUUUUCUUAGGGAGAGAGUACAAAAAGGGGAUUUGAAAGUUCAAUAUAUUCCCACAGAAGCUCAUAUUGCUGAUGUACUGACUAAGGGGCUUCACAGUCCUUUAUUUGUUUGCCAUUGUUCCAAUCUUAGGCUGGGAUAUUCCAUCUGAGAUUGAAGGGGAGUAUUAACAGUAUAAAGUCUUUCUGUUAGUAUUUAGCUUUAGUAUUUCUAUUAGUUUGUUAACAGUAAUUAGUUAGCUUAGUCAUAAAGACUUAACAGCUAGUGUCAACUACUUGUAAUUGUAAGUUUUUCAGAUCAGUAAAAUACAAGUGUGCAUUAUAAGCUCCUCUCUUCACUUUCGUGCUUGUUCUUCGAUUUCUCUAAAUUUCAAUCUUCUUGGAAAUCAUGAUUUCUCUUUAAGAAAUGUUUGGAUAAAGAAAAUCUAGAUUACUAAAGAAUUUUAAAAUGACGGAAAUUGAAAUGACAGGAUUUUAUUUUAUAGAAUUUAUGAAUUUUCUUGUUUGGUUAACCUAAAAAAAUAAUUGAAUUGAAUAAGGAAUUUGUUAUUUUUAAACUCUCAAUCAUAGAAAUUGGAAAAUAACAUAUAUUUACAUAGAAUUUAAACUUGAGAAUUGAAGGUCCCAAAUUCCAAGUUCUUUUACGCUAAAAUUCUAAAUUUAUGUGUUUAUGAAUCUAAACAAGGAAAUUAAUGCAUAUCAAUUUAUAAAUUAUGACUUUUAUCAAAAUUUCAAAUCUUUUGUCCAAACAUAGUGUUAGUGUUUAUAAAUCUUUUGUUCAAAUCUUUUCAUGUAGACAGAGGGGUGGGUGUACGAUUCCAAGGAGAGAGAGAGAGAGGGGGGGGGUUUAGCGGGAUUUGGGGGUGAUAAGACCCAAUUCUCAAUUCCCUUAAUCAACCUACAAGUAGCAUAAGAAAGCCAUGGAAGAAGAGGGAAGGAGAGAUGAAGGAGCAGAGCUCCAAAUAUUUUUGUAUUUAAUUUCUUUGUUGUAAAUUCUGAUCUCUUUACAAUACUGAGAGCUAGUGCUCUUAGAGCAACUCCACCCAUAGAGCCCUCCCCCCUGGCAAUCCACUAUUGAAUCCACCCUAUUGAACAGUAACUGCCACCAAUGAAUAGUAAUUGUCAUUAAUGAACAAUAAUUGCCAUUUGUAUCUCCACCCUUAGAGCCCUCCCCCCUGGCAAUAGGCAAUUAAAAUAAUAAUUUUUUUUGUUUGUUUAAAUAAUAGUUUAUACAUUAAAAAUAUUAUAAUAUUAAUCCAAUUAAAAAAAAUUAAAAAAAAAAAAAAAAACCCGAACUCAUUUCUUCCACCUCUCCUCCCACCCCCGAGAACCCCCUGCAAAAACCAGACCUGAACCCAUUUCUUCCACCUCUCCUCCCACCCCCGAGAACCCCCUGCAAAAACCAGAACCCAGUUACCUCCUCCCCCACCUUGCCUUCCCCCCCCCCCCCCCCCCCGCGACGACCCACUUCCCCUACGACGACCCCAACUCCCGCCCCCCCCCCCCGGCGACAACCCACCCUGCCUUCCCCCCCUAUGACGACCCACUUCCCUUCCGCACCCACUUCCUCUGCGACGACCCACUUCCCCUGCGACGAACCCAGCUCCGGUCCCCCAUUCUCUCUCUCUCUCUCUCUCUCUCUCUCUCUCUCUCUCUCUCUCUCUCUGACACAAGAAAAAAUAAAAAAUUACAAAGCCCUCGGGCCACAGGCCCGUCGACUCCCCACCCCCCCUCGCUCGGGCUCCCACCCUCACUCGGGCCCUUCAUGGCUGGACCCAUUUCGACCGGCCCUCAGGCCCUUGGAAGGAGGCUGUCCCCCGAGCAACAUGCAAGGGUGGACUUGCUCUUAUACAAGUUACAACUUAUCAUGCCAACAAUUAUAACAAACUACAUUAAAACAGGAAUAAGCCUAAUAAUCCCAAGAAUUAAACCCUUAAUAGUGAUUAAACUAAUCACUACUUGCAGAUGGGGGGUAGGGUUCUGAGGGAAUGGGCUACGGUGACGGGAGAGUGUGAUUCGAGGGAGAGAAAGAGAGAGGGUUGUGUGGUCAUCAGUCCUCUUUUACCUCCAUGAUCCAUUAGCUUUUUCUCAUUUGUGCUUUUUUCAUUGUCAUAAGACUCUAAUCUCUUUCUCUGUUUUUUCUCUCUCUAAAUUGGUACAAGUAAAUUCCAUUUUUGUAUUCAUUGAACAAAACCCAGAGAGGAUUUCUCUCUCAAAUCAGUGUUCUUUGAUUCAUUUGGUAAAAACCCUUUUGGAUUUAGAGGCAGAUUAAGGGUUUUGAUUUCGGCAGAAGCCAUGGCAACUCCAAAACCAGAAGCGAGAAGCCAUCCAGCAAUGCACCAACUCCAAGGCUUUGAGUAAGGCAUUGACUCAAAUCCCUCUUGGGGUAUGUUUAUUUUUCAUCUUUUCUCAAACCCAAAUCUCGACUUUUUUGUUGGGUUUUAAAAUUACCCGAAUUUGGUUCUCAUUUUUUGUUUCGAAAACAGGGGAGGCAAUUGCUUUGUGUUUCCAGCACUACAUUUUGGCCUUGGGAACUGCUGUGAUGAUCCCCACAUUCCGUGUUCCUUUGAUGGGUGGUGAUGAUGUGGAUUGAUUUUGUAUACCACUUUCAUUCAAUUCUUAUAUCGGUUUGACCUUUGUUUUAAUUGGAGACUAAAUUCAAGUAAAUUUUGUGUAUUAUUAAAUGUUGCUAAUUUCUUAAGAAAGAAUUAAGUGUCAGUUUCACAUAGCAAAAAUGCUCAAGAUUGAUUUUUUUUUUUUUAAUGUUUGUGUAUUUUAUACUGAUAUGGAUGAUGAAUGUGCUCCUUAUUUGACAUAAUUGAUUAGGGUGACAAAGUGAGAGUAGUGCAGACUCUACUUUUUAUUCAAGGAAUCAGCACACUUCUACAAACAUUAUUUCAAACCCGAUUACCAACCGUAAUUGGAGGGUCUUACACAUUCGUGGUCCGGAUAAUAUCCAUAAUUCAUGAUUCGCGGUUGAUGAAGAUUGAGGACAAUCAUGCGGUAAGUUCAAUUUUUAUCUCACUUAUGCACUUAAUUUGGCUUUGUGCAACUUGAAAUGUGUUCUUUUGUUGACACUUGAUAGAAGCCAGGCAGAGUCCAUUAUUUCCCCUGCACGAAUGCAUGAAUAAAUGUUUUAGAUUUUAAUCAUCGUGACUGGGAACAUGUGCUUCUGUAUAGAUGAUUUAUUGAUGAAUUUCAUAGGUUACUAUGUAAAUCCUUGCCAAAAUUUCAUUCAGCUACCAAUUACUUAGUUUGCAUUCCUUAAUAUUUUAGACGAAAGUUUCUUAAACAGCUUUAACAAUCUACCUUACUACUAAUUUGGUGGUUUCUGAAAUAUAUGUGGGUAGUAUGCUGAUUAGUAUCUUUUGUUCUCUCUCCUUCCAUCUCUAAGAAUGAAUGUUCAUAUAUCUCAAUUUCAGUUUUCAUUUGAUUUUUUUACCCACACUUCAUUUCACCUUCAAGUGCUUUCUUCAAUUUUUAUUUGCACUUUUCUUUUUUUGUUCUUCUUUUUAUUCAUAGAAAAUUGUUGCUUAUUUAAUUUAUGGAAAUUAUUUUUAAAGCCGAGUAAAGAAGAAAGGGUGACAAAACCCAUUGAGUGUGAAAAUUUUAAACAUUGAAGAAGCAGAAGAGGAAAGCUUUAGACUUCAAAAACUCAAAGGGUUGCAAAAUGUGGUGUCUUCCUUUCUCCUCUUUUUCUUUUGCUGUUUGGUACUUUUCUAGGUGAUGGGUUGGUUUCGAAUUUCUGAGUUUAAAGAGGAUCAUUUUUUUAUAACUUGGGUCAAUAUUAAUUUUGAAUUUGAUUUGAAGUUGUAUUUUGGGUCAAUGUUGAUUUUGAAUUUCAGUUUGAAGCUCAAUUUUUCUUGGGAUAAUGUGAAUAGGAAUGAUGAGCCUAGAACUGCAUUAGUUUCUUUACUGAAUGGAACAAUACAAUUAGUGGAUAGUAAAUCAUAUGAUAAUUUUAAAUAUCUAGAUAAAUGAUGUUUUGUUUUUUAAUAAUUUGCAAUUUUGUGGUGUUUUGGUACAAUCAGUGACAUUGAUAUUGGUUAAUUGGCUAUAAUCACUUUCUUGGUUAGCUAGAUUGGUGGUUGCGUAAUUGGUUAUAUAUGGUGGUCUGUUUGUUAUAGGAAACAAGGCUUUAUACAUUCAAUCAGUCAAACUUUUUAACUCAGGCUCUCUCUUUCUCCUCUCAUAUGCAUUUCAUUUAAUCUGCAGCAAAUGCUGGUGCAAGUGCAAAUGCAGAUAAACAAAUGACAAAGAACUGUUGAAAAUAUAUCAUUACACCAUGAAAUUUUUUGUUAAGGUGUGAAUAACUUCUGUUCCUUUUUGGAUAAUUAAUUGUGUUGAGCUUAUGAAUUUAUCUUUUAUGAAGUGAAUUUACUCACGUCUUUAUCGAAUGGAUUUACUUUUUUGUAGGAUUCUUCAUUUAAAUUCCUACGGUUUAGUACCAUUUUUCAUUUGAAUUUUGGGUUCCUUUGAUGUGAUUUCGUUCUAUCUAAAUUGUUCAUUUAAUUUGUGAGAUGUUAAUACCAAAUCUCCAGAUUCGCUCAUACUCAUGGUGCCUUUUUUUGUGUGCAGAUUUUCAAAGUACAGGACUGGGCUUUCAAGAAGAACUAAGCGUUCGAAUGUUUCAAGUAGGCCCAAAAGUUGUCUCUGUCUUUUUAAGAUCUUCAUUUUUUUCCCAUUUGUUAUUAAUUUUAUGUUUUCUGAUUGAAUUUGUUUUGAUUCAAUGGGAUAAUGAGCUAAAACUACAAGUGUGUUUCUUAAAUUGUGCUUUCAUUAGGCAUGGAUGGACUGAAAGAUAGGAGACAAAUUUGUUGGGACAACAGCUGCAUCCCUAGAAAAUAAAGGCAAGGUUAGUCAAUAAAAACAAAACUCCAUUCUUACUAUUUGUUUGGAAUUGUUUCUUUUUUACUAAAUUUUUUUUUUGGUCCCUACUGAAAUCUGACUUCUGCUAUAAAUUGCCACUGGAAUCUGACUUUUUCUUUUAAUUCUUUACAUUUAAUGUGGUAUGUUGCUGUUGGAUUCCAUUCAAAUCAAAUAAUGCAAUUUAUCAUGGCAUGUCUUUUCUCUACAACAAUAAUUUGGGAUUUUAGUUUAAACUAUCACUACGUUGUUUUUUUUAUGAUAAUGAAUCCAGAACGAAAUCGCGCUAAAGCUAGGACGUCACCCGUAAGUGGCGCGCUGUGUGGCCCGAGCACAGUGAUAAGUGAGCAAGGGUCGCUGUAUCUCCAUCGGCACCCGGAUGCAGUGUUAAAUGAGCAAGGGGGCCAUAGAAACUUCUUUUCGAACGACUCCACUCAAAGUUGUUUGGGAGCAUAUGCUCCUAUCAACUUUACACAGGACACACAAAAGAAGUACUUUGAUCCUAUUAGACGGGGGAUGGUGAAGAAGCUAGGACAGAAGGGUAGAGUUCAAAAGAGUAGAAUGCUUUUAGGAACGUGGAAUAUAGGAACCUUAACGGGAAAAUCUAUGGAAGUAGUGGAAGAUAUGGUGAGGAGAAGGAUAAAUGUUAUGUGCCUACAAGAAACUAAGUGGGUUGGUCUUAAGGCAAAGGAUCUAGAAAACUCAGGGUUUAAGCUUUGGUAUUCGGGCACAAAUAGAACGAGAAACAGUGUUGGCAUCAUUGUGGACAAGACCUUGACACAAGAUGUUGUAGAUGUCAAGAGGGUAGGAGAUAGAAUCAUGGCAAUCAAGAUUGUAAUAGGACAAGAACUCAUCAAUGUGAUUAGUGCGUAUGCACCUCAAGUAGGGUUGGAUACGAGUUCGAAGGAGAAAUUUUGGGAAGACCUUGGAGACUUGGUGCAAGGAAUUGCUCAGACGGAGAAGUUAUUUAUAGGAGGAGAUUUAAAUGGACACGUGGACAGGGAGACAGGCAACUAUGGAGGUUUUCAUGGUGGCCAUGGUUUUGGGGAGAGAAAUGAGGAUGGGGAAGCUAUCUUGGAUUUUGCAAUGGCAUAUGAUCUCUUCUUAAGAGGUCGCACUUGGUGCGAUGGCAAGUGCCUUCGCCCAUAAGCGGUAGGUCUCGGGUUCGAGACUUGGGAGCAGCUUCUCCAUAAAUGGGGGUAAGACUAGCUGACAUUCACCUCUCCCAGACCCUGCGUAAAGCGGGAGCCUUGUGCACUGGGUACGACCUUUAUAUGAUCUCUUCUUAGCCAACACCUUCUUUAAGAAGAGAGAAGAACAUGUGAUCACCUACAAGAGUGGGUCGUCAAAAACACAAAUAGAUUUUCUUCUAAUGAGGAAAGGGGAUCGUAUAACUUGUAAGGAUUGCAAAGUUAUAUCGGGGGAGAGCUUGGCUAAUCAACAUCGCUUGUUGGUGAUGGAUGUACAUAUCAAAAGAGUGAGAAAAAAGAACAAGACUUGGAAGUGCCCAAAGAUUAGAUGGUGGAAUCUAAAAGGAGAAAAACAAGUCAUUUUCAAAGAGCAAGUAAUCACCCAGAGUGUGUGGGAUAGAGAGGGGGAAGCUAGCCAAAGGUGGGAUUCCAUGGCUAGCUGUAUCCGAAAAGUAGCAAAAGAGGUAUUAGGAGAGUCCAAGGGCUUUGCUCCACACCAAAAGGAAUCUUGGUGGUGGAUAGGACCGAUGAAAUGGUGAAAGGUAUAGAAGAGCGAAGCAAGAGGCGAAGAAAGCUGUGAGAGAAGCUAAGUUAGCGGCUUAUGACGAUAUGUAUAAGCGACUAGAUACCAAAGAAGGAAAGUUGGAUAUCUAUAAACUAGCUAGAGCAAGGGAAAAGAAGACAAGGGACCUAAACCAAGUGAGGUGCAUCAAGGAUGAGGAUGGAAAGGUUCUUGCUAUAGAGAACGCGGUCAAAGACAGAUGGAGAGGUUAUUUUCAUAAUCUUUUCAAUGAAGGACAUGAAAGGAGUACUCCUUUAGAGGAGUUGAGUAACUCAGAAGAGUGUAGAAACUACUCCUUUUAUCAUCGAAUCAGGAAGGAAGAAGUGGUUGUAGCUUUGAAGAAGAUGAAGCAUAGAAAAGCAGUGGGCCCAGACGAUAUACCGAUCGAAGUGUGGAAAGCCUUGGGAGACAGGUAUAGCAUGGCUCACUGACCUUUUCAAUAGGAUUUUGAAAACGAAGACGAUGCCAAACAAGUGGCGAAAGAGCACCUUGGUGCCUAUUUACAAGAAUAAGGGCGACGUACAAAAUUGCAUGAACUAUAGGGGUAUUAAGCUAAUGAGUCAUACAAUGAAGCUCUGGGAGAGAGUCAUUGAGCAUAGAUUGAGGCAAGAGACACGGGUUUCGGACAACCAAUUCGGGUUCAUGCCAGGGCGCUCAACCAUGGAGGCAAUCUAUCUCUUACGAAGAUUGAUGGAAAUAUAUAGAGAUGGGAAAAAGGAUUUACACAUGGUCUUUAUAGAUUUGGAAAAAGCGUAUGUAUGAUAGGGUCCCAAGAGACAUUCUUUGGAGGAUUUUUAGAGAAGAAAGGAGUACGAGUAGCAUAUAUCCAAGCUAUAAAGGAUAUGUAUGAAGGAGCAAAGACUGCCGUAAGAACUCAUGAAGGACAAACCGAAAGCUUCCCCAUAACGGUAGGAUUACAUCAAGGCUCAUCCUUAAGUCCUUACCUUUUUGCGUUGGUAAUGGAUGAGUUAACAGGACAUAUUCAAGAUGAUAUUCCUUGGUGUAUGCUUUUCGCAGACGAUAUAGUGUUGAUAGAUGAAACUCAGGAAGGGGUAAAUGCGAAGCUUAACCUUUGGAGAGAAGUGUUGGAAUCUAAAGGUCUUCGCCUAAGCCGAUCAAAGACAGAAUAUAUGGAGUGCAAGUUCAGUGCAAAUGGAGGCCAAAAUGAGUUAGGGGUGAGGAUCGGAGAUCAGGAAAUACCAAAGAGCGACCGUUUUCGCUACUUAGGAUCUAUCUUGCAAAAGAACGGAGAAUUAGAUGGAGAUCUCAACCAUAGAAUACAAGCUUGAUGGAUGAAGUGGAAGAGUGCAUCCGGCGUGUUGUGUGAUCGUCGUAUGCCACUGAAGCUUAAGGGAAAAUUUUAUAGGACGGCAAUAAGGCCGGCGAUGCUGUAUGGCACAGAAUGUUGGGCGGUGAAGCAUCAACACGUACACAAAAUGGGUGUAGCGGAGAUGAGGAUGCUUCGUUGGAUGUGUGGGCACAUGAGAAAGGAUAAGAUUAGGAAUGAGGAUAUCCGAGGUAAAGUAGGAGUAGCCGAAAUUGAAGAAAAACUGAGAGAAAAUCGGUUACGGUGGUUUGGACAUGUGCAAAGAAGGCCUACUGACGCUCCGUUUAGAAGAUGCGACUACGGGACAGAGGUUCAGGGCCGAAGGGGUAGAGGAAGACCUAGGAAAACUUUGGAAGAGACUCUAAGAAAAGACUUAGAGUACUUGGAUCUAACGGAGGACAUGACACAUGAUCGAGCACAAUGGCGUUCUAAGAUUCAUAUAGCCGACCCGACUCGGUGACUUGGAUUUUUCAAGUCUCCAAUCGAGAAGUUUUCCCCACUCGGGAAAUUAAGGGAACACUACCUCAACAUACAUGCUCCACUCACAAAGCUUCAACAUCCAAGCUUCAACAAAAGAAAAAUUCAAAGAACUUAGUGAAGAAGGCUUUGGUGUAUUUAACACAAUACGUUGAAAUGAAACAAAGCUUAUUUAUUGAUAUCUCUAAGAAGUUACAAAUAUGUACAUAUACACGAGUCAAAAUAAACAAACAAGAGGGAGCCUUCACAAAGGUUGCUUAGGAGAAGUCUCAACAGUCGGCAGAGCCCCAGAAAGAGAAGGCACCGGAGGGGGAUCAUUCGGAACCUCAGUACUGGACAACACCCUAGAAGGAGGAGGCAUCGGAGGUUGAUCAUUUGGAGCUUCAUUACGCGGUACAGCCCCAGAAGACGAAGGCAAUAAAUGACUUUGGAACAAACCCACAAACCUCUGAUGAUCAUGUAAAAUCUAACCAUCAGAUUCCUUCAUCUGGUCAAGCUUCCUCUUCAUGUUUGUAGCAUAGUCAUGUGCGAGCCGGUGCAACUGUUUAUUCUCAUGCUUGAGCCCUCUAAUCUCCUGUUUGAGACUCAUCACUUCAGUCGCUAAUGAUUCAACUUGGCGGGUUCGAGCAAAUAGGCGUUGGGCCAUAUUAGACACAGAACCUGCACACUGAACACUGAGAGCCAGAGAAUCCUUAACAGCCAACUCAUCAGACCGUUUGGAAAGUAGUCUGUUAUCUUUGGGAGUGAGAAGGUUCCUGGCCACCACCGCAGCGGUCAUAUCAUUCUGCAUCACGGAAUCCCCAACGGUAAGAGGACCAGUAGGGGAUAAGAAUGAUGGGCGCUAUAUGUUGUCUGGAGAAGGCGUGGCUACCUCUUCAAUAAGGUUCAAGUCAAAACGACGGUCGGGCGGGCCAGGUAUUUUCAAAGGUGUUGAAGAGAAAAGAGGUCAGACAAAUCAAGAUCUUAGAAAUGCAAGAAUGGAGCUUCUACUGGUGGAGAUUCAAGUGUGCUUUGGAACUUAAUACCAGCCUCUAUAAAAAUCUGCACUCGAUGGAGCUUCAGAAAUCGAAGAGGCGCCUGCUCAGAAAUCGAAAAGGCGUUUGCUUUCUCAAAAGCUGGGCUGCUCAGAGACCACGAGGGCCGAUCUCAGGAAUCGAAGAGGCGUUUGCUUUCUCAAAAGCUGGGCUGCUCAAAGACCACGAAGGUCGAUCGCAGAAAUCGAAGAGGCGCUUGCUUUCUCAAAAGCUGGGCUGCUCAGAGACCACGAGGGCCGAUCUCAGAAAUCGAAGAGGCACCUGCUUUUUCAGCCUUGUCAGCACCUGUCACAUGCACACUCAAAUUUGCGGAAAUUACGGGCAUUCUGUCGAAGAUUUCUAGUGAAGUAGAAAGUACGUGAAUGUUACUUCAAUCAUUCACUUUCCACACGCAACAUCAGCUCACGGGUACCACAUAUAACUUUGCCAAAAAUCUCUGACAAAGUUUAGACACGUGAAGCUUGCAGCUCCCAUUACAUCGCUAUGACCAAGAAGGGUAAAAGAAUAACAAAUAAACAACACUAACAAAGUUUAGACACAUAAAUUUUGAAGGUUUAGCUACCAUAUUAUUACCCACAAGGGUAAAGGAACAGGACCACUGUGGAUAAUUGGAAAGUCCCUGUGGGUUAACUUCUGUGCUCCGGGGCAAGGUAGACUAGCAAACAGGUCUAACCUUUACUCACAUUCGAGAAAACACUCUCAACAAGAUUGCUUGCUUCAGGAUCGAAGAGGCACCGUCCUCCGAAUCUCGAGAGCCAGACUCCCAACAUGAUUACUUUCUCAAAAAGCGACGAGACACCGCUCUCCGAAUCUCGAGAGCCAGACUCCUAGCAGGAUUGCUUUCUAAAAAAUCGAAGAGGCACCGUUCUCCGAAUCUCGAGAGACAGAUCCCCGACAGGAUUGCUUGUUCGAAAACCGAAGAGGCACCGCUUUCUCAACUUCGAGAGGCCCUUAAAUAAAGCUUGUCUGUAAUCCUCACACCGCUUUCUCAACUUCGAGAGCCAGAUCUCCUUGGAUAAAGCUUGUCUGUAAUCUUCACACGUAACAUCAGUUUUCCAAAUACCACAGACCACUUUUUCAAAGUGCUCUGACAGAGUUAAAACACGUGAAGCUGGCAGCUCCCACUACCGUGCUAUGACCAAGCAGGGUAAAAGAAUAGUAUUACUCCUUCUUGUUAGGGAGACUCCUAUAUAUGUCAACCUCCAUCCUCAACGGACAGGCAGACCUGCAAAAAUGCUCAACCCUUCCUCAUAUCUGAGAGGGCACUCCCAACGAAGCCUCUCGAAAUACUCAGCUUUCUUUCCCCCCGAGAAUACCUCUGCAAACAAGCUACACCAGAGCAAGAAUAUCUCAUAUCAUCAGGGUUAAAAGCAAGAGUAUCUCAUAUCAUGCUUUUUCCCUGUCUUUUCCUUUGGCCUUGUUCUUACCUACAAGACAAGGAGAAAGAGAGCAAUCAGUCAGCACUUGGAAUCAAGCUUCCAGUCCGGAACUGACUGCCUGGAACCCCAUUGCUCUCGAGUACUCAUCUUCAACAUCUUAUGCUUCCCGAGAAGAUACCACAUCUGCCUGAGGAACAAAUAGGGCAAGUGAGAAGAAUACAAGGAAGCAUGUGGAGACAAGCGCAACAGAACACGUGCCGAUACAUCCACUAUUUUGUUAACAGCAAAAGUAUCCCAUAUCAGCAGGGUCGAACGUACUCUAGAUUUGAUGGACUUGUUUUGACCCUCAAAUUCUUCAGUCGGCCUUAUACUCUAGCGGAAACAAGAAAACCCUCCAUCCAGUUCAAGAAUAAGCCUGUGGAAAGUUACUUCUUCAAAAGCAAGAGUAUCUCAUAUCACCUUUUCUCCUUUUCUUCUCUUUAUCCUUCAUGCUACCUGCAAGAUAAGGAGAAGGAUAACAAUCAGCCGGAACUCAAAAUCAAACUUCUGAUCUGGGACUGAUUGCUUGGAGCUCUGAUUGCUUACCUUGUCUGUCACCUCUUUCAGCAGAUCCCCUAGCUCGGCGACUUGGGGGACUCCUACUACAUGGUUUGUAUCGCGCUUGACCAAGCCUGAAACUACAAGUAAGCGUCAAGUGAAAUUGAUACAUUACCUUGUGCAUCUCCACCAGUUAAAGAUACCAUCCCUGGAGGGAGGAAGAGUACUUCCAAAGAAAAUGCCACAUCUACCUAUGAGACAGAUAAGGCAAGUGAAGACGAUACCACACUUCGGUACUUAAAAGUUUCGUGAUUACGAGAUCAUUCUUUCACAAUAUUUCCUAAUGUCAUUUGUACUAAAUCAUUCACUUGUACUCACUAAAGGAGAGCUUGAACCUAUAUACUGUGUAAACCCUUCACAAUUAAUGAGAACUCCUUUACUCUGUGGACGUAGCCAAUCUGGGUGAACCACGUACAUCUUGUGUUUGCUUCCUGUCUCUAUCCAUUUACAUACUUAUCCACACUAAUGAUCGGAGCAAUCUAGCGAAGAUCAUAAACUUAAUAUUUAAGAUGAUAUUCUUUAGUGUAUGCUUUUCGCAAACGAUAUAGUGUUGAUAGAUGAAACGCAGGAAGGGGUAAACGCGAAGCUUAACCUUUGGAGAGAAGUGUUGGAAUCUAAAGGUCUUCGCCUAAGCCGAUCAAAGGCAGAAUAUAUGGAGUGCAAGUUCAGUGCAAACGGAGGCCAAAAUGAGUUAGGGGUGAGGAUCGGAGAUCAGGAAAUACCAAAGAGCGACCGUUUUCACUACCUAGGAUCUAUCUUGCAAAAGAACGGAGAAUUUGAUGGAGAUCUCACCCAUAGAAUACAAGCUGGAUGGAUGAAGUGGAAGAGUGCAUCCGGCGUGUUGUGUGACCGUCGUAGGCCACUGAAGCUCAAGGGAAAAUUUUAUAGGACGGCAAUAAGGCCGGCAAUGCUGUAUGGCAUAGAAUGUUGGGCGGUGAAGCAUCAACACGUAGGUGUAGUGGAGAUGAGGAUGCUUCGUUGGAUGUGUGGGCACACGAGAAAGGAUAAGAUUAGGAAUGAGGAUAUCCGAGGUAAAGUAGAAGUAGCCGAAAUUGAAGGAAAGAGGAGAGAAAAUCGGUUACGGUGGUUUGGACAUGUGCAAAAAAGGCCUACUGACGCUCCGGUUCGAAGAUGUGACCACGGGACAGAGGUUCAGGGCCGAAGGGGUAGAGGAAGACUUAGGAAAACUUUGGAAGAAACCUUAAGAAAAGACUUAGAGUACUUGGAUCUAACGGAGGACAUGACACAAAACCGAGCGCAAUGGCGUUCUAGGAUUCAUAUAGCCGACCCCACUUAGUGGGAAAAGGCUUUGUUGUUGUUGUUGUUGUAAAUGCUUUUUAGUAGCAGAAGUUUCAUUCUUUUGGUCGUUUUGCAGUUGGAUAAUUACACUAUACAACUUGAGUUGAUGAAGAAUAUGUUGCACAUCUGAGAUGGUAGCAAUUUUGAUUUGUUAAAACAAUAUAGUUCAUAGGAGAAUUUGGUAUAUGAAUCAACAUAUGAUUUCUUAUCGUUGCAUAUACUCAGUUGCGAGAGUCUGGUCGGUGACUGGCAAAAGGAAGAAGACAAUUAUUUGGGCUCAAGGAAUCCAAGAAUUAUAAAUUUGAAAAUGCAAUUAUUUGGGCUAGCCGACAUUCACCUCUCCCAGACCCUGCGUAAAGCGGGAGCCUUGUGCACUGGGUACGACCUUUAGUUUACUGGCAAAGCAAUGGAUGUAGGUUUAUGUUUCUAUGAGUUUGAUUUUUUAGGGUAAGAAUUCAAAAGUGGGUACUUUUUUGGUUAUUUGGUGAAUUGAGUUUUUGUAGUUUAGGAGAAUUUGGAGCAACAGCCACAUCUGAAGGAGCUGGUGCAGUGCUACGCAGCAGACUGGGUGAAGGAUGACAAGUAUGGUCACUACGAGAGUGUUGGACCACCCUCAUUCCAGAACCAGAUUUAUGGGGAUCCUGACGCAAUUGAAACUGGUACCUAACCCCCUUCUUUCGGUCUUCUAGUCUUUCGCUUACUCGAGCAUGCAGAAAUGAUGGUGCAUUUGGGUUUAUGUACCAGAAGGCUCUUAAGUUUGUAAAUUAAGCUAUGUUCAUUUGGUUUCUCUGUUGGAUUGCCAUGGAUGAAGAGUAUGACGUCUUAGUUCUGGAGACAGGUCUUAAGGAAUACAUUUCUCAAUGGCCUUCCUCUCUCUGUUGAUGGUCUCAAAGCAACUCCAUCUUUUUGGAUGCUUUAGGACAGGUUCUUGAAGGUUAUAAUAAACCUGGCAUUGGCAGCAAUUCAUAAAACUUGACAUUAACAGGUUCAAGAACUGUUGUCCUAUUUAUGUUAGUUAUACUUUUGAUCAUCGAUUUUGUAUUUGAUUUAAAUAUUUUUAGCGGGAUUUCAUGGUCACAUGCAUUAUUUGAGCAUGUCAUGUGUGUGCUUUAAGUGGUAUGUGGGUACACUGAAAUAGUAUUCUUUGAGUUUCCUCUGUGCUUUUGUUUGUAGGAUCAACUUGCGAAAGAACAGACCAGAGGCAUUAUCAAUUUAUCAGCUGAAGUAUUGUAGCUCUUUGCACGACUCCAACAAGCCACCUAAGCAUACAAUGGGCUUGCACUUACUCUAAUCCGGUUGACAUUCUGGCGGCAACGCGCUGGCUAAACAUCUAGUAAUAUCUAAAAUAAGUAAAAUGAAAAAAAAAAAAAGUAAAACAGGAUCCAAUUGCCACAUGUGUAGGCCUGUAGGUGUAGCAAGAGGCUAGUAUACGUAUAAAACAUUUUCUUGCUAGAAUAUGACCAUUGAAUUUGAUUGUUGCACAUUCAUUAUGUUGAAUAUAUAUUGGCCGACUUUGAAAAAUUCUAAGAUAUAUAAAUGUAUGGCACAUAUUGUUGAAUUUAACAAUUGAAUAUAAAUGGGACCCGAAGAAUUUGAGAGAAUUUAACGUGUGUAUGUGAUCACCUUUAUAAAACAAUGUAUUGUUUAGAUUGUUGUAUAAGGUAGAAGUCGUCCACUAGAACUAGGAAACUUCCUCGCAUCAGGAGGAGGAGGUUGGAUGGUCAUUUGAAUUUCACCUUUCCUCCACUAGGGGUAAUUAUAACCCGAAAGUGCUUUAGCAAUUUCACCAUUCUUUCUUCCCUUUUGAAUGCACACAAAUUCUACGCCGAAAGUGCUUUAGCAAUUUCGCCUUUAUAUUUUUAUGUAUUUUUUUUUUUACUUCGAUGAUUUUGCUGGAUCACUUUUUUCGAAGUCCUCCACUAGUGGUAUAUUAUAACCUAUUUUUCCGUUUGAAUGCACGUAGUUUCCGCCCCAAAGUGCUUUAGCAAUUUCGUCUUUAUAUUUUUUUUUCGUUUUCUUUUGGGUCUAAUCUCUGCUGAUUUUCCUUGGAUCCUCGUUUGUGCCUAUAUUUUAUUGAAAGAUACCUUGCAGAAAGUGCUUUGGACAAAGUUUCUUUUUAAUUUUCACUUUUUGUCCUCCUGGCGUGUUUGUAACUUUUUGCACAGGUUCAAUAAGUAGUUCAAAUUCGCUCUUUGCUCUUUGCUCUCUGUUGUACAUGUGCUGAUCAUUGACAUUUUCUUCCUCGACUUCUUCUUCUGGUGCUGCUGAUGCUGCUGUUGAUGAUAACGAUGAUGAUGUUGAUACCCCCCCUCUUCGAGAAAAGUAUGAUGUGUUUAUUAGUUUCAGAUGUGAGGACACCCGCAAAACUUUUACCAGCCACCUUCGUGCUGCCUUACUUCGCAAAAAAUUUGAAACCUGCAUAGACUAUGUUUGGGUUAAAACAUAAACUUUGGGCUACGAAGGGAGUUGGCCCAACAAAGAAAAGGAAAGCCCGGAGACCAGCCCAAAUCCAGAAGGCAGAAAGGGCCUUUCCCGACUAGGUGCAGAUCAUUUGCACCACUUGCUCACCUACCCAAGGGCCAAGUAGUAUAGGCCUGCCAGCUAAUCAGCCCAAAAGUACUUUACAGUGGCAGUACAAGUAAAUAGCUGAUGAGUCACUAUCCUUCAAACCGCAUUCGGGCAAGAUUGUUGCUACAGAAGAUCGAGUCAAAGUGUCUAUAAAAGAGGAGAGAGGAAUCAAAGUUAAAGACACUCAAACAACCAAACAAAUACAAGCACAAACUCUGCUCAAAACCAUAUUUGCCUUCAAAACGAAGCUGUAGUCAGCCCAAGCCUUCAUUCUUCUCGGGAUAAACCUUUGUAAUAGCUCUGCUACCUGGUCAAGAACUCGCCGUAGUAUCGAUUUCUUUUGUAAACUCAUCUCCCUACCCCUUUUCUAAAAACUCCCAACCCCCUUGAUAAACCACAAAGAUAGGAAGUUGCAAGACGAUCAGCCUUGCCCGACAAGGUUAAACCUUGCCCGACCCUCUUUGUUUUUGUCUUUUCAUUCUUUAGCCUAGCAAUAUGUUGUAUACUACAAGUUGUAUUCAAGUUAUUUCUAGUAAUAUGGCUAUUAAAAGAUUCUCUCAGCACUUGAAUCCGAUUUGAACAUGUCUUCACAGUUCAAACUAGAUCUAAGUUCUAAACCCUCGGGCAUGUAAGAUUUGAUCAUUCAAAAGUCCUUGGCCUCAAGGCAUAAAAAAGAACCUUAUGUGGACUUAACCCAUCCACGACAAGCUUUGAUAAACAAGAAGUCCGAAGUUACUUGGGGCGCAAGUAAUCGAUCUAUCACCUAGUUUUAUUUCUAUUAUAUUAUGAUUACCAUAGAACGUUGAGUAUAGAAUGAAUUCUGAUAGGAAGCCUCAAGGCCUAUCUCUAAGGCCCCAUAAAGGCACCUAUUUGGAUUCAUUUUGUCCUUCGGGCUAGAACGAUAAGUAUAGAAAGAAUUCUGAUGGGAAGCCUCAAGGCCUAUCUAAGGCCCCACAAAGGCACCUAUUUGAGUUCAUUAUGUCCUUCGGGUUCAGGUAAUCAGAAGUAUAAUGGUUAUAAGAUUUAUAUAACCAAUGAAACGAACCAUAUGUAUAUAUUCAAAUACUAAGUUAGUUAUCAACAAGAAGCCUCAAGGCCUACACCUAAGGCCCUACAAAGGCACCUGUCAUAACUAAAAUGGUCUCUUGGGUAUAUAUACAAUUAAAAUUCAACAUCCGUUUUACAUCUGCCAUGCCGAAGAUGGCAAUGGCACGCCUGAGCACUUAAAAGUUAAUCUUGAUUGUGAGCCUCAAGGCCUACACCUAAGGCCCUACAAAGGCACCUUUCAAAGUUAAUUAUGUCCUUCUCUUUCAGCCUUGCCCGACAGGCCUUGCCCAACAAGUCCGCCAGUGAAGCAGAAGCCUGGUAGAAAAGUAUCAACCGGCGUCAACCUCUCGGGGAGCUGUGUGCUCGUCGGACAGAAAAUAUCCCCGACGGAAAUUCCUGCCACGAACAUAGUUUUGGCACGCUCGGUGGGACAUCUUUGAUCAAACAUACAUGUCAAAGGGGUCAGAAGAUUUGCAAACUGCUUUGUUGCAUAUGCUACAAAGACUGGAGAACGCCUCCGCAGGCUCCAGGAAUGAAGAUGACCCGGUUCUAAGACCACCUAGCCCUAUAUCUUUACGUCACCCUGGGGAGAAAGAUGAUAAGGGGGACAUAAAAUCAGCCAACCAGAAGAAGUAGCAGUGACAGAUAAACAUACGAAGCCCUUCUCAGAUGCCCCUAUAAAUAUGAUUAGUAUGGCCUGGGCAGAGAAGGGAAAAGAGAAGGUCACAAGAGAAGAAGAAAGAAGGUUGGUUGACAAACCCAUAAAAGGGGUGGUUAACUUGCCCGAAUAUCCAAGAGCCGCCAUAAUCAAGGGGAUGGUGCUGUGCAGUAAGUGCCAAUGCGAGUGUGAGCUCGAAAUACCGCCCACAAGAGCCCUCAUAGAUCAUGAACUGAUCAGGAGGAAUGAAGAAGAAAAGAGAAAAAAGGCACAAGAAAAAGCUCGGCGAAUUCCAGGAAGGGAUACCUCUCAAAGUGUCUUUCAGCGGCUAGGAGGUGAUUCUCAACCAAAAGCUUUAUCAAAAAUAUUUCGCAACCAUGAAGUUUCUGAAGAGGCAGAAGAUAAAGAUGCCAAGAAGCCGAAAGAGAAGGGUGUAGAGCACUCUCAGUACGGCCAUAUGGGAAGAGAGGUCAGGAGGAGUGACAGGAUAACAAACCCUGUCAAAAAAGAUAAUCCUGCCCGCCUUGGGCGAAAAUGGUAUGUGGUUGGGAAGAAUGGACAGCCCGUUAAGCAAAUGGGAGCCUACAUGGUCAGAAGGGUUCAAAGGCAACACAAAGCCUACAUGAAUUCCUUAAAAACCCCUGCUACGUCGCAAGCCUCCAAAAAUCAAAAGUUGGAGAAAACAUCAUCUGGGGGGAGUAGUCAGCUCCGCUUGAGGAGUAAGAAAGAGGUGGAAAUGGCUAAUAGCAAGACGGAGGGCGAAGGAAACCAUGUGCCACAAAGCCUACACCCUGGGAAAUAUAGAAUCAUGAGGAGAACUCAAGAGGAUAUGGUGAUGGUGCCAACCCCCCGAUGGAAGCCAGAACAGCCUAUUUGUUUUGGAACUGUUUCACCUGAGAGAAAACAACCUUCUCUAUCAUCAGUGGAUCCCUUCGGGGAAGUUCCAAAGCAAACACCAUAUUCAGGUGUGAAUCAACUAGAGGGGGAACCAGAUGCGAUGGCGUGGUUGGAUGAGUUCAUGGACCAGAUUGGGAGCAAGAAAGAAGAGCUGCCGGAGCCCAGCAACUUUCAUAUAAACAUGGCGUAUGUGCUAUCCGCCAUGUUUGGUGCCCAACCAAAUCAGCCCGCCACCAUGGAAGGAGAUUAUGUGACAACUGAGCCAAUGAUGGCUCAUGUCAGCGUAAAGGUAGCUGAAGAAUGAGAAUCGGGGGAAGCUGAAUCAUCUGAAGCUCCCAAGGAUGGUCCUUCAAGGUUCUAUACAGACAAGAUGGUGUUCAGCCGCCCGAGUAUUUCACUUGCCAAUCAUCUGAAACCCAUCUACGUUACAGCCCAUGUGGAAGGAGUGCCUUUCAAAAGAGUUCUCAUUGAUGGAGGAGCGGUUGUUAACGUCUUACCAGCCAAACAAAUGAAACGGUUGGGGAGAGGUACAGAGGAUCUUAUUUCUACAGACCUCACUGCUUCUAGUUUCUCGGGCGCUAUCACCAAGACUCAUAGGAUACUGCCUUUGGAAGUAGAUUUGGGGUCUAAACAGAUCAUGUUGGCAUUCUUUGUGGUGGACUACACCUCCGCCUAUGGAGCCUUACUCGGAAGAGAUUGGAUCCAUCAAAGUUUUGCUAUACCCUCCACUCUACAUCAACAAGUGGCUGUUUAUCAUGAGGCAAGUGCAGAAGGGCCAGGCUUUUGGGAGAUGGUAGAGGCCGAAUCACGGCCAUUUCUUCCCACGGCCAAUGUAGCGGAAGCAAGUUUCUACAAUCCCAAUGUAGGAAUCUUGAAGUGUUCGGGAGCAGAUGAGAACGGCCGCCCUACCAAGGUGACGGCCCAAAAGCUUCUAGAACAAGGAAUGCUCCUUACUAGAGAAGAGUGGAACAGACCUUGUAUCGUCCCAACACCCCUACACCAUAAAUGACAAAACAAAAAAAGAAGGAUCAGGUAAUAGCAAUCAGAUCCCUGAUUAAACGACUGUUGGUGUAUGGGAAAGAAAGAAUACAAGAACAUGAGCUCUUAGACAGAGAAGAGCAGGAAUGGCAGGUAGGAGCUUCAACCAGCCAAGAUGAAAGCAAGGAGGAAUCUUGUCGAGAAGAAUUGGAAAGGGCCAUUCAAAUGGCCGAGUGCAUAUAUGACCUAGAUGGACCAGAUGACUUGCCCGAAAGCUCAGAGCUGGUCGAAUUUUUGUGUGUAGAACCUGAUAAACCACCACCAGAGGUCCAAGAUCCUUUGGAAGUUAUUGAGCUAGGAACAAAUGAGGAUCCAAGACCAAUUCAAAUCAGUGGUUUAUUGGAAAGCGAGGCUCGGGCAAAAAUUAUCUGUCUCUUGCAAGAAUUCAGAGAUUGCUUUGCGUGGCAUUACAAUGAGAUGCCAGGUUUAGAUGCAACCUUGGUGGAACACAGAAUGCCCAUCAAGGAAGGAUAUAAGCCGGUUAAGCAAGCACCACGAAGGAUGUCGAAUGAGAUAGAAGAGAAGGUCAAAGAAGAAAUUGAGAGGCUAGUAAAAGCCGGAUUUAUCAGGCCAGCCAAAUAUGUGGAAUGGUUAGCCAAUAUUGUACCUGUUUUAAAAGCUAUAACAAAAGCAGUACGAUGUUGUGUUGACUACAGAAAUAUUAAUGGCGCUACACCUAAAAAUGAGUAUCCCAUGCCCAUGGCAGAUCUAUCCAUAGAUGCAGUAGCAAAACACAAAGUCUUAUCUUUUAUGGAUGGAAAUGCCGGGUAUAAUUAGAUAAAGAUGGCUCAUGAGGAUAUACAUAAAACAGCUUUUAGAUGCCCUGGGCAUGUGGGGGCUUAUGAAUAUCUGGUCAUGCCAUUCGGGCUCAAGAAUGCUGGCGCAACCUACCAAAGGGCAAUGAAUGCCAUCUUUCAUGAUCUGAUUGGCCAUAAUAUGGAGGUGUAUAUUGAUGACAUCGUGGUGAAAUCCAAGACAGAAGAACAGCAUCUGAUAGACCUCAGGCAGGCGUUCACAAGAAUGAGGAUCCACAAAUUGAAGAUGAAUCCAAAGAAGUGUGCGUUUGGGGUGAGAACGGGCAACUUCUUGGGAUUCCUGGUUCAUCAAAGAGGUGUAGAAGUGGAUAAAAAUAAAGCGCGGGCAAUAAUGGAGUCGCCUUCACCCACCAACAAAGUGCAACUCCAGAGGCUGCUGGGUAAGAUUAAUUUCCUAAGAAGAUUCAUUGCCAAUCUAGCAGGCAAGAUCCAGCCGCUGACUCCUUUACUAAGACUGAAGGAUAAGGAGAAUUUUGAGUGGGGACCACUGCACCAAGAGGCUUUCGAUAGUAUCAAAACUUAUUUAUCCUCUCCGCCAGUGUUGGUACCACCUCAAAGGGGAAAACCCUUAAAGCUAUAUAUUUCCGCUUCAAAUAAAUCAAUCGGGAGUUUGCUAGCUCAAAAUAAUGAAGGAGGAAAAGAGCAGGCAGUUUACUACCUCAGUAGAAUUCUGACCGAGGUAGAAACGAGAUAUUCCCCGGUGGAGAGAUUGUGCUUAGCUUUGUAUUUCACUGCCAAUAAGCUGAGGCAUUACAUGUUACCUUGUCACGUGCACAUCAUUGCCAAAACAGAUGUGAUAAAGUACAUGUUGUCAAAGCCAAUGUUGACUAGGGGUGGGCACUUGGAACCGAAAACCGAAACCGAAACACGAAUCGAAUCAAACCGCACCAAAUGGUUUGGUUUUGCGGUUUUGAAAUGGUUUCGGUUUCAAAACCGAACCGCGGCACACAAAACGGUUUGGUUUCGGUUUUGGGUUUUCAAAACCGCACCGAAACCGAAACCGCACCAUAUAAUAAAUAAAUGUUAUAUAACUUAUAUUUUAAACUUUUCAACUAGGUUAUAACUUAUAGGUUUGUAUUAUGGCAAACUUAACCUUUCAAUUGGGUUGUAAAGUAUUGUGAUUGGUGAUCAAGUUCAAUUUUAGUAGAUGUGAUGCAUAAGGAUUUAAAGUUUAAACCCUUUGAUGCAUUGGAUGUUGUCUCAAUUUUAGUAGUUGUCAUUUGUUGCAGUUUUUGUACAAGUUUGGUACAAGUUAGCUGCACUUUUGGUGCUGUUUUGGUGCAGUUUUUUGUGCUGUUUUGGUGCUGUAUUUUUAUGCAGUUUUGCUGCAUUAUUUUUUGGUGCAAUUUUGUGCAGUUUUGGUGCAGUUUCGCUGCUGUUUUUUAUGCAGUUUUGCUGCAUUUUUUGGGUGCAGUUUUGGUGCAGUUUUUGGUACUGUUUUUGUGCUGUUUUUUAUGCAGUUUUGCUGCAAUUUUUUUUUUUUUGCAGUUUUGACUCUUUUUUGCUGCAAUUUUACUGCAUAUUCAUUAAUUAAUAUACGAAGAAAAUAAGACCGUCUUAUGCAUAAAUAGGUGUAUAUUUUAAAUUGUACAUUUUUUUUCUCAAAAACCAAACCGAAACCGUUUGAAACCGCACCGCACCGAACCGAACGGUUUGGUUUCAUUUCGGUUUUGGCUUUAAAACCGCACCGCACCGCACCGCACCGCAAAAUGUUUCGAUUUCGGUUGUGGUUUCACUCGAAACCGCACCAAACCGCACCGCGCCCACCCCUAAUGUUGACAGGAAGGAUUGGGAAGUGGAUUCUAGCAUUAUUUGAAUUCAGCUUUCAGUAUGUUCCCCAAAGGGCAGUCAAAGGCCAAGCAAUUGCUGACUUCUUGGCGGAGCAUUAAGAAUCUCAAAAUGAAAUAAUCAAUAUCCCGGGAACCCUGGAAGUUACGAGUGUUUGGAUUCCGCCAAGUCAAGGGAUCUCGGGUAAGGAGGAGUGGAUCCAGCAAGAGAUAAGAAGAGUGGCUGGCCUGUGGAUUACUCCUUGGAAGUUAUAUUUUGAUGGCUCUUACACUCAGAAGGCUGCAGGAGCUGGAAUUGUAAUUAUCAACCCUCAAGGAGUUCAUCAUUAUUACUCAUUUCUUCUAGAUUAUCAAGGGAAUACCAAUAACCGGGCAGAGUAUGAGGCCUUAAUAAUUGGUUUGGAAAUCUUGAUGGAUCUGGGGGCAACAGAGGUAGAGGUGUUUGGUGAUUCAGAAUUGGUAAUAAACCAACUAAAUGGGGAGUUCAAGUGCAGACAUAUUACCAUGGCCGGAUAUUACUUGGCAGCCACACAAUUGCUAAGUUAUUGGAGUUUUGAAAUAUCGGUUAGUCAUGUUCCCAGAGGAGCCAACCUAGCAGCCAACGAGAUGGCGCAAUUAGCUUCCGGCAUGCCAAUACAGGAAAGAAAAUAUGGGUUGGAUGUCGAGAUUCAAAGAAGAAAUCUUCCUUCUAUUCUGGAAAGAGGAUUCAGCCUGGAUGUAAUGGUUCAGGAAACUGAGAUAGAAGAUUAGAGAUCGCCCAUCAUCCAUCAUUUGAACGAUCCCUCUUCACCCACCAGCAAGAAGAAUAGACAGCAAGCAACUAAGUAUGUCUUAUGGGCGAAAGACCUACUAAGGAAGACUCCAGACGGGUUAUUAUUGAAAUGCUUAGGCUAAGAGGAAUCCAUGAGAGUGAUGGCCGAAGUACAUGAAACAGUAUGUGGAGCACAUCAGGCAGGGACAAAGAUGAGGUGGUUACUUAGGCGAUAUGGUUAUUUUUGGCCCGACAUGGAAAAAGAUUGCAAGUCCUAUGCCCGAGGGUGUGAAGAAUGUCAAAGGCAUGGUCCUCUCCAACAUGUACCUUCAGUACCUUUAAAUCUAGUGGUCAAGCCUUGGCCCUUCAGAGGAUGGGCAAUGGACUUUAUCGGGCAGAUCUACCCAGCUUCUAGCAAAGGGCACACCUUCAUAAUUAUAGCAACGGAUUACUUUACCAAAUGGGUAUAAGCCUCGGCAGUGAAGUCUAUAACCUUAGCUGCGGUCAAAAAUUUUAUUGAGACCAAGAUCCUGUAUAGAUUUGGGGUGCCCGAAACCAUAGUGACGGAUUGCGGGCCAUCUUUUAUUUCAAAAGAAGUUGAAGAAUUUGCAAGCAAAUACAAAAUAAAGAUGAUCCAGUCCAGUUCUUACUACCCGCAGUCAAAUGGCCAGGCAGAAUCCAACAAGAUUUUGGUAAACAUUAUCAAAAGAAUGGUAAUAGAUAGUCCGGAAAGGUGGCAUGAAAAGCUGGGGAAUACUUUGUGGGCAUACAGAACUUCAAAGAGGGCAGGAACAGGGACAACUCCUUAUGCUUUAACUUUUGGGCAAGAUACAGUGUUUCCCAUGGAGAUCAAUGUAAGUUCUAUCAGAAUUCAAAAUCAUUUUGGGUUACAUAGCAAAGAGUAUGUCGAAGCCAUGUGUCAAGGGAUUGAAGACUUAGACGUAGCCCAAAUUGAAGCCCUGAACCAGAUUCAGGAAGGAAAGAAAGUUGUUGCCCGAGCUUAUAACAAAAUGGUGAAAGUAAAGUCAUUCAAGGAAGGAGAUUUGGUGUGGAAGACGGUCCUUCCUUUGGGAGCUCAGCUUAGGGGCUUUGGAAAAUGGAGCCCGACAUGGGAAGGUCCUUUCAUGAUUAGUCAAGUUUUGGACAAAGGGGAAUAUUACUUGGCGGACCUCGAAGGGAAUUGGCAGAAACAUCCCAUUAAUGUUAAAUUCUUGAAAAAGUAUUGUCCUACAUUAUGGGAUAUUAGAGAUUGUUAUAUUGAAGAGGAUGCAAAAUAAAGUAGGUUUCAAGAUGUUAAAGUGCAGUGUACAUUCAUCAAUCAUUCAAGAAUGCAAAAAGACACAGGAUGGAUAAGAUCAUGUUUAUUUCAUUUCGACAAAUUGAUGAAAUUUACAAACAAAUUCAAUUUAAUUCCGAUGUGCUGCAUUCGACUCCUUCCAGGUGUAAUGGCGUCUCAGCUGGUUUUCCGAUGUCUUCAUGGAAAGAAUCCGAUCAGGUGAUCGGGUUGUGCGGCCAAGAUAAGCUUGGUAGAGGGUCCCCAGGCAGAAUCAUCAUCAUGUGUGAUGGUGAAGCCUGAUUUAUCAUGACGACAAGCAGGAAGGCAAGUCAUCAUGAGGAAACUGCCUGACCAAGGGUGUUGGGGAUAGCGGGGUGUUUGACCAAAGGUGUUGGGGAUAGUAGUUAUCUGAUGAAAACUCUUUUUCUCACGAAAAGGGAGUUUUAGGAAACCCCACUUCAAUCUUGAAGAACUCAUUUUUUCAGUUUUGGGAAGAAAACUAAGAAGGCAGAGGUAUUCAAGAUUGAUAAAAGCGAAGACUGCAGGAAGUUUGUUGGCUAGACAAAGGAAAAUUCAAGCCGGUUUUUAUAAAGACCUCAGAGGAUAACCCAAAGGUCGUGAGAAGAGCAAGAGACGCAGGAUCAUAGGCAUCCUAUCUAGGAAAACACGAGUUCCAAGAACAGGUAUACAAGCAUGCGGAUAUUCAAUCAAUACUGGCGCCUGGAAUUCCAGUCUGAAUAUUGAUUGAAGGGGGCACUGUUUGGGUUAAAACUUAAACUUUGGGCUACGAAGGGAGUUGGCCCAACAAAGAAGAGGAAAGCCCGGAGACCAGCCCAAAUCCAGAAGGCAGAAAUGGCCUUUCCCGACUAGGUGUAAAUCAUUUACACCACUUGCUCACCCACCCAAGGGUUAAGUAGUAUAGACCUGCCAGCUAAUCAGCCCAAAAGUACUUUACAGUGGCAGUCCAAGUAAAUAGCUGAUGAGUCACUAUCCUUCAAACCGCAUUCGGGCAAGAUUGUUGCUACAGGAGAUCGAGUCAAAGUGUCUAUAAAAGAGGAGAGAGGAAUCAAAGUUAAAGACACUCAAACAACUAAACAAAUAUAAGCACAAACUCUGCUCAAAACCAGAUUUGCCUUCAAAACGAAGCUGUAGUCAGCCCAAGCCUUUAUCCUUCUCGGGAUAAACCUUUGUAAUAGCUCUGCUACCUGGUCAAGAACCCGCCGUAGUAUCGAUUUCUUUUGUAAACUCAUCUCCCUACCCCUUUUCUAAAAACUCUCAACCCCCUUGAUAAACCACAAAGAUAGGAAGUUGCAAGACGAUCAACCUUGCCCGACCCUCUUUGUUUUUGUCUUUUCAUUCAUUAGCCUAGCAAUAUGUUGUAUACUACAAGUUGUAUUCAAGUUAUUUCUAGUAAUAUGGCUAUUAAAAGAUUCUCUCAGCACUUGAAUCCGAUUUGAACAUGUCUUCACAGUUCAAACCAGAUCUAAGUUCUAAACCCUCGGGCAUGUAAGAUUUGAUCAUUCAAAAGUCCUUGGCCUCAAGGCAUAAAAAAGAACCUUAUGUGGACUUAACCCAUCCACGACAAGCUUUGAUAAACAAGAAGUCCGAAGUUACUUGGGGCGCAAGUAAUCGAUCUAUCACCUAGUUUUAUUUCUAUUAUAUUAUGAUUACCAUAGAACGUUGAGUAUAGAAUGAAUUCUGAUAGGAAGCCUCAAUGCCUAUCUCUAAGGCCCCACAAAGGCACCUAUUUGGAUUCAUUUUGUCCUUCGGGCUAGAACGAUAAGUAUAGAAGGAAUUCUGAUGGGAAGCCUCAAGGCCUAUCUAAGGCCCCACAAAGGCACCUAUUUGAGUUCAUUCUAUCCUUCGAGUUCAGGUAAUCAGAAGUAUAAUGGUUAUAAGAUUUAUAUAACCAAUGAAACGAACCAUAUGUUUAUAUUCAAAUACUAAGUUAGUUAUCAACAGGAAGCCUCAAGGCCUACACCUAAGGCCCUACAAAGGCACCUGUCAUAACUAAAAUGGUCUCUUGGGUAUAUAUACAAUUAAAAUUCAACAUCCGUUUUACAUCUGCCAUGCCGAAGAUGGCAGUGCCACGCCUGAGCACUUAAAAGUUAAUCUUGAUUGUGAGCCUCAAGGCCUACACCUAAAGCCCUACAAAGGCACCUUUCAAAGUUAAUUUUGUCCUUCUCUUUCAGCCUUGCCCGACAGGCCUUGCCCGACAAGUCCGCCAGUGAAGCAGAAGCCUGAUAGAAAAGUAUCAAUCGGCGUCAACCUCUCGGGGAGCUGUGUGCUCGUCGGCCAGAAAAUAUCCCCGACGGAAAUUCCUGCCACGAACAGACUACAAGCUGAAGAAAGGAGACGAAAUAGGAACUGCCCUACUAGAAGCAAUCCAGAAAUCAAGGCUUUCGGUGAUCAUUUUCUCCAAAAACUAUGCGUCUUCCACAUGGUGUUUGAUUGAACUUAUGCAUGUACUCAAAUGCAAAAAGAAAUAUGGUCAAUGGUUGUACUUAUUUUUUACGACAUCAAUCCAUCAGAUGUGCGAAAACAAAAGGGGAGUUAUGCAGAUGCAUUUGCUGAACUGGAAAAAGGGGACAGUAUGGGCAAGGUGCGCAAGUGGAGGAAAGCUUUAAGGACUGCAGCCAAUUUUUCUGGGUUUGAUAAUUUAAACAAAAAAGGGUAAGUAACUAUGGGCAUGUUUGGUACUCUACUUGAAUCUAACUUUUUAAACUAAAAAACAAUUUUCAAAUUUUAGGUCUUAAAAACUUAUUUGGUAGGACUAUUUUAAAAAACUGAACGCAAGACUAACUAAAAAAUAUAAUAUAUUCUCUAAAAAUAUAAAAUGUGAGUUUUUAGAGUUUUUAAAUUUAAACUUAAUCCUUUCUUUUCUCUCCCUCCUCCCCUCACUCCAAAUCUCUCUCUCUCUUUCUCUCUCUUCUUCUUCUUUCUCUCUCCUCUUUUUUUAUUUUUUUAUUUUUUUUAUAAUUUUUUUCCGUCUCUUCUCCAAUCCGCUCUUCAUUUUUUCGAUUCUUUCUCUCUCAUGUUCCUCUCUAUCUCGUCUAAUCCUCUCUCUUCUUUCUCUUUCCUUCAAUCAUCUCUCUUUCUUUCUUCCUCUUUCCUCUUUCUCUCUCUUGCGACCCCCUCUUUUUAGAUUUUUUUGUCUAGUUGUAAGAUUUAGAAAUUUUAAAUCGCAAACCAAUUAAAAUUUUUAGUCUUAAAAAAAUUAUUUUCAAGAAAUGUUCUUAAAAAAUGUUUUAAGAAAUGAUAAAAAAUUUCAAAUAGGAAACCAAACAGACCCUUUGUAACUUGUAUCAAUUUUUACUUGUGACUAUUUCUUUUCAAAUUUUUAUUUUUAGUUUUUAUAAGAAACGAUAUUCAUUAUAUAGACCAUCUCUAAUUCUUGGGUUAAAACUUGUUUGAGGAUUGCAACCAAUCUUUCUGGGUUUGAUUCUUCAAACAAAAAAGGUAUCAUUUGAAUUGCAUACUCUUUGCCGUCGAAAAUCCAGAAAUCCUUGGCCUUCAGAGUCAAAAACACACAAAUUCCUGAAAUUCCAACCCCUAAAUUCCUCACGCGGCCCCAAAAUUCCGACCCCUGAAACUCCGGCACUCCUUCCUCCCCCUCUUCCUACGAAGAUUAUUGCACGCCCUUCAUGCAAAAGAAAACCCACAGAUAUUUCACCGCAACUGUUCAGUUUGGCCAAAUCAGCAGCGGAUCAUGCCUGCACCAUGCCUGCAUUUGUUCAGUUUUACCAAACACCAACGGCUUUAUUUUACAUCUUUUUACUCUCACGGCACAACAGAAGCAGCUUUUAAAAAAAAAAAAAAAAAAAGCCUAACAAUACCAAACUAGCAUUUAAACAAUCCUUAUAGAUAGUGAAGGCAUUACUUACUAUAUAUUGCUUCUCAUUCAUACUAAUAUACUAAUAUUUUGCAAGACUGAUGCCUAUUUCAUUGAGGAAGUAGUGGAAGAUAUUUCAUCGAAAUUGAAAUGUAAAACAUCAUAUGAUUUAAAGGGCAUGUUUGGAAAGUAAAGCCGCAUUGAGCAAGUUGAAUCCUUAUUAAGCAUUAAUAAUUGGCAAGGUGUUUGCACUUUAGGCAUUUGGGGUAUGGGUGGCAUUGGAAAGACCGCCCUUGCUAAGCCUGUGUUCAAGAGACUCUCUUCUAACUUCGAAGCUUCUUGUCUUCCUAACAACGUUAGGGAGAAAUCAGAGCAAAAGAUGGAGUUGAUCAAUUGCAAAAAGUACUUCUUAGAGAAAUCUUAAAGGAAGAAAAUCUCUCCACGGAUUCGACUUUUGUUCAAGAAAGGCUCAGCCGUACAAAGGCUCUCAUUGUUCUUGAUGAUGUUAGUGACUCAAGGCAAAUAAAAGAUCUAGCUGGAGAUAAUCUUCGCUACGGAAAUGGAAGUAGAAUCAUCGCAACAAGUAGAGAAUGGAGCGUACUCAUGAAAGCUGUUAGUGAUGAUAUAUAUAUAUAUAAGGUAAAUCUCUCUUUACUACCCUCAUGUUUUGUGAUUUUCAACAUUUAGUACAUAAAUUUUUUUUCAUCGCAGAGUCAUACCUAAAGUGUUAAUUUUGGGACAGUCUCAUACAUCCGUUAAUCAAACUGUUAAGUUUGCCGUUAACUGAUAACGUGGCGCUUAUGUAGAUAAUGAUUGAACGCCACGAGUCAUUAAGGGGUCCCCCGCACCCUUUCCCUCCCUCAUCCCCGCACCCUCUCCCUCCCUUCUCUCUUCUGCAACCUGCACCACCCUCCCUUCUCUCCUCAUUCCUCCCUUAUCCCUCCAUUCUCUCAUCUGCACCACAACCUACCAUGUCGCGGUCCUCGAUCUCACCAAGUUUCCAUCUUUCAAUUCUCUUCAAGCUAAAGUUUAAUCAUUUUUUUCACACCACCAAGACCAAAAAUUCACCAACAAAUUUAUCCCACCAAACAAAUCAAACCCAACAAAAAACAAAUCCAAAAGACCAAAAAAUAAUUCAAGAAAAAGUAAAAUAAAACCCAACCUGAUCGAGUACAACUUUGAGAAAAUGGCGCGCUACAAAAGAAAAAAGCAUCGGGUUGGAUCUGGAUGCCGUCGACAUCAAUCUCAAGAGCAAACAAAAGAAAAGCACAUGGGUCAAUAUACGCCCAACCUUUUCAAUUACGCUACAAAAGAAACCCUUUGGAAGUGUUGUGACGGCGAGAAAGAGAGGACAUCAACAGGAACCAUGUUGGGUUGGAUCUGGAUGCCGUCAACAUCGAUCUCAAGAGUGGCGAUCUAGUGAACUCGUGGAUCGAGUAUGAUGGGUCGAGUCAGGUCAAUAGCGUCUCGGUUUUGUACUCGAAUCUGAAACCCAAAGACCCGGGUUGCAGAAGAGAGAAUGGAGGGAGAAGGUGCGGGGGAUGAGGGAGGGAGAGGGUGCAAGGGGAUGAUGCUGAAGAGAGAAGGGAGGGAUAGGGUGUGGGGGAUGAAGGAGGGAGAGGGAGGGAGGGAGAUGGUGCGGGGAUGAGGGAGAGAGAAGAUGGUUUUGUUGUUUUUUUAUUUUUUUGAACCCGUUCUGAAAAAAGAAAAAAAAAAUCCACGUGGACCCUUAAUGACACGUACCCAGUCAUUGUCCACAUAAGCGUCAUGUCAUCAGUUAACGGCAGACUUAACAGUUUGACUAACGGAUGUAUGAAACUGUCCCAAAAUUAACACUUUAGGUAUGACUCUGGGACGAAAAAAACUUGAUGUACUAAAUGUUGAAAACCACAAAACAUGAAGGUAGUAAACAGAGACUUACCCAUAUAUAUAUAUAUAUGAGGUUAAGAAAAUAAAAACUGAUGGCGCUCUUCAACUCUUUCAAUUUCAUGCUUUCAAGGAUAACUCUCCUAGAGAAGAAUAUACAGAGUUGUCGGCAAGGGCGGUAAAAUAUGCUGGAGGCAUUCCACUGGCUCUUGAAGUUUUGGGUUCCGUAUUGUUUCCAUGUGAGAGCAAAGACGAGUGGGAAGAUGUAUUGAGCACACUGUGAGAUUAUCCCAAUGAAGAAAUUCAAAAUACGUUCAAAGUAAGCUAUAAUAGAUUAGGAAGAAAUGCACAGGAGGUAUUUCUUGAUAUAGCAUGCUUUUAAUAAAGGGAAGCGUAUUGAGGAUGUAAAGGAGAUGGUAGACUUUGGCCAAUUGCAUGGCGGUUCAUCUGCGGCAGAUGGAAUUAGAGUUCUCUGUGAUAGGUCUCUCAUAUCGAUUGAUUCGGAAGGGGAAACCAUAGAUAUGCAUGAUUUGGUACAAGAAACGGGUCAUGCAAUUGUUCGCGAACAAUGUAUUAAAGAGCCCGGAAGACGCAGUAGGCUAUUCAUUUGAUGAGGAUGUCUAUCAUGUAUUGAAAAAUAAUACAAUAAGAACCGCAAGUGUAUUCCCAAUAUUUUUUAACAAUAAAGAAAAGAAAUAGAUCAAUAAAAUACCGUGUACUUCCUAUAAAUUUACUUUGUUAAAUAACUCAUUUCAAAAAUAAGUCAUACUCCUACAAAUGUUGUUUUGAUUAAAUUUUGAUGUGUUAGUGUGUUCACAUUUGUACUUUGAUGUUGGUUGUCAGGGAACUAAAAAGGUUCAAGCCAUAUUCUUUGAGAUUGGAGAGCAAAACUUGGGUCAUGCAGACUUCACAAAGAUGUAUAAUAUGAGAUUGCUCAGUGUUAGUGAUCUGCGGUCAUUUUGGGAAAUUAACACUCUCUUUCUCUUCCCAAUUCUCUUCGUUAUCUUUAUGGAAGGGAUAUCCUUUGAAAUAUUUGCCUCCAGAAUUCUCUUGAAAAUCUUGUUGAGCUUCAUAUGCCCUACAGCAAAGUCACGCAGCUUUGGAAUGGAUACCAGGUAUAUGUGCUUAUUAGAGUUUUUGUGUAAGAUGUAGUGUAGAAACUUAUUUAGACUAAAUUGUUAAUUCUCAUCUUUAAUUUGUUACAGAAUCCUGUGAACUUAAAAGCGAUCCUGUGAACCAAGGAAGAAAAUGCCAAUAAUAUCAACGAUAUUUCGCCGAUAUUAUCGGUUUUUCACGGUAACGAUAUUUUAAUAGGUAUCCAAUUAGUUUUCGUCUAAAUAUCGCGAUAUUAUCUAUAUUAUCGAUAAUAUCGCGAUAUUUCCGAAACUAUCGCUAUAUUUUCGAUAAUAUCGUGAGAUCAAAACCCAAUAUUUAAAAAACGCUGAGAAGCCUCAACAGAUAACUACACUUGAUCUUGGCCAAAAGGGUCGAGCAAGGCAUGCUUUCCUCAGCUUGGGAAUGUGGCUUUUAUAGGCAUGUGUGCUUGCUCACUGCCCUUGCGUGGGCGAUGUGAGACUACAGAGCUUGGGAAUGUGGCUUUUAUAAGCCUGUUUGCUUGCUCACUGCCCUUGCGUGGGCGAUGUGGGAUUCACUGGCGGAGGGAGUAAAGGUCCUGGCUUUCUAAAACAAAUACAUAUAUUAGGGAAUUGUGCAUCUUUCUAUUGCUUGCUUUCUAAAACAAAUAUAUAUAUAUAUAUGGGAAUUAUGCAUCUUUCUAUUGCUUCAAGUCCUGCUUUCCAAGUUUCAAGCAUAAACCCAUCUCCCAAUUAGCUUUAAUAUUUUAUCUAGCUAUCUCCUUAACACAAAUUAAUAGCAUUUAAAAUCAAAGCAAUAUUUCGCCUUUCUUUGAAUAGAAAACAUUCAAUUUUAAUUAUGAAAAUUAAAAAAAAAUUCCCCUUUUCUUUUUGAAAUCUCAUACAUUUUAUAAUCCUAAAUUUGAAAUCUAUUCAACAAAUAAGUUUUAAAUUUCUUUGUUUCUCUAUCGUUUCUUCUCUAUUCUACAUAUUACAUGAGAGUUAUGGUUCGUAAAGUUUUUAUUUCUCUAUUCUACAUAAUAGUAUAGGCAACGGGAUUAUAAUAAAACGAUUUUAAAAUAUAAAAACUCGUCAAGAACAAUUAUAAUUUUUGUGUGUAUGUAAUAUUAUAUGUGCAUAUGUUGUUUUGAAUAUUUGAUUUUGAGAUAUAUAUUAGCCUUGUAAAUACCAUCCGCUUAAAAAAAUUAAAAAAAAACCUUUAUGAGAGGCCCCUCCUCACCAAAAAUUCUAGCCCCGCCAAUGGUGGGAUUACAGAAACCAAAACGUUUUGCUGCGACUUGCGAAGGCUGGUACAUGUGAACUUGUGACUCCAACUAGGUAAGACUUAAGAGCCAGAUCUAAUUUGGGGCCUUCUAUCCUAUAUUUGUGGACAACGAUCAAAUGCUAAAGAUUAAACAAACAUAAUAUGUUCUACUGCUUAGCAAAAAAAGCUACAAACCCUUUGCUUAUCAACAAAAAAAGACAAGUCCUUGCACUAGAUUUCAAAUUACGUUGAGUAGCAACCUGAUAUAUGUAUUCGGACGAAUUAUAAAACAAUUGACACACUCCUAGUUUCCAAAAUUCAAUUCUUUUACUUUAUAUAAACUUGAAAAUACAUCAUCGGCAUCCAAAUUAAAGUUUAGUCUUAUUCAACGUAUUGAUUUUCAAUCGUUAAUUGAUAUAGUAUAAUUUGGAACUUCAACGCAUAGACGCAUGCUUAUAUGUAAGAAAUUUAAAGUGUCAAAUUCGGCACAUUAUUCUUCAUCAUUUUAUUCACUUCCUUUUUUUUUUAAUAUCCUAAAUAAAACCUCCCAAUAUUGUACUAAUUAAUUAAAUAUAAAUGAUUAUGGUGUGUUUAAACUUCUUUCAUUAAUUACUACAUAUUUUCUACACUCACAAUGUUUGCCAGCUCGCUAUAUAAUCAACUUAAAUCAGUUAAACCCAUCAUGCAAUGCAUUUCCUUCCAAUUUUUUGUGAUAAACUAAUAGAUAAUUGACUAAAUAAACAUCCUGCAAAGUUUCAUUAAAAAUUUCCAAGUUUUUCUUACAAUUUCCGUGGUUUCCAUGUAAUUUUUAUCGAUAUCAAUAUUAUCCCGAUAUUUCCAUCGAUAUUUCCGUGUUUUCGGACUACCGAUAUUUCCGAUAUUACCGAUAUUUUCUUCCUUGCUGUGAACUUAAAAGCGAUCAGACUUAGUAAAUGCAAACAUCUAACUGCACUUCCAAACCUCACAGGAAGUCCAAAUAUCGUGCACAUAGAUCUUUACGCAUGUGAGAGUUUGGUUGAAAUUCCUUUGAAUUUUAAAGAUCUUGACAAGCUUACUUGUCUUGAUCUUUCAUGGUGCGUGAGUCUGGAGUAUCUUCCAAAGAUGCCAAGCAAUAUUGAAUUUUUAAGUUUAAAGAACAGUGGCAUAAAGGAGUUGCCGUCAUCAGUUUGGUCUCAUGAAAAAAUUUCUUCCUUUGGAUAUUAGAUAUGUGUGUGUUUAGUAACAUGAUGUGAAUCACUGUUGCAGAAAGAGUUUUCUGAGCCCUUGGUUACCAUUGUAUGUCCGGGAGAAGAAAUUCCAAAAUGGUUUGUGCAUCAAAAUAAAGGGGAUUCAAUAAAUGUCAGGCUUCCUACAAAUUGGUUUCGUGAAGGUUUCUUGGGUUUCGCGCUCUCUUUUGUUGCAUACAAAAGAUUCAUUUUUAAGCAGGGUCUGCAGUUUAGAUGCAAGUACAAUUUCAAAACGGAAGAGGGGGGAAUUCAUGAAAUCAAUUGUUCUUUCAGAUGUCCAUAUCGAGUUGAACAUUGCAUAUUCUAUGGACGGCACGUGUUCGUAUUGUAUAAAGACCUUGAAUAUGAAAAGGGAGCAAAAUGGUCCUCUGCAUUUUACAACCGUGUCACUGAAGUCUCUGGUUACUUCUGUGAAGCGUAUACAACCUGGGGGUUGAUGAGACCUCUAUUCUGUGAGGUGACAAGGCGUAGGAUAGGCCUGUUGUAUGCCGAAGACGCUGAGAAAUUAAAAGUUGAUGUCAUGUCAUGACAAGAACAAGAUGAGCCUGUAGCAAGUGGGAGUGGUGAUCCUGAAGCCAGUGAAAGCGAUGAGUAUGAGGAAGCAAGUGGAAGCGAAGACUCUGAGAGAGAACGUGGAAGCGACGAGGAAGCAAGCAAUGAGUCUGAGGAAGCAAGUGGAAGAGAUGAGUAUGAGCAAGCAAGUGGAAGUGACAAGUCAAAUGCAAGUGGAAGUGACGAGUCUAUUGCUAGUUCAAGCCGCUCCGAAACUUCAAUCUACAAUAACAACAACAACAAAGCAUUUUCCCAUUAAGUGGGGUCGGCUAUAUGAAUCCUAGAACGCCAUUGCGCUCGGUUCUGUGUCAUGUCCUCCGUUAGAUCCAAGUACUCUUAAGUCUUUUCUUAGAGUCUCUUCCAAAGUUUUCCUAGGUCUUCCUCUACCCCUUCGCUCAUGGACCUCUGUCCUGUAGUCACAUCUUCUAACCGGAGCAUCAGUUGGCCUUCUUUGCACAUGUCCAAACCACCGUAACCGAUUUUCUCUCAUCUUUCCUUCAAUUUCGACCACUCCUACUUUACCUCGAAUAUCCUUAUUCCUAAUCUUAUCCUUUCUUGUGUGCCCACACAUCCAACGAAGCAUCCUCAUCUCCACUACACUCAUUUUAUGUACGUGUUGAUGCUUCACCGCCCAACAUUCUGUGCCAUACAGCAUUGCCGGCCUUAUUGUUGUCCUAUAAAAUUUUCCCUUGAGCUUCAGUGGAACGACGGUCACACAACACGCUGGAUGCACUCUUCCACUUCAUCCAUCCAGCUUGUAUUCUAUGGUUGAGGUCUUCAUCUAAUUCUUCGUUCUUUUGCAAAAUAGAUCCUAGGUAGCGAAAGCAGUCGCUCUUUGGUACUUCCUGAUCUCCGAUCUUCACCCUUAACUCAUUUUGGCCUUCAUUUGCACUUAACUUGCACUCCAUAUAUUUUGUCUUUGAUCGGCUUAGGUGAAGACCUUUAGAUUCCAACACUUCUCUCCAAAGGUUAAGCUUCGCAUUUACCCCUUUCUAAGUUUCAUCUAUUAACACUAUAUCGUCUUCAAAAAGCAUGCACCAAGGAAUAUCAUCUUGAAUAUGUCCCGUUAACUCAUCCAUUACCAAUGCAAAAAGGUAAGGACUUAAGGAUCUUGAUGUAACCCAACAGUUAUGGGGAAGCUUUUGGUUUGUCCUUCAUGUGUUCUUACAACAAUCUUUGCUCCAUCAUACAUAUCUUUUAUAGUUUGGAUAUAUGCUACUUGUACUCCUUUCUUCUCUAAAAUCCUCCAAAGAAUGUCUCUUGAGACCUUAUCAUACGCUUUUUCCAAAUCUAUAAAGACCAUGUGUAAAUCAUUUUUCCUAUCUCUAUAUCUUUCCAUCAAUCUUCGUAAGAGAUAGAUUGCCUCCAUGGUUGAGCGCCCUGGCAUGAACUCAAAUUGAUUGUCCAAAACCCUUGUCUCUUGCCUCAAUCUAUGCUCAAUGACUCUCUCCCAGAGCUUCAUUGUAUUACUCAUUAGCUUAAUACCCUUAUAGUUCAUGCAAUUUUGUACGUCGCCCUUAUUCUUGUACAUAGGCACCAAAGUGCUCUUUCGCCACUCAUUUGGCAUCUUCUUCGUUUUCAAAAUCCUAUUGAAAAAGGUCUGUGAGCCAUGCUAUACCCGUCUCUCCCAAGAUUUUCCACACUUCGAUUGGUAUAUCAUUUGGGCCCACUGCUUUUCUAUGCUUCAUCUUUUUCAAAGCUACAACCACUUCUUCCUUCCUGAUUCGGCAGUAAAAUGAGUAGUUUCUACACUCUUCUAAGUUACUCAACUCCCCCAAAGAAGUAUUCCUUUCAUGUCCUUCAUUGAAAAGAUUAUGAAAAUAACCUCUCCAUCUAUCUUUGACCACGUUCUUUGUAGCAAGAACUUUUCCAUCCUUAUCCUUGAUGCACCUCACUUGGUUUAGGUCCCUUGUCUUCUUUUCCCUUGCUCUAGCUAGUUUAUAGAUAUCCAACUCUCAUUAUUUGGUAUCUAGUCGCUUAUACAUAUCGUCAUAAGUCGCUAUCUUAGCUUCUCUCACAGCUUUCUUCGCCUCCUGCUUCGCUAGUCUAUACCUUUCACCAUUUUCAUCGGUCUUAUCCUUGUAUAGGGCUUUACAACAUUGCUUCUUAGCCUUCACCUUUGUUUGUACCUCCUCAUUCCACCACCAAGAUUCCUUUUUUUUUUUAGAAGAACCACCAAGAUUCCUUUUGGCGUAGAGCAAAGCCCUUUAACUCUCAUAAUACCUCUUUUGCUACUUUUCGGAUACAACUAGCCAUGGAAUCCCACAUUUGGCUAGCUUCCCUCUCUCUAUCCCACACGCCUUGGGUGAUUACUUUCUCUUUGAAAAUUGCUUGUUUUUCUCCUUUUAGAUUCCACCAUAUAGUCCUUGGGCACUUCCAGAUCUUGUUAUUUUUUCUCUCUCCUAAACUUCAAUUUGAAAAAAAAAAAUUAAAGAUAAAAAAUCGAGUUCAUCCAAUCUUCAACCACAAUUCCACCAUACAAUAUAAGGUACGUAGUUGAAAUUGACAAUUGAAAUUCUAUGCAAAUACUAGCAAUUGCACUCGCAUGAUGUCGCAAGUUUUAAAACAUGUGAAAUAUACUAAAAAUUGUCUACCAUCGAUCUCAAAAUCUAUUUACAUCCUAAUGUUCAACAAGAAACAAAAUAUAGGUAUAGGAUAUACUACAUAGUAAUGCCCGUGCGUUGCUGCAGGAUUAGAAUUAGACCUUCCAUAUUAGCAUCUUAGUAUAAAUCUUCGUAUAAAACAAAGAUCAAUCUCAUGCACUAAAAACUAAUGUGAUUAGUGGCCAUAGAUGCAAACACAAUAACGCUGAAACCCCUUAUAAAGUUACAUAUGCAUCUAACAUUUUUAAUCUAAAAGUCUAGAAAUCAUAAGAAAAACAAAUGUUGAGCCGACAGUAAUCUCAGACAGCAAUCUCUAACCAAAAUUUGACCAUAAAAAUGUAAAUCCAUCUCUGAAUCAGUAUCAAUCUUCUUCCUCAACAAAAAGUUUCAGUUUUACUUGCAAAACACACACAACCAUCUCGUCAUUUGCAUCUGAAACCACAAUUUUCUACUAUAUCACAACACAAUGGCAGCAACCCCAAGUUUGUGUGACAGAAGAUUAAUGCUAUUUGUGUUGACAAUGCUAGGUACAUUUUCAUUUAUGAAAUAUUUUAUUGAUACAGUUUAUACGGAAAAGAAGAUAUGAAAGGAAAAAGAUUAUAAUCUUCCCAAUAUUUCAGCUGAGAGGUUGGGAUAAAAUUUAAAAAAUAACACAAACCAACCAUUACUGUUAUGCUUCUUGCUGUAGUCAAGUUUCAUGAUUCUAAAUAAAACCAGAGGAACAUAUAAACCCAAAAAGAAUAGGGUAAAAAUAUAUUGUUUGAGUCGACUGCAUUUUUGAAUACUGAAAGUAAGAAUAUAGAGGAGUUUCAGUAUAGAAAAUUUAAAAUAUACCUAGUAUUGUCAUGUGCUCAUCUGAGAGGGAAUUUUGUGACCGCUCAAUUUUAAGUCUAGCCUCUCUUUCCUAAUGAGAGAUUCUACUGCAGCCUGAUAGACAUAUUCAAACAUUUAAUAAUCUACAGAAAUUAACUAAACUCAGCCACAUUGAAUAUCAAACCCACCUACUUACCAUCUUAUCCAACUCUUAUUUCGUAAAUUUUUCUGGUACAGAAGCAUAGUUUAUCCUGACCUCUGCAAUAAAAUAUAUCAAUUCAUCUUCCUUGCUUUUCAAUAAGAUCCCUACAAUCAAACAAACAUAAUUACUCCAGUAAAUACCUUCCGUUUAAAAUGCAAAGAUAUAACAUAAAGGAAAGUGAGUAAUUCAAAAAUCAAACUGUUAAAACAACAGACUGAUACUGUGAUACACUUAACACGCCAAUUUAUAUACUAUAUAACAAUACUAAAUCAAGUAAUUUAUAAAGAUUAAAAAUGGAUUGCAAAAAGCAGAAAUCUUAUUUGACAUGUAUUAAAAUGAUACACAAAUUCUUAGCCAAUCAGCAUGAAAAGGAUAUAGAAAACUAAUUUAUUAAAAGAGAGUUUUUAAUCCUUACUAUAACUAAAAUAACUAUGUUAUUUCAUUAUCAAAUAGGAUUCAUACGUGUGAUGAGGGUUAAGAAAAUCACUGAUUAAAGAAUCUGCAAGAAAUCAUCAAAUUGGACUCGAACUUACCAAUUUUUUAUUCAAAUAAACUAAGAAAAGGAGUUAGAAUCAAACUAACCUAAACUGCAUCUUGUUUUUGCCUUCGUUAACAACAUACCGUUCGCUCUGUACACACCAAAAAACAGUAAACACCUCAUUCAUUACUAACAGCCAUUUCAAUCAAUUAAUUAUUUAGAUAAAUUCUUCAACGAUUCCGAAGCGCAGACAAAUUGCAUGAGAAAUUGAGAUUAUAUGCAAUUGUAUGUCAAAUAACCUGAAAAUACCAUAUAUCCAAUAUUAAGUGCAUACACCUAAAAACUAAUCUUUAUAUGUACUUUAAGAUAAUACAGAUCAAUGUAAUUUAAAACAUUGAAAACAUAAAAGACUCACGAUGCAGAAAAUUUUAUUUCCAUUAUUUUCAAAUAACUUUUCACCCCACAACACUGUAGUUUAAUCUCCAUCUUUAAGGGUCAUAAAAAAUUAAAGCAGUCAGUACAGCACACUCACACCAGAUAUGCUUUCUCAAAAAAACCAAAGAGAGAACCACAAUGGGCUGGUCAACUAUCCAAUUUUUACUUGAUCCAACAUUUUACAUCCAUUCAGUCCCCAACCACGGGGUUGAUUCCAUUUCAACCCUCUCAUUCAUUCUCUCUGUUUACAUCUCCAACGCACACUCAUACAUAUCAAGAGAACAGAUACGAUUCAUAAAUCUGGGUCUAUAGCUCAUGAAUACAAAUCUCAUUGAACCAACCCCAUUCUCCAACUAAACAUAAAAUUGUUUCAUGACCAAUGUCAUUAACUUAUUUUUGGAUAAAUGGCAAGGUACCCAAGAACUACCCAAUGUCAUUAACCCAAUACGAAUUUUGAUUUCGGCGGACUCAAAUAGCGCACACAAUAACUAAACCCAAAAAUACAUCAAAACACCAGGCAUAAAGAAAAGGCACACCACGCGUACAAUAGCUCAAAGAUUUAUAGUGAGUCUGUUCAACAAUGAGAAAAUUUACCAGAAAUUUCAAAUCUUUUGGGGGUUUAAAGUAAUUAUCAGAGAGACGAAACCAAAAACCAAAAUUAGGGCCCUUUUUUUUCAAAACCACAACAGCUCCGAUCUGAGAAAUACAGUGGAAUUUCUGGAAAAAAAAAAAAAGGAGUGAGGAAAGCCUAAAAUCCCCAAGAACCCUAAUUUAUAAACCCCCAAACAAACCGUAAUAAAAGAAAUUCGAGGAAUUCAACAUACCUUAAUCGGAGCGAGGACGCUUUCCGACGGCUGAAUUCAUCGACGACGGAGGCGGUUGUUGACCGUCGCUGUACCUCCAGUGCGCGUCCGCCAUUAUGAGGGUUGUCGACCGGCACAACUUGUUUGUGGGCUUCACAGCGGGAGAUAUGGGGAGCGAAGAGAGAGGAGAGCAGAGGAACAACGCAGAGAAGAGAAGGAGGAGUGAGCGAUGAGAGGAAGGAGAGCGCAGACCAACACGCGAUGGCUUUGUUGGUGGAAACAUGAAGACUGAAUUGCCCCUAUCCCUAUGUCCCGAUCCGAUGGUUUUUGUUGUAAAUAAAGUAAAAUCGAAGGGCAAACUUGUAAUCUAGCUAAGCUAUAGCCAAUUCCCUCCCACUUUAAAAUAGACUACAAAAAUUAUGCUCGCUCUAUGGCAGAUUUUCAAACUAUAAUCGACAAUAGCUAUGGAUGAUAUUUACAGAAAAGUACACUUAAAAGGCAGAGCAACACAAUCGCAUUCUCAAACGCAGCAAUCUAGAUAACACACAUUUUACUUGAGUAAUUCCCAUAAAACCACAAAUUGACACAUUCAUCCCCAAAUAAUUGAAAAACCAAGACAUGGGUGAAUCGACAUGGUAAAAUAUGCAAUUCAGUUUGCAUUUACGUUUUAUUAAGUUGACAUUAAAAGCCAACAUACAAUCACAAUGGCGAAUUCGAAAGUUUCUGUUAACAAAACUACAUUUCAGGCGUAACCAAAUUGAAUUACAGAGAAAAUUUGCAGAUCCUUACGUCAUUCUCCAAAGCCAACUUUCUACCUAAGUUUGCAGUCUGCGGAAUAGAAAACCACCCAAUUGUCAAUACCUUUAGAAAUUUCAGCAAUGAUUUCGUCGAAGAAAAGAUUCCCCUUCUUCUUAGAAUCUCUAAUAAAUUCAUUAGCAAUUCUUAGACUUUCAAAUAUAAGCGGAUGGACCUACACAGAGAGAAAAAACUAAAAUUUACAGCAAGAUGAAAGCUUUUUCAAACUCGAGGACCAAAUCUAAUGAAAUUUUAGUAAAAUGAACAAAGCUACACCCAUAAAAAUGAGAUUUUAGAAAUAUUUCAAAUAUAUUCAAACCAAACAGAUGUGGAAUCUUUUGCAUCCCUGAGAAUUCUGGAUUGGGGUCUUAUGGAGAUGAAUAUAUAAGCAAUGUCUAUAGGGAUUUUAAUUUGGUACUUUUUCUUUUAUUCUUGAACAUAUGCUAUUGAGAAAUAAAUAAAUAAAUGUAGGCUGAAUGGUUGAUUGCUAUUGAGAAAAGAAAACACCUUGACAAAGUGGUAGCAAUCUUAUCGUGUGUGUUAAGCUUUUAUGAUUAUUGGUAGCAAUCAUGAGCUCUAUGUGUUAUAUAAUUAUGUUUGGUCUUUGAUCAAAGGUGUUUAAUUAUUUUGUAGGUACAAUUUUGCAGCACUACCACAUUCAUGACCUUACCAUACGAUCCUACUUUCUUGGGGCUCAUUUGACAUCUAGGACUCGGUAGACCCAAACAGUGUUGAAUAAAGAAAUGAAUGUGCACUUGCAUAUUCUGUCACUAGCUAGUGUUGUUAGUUUACAUGUUCUUUUGUUGUGUUGUGUGGAUUUGCAGGUUAUGAACUAUAUAUAGAUACAUCAUAGCUAUAAUCUAUGCCAAGAACAUUUGCAUAUUGCGACUUGUCCCUUUUUUUUUUUUUGGAAACUCGACUUGUCGGUUUUUUUAGGUAAUGGAUACGGCUGCUUCUUUUCUAUUGCUAUUCUCACUGAGGAAAAGUACGAUAUGCGUUUCUUAGCUAUAAUCUUCGUGAUGCUUUGCACCAGAAGAAAAUUGAAACCCACAUAUUUGAGACAAGCAAUAAUAUCUACAUAGAUGACACAUGCCCUUCUAGAUGCCAUCAGGCUAAUUCCAACCCUAGCUUAUAAUCUAAAUUUCCACUUCUAUUCUCCCCCCAAACCCAACCCAACCCAAGUUAAAAGUGUGGCCUAAAACCUAAAACUCAAAUGAAUGCCAAAUACCGGCCCCUUUUUAGGCCAGAAAUUAGUGUGGGCCCCAUUAGUGAGAGUGAAAACUGAGUUGUGAAGCCCACAUGCCCAAAACAACUCGCCCAACGAGCCCAACGCUCUAGGUCGAAUCCUAGCGAGACCCCACCCAAUGGGCUUGUCCCUCGUGUGUCAGGGCGUGUUUUUGGCCUAACGGCUACUUUUGGUGAUCCAACGGCCAUAUUUAAAUGGCCUAGAUUCAAACUUUUAUUUUAGUUUUAUAUUUAUAUAUUUAUUGAAUCUAACAGCUGAGAUUGAAUAUAAUCAAAUCUAACGGUCCAAAUUUAAAUCCAACGGCUAAAAUAAUUAAAAAAAUUAUGUAACUCAAAAUUCACCAAAAAACUCUAUAAAUACCUAUGUAUUUGUUCAAACAUCCACACAAAACUCACUUUUCUCCUACAAUUCUUCCAAUUUUUCUUUCUACCAUUUCUUCCCAUUUCCAAAUUUUUCAAGAUGGCAAAAGAGCAUAUUAUAGGUCGUAAUUGGACCUGUGAGGAAGAUGUUACUUUAUGCUUGGCAUGAGUUUCUAUUAGCAAAGAUGGUGUCGUUGGCACGAAUCAAAAUAAAAAGGUUUUGUGGGGUAAAAUCAUUGAUAAGUUCCAUGAAAACUCCAACGCUAGCCGAAGGGAAGGUGGUGGUGUUUACGAUAGGUGGAAGGUUAUCAACAAAGCGUGCCCUUUAUGGAAGGGAAGCUUGGAGAGAGCCGUGGUUGACAUGACUAGUGGAAGGAGAGCCGCAUAAAUUGUGAGUUUCUUUGUUGAUAUUUUAUUUGUCAUGUACAUAAUAUUAUUUUGCAACUAAUUGUUUUUAUGUAGUUUUUGCAUAGGGUGACAAAGCAAUGACAAUUUACAAGACAAGAGUAACACCAAAAAAUCAACCUUUUUAAGUUGCAUCAUGCUUGGGACGUCCUCAAGGAUUGUCCAAGGUGGUGAACCGAUGCGGACUAACAAUGGGGAAGAUUAUUUCAACGUGAAGCCGCACCGAUAAAUGAUUUCAAUGAAGGUGUCGAUGAAUUGACCCCAACUUCUUCUUCUGCAAGGCCCUAGGGAAGAGAUAAGCAAAAGGAAGCAAAGAGAAAAUGAAAGUCCCAAGAUCCGAUUAGUGCACAAAUUGCUACUGGAUUUGCAAGAUUGACCGAAAAUCCAUGUGUCGUAAGACGCCACAGCCUCAAGCAUAAUGGUUGGCUUAUUGUGACGGCCAUGCUUGAAUUGGCCAGCCCAAAUAGUAAGACAAUUCUUCCAUUCCCAAUGCAUACAAUCGAGACUUCAUAUCAUGCUAGGGAAGCCUCUUUGUCUGCCUUGCGUAGAAGCCUAUUCAAAUAUUCACGAUUUGGCUUGCAGAGGUAUGUGGCUCCAUAUAUAGCUUUAAUUACCUUACAAAAGCGCUUGAGGUUCUCAAUAGAAGUACUUUCCGUGAGUUGACAAUAUUUGUCAGUUGAGUCUACAAAGCACCUAUUAGCUACCAUCCGAAUUGCAGAUGUGAGCUUCUGAUGAGGUGAUAGACUUUGUCGGCCUACAACAUCUAUCUUCCUUCCAAAGUAGUGGCCAUGAUUGACAAUUGCGUUCAAGAUGCUUUCAAAAAGCUCUCUCCUCAACCGAAACCGCCUCCGAAAAUCAUGAGAAGGAUAUCUCGGACAUUCGAUGAAAUAAUCUUUCAUCAUCCGGUCAUGACACUCUUCUCUAUCACGCUACACAAAUGAACGCCACGUGACAGAACCACAAUAGCCAAAUUCGACAUAGUGCUCAUAGUGCAUAAGCGAGUUUGCAAAUUCGACUUCUUCGUUGUUCAUUUCUGCAUCCGCAUUUGCAAGGCUUGCUUGGUAUUGUGACAUCUGCAUUGCCCAGCUACGUCUUCUUCUAUCACCGAUUAAUGAGAUAUUGAUGAUGUUGAGGAAACAAAAACACUUUGAAGGUUGGAAGAUUGGUGAAUAUGUUGUGUGAUGGUUAGAUAUUCAACCUAUGCUUAUAUAGAGGAUGAUUAAAUGUUUCCGUUUCAUGUGUGUAAGUCUCUGUUUCAUGCGUUUCAUGUGUUUUGUAUGUAUUUGGUAUGUGUUUCAUGUGUUUCAUAUGUGUCAUGUGUUUCAUAUGUUUGAUUUCGUGUGUGUCAUGUGUUUCACAUAUUUUGUGUGUUAUACAUCUCUAUCAUGUGUUUUGUAUGUGCUUCAUAUGUGUUUUAUGUGUCUUGUAUGUUUCAUGUAUUUUGUGUUUAUACAUCUCUAUCAUGAUUUUCAUAUUCUUCUAUAGUGUUUCAUGAGUUUCAUUCAAGAGGGCCAAACUUAUAUGAUAGAUGUGGAAGAAAGCAGAAAUGAGCAGGAUCUAAACAGUACAAAGGAUCAGUAAGAAAAAAAAUCAACCAUUUUUUUUUUUUUUUGUUUUAGAUUGAUCUAUACCAAUUAUGAAGAAAAAUAAUUAUGAGAAUUUUAAAUAUAAAAGAAUGAUGAAAAAUUAUAUUUAAGACGUGACACGUGGUGAGUUUUGAGUGAAUUGUAGUAUCAUUCAACAAAAUUCAAUGACAAACUAAACCCUACACAAAAUUUUCUCGUACAGGGGAACCGGCAAUCAUUCAUAAAAAUUAUUUUUCUUUUUUAACCAUAUAACAUGUUGGAGCAUUAAAUACUUGUUUUCUGUUAAUUUGUUUGACUUUGUUCUUUCUUACUUUUUCCACCGUCAUCUUUCGCACCGCUCCAUUCACAGCCAUCAAAUCCAGUAACCACCAUUGUUAUAUGAUGCCUCUCUCUCUCUCACCACCACCACGACCAAUCUAUCCCACCGUCACAUCUACCAUCAGCAUAGCAUCACCAACCGACACACCCCAACCACUCAACAAUAUAAUGGACGAACCCAAAAACCACCAAAUCCACCAUGAAUUUGACACUCCCCAAUCCCGAUAUUCCCUGAAUACCAUGAUAGGCACGUGUUGGCCGACCCCUGAGGGUGACGAAAGCCAUUUAUUGAGUGCAAAAGCUUAAAACAAGGGAUAGAUAAAACUUAUAAAUUUAAAAUAUAAUGAAUAUGCAUUUCAAGAACAUAUUCAGAACACACAACUCAACUAGAAUGCUUAAAUAAUUAAUAUAAAAUUGAAUAAACAAAGGAGUGGGUCCUACACCAAGAGGACAUGAAGAUGUUGAUGCGGAAGUGUCUUGACGCAAGGAUUGUAUGCCUCGAUUCUAAGUCCUGAAGGGGGCGCAAAACAAACAUGAGUGGACCAAGUUGAUAUAUAUAUAUAUAUAUAUAUAUAUAUAUAUAUAUAUAUAUAUAUAUAUAUAAUAAAACAGUUAUCAACAUACUAACCCCCAAGUUUUAUGAAAGCACAUAUAUAUAUAUAUAUAUAUCAUGAUAAACAUAGGUUUUCCAAAACCUAGCAUGCCGUGCAAUGUCUCAAAUCAUAACUUGUAUAUAUAAUAAUCACUAGUGAAUGUUCAAUAACCCCCAAGCCCAUGCCGGCUCCCCGUCUCUGAGCAAACAGUCAAAGAAAAUUACCCCCCAAGCCCCAUGCCGGUUCCCUAUCCCUGUUCUAAUAGCCAAAGGAAAAACACUUCAGGCCCUAUUCCAACACCAUAACCGUCACCCGGAACAGACCGGAAUCUAUCCCUUCGUCCCGUAGCGGAAUAAGGACCACUAGGUAAGUACAAAACCAUUGAAUAUAUAUAGGGUUGGAAAAAAUACCAAAAAUCCCAAACUGAACCGAAAAAUUCCCGAAACCGAACCGAAAAAUUCCCAAACCGAAAGUCCCGAAAAUUUCGGUACCCAAUACCGAACCGAUCCUGAAAUUUUGGUACGGGAAUCGAUCUCAAGUUUUCGGGAUUUCGGUAAUCCCGAACCGAACCGAAAUAUAUAUAUAUUAUUUAAUUUUUAAAUAUAUAUUUAGAAUUUUAAUAGCUGUUAGAUUUGGUAAGAUUUAAUCUCAACCGUUGAAUCUCAUCAAACCCACUGAAGAACAUAAACUAACUACUCUGUCACCUGAGUCACGAAUCACCUCAGUGAUCUUUGAUCUCUCUUUGAGUCUCUAUCGACUUCUCAUCCCUCACAGACAGUGGAGGAGCCUUUCUCUUUCGACGUCGACUGACUAUGCACCGAUUCUCUUCUCCCUAGAUCAGGUAAAUUUUAGAAUUAAUUUAGGGUUUGAAAUUCAAUUAGGGUUGGAAUUCUAGAUUAGGGUUUGUGAAAUUUAAUUUAGGGUUGGAAUUCUAGAUUAGGGUUUAGGGUUGAAAUUUAAUUUAGGGCUUGAAAUUUAAGGGUUGCAAUUUAGAUAUGACUCUUCUUCUAAAUCAUGGUGGCAGGAUAGCAGAGGGAAGGAGGUGGACCUCAACGUUUACAAAGGGAAGGUUGUCCUCGUUGUCAACGUUGGUUCCAAAUGGUUCUUCUUCUUCUUCAUCCCUUUUUCCUUUUCUUUUUCUUUUGUUUUUAUUUUCUGGUUUAAUUUCAAUUGAUUAAUUCUUGUAUUUUUGUUCUUUAGUGGGCUUACUGAUACGAAUUAUACCCAAUUAACUGAGCUUUACAACAAAUACAAGGAGAAAGGUUAAUUUUUUUUCCCUCUUUAAUUACUUUUUCCACCGCUAUAGCUCUAUAUGUAUGAACUUGUUAUUUGCUAAAUGUUAUGAUUCCAUUUUAAUUUCCAACUUUGGUGCGAAAUCUGUGUCUCAAAAUUGUUGGGAUAAUCAUUUUAGAAUUGAGAUUUGGGAUGAAGCUUUAAUCUUGAAUGAGGUUCUGGGAAAUAUUUCUGUUUUGUAAACCAAAUCCAAAUGUUAUAUUUUGUUUGUAUUUCUAGUUUCAAGUCCUUGUAGAAAUCUUUGCAUUGAAAUUGUUCGUGUGAAUAGAUAUGCCUCUUUAAUUGUGUUUCCUCUUUAUAAAUAUAUAUAUGAACAAACCCACAUCUAUUCUACACAGUGCACAGUGCACAGACCCAUUAUUAUAGCCCAAAAGCCCAAAUGCCCAGAUGCACAAAUGCCCAAAAGCCCAAAAUUAUUUCGGGAUUCCCGAUUUGUCCUGAAAUCCGGAAACUAUUUUGGGAUUCCUGAAAAUUUGGUUUGGGAUCGGUCUUGAAAUUAGGAAUCCCGAAAAUUUCGGUUUGGGAAUCGGGACAAGGGUUUCGGUUCGGUAUCCCAUACCGAACCAGCCCUACAUAUAUAUAUAUAUUGAAAAACAACUUCAUAGUAUAAAGUCAUCCAUCAUCUAUACUAUAAAGAGGUGUUCUAAACGUGUUCUAAAUAUUAUAUCGUCAUCUAUCAAAUAUUCUAUAAGAACACGGGUUAUAGGAAAAAUAGUAAUAAUUCAAACUAGCCUCAAUAAGCAUUUUAUCUCACAAAACGUUUCAUAAAACGUAAUCAUCAAAUCAUGCUUUUCAUGUAUGCAUUUCUACUAUUAAAACAUGCAUUUUUAGAAGGGGUCCACUCACAGAUACUUCGCCGCUGAGAGCCACGCAAAGUAGCGGAGACAGAACACCAUAAUAAAUUGCCCCUAAGCACAUAAAGGGUCCAAUUAAUAAAACUAUAUUAUAACAAUUGAAUUUGGGAAUACGAACUUCGGAAACGGAUUCAAGACGUCGAAUUACCCUAAGAAGGGUCCCAGUUAAAUUUCAUAAAAGUCAAUAUUCCCUAACAGAAUAUUCCCCAUAAAGGGGUUGGACCAGCUAGGGUUUAGGGUUUAGUAAGGACUUGGGCUAGGGUUAAAGGUUAAGUUAAUGGGUUAGGGCUUAAAGGGGUAAUGGGUUGGGCCGGUUAGGGUUUAAGGUUUAAAGGGAUUUGGGUUAGGGUUAUAGAAUUAAUGGGCUAAAGGGUUUCGGGUUGGCCACAAGGGCUGGUUCUAAGGGUUUGGGCUGAAGGGUUUUAGGGUUAAUGGGUUGGGGUUUCACGUGCCUUAGGCCCUUUUUGUACGACCCAAAUAGGCCUCAACUCACUAGGUCUUUGGGCUAGAAAGCCCAGCCCAAAUUCAAAACAUGGGUCGCCGAACCCAAAGGAAGAAGAAGGCCGGAUUUCAGCUGAAAUUUUAGACAAAAUUUAAACAUUCAUAACUUUGUCAAUACUCAAUGAAAUUGAGUAAAACAAAAAAUGAAAGUUGUAGUUCUCGACGAGACAAAGAUAAUGGUACCUCGCACGACAUCUAACUCGCCAUGGUUUGGCCGGAAAACGCCUCGAAAGCCUCAGAGGUCGUCAGAAACUGGGUAAGAUUCAAAUGGAUAUAACUUCUUCAUUACUCAACGAAAUAGGGUGAUUCAAAAAGGAAAGUUGUAGUUCUCAGCGAGACAAAGAGAUUGAUACCUUGCACGCUGACCAAAUCGAUGUGGUUUGGCUGGAAAUUGGCUCGAAAGCCGUUGGUUUCUCGUCGGAAACUAGAUUUGAGUUUCCAGGGACAUUUCCUGCACCAAACGUCUCAGAAAAACUAGAAAUACUACCCAAAGUAUGAUCCAAGAAGUUUUAGGUGAUUCUCAGGACUUACCAUCAUCAGAAAUCCAAAAACUCGCCAGAGAAGGAGAUGCACAAUGGCAACGCCACGACACCACGAGAACGGGGAGGUUUUGGGUGUGCUCCAACCUUGCUCCAAGUUUCGUGGAUCACAUUGGAAGGUUUAGGUGGGGGUGGAUGAAGUGGUGACUGUCAAUGGGUGCGCGUGUGUGCUGAUUCUAGGGGAGGGAAGGAGAGAGUUGCACAGAAAGUGAGAGAAAUGACUCACGAGUCCAAAGGAAAAAAAGAAGAAAGGAGGACAGGUAGGGGAGACCAAAAAGGAAAGAGGGUUCCACGGGCACACACAUUAAGACCCAAAAAUAAUUUUUUAAAUAAAAACUCAAAACUAUUUUUAAAAAGGGUUUUUAUCACAAAUGGUAUCUGAAAUUGACCAAUCCAAUCAAAAUGGUCCUUGAAAUUGAAAAUCAAUCAAUGUAGUCCUUGCAAAUCAAUGUAGUCCUUCCGUCAUAAUUCAGUUAAAAUUUUUAAGUGCUAAGGUAGCACAUAAAUGGGUCCCACAAAUUUAAUUAAAUAUUAUUAUGUGAAUAAAAAAUAUUUAAAUAAUAAAAACAAUUGUUAUUUUUUAUAAUUAAAAUAUUAAAAAAAAAGAAGAAGAAGGAGAUGAUCGGACACUGUACAUCAUCUUUUUCCCCUCCUAUUCACAGAAAUGAUGAAAUUGGAAGGAGAAAUCCCAAGCUCCUAGUCUGACCAUCUGCGUUCGCUUUCGAAGCCAUUUUACACCUGAAAUAAUUCCCACACUAACUAAUUGCCACAAAAAACGAAAUCCAAAAAAAAAAAAAAAAAACUCUCUAAUUACAAUAAAAAGCACAAAACUUGAGUUUUUUGUUUCCCAAAUGAGAUCCAACAAAGAUUAGAGCUUUACUGUGCUGAGGUUCAGAUUAAAUUUAUCAAACACCAAAGAUCAAUCUCUAAUUAACGCAAAAGGAAAAAGUGAGCAAAGGGUCGACAUCUAUCCAACGUAUCAGAGGAAAAAGAAGGGGAAAAAGCAAAAGAAAAAAGAGAAAAUCUUCACUUUUUUUCAAGAUUCGAAUGAUGAGGGUGAGAAAUUGAUAUUAUCAGAGAGAGAGAGAGAGAGAGAGAGUGGAGGUGGAGGAUUCACUAGUGGCGAUGGAGACGCGACCCAAAGCCUUUGAAAAAACCUCAAAGAGCUUUAAAAUCUGGUGACUUAGGGCGAUGAGAUCCUUUUCUGAAUUGUGGAUUUAUGAGUUUGUUGUGACUUUCAUAUGGGAAACUGGAUUUUGUCCUUCCAAUUUCAUCAUUUCUGUGAAUAUUUCUAUGAAAAGGAGGGUUCAAUCAUCUCCUUAUUCUCUUUUUUUUAUUAAAAUUUUAAUUAUAAAAAGUAACAAUUGUUUUUUAUUAUUUAAAUAUUUUUUAUUCACAUAAUAAUAUUUAAUUAAAUUUGCGGGAUCCAUUUAUGUGCCACAUCAGCACUUAACAAAAAUUUUAACGGAAUUGUGACGGAAGAACUACAUUGAUUUGCAACAACCAUUUUCAGAGACUACAUUGAUUGAUUUUCAAUUUCAUCUUGAUUGGGUGAGUCAAUUUCAGGAACCAUUUGUGAUAAAAACCCUUUUAAAAAUCGGGGGUUGGGUGUAACAGAAUUAAUGACCUCAACAUCUAGGAGAAAACCCUGUUGGAGCUGUUUUAUAUGGAAAGACUUCUCUGAUUUUAGAAUUUAAGAUCCAAAUUUUUAGUUUUAUUAUAUCAUUAAAUUAGGGAAAAUUGAAAGAGAGCAUUUUUCUUCCACGACACAAGAUAUGGUAAGUUUCGAUGGAAUCGGAGGUUGUUGAGGCCGUUCGUGGUGAAAGAAUCAAGAUGUUGAGUUCGAGAAUAACGAAAAAAGAGGACGUGUCAUUUGGUUUUAACCUUGGGCUUGGUGUUAGCAAAGGGUUAAAAUAGAAAAUAAACGUACACCUAAAUUAUAUUCGGAUUUUUAAGUGAUAUUUGAAAGAAAAUUUUAAUGUUGUAGUAUUAUCAAAUACUUGUUAGGUGAUUAGUCUCUGUCUCUGCAAAUUUUUAAUUUUUGUCCUCAGCUGGUGUGUUUGUAACUUUAUGCACUUACUCAACAAGAACUAGUACAAUUUCAAUUUUUCUGUACUAAAUCUGAUCUAGUCUCAAAUGCAAGAAUAGUUCAGAUUCUCUUUCUGCUCUCUGUAAUAAAAUACUCUCGCUUCGAUUGCUUCAUUCUCUUCUCUAACAGAUAGAGGGAUGGAGCUGAUUGGGUUCAUUCAAGUUUUCAACAUCGUCAUCAUCGCCAUUGGGACUCUGUUGUACAUGUGCUGCAGAUCAUUGACAUUUUCUUCCUCGACUUCUUCUUCUUCUGGUGCAGCUGACGUUGAUGCUGCUGUUGAUGAUGAUAACAACGAUGAUGUUGAUAUGCCUCCUCUUCGAGAAAAGUAUGAUGUGUUUAUUAGUUUCAGAGUGCUUUGGACAAAAUUUUCAUUUAAUUAAGCACAUUUGAAAGAAAAUUUUAAAGUAGUAGCAUUAUCAAAUACUUGUUAGGUGACUAAUCCUUAUCUCUCCAAUUUUAUUUUUAUUUUUGUCCUCCCUGGCGAGUUUGUAACUUUGUGCAUAUACUCAAUAAGUAGUAGACCUUGCAUUUGUGUCGUGUUUUUUGUGGUCAUAUCUUUUUCAUGACAUACUUGAUAUCUUAAUGGGUCGUGUUAUAUAACACCUGUGAAAAUGAACGGAUAUAUGACCCAAACCAAACUCGACCCCUUAAUAUUAACAAGUAAUAUGACUCAACUCGUUAGCCGUUAAAGAAAAUAUAUUAAAAAUCAAUAAAUAAUCAAAUGAAAAACAUAAUACUAAAUUAGUAUCUACAUACCACAUUGUGACAUAAAUAUUACUUCAAUACAUAAAACACAUUUGUCUUUCAAGUAUUACAUAUCUGAAAAUAAGAGUUUUUUAAUUAAUGUAAAAGUGUGAAAAAUAUACAAAUGUUGAUAAUGAUAAGCUUUACAACUUUUUGUGAAGAAGUCAACUAUGGAAUUCGCCACUAUAAUCUCAUAAAUCAUAGAUUUAAAUUUAACCAUUGAUUGCCGUUUAGAUUUCCAUUCCAGUCUUCUCACCGAAAUUCAUUUUUUCAUAUUUUCUUUUUUGGAAACAUGAUCAUUUUGCGGAUAUAGGAAGAUGAGCAGUUCGGAUCGUUAAUAUCACAUUCAGAUUUAUAACGUUAGUGAAAUUCAUUGCUCGGAGUUUAUAAAGUUUCUAGAAACUAUAUUAUAUCGACUCAUAUUUCAGUUAAUGGUAAACACGGGAACGUGAUAUCAAAGACUCAAACCGUUUAUUUUUCUGCAUCCUCUAAAAGAUCACGUUUUUACAAAUAAUAAUAAUAAUAAUCUUAAAAAAGAAGUCCAGUGAAAAGAAUAAAAUGUAAACGAUAAUUGAUGGUUAAAUAUAACUCUAAGGUUUAUGGAUUAUGAUGUUGGAUUUCGAAGUUGACCCUUUUACAAAAGUUGUAAAGCUUGUCGACUGAUUUAAUAUUUCUUUUUACAUUUUGUUUCUCCACUGAAAGUGCUUUAGCGAUUUCGUCUUUUUAUUUAUUUUUAUUUCGUCUAAUCUUUAAUAAUUUUUCUAGAUGGCCGUUUGUACGUAUAUUUUAUUAAAAUGAGCUUUAACGAAAAACUUUUGAUACUGUUUACUUUAAUGAAAAACUGCAUUUUUACUCUAAAAAGUCAAUCUUGGUACUAUUCACUUACAACACUUUUUUGUGAUCUUCGUUAAAAUUCAAAGUUUUCAAACCAUUUUCAUUAGUUUUCCUUUUAUUAAAAGAUGCCUUACCGAGAGUGCUUUGGACAAAUUUCUAUUAAGCAUAUUUAACAGAAAAUUUUAAAGUAGCACCAUUAUCAAAAAAUUUUUAGGUGACUAAUCCCUAUCUCUCCAAAUUUUUAAUUUUUGUCCUCACUGUCGUGUUUGUAACUUAGUGCACAUACUCGAUAAAAACUAGGAAACUUCAUCGCAUCAGGAGGAGGUGGGAUUCAUUAUUAAUUUCACCUUUCUAUAUUCCUCAACUAGGGAUAUAUUAUAACCUUUUCUUCCGUUUGAAUGCACACAAUUUCUAUGCUGAAUGUGCUGGACCGUUGUUUGUACAUAUAUUUUAUUGAAACAUGACUUACAAAGAGUGCUUUGGACAUAAUUUUCUUUUAAUUAAGCAUAUUUAAAAGAAAAUUUUAAAGUAGUAGCAUUAUCAAAUACUUGUUAGGUGACUAGUCCUUGUCUCUCCAAAUUUUUAAUUUUUGUCCUCCUGGAGUGUUUGUAACUUUGUGCAGACUCGAUAAGAAGUAGUACAAUUUCAAUUUUUGUGUACUAAAAUCUGAUCUAGUCUCAAGUGCAAUUAUAGUUCAGAUUCGCUCUCUGCUCUCCGUAAUCAAAUACUCGCUUUGAUCACUUCAUUCUCUUCUCUGAGGGAUAGAGAGAUGGAGUUGAUUGGGUUCAUUCAAGUUUUCAACAUCAUCGUCAUCGCCAUCGGGACUCUGUUGUACAUGCGCUGCAGAUCAUUAACAUUUGGUUCCUCGACUUCUUCUUCUAAUGCUACUGAUGUUGAUACUGUUAAUGUUGGUGUUGCUGAUGUUGCUGAUGCUGAUGUUGUUGGUGCUACUGCAGUUGCUGCUGCUGAGGCUACUGCAGUUGCUGCUGCUGAGGCUGCUGAUGUUGCUUCUAAUGUUGUUGUUGUUGAUGUUGUUGAUGAUAAUGAUGGUGAUGUUGAUAUCCCCAUUAUUCGAGAUAAGUAUGAUGUGUUUAUUAGUUUCAGAGGCGAGGACACCCGCAAAAAUUUUACCAGCCAUCUUCAUACUGCCUUACUUCGCUAUAAAAUCGAAGCCUACAUAGACUACAGGCUGAAGAUAGGAGACGAAAUAGGACGCACCCUACUAGAAGCAAUCGAGAAAUCAAGACUUUCGGUGAUCAUUUUCUCCAAAAACUAUGCGUAUUCCACAUGGUGUUUGAUUGAACUUGUGCAUAUACUCAAAUGCAGAAAUAAAUAUAAACAGAUGGUUGUGCCCAUUUUUUACGACAUCAAUCCAUCAGAUGUGCGAAAACAAGAGGGGAGUUAUAAAGAUGCAUUUGCUGGACUUGAAAAACGUUUCCAGGACAGUAUGGAUAAGGUGAUCGAGUGGAAAGCUGCUUUGGUGGAAGCAACCGGUCUAUGUGGGGCAGAUUAUUCAAACACAAAGGGGUAAGUAACAUUAUGUUGGACGAAGGAAUUAAACUUAAAUUUUGACAAAAAUCAGAAUUUAUAAAUUGACAUGUAUUAAUUUCCUUGUUUGGAUUCAUAAAUAUAGAAACUUAUAAUUUUCGCAUGGAAAAAAAGCUUAGGAUUUGGAACCUCUAAUUCUCAAGUUUAAAGAGUAUCAUUUUCCAAUUUCUAUGAAUAAGAGUUUAAAAAUAACAAAUACCGUAUUAAAUUACGUUGUCCUUAACUUUGUAACUUGUACCAAUUUCUACUUGUGACUAUUUCUUUUCAAGAAACAAUAUUCAUUAUAUAGACUUCAACAAUCUGAUUUAGGUAAGGUUUGGUACUUCCAUAUCUAAUUAUUGGGUUAAAAUUAAAAAAAAAUUAUAUCAAAAAAUUUAGGUUCUAACUUAAAAAUAAUUUUUCUCUUCCAAUCCUUCUAGAUUAAAUUUUUUAUCCGAGAUUAUUAAAAAAUAAAUUUAAGGUAAUUGUUUUUUAAAUCAACUUUAAAAAACAAUUAUGCAUAAUUAUUAUAAUUUAAUUUUAUGAACAUUUUAAUCUAAAAAUAUUUAGAUUCUAAUUAAUAUUGAAAAUCACUAAACCAACCUCUAAUCGUGCCUUUUCACUCACGGAGAAAGCUCUUACACAACUGAGCAUACACAUUUUGCCAAUUCCUAACAACUUUAACUAAUUAGCUAUUAAGUACUAAUUAAACCCCUAAUUAAGAAGUAAUGUUAUUCAUACCAUGUUUUUAUAUCAUAUUUCUAUAUCAUUUUAGAUGGCAUCUGACAUGGACAACUACAUCAUUUGAAAAAUUUGCAAAACCCAAGGAAAUGAAGGAGAAAGACUCAUCGUAUACCACAAUCAUCAUUUAAUUAACUGAUUUUUUUUUAAUUAUUAGUUUAUUAAAUAAUUAACAAAAUUAAAAAAUCUGAGUAAUUCAAAUAAUGUGGCUGUCACAUCAAAUACUACUUAAGAUGAUAUAAAAAUGUGGUAUAAAAACAUGGUAGGAAUAUUAUUACUCCUAAUUAAGUGAUUAAGCUGCUUGCUUAUUACAAUCAUAUCAAGACCUGAAAUUCCAACCCCCGAAUUCCUCGCGCGGCCCUGAAAUUUCGACCCCUGAAAUUCUUCCACUCAUUCCUCUCCCUCUCCCUGCAAAGAUUAUUGCACGCCUUCCUGCAAAAAAAAAAAAAAAAAAAAAAAAAACCCACAUAUAUUUCGCCCAAAUUCUUCAGAAUUACACCAAAAUUUCACUGCACCUGUUCAGUUCGGCCAGAUGCGCAUCGGACCAUGCCUGCACCACCCCCUCCUUUCUCUCUCCCUCUCCCUGCGAAUAUUGUUGCACGACCCAUAAACUUUCUGGCAGAGGCUGAGCACCUUCAGCGGCGUGUGCGUGUACCGGAACUGUAGCGUACCAGAGGGGCAGAGAUUGAGUGGGCCAAGUUGGGGAUUGGGGUUAGGGUUUGGAGAGACACAGAAAAUGGGGUGUUUGGUCGUCGAGAAAGUGUGGAGAUUUUGACCGCGAAAAUUGUGAAAUAUACAAGAUAAAAAUUAUUAAAUAGUCAGCAAUUAAAGAUUAGGUUCUCUAUAUUAGUAUAUUACAAAAUGUUGAAUAAACCCUCACAUUAAAAUUUAAUAUUAAAUUAUUUAUUUACCAUACUAUGCAAUGAAAAUUUUGACUUUAUUAGGUUAAAAAAAAUCUAAAUAUACCCCAAAUCAUUUUUAACAUAUUAUUUAUCUUCUUUAACUAUAAAAAUCCUUUCGACCCUGCAUUGUUGAACAAAAUUCAAACUGAUGAAACUACAAACAUGUUAAUUGAGAAAAAAAAAUUGUGACGAAUGAAACACGAAAUCGAUUUUUUGGAAGCUUCAAAUGAUGUAAGACUUCAUAUUUUUUAUUGUUUUAGUGAUUUUGACGAUAUCGAUAAUUAUUUAAUCUUGUUUUGUUGCGUUAUUCAAAUUUCUAUGUUCGUAUUCAUCUUUUAGGAAUCACAGAUAUUACACGAAGAAUUAAACACCUAAAAUUACCACCAAAUAUUAAAAAUAGACGACAUGAGUUUUAAUGGUGGAAUUGAAAACAAUCCAUAUAUGUUUUAAAUCCCAGGCGGCAUCUUUUGUCAAAAUUUCAAUCAGCAUUUUUUGUCCAAAUUAAAAGCUUUAUAAAAUUUGAGAAAUGUGGAGUGUAUAGAAAAUAUGGGGUGCAUGUAAGAAAUGUAAGGUCUAUAUUGAGAAUGUGAGGUGUGAGGGUGUUAUGGGAAAGUAUGUGAGGUGUAUUAAGAUAAGAGUGAUGAUAUUCCCACCCCGGUGUCUUAUUUCCUCACCCACCAUUUAAUGAAAAUGUUAAUAACAUAUUUAUCCUUUUAAAAGAAGACUCUUAAAUCCCUAUUUAAUUCAGUAUUAUAAUAAUAAAUAAAUAAUGGUGGGUGGGGUGUGAUAUCUUUGGUGGAAAGAGGUUGGGAAAGAUUUGGGUUAGAAUCGACGAAAAGGUUGGAGGAAGGAAUGGGCGUGUGCUAGAUGAGGGCAAGAAACUUCAAUAGAGAAAAAGGAGAAUUGGGUGUGAAAUCUACGGUUUUGACAAAAAAAGGAGGAAGAAGAGUGGUUUGGGGAUCCAGGGUUUUUGCGGCAUUAGGUGUGAAGGAGAUGAUGAAUGUCUAGGUCUUAGGUCUUGCAUUUUCUUUCAUUUUUUAUAUUUUUAUUUAUUUAUUUAUAAUAUUAUUUAAAGAUAUAUUAGAGUUAUUUAAAAACAAAAAUAUUAUGGUUAUUUUGGGAAUAAUGGUAGGUGGGGAAAUAACAUUUUACUUUUUUAAUUUUCUAUGGUGGGUGGGAUUAUCAUGUGGAUGGGAAAAUAGGACACUGGGGUGGGUCUAGUAGCACUCUAAGAUAAUUAUUCAUUGAAAAAUGGGGUGUAUUAAGUAUGUGAGGUUUAUUUAACAAUUUGUGGAGUGUUAAUAUAAUAAGCCUAAAGAUUAUAAAUAAAAAAUAAAAAAAAUUAUUAUUAUACAACUAUUUAUUCUUAUAUAAAAGUACAACAAAAACACAACAAUACCAAACUAGCUUUUAAAGAAACCUUACAGACUAGUGAAGCAUUGCUUACUAUAGAUUGCUUGUCAUUCAUAAUCAUAUUUUGCAGGACGGAUGCCGAUUUCAUUGAGAAAGUUGUGGAAGAUAUUUCAACGAAAUUGAAACGUGAAAUCUCAGAUGAUUUAACCGGCCUAAUUGGAAUUGAAAGCCGCAUCAAAGAAGUUGAAUCGCUAUUAAGCAUUAAUGAUUGGAAAGGUGUUUGCACUGUAGGCAUUUGGGGCAUGGGUGGUGUUGGAAAGACCACCCUUGCUAAUGCUGUGUUCAAGAGACUCUUUUUUAACUUCGAAUCUUGUUGUCUUCUUAAAAAUGUUAGGGAGAAAUCAGAGCAAACAGAUGGAAUCGAUCAAUUGAAGAAAACAUUUCUUAAGGAGAUCUUAAAGGAAGAAAAUCCCUUCAUAGAUUCGACUUCUGUUCAACAAAAGCUCAGGCGUACAAAGGUUCUCAUUGUUUUUGAUGAUGUCACUGAUUCAAAGCAAAUAAAAGAUGUAGUUGGACCUAGUCCUCGCUACGGCGAUGGAAGUAAAAUCAUCGUAACAAGUAGAACGGAGCGUACUCAGGAAAGCUGUUGGAGAUAACAAACAUAUCUAUCAGCUUGAGAAAUUAAAAACUGAUGACGCUCUUCGGCUCUUUCAAUUUCAUGCUCUCAAUGAUAACUCUCCUAGAGAAGAAUAUACAGACUUGUCAGCACGGGUGGUAGAAUAUGCUGGAGGCAUUCCACUGGCUCUUGAAAUUUUGGGUUCCUUAUUCUUUGAAUGUGAGAGCAAAGACGAGUGGGAAAAUGCAUUGAGCACACUGAGAAAUAAUCCCAAUGAAAAAAUUCAAAAUACGUUCAGAGUAAGCUAUGAUCGAUUAGGAAGAAAUGCGCAGGAGGUAUUUCUUGAUAUAGCAUGCUUUCAUAAAGGGGAUCAUAUUGAGGAUGUAAAAAAGAUAGUAGGCUUUGGCCAAAUGCAUGGUGGUUUAUGUGCGACAGAUGGAAUUAGAGUUCUCCGUGAUAGGUCUCUCAUAUCGAUUGAUUCGGAACGGGAAACCAUAGAUAUGCAUGAUUUGGUACAAGAAAUGGGUUGGGAAAUUGUUCGCGAACAAUGUGUUGAAGAGCCCGGAAGACGCAGUCGGCUAUUCAUUGAGGAGGAUGUUUAUCAUGUGUUGAAAAAUAACACGGUAAGAGCCACAAUUGCAUUCACAAUUUUUUUUAAAUAAUAAAGAAAAGAAAUAGAUCAAUAAAAUACUGUGUACUUCCUAUGAGAAGACAGCUAGAGAAAACUCAUGUACAAAAAAAAGAAAAGAAAAAAAAAGUCAUAUUCCUACAAAUGUAGUUAAGAUUAAAUUUUGUUGUGCGUUAGUGUGUUCACAUUUGUACUUUGCUGUUGGUUGUCAGGGAACUGAAAAGGUUCAAGCCAUAUUCUUUAACGGAGAGCAAAUCUUGGAUCGUGCAGACUUCAAAAGAAUGUAUAAUAUGAGAUUGCUCGGUGUUGGUUCUUGGGGGUGGGGGGGCAAAAUAUUAAACAGUAAAACUCUCUUUCUUCUUCCCAAUUCUCUUCGUUAUCUUUUCUGGGUGGCAUAUCCUUUGAAAUCUUUGCCCCCAGAAUUUUCUCUUGAAAAUCUUGUUGAGCUUCAUAUGCCCGAUAGCGAAGUCACGCAACUUUGGGAUGGAGGCCAGGUAUAUGUUAUUGUUAUAGUUUUUUUUUUUUUUUUGUCUAAGAUGUAGUGUAGAAACUUAUUUAGAUUAAGUUGUUAAUUCUUACAUUUUCUCUUUAAUUUGUUACAGAAUCCUGGGAACUUAAAAGUGAUCCAACUUUGUAACUGCAAACAUCUAACUGCACUUCCAAAUCUCUUGGGGAGUCCAAAUAUCGAGCACAUGGAUCUUUUUGGAUGUGAAAGUUUGGUUGAAAUUCCUCAGUAUUUUAAAAAUCUUGACAAACUCACUUAUCUUGAUCUUUCAAGGUGCUGCUGUCUCAAGCAUCUUCCAGAGAUGCCAGACAAUAUUGAAUUCUUAAAAUUACAAGGCAGUGGCAUAAAGGAGUUGCCGUCAUCAGUUUGGUCUCAUGAAAAAAUUUCUUCCUUGGAUAUUACAAAUUGAAGAACUUAAGGAACUUCCAAGCAACACUUGCAAGCUGAAAGUCUCUGGUGCUUUUAGUCUAUAUGGCUGCUGCUCUCUUGAAAAGGUUUGGGAGCUUCCCAGGGGUAUUGGUGAAUUAGAUUUUUCAAGAACAAAAAUAGAAGUAUUGCCCAUGUCAUCAAUGGAGCGUCUCUUUUGUCUCACCAAACUUAAACUAAAGAAUUGCACAAAUCUUGUGAGCCUCCCACGGAGCAUUUGUAAGUUGAAAUCUCUUGAGGAACUUGAUCUCACUGAUUGCUAUGAACUUAAAGUUGUCCCAAGUUGCAUCUACAAAUUAACAAAUAUCAAAACGCUCAGCUUUAAUUACUGUUGGAAACUCCGAAAUUUUCCUCAGCCGACUGGCUCAGUUGGUUUUCCCUCUCUUGAAAUACUAAAUCUCAAAGACAGCGGUAUAUUAGAAAUCCCUGAGGGCGUCAUUUGUUCAACCUCAUUACGGGAUCUUAAUCUGAGCAGAACCAAAAUUCGGAGCAUACCCUCAAGCAUUAAACAAGCUGCUCAGCUGUCUUGCCUGUGCUUAAUCAAGUGCGAGAAACUUCGAUCUUUACCAGAGCUCCCAAUGCCCAGUCGUCUUCAAGCAAAUGGCUGCAAGUCACUGAAGACAGUGUCGAGUUCAAGGACAGCAAUUACACAAUGUUGGAAUAGAUAUGAAUUGCUUCGAGAGCAACUUAACUUUUCUAAUUGCGGAAGGUUGGGUUAUGAUGCAAGGAGCAACAUAAUGGUUGAUGCACAGCUUAGAAUCAUGCGAGUGGCAACUGCGUCUUCAAAGUUAGAGGAGGAAGAUUACGUAUGUUUCUCAACUGCAGACGAAGAUUACUUAUCUCUCUAUCGCUCUGUCUAUAUCAAAAUGGAAGAUUACGUAUGUUUCUCAACUGCAUCUUCAAAUUUAAAAGAAGAGUGUGCCUCUCUCUCUCUCUCUCCCUCUCCCUCUCCCCCCCCUUCUCUCUCUCUCUCUCUCUCUCUCUCUCUCUCUCUCUCUCUCUCUGUUAAGUAACAAGAUGUCAAUAAAUGUUGCAGGAAAAGUACUCUGGGCCCUUAGUUACCAUUGUAUGUCCGGGAGAUGAAAUUCCAAAUUGGUUCGUACAUCAAAAUGAGGGGGCUUCAAUAAAUGUCAGGCUUCCUGCAAAUUGGUUUCGUGAAGGUUUCUUGGGUUUCGCUCUCUCUGUUGUUGCAUCCCAACUCUUUGCUUCAGAUGUGAAGUUUGAAUGCAAGUACAAUUUCAAAACUGGAGAGGGGGAAAGUCAUGAAAUCAAUUGUUAUUUCAAUUUAGAAAUUAACGAUGAAGGAAUUUGUCAUUACUCAUAUCUACAACAUGUGUUCGUACUGUAUAAAGACCUUGAAUAUGAAGAGAGAACAAAAUGGUCCUCUGCUUUUUACGACUGCGUCACUGAGGUCUCUGUUCACUUCUGGCAAGAAAAGGGAUUCAAGACAGUGGAAAAGUGUGGCAUGUGCCUGUUGUAUGCUGAAGAUGCUGAGAAAUUAAAAUGUGAUGUCAUGUCGCGACAAGAACAAGAUGAGCAUGCAGCAAGUGGGAGUGGUGAUCCUGAAGCCAGUGGAAGCAAUGAAUCUGAGGAAGCAAGUGGAAGCGAUGAUUCUGAGGGUGAAAGUGGAAGCGACAAGGAAGCAAAACAAAACGAAGAGUCUGGGGAAGCAAGUGGAAGAGAUGAGUCUGGGCAAGCAAGUGGAAGUAACGAGCCAGAUGCAAGUCGAAGUGAUUAGUCUGUUGUUAGUUUAGGGCUCUCCUAAACUUCAAUGUAAAAAAUAAUUUAACAAUAAAAAAUUGAGUAGUUCAUCCAGUAUUCAACCACAAUUCUAUGUUAAACGUGUGAAAUAUAUUAAAAUUGUCUACAUCUAUCUCAAAAUCUAUUUACAUCCUAAUUAAGGAAAGAGUAAGAGAUGAGAAAUUUCAUACCGACUAGCAGUCCUUGUUUAAGAAAUAUAAAGUAUUCAUUGAGCUCUACAAAUAUAACUAAUACCUGCGCCAUAAUAGACCACCUAUCAAUUAAGAUUGUUAUACAAACCAAAGAAUUCAGUUGAUUCAAAAAUCGAAAGCCCAUAACAAAAUUUAUCUAAUAUAUUAAGACAAAAACAAAACCCAAACAGAUACCUUCUAGCAUUUCCUUUAGAGAAAAUUUUCUCAAAAGAGAAAACAAUAAAAUCAUUGACAAAUAGAUACAACAAAGAUAAAAUUCAUUGGAACUCCUGUUGAAAAAAAUAAUAAGCAACAUUUACGGAAGAAAAAUUCAACGAUAUUGAGAAAAUUACUUAACCUUCUUUGUCAUUGAUAAUUAUAUUGACAAAAUUUGAUAUAGAAUCAACGAUAUUGAGAAAAGAGAAAAGUGCAAGGCCUUUGAGCUUGUUUUUAAUUUCCUCAUAAACAUACGAACAUAAAGAAAGAAAAAAAUGAGUGCAAAUAAAACAUUUUGAAAUACGAUUUUCUUUGAUCAUAUUCACAUCUUUCAUUUUAAGAACUUACCUCUGAAAAUGCCAAUCUAUCAGCAACAUCAUUUGUGCACUCAAAAAGCCUUAUUACCUGAAAGCAAAAGGCACUUUUAAAAACCCUGGACCUUGGUUAUAAUGAAGGUGAGGCACAGUAGGAGCUGGCCUUAAGUUCAGUUGCAGAGUAUAAAAAUUUGAGGAAGAAAGAACAAUGAAGGGCCUCUGGUGGUAAACAUUCUCGCUCACCUCUUGGGUUGUCCAAGCGCAAGCGCCAGCAAAUGCGAGAAGCUUCCCAUUGACUUUCUCAUUUCUUAAACCUAUAAAGGUCAGAGGAGCCACAUCCUAAUACCAAAAAUAAAAAGUGUUCAGAAACCAUAACGAGAGGUAAACAAAAAGAAAGUAGCUCUAAAAUCAACCAGGGAAACGGUCAAAGCAUGAUUAAACUGGGUGUCCAUGUAUGCAAUUCUUGUGGGGGCAUCUGUUCCCCAUACUGAUUUCUCUUCUAAUAUAGGCACUGCAAUACUGCAUACCGUCCAAUAAUUCCCUGAGAAUAAAACGUAAAGAUAAGCCCUUUCACUUAGUAGCUAGUACAAACAUCAAAAUAGAUAUUCCAUCUCACAACGAAACACAAGAAACUGUAAUGAGAGAAGGAUAUCUAGCAUACAUAAUUAUUGAUUGUUUUAUGAAAUCAUGUCCUUGGAAAGAUUCCUUUCCGAACAUAUGAUCAUUCUCCACGCAUAUGCAUACCUCUUCAGGGUGUGUGUGUGCUUAGAUGCAUGCCUGUGUUUUGAAUGAUUUUUACACGUGCAACUUCUUAUAACUCUGACUGGUUUAAUUGUUGUUUCUGAUAAAGAAAGUAAAUGGGGGUUGGAGGAGUGCUAUAUGAGAAUAAGAAUAAUAAGAAGAUACGGAAAUUAAUUUGAAACAUCAAGCUGACAGUGAAGCACAAAUCUGGAUAUGCAAGUAACAAUAUAGUAAGAGAGGAAGUUUAAGUUUAAGUGAAACCUAUUUUUUAUUUGAACAAGGAAUAACAUAAAGCCCGAUACUGUAAAGCAAGCAGGAAGCUAAAAUUAGACAACGAACAAACAGUAGCACUCCAAUGUCUUAUAAAAUUUAUAAAAAUUUAUAAGAGUUAGUGAAUUGGAAUUACAUUGACAACAGUAGCACGCCAAUCUCUUAGAAAAUCGGCAGGAGUUGGUCUCAGCCUAACCAAGCACCUAACAUCAUGUCCCUCAUCAAGUGCUCUCCUCACAAUCUGCCUCCCCAGAGUCUCGGUGGCGCCGACAACCAGUAUGCUGGAGGGUCUGACGGGUGUCCCCCGAGCAAGAUUCACAGCCCCAGCUCCCGCCCUGGCCGUACAUUUCAUGAAACGCCACGUAUUGGUCCCUGCACACACAAAUCAAAAAUUGAAAAUUCAGUUCUUUUCAAAUUUGAAUAUAAAUAAUGGGUUCUUUUCAAGUUUGUAAACAAAAAUAUGGGUUUUUUUGCGAUUUGUGAAUAAAAGUGGAAAAAUGAAAGCUUUCCUGUUGAAGGGAGGAGACGAAUGAGUGGCGGUAGAGGUGGAAGGAGAUGACGAAGGAAAGAGAUGGUCUGGAGCUAAAGUCCGGCACCAUGAGAGUGAUGCUUGGAACUAUGGCGUUUCGGAGUCACGGUGAUGGAGGGUAGGAUGCCUCCAAGCCAUUGCCAUUUUCAAAGCUUUCUCUCUAUCUGUCACCGUAUGGAGUCUGGAAGGACUCUUUCAUUUUACAGAGAGAGAGGAGGGGGGGGGGAUGGAACGAACGGGAAAUGGAUUCUCUCCUAAGCAUCUGCUCAGGAUCCUACUGACCCAUACACAAGGGUCGUUGGAUUUUCAUCCAACGGUUACAAACAGAAGAACUCUUUUAAGCGACUGACCCAUACACAAGGGUUGUUAGAUUUUCAAUCAACAUGUGUUGGUCAGUAGGAUCCUGAGUAGAUGCUCAGGAGAGAAUCUUUCCAAACGAUUGAGCUCAGUGUUGCCAGGUCAUUCUCCAAGUGGACAGAUUUUCUGCCACUUGUCGCUGCUCAUUUCUGUCAUACGACCCGACCCGGCCCUGGCAUAUUCAAGGCCACUUUGGGCCGAUUUCCAAACGAAGCCCAAUUAGUCGAGACAAAGGAAGGAUGUGAAAAUUUGAAGAAAACGAUUCUUUACAAGAGUUGAGUUGAUUUGAUCAAAUUUAAAUUCCUUGCAUUGCAAAUGGUUGUCCAUUGAGCAAGUUGAAUCGUUAUUAAGCAUUAAUGAUUGGAAAGGUAUUUGCACCGGUGGUAUUGGAAAGACCACCAUCCACGGCCAUAUAUAAUCAAACAUAAAUCGCAUAUAUGUAGGUGUAGGCAUGGUAUUAAAUAUCGAUAAUAUCGGCGAUAUUUCGCCGAUAUUAUCGUUUUUCAGAGGCUCCGAUAUUUUCCCACAUAUCCGUCUCAUUAUCGUCAAAAUAUCGCGAUAUUUUCGAUAUUAUCGAAAGUCAUCGUGGAUCCGUCGUCGGAAAGGCAGUCGAGGCUGCGUCGUCCCCCCAGCUGCCGAGAUCUCUCUGCAAUCCAUGCUCAAACCCAAUAUCUGCGCCUCAACGACGCCGAUUCCCCCGCCGUUGUCGAAGUCGCGGCGAAAGAGCUCGCAGAACGGAUUGAAGUAGCUCUUGGGUUGAAGCAGGCGUAGAUCCACAACUCCAGAACGGAUCGAGCUCGCAGUUGUAAAUCCACAACUCGUGGUCUGUCCCCACGGCGAAGCGGGCGUGGUCUUGGGUUGAAGCAGACGUGGAACAAAGACGGAGGCGAGCGCGGCGCCAGCGGGGUAGUCUCCGGUGGGAGGAGGAGAAUGGGUGGUUGUUGUGGAGGUUGAGGUUGGGGUUUGGGGGCGAUUGGGGGUCGUGGUGGUCGUCGCUGAAGUCAACGACAGAGGUGGGGUUGUUUUCGGUGGGAUCGGUGAGGAAGGCGGAGAAGGAUCAAGAGAACUCAGAGUUCUUGGGUUCGCCGACGAGGCGGAAUACGCGGACGAGGAGGAAGGCAAGGGAGGAGGAGAAUGCCAUGUGGAAGAAGGAUCGAGAAAGGUCUAUGUGCGUGUGUAUGGGAGAAGGGAGAAGAGAGAAGGAUCGAGAAUUCGAGAGAUCUAUUGAUCUGUGUGUGUGUUUGUGGGAGAAGGGAGAGGGAGAAUAGAGAAGGAUCUAGAGACAAGUCGUGUGUGCGUGUGUGGUGUGCGUGUGUGGUGGCGUGUGUGAUCCCUCUGUGUGUGUGUGUGUGUGUCGGUGGCGUGUGUGUGUAGGUGGUGUGUGACGGUGUGAGAAAAGAAAAGCAUGGUAAAUAAUUCAACUUUUACAUCUUUUAGGAAUGGUACAAUGUAUAAAGUGUAAAAUAUUGUACUAAUUCAUUAUAUAUAAAUGAUUAUGGUGUGUUUAAACGUUUUUCAUUAAUUACUACAUAUUUUCUACACUCACAAUGUUUGCCAGCUCGCUAUAUAAUCAACUUGAUAAUGUUAAAUCCAUCAUGCAAUGCAUUUCCUUCUAAUUUUUUAUGAUAAACUAAUAGAUAAUUGACUAAAUAAACAUCCUGCAAAAUUUCAAUAAAAAUUUCCAAGUUUUUCUUACAAUUUCCGUGGUUUCCAUGUAAUUUUUAUCGAUAUCGAUAUUAUCCCGAUAUUUCCAUCGAUAUUUCCGAUAUUUUCUUCCUUGUGUGUAGGUAGCGUUGUGUUUAUGGAUUUUAUUCAAUAUGGGAAUCGCAAAAGCAUGAGUUUUCCCCCUUCCAAUUUGAGCGCAAUUGAUCAUAUCCCGCUCUUGUAUUGCUGGUUCCACACACAGCCUCUAUACCCAAAAUCCACCCCCCCCCCCCCCAAAAAAAAUUAAUACGUAGUCCUUAUACAAAAUCAACCAACAAAUGAAAAAGAAAAAAACCAUUUUUUUCAAUCAUUUUCUCAUCAACCAAAUGGAGCACAGAUUGGGAAAUGAUUAAUCACCAGCAUGGGGAACAACUUGCUGAUACCAUUCAUGACCACAGCCUGCACAAUCUCAAAGUUCCUCAUAAUUCAUUUUUCUUUUACAAUUUACUGGACAAAUGCAGAAUUUGAAUGAAUUGUUGUCAUUAGAUUAUCUUCAAAGGAAAUGUCAAAUUAUAAAAGUUAAAUUACAAUUGAUGCUUGAUGUGGCAAUCUAAAGUCUUAUAUCAAAUUUUGUGUUUUUCCAACCGAAUUGUCAUAUAUUAUUUUAUUAUUUAAAUAGAGCUUUAAAUGGUUGUAAUUUAAAAAAAAAUGUUGAAAUAAAAUUUUUAUUAGCUGAAAUGUUAGUGGAAUAAGGGACCCACCAUUAAUAUGAAUUAAAAAUAAAUUUAACAUUAAUGUCAAAUUUGACUCCAAAUUACAAAGCAUUCAAAUCUAGUAAGCAAAUAACACUUCGGUUGGAGAGACUUUUGAUGUCAAAUAUGCACAGUGGCAUUCCACCUAGGAUUUUGACAUCUCCUUUGGAGAUGCUCUAACAUAAACAAAUGCAAAAUUUGGAUGUUGUAACUCCAAUGGAAGAUCAGGCUACAAAUUCAAAACAUAAAAACGCAAAUUAAACACAAAAUUCAAAAUUAGCAAUGCAAAAAUCCAAAUUAAACACAAAAUUAAAUUGCUUUAAGAGACAUAAGCUUAGGAACACAAAAACCUGAAACUUUUCGAAAGUGCAUAAAGAGAGAGAAAAUACAACUUGGAGUAAAGUUCGGAAUUUUACCAAAGGGGUUUCUGAGGAGGCAUAAAGAGGAGGAGAUCGGCAAGAGAGAACUUGAGAGCGGUGGUGGUUUAGUUUUAUAAAAACUUUCAAAUACAUCCAAAAUAUCACUUAAAUAGACACAAAUACACUUAAACUUUAAAACCAAAUAAAUUAAAAAACCAAAACCCUAUUAGAUGAAAAUUUAUGGCGGCAAAACCUAAGAAAUGGUGGAGACGUAAUGAAGGCAUCGGCUAUUGGUGGAGACUUGUAUAGCCCUAAACAAAGGUGAGUGUAGAUGGUUGAUUUUUUGCAUUUUUCCUCAUCUACAUUUUCUCUUUGCUUUUAUAGUUUUUUUUCCUUUGAUUGAAUAUUUAUUGAAAAACGAAUUGUCAAUCUUUGUAACGUUAUUUAUCUCAAUCCUUUGAAUUAUAUGUGAUUCAUAUUUAGUUUUCCGCACUUUUUUAAUUAUAAAUGGUGUUGUCCGUGUUCAGAUUCUGUUUUGAAGGUUAUUAUUGACUAUGUAGUGAAUCAAGAGACUGUUGUUCUUAGAAAGCGCAAAAAGCAUAAUUUUUUUUUUCAAAUGAUAGAAUUUUGUUAGAUUAGCUACUGACAGGAUUUGAAUUCACGUCAUCAUGCAAGGGCUCAACACCUUUGCACCACUGUUGUAAAGGGCCACUUGCAAAAAGCAUAAUUUUAAGGUUUACAGAUUAAAACUUCUUAUUAGAAAAAUUAGGUUCCUUGUGUGAAUGGAAGAUUGACAAAUCUAAUAGCAUUUGCCAAUCAGUUAGAGACAAAGCUAAUAAAAAUUCUUUUGGUGCAUAUUAGAAAAAUUAGGUUUAAGAAAUAGAAAGUUUUCGUUCUUUGUGUUUUUAUUCUUCUUAUCUUGGUUUGGAAAUUAUCAAUUAAUUGUACUAAUAAUCUGGGCAAUAUUAAAUUAAUUUUUUUCAAUGCGUAUGUCACUUUUUUCUUUUCUUAUUGUUAUGCUCUUCCAGGAAGAUGUCUAGUUUGACAAUUUUAGUGAACUAUGGUAGGAGGUGGGCUGACAAAAUUGCAAAACAAAAGAUUAAUUGUUUCAGAUAAAAUUACAUUUGCGGAGCUUCAGAAGAAAGUACAUGGUAUUGUGAAUGUGGACCCAGACGAGUAUGAGAUAAGUAUGAAAGUCAUAUAUAACACAACAGAAACUACAUAGCAUGCAUAUAUAGUUGAUGAUGAUGUCGUGAGGGCAUUUAUCUUUGAAAACCUUUCGAGGUCUUGGAAGAUUUCAUUGUGUGUUACAUUAAAGCAGAAAGUAUUUUCUUUCGAAGACUGUAAAACUAAGAGACCCCGUGGUGAGUCUGAAGGAAGCGGAAGUGAUACUUUUAGCUCUUAUGAGGAAGAAGAUGACCCUUCUUCAGAGAAUUCAAAAGAAAUCAAAACUGGAGGUGCAAGAAGAAGAUGAUCCUUCUUCAGAGAAUUCAAAAGAAAUCAAAACUGGAGGUGCAAGAUCAACUAUGUUCAUAGAGAAAAAAAACUUGUGGUAAUUGAGUUUCUAUGUUUUCUAACAAAGGUUUAGGGUUUAGCCAAUGCUCUUGCUAGCUUGGGGUCUCUCAUGUGGUUGUUUUUCUUAUUUUAUGCAUGCUGCCUCCCAUGUACCUGGAGGUGCAAAAUCAACCAUGUUUAUAAAGAGUAAAUUAUAUGGUCUCUCUCUCGUAGAUGUACACUCUAUUCUUAUGGCUCAUUUCGUGAGUAUUAUACAUUGGAAUCAGUUGAAUUGCAAAAUUGAUAUAAGUCAAGGUAUGAGGGAAGACCGAGAGUCCAUGACAAAUAAUUUUUCAUUUGAAGGGGGUUUAGAAGGGAUUAACCAUGAAGGAAAUUAUCCCUCUGUUGACCCUAAAAACUACAAAAUCUACAUAGCGUGCAGGCCAAAUAAUUAAUAAACAAACUACGUCCUUCGGUUGUGUACGGGGCGUGCCAACUCGUCGGGCGAGUUUGACCGGGGAGUAAAAUAUGUUGAUGAGGCGUUUGAGCGCACUAUUGACUUCUUGAUCUCGCGACUGCAACCGAGAAAGGAUUACGUCUCGGACUUCAGGUUUUAGAGCAUGAAGACAAGGUUGCUAUUUCUGCGAAGUUCACAAAUUGCCGACUGCGGGUUCAAUCUCAGUAAUUAUAUUCGUGAGAGUAUAAGUACGCCGAACUAGCACCAGACUUUACGAACACAAAUACUCGAAAGAAAUAAAUGUCUUGAUGGUAAAUGUGGUUCGACUGUCAGAAUGCUGAACUCUAAAAUGUACCUGCGAAUAUCCAAUCAUAAAGUAAAAUUCGGCUUUCAUUGUGCCGAGCUUAGUAACUUGGUAACACCUCACUUCGUCGAGAAAGCUGAUGAGAUGACGUCUACCAACAAGGACUUGAAAAUCCUUGUCGACCUAGACUUGGAUAAUAAUCAGUUGGCCUUGAAGCAGUGAUGUUUAUCCAAACUGAAAGUGCCCCUUAGUCGGCUGAUUCUACGGCUCUAGUGUUAUUUAUCCAAACUGAAGAUGUCGCCGGUUGCCUUCACAGUGUUCUCUAUCCAAAUUGAAGAUAUGUUGGCAAGAAGAAAGGGGAAGAUGAUAAAAUCUCAAGGUUGCUGAGAAGCUUUGCGCACGGUAAUUUAUGUGUUGAUUUGAAUGGGCCUUGAAUGAUGCACUCCCUUCUCUAUUUAUAGUAGCGAAUCCCUUUCAUGGCCAAACUAGAAAUGUACUCGGAUUAGAAUUCCUCAACCCAAUCUAAUUAGGUUUCGGCCAAUCCUAGCUUCAAUAGGACUUUGAACCAAGCUCCAUAACGAACCAGAUGCAUCCCAUUCUCCUUGUUGCACUAGGGUUCGACUACCUCACCGUUAUUUAAACCAAUCAUUCACGCAAUAGGAUUCGGCCAACCUUGACUGGAUGGUCCAUAACAAGAUUCUAAACGAAUGCUACUGGGCCGAGAAUGACUCUAAGGUCGGCCCAAAAUAUCAUUUUUGGCCUAAACACCCUCCUAAUCCUAGCAUUUUGUCAGGAUUGAAAGAGAUAAAUAAAAAAUCGUGAUUUUUUUCUUCAAACACUUUUUUGUGUGCGUGGAAAUUAUUUAGGGCUUGUUUGACAAAUGAUUUUAAACGACUGAAAGCGCUUUUGGAUAAAACGUUUUGAAACCAAACCUUAGAAAAAAAAUACAAGUUAAUUCUAGAAAAGCAUUUGAAGUGUUUCCAACAAGAAGCACAUUAUUACUCGAUAUCGAUUCCCUGUUAGAUAUCUAGUAUGCAUGUUGUCCAAAUUUUCAUCAUAUAAAAUGUAAACUCUCCUUAUCACUCGUUUCGUGCGUAUGAUACAUUGGAAUCGGUUGAAUUGCAGAAUUCAUAUAAUUCCAGGUAUGAGGGAAGACUGAGAGCCGGAGACAAAUAAUUCUCAUUUGUAGGGGAUUACAAGGGAUUGGCCAUGAAAGGAAUUAACCCCUCCUAAUCUUAGCAUUUUGUGGGGAUUGAAAGAGAUAAGCAGCAAAUCGUUAUUUUUUCAAGACACUCCCUUUUUGGUGUGGAUGGAAGUUAUUUAGGGCUCGUUUGACAUGAGUUUUUAAACAAUUGAAAACGCUUUUUAAUACAAUGAUUUUGAAAUCAAACUUUAGUAAAAAUACAAGUUAAUUCUAGAAAAGUAUUUGAAGUGCUUCCAACAAGAAGCAUAUAACUAGUGCUUUUAGAAUUCAAAAAUAUUUUCUCUAAAAAUGCUUUCAGUCAUUUAAAAACACUUGCCAAAUGAGCCAUUACACAUCACAUUUCGGAAACUACUUCCAAAAUAACAAAUAUAGGCCAAGAAAACAAUUAGAGUAAAAAAUAAAUUUAUAAAGUUGAUAAGAAAUACUAAAUUAGAAUUUCUUUGAGCCCUCAAUCUCUGAGUGGAGGGGGCUUCCAAACUUUGAACGACGACGUAAUUAAGUUGUGAUGGUGAUGCAUGAUGAUGAGGAUGGAGUUUGGCUACAUGUCGCAACUCUUAUCACUAUACCAUUUAGUAUUACAAUUUAAAAUACAACUUCAUUUGUAAAUAAAAAAGAUCUUACUUUAAUUAAAUUAAAUUUGAAUUAUAUUAUUACUAAUUCAUUAUAAGAUUAAAAUCACAAUUUCCGUAGAUAAUAUUGUCUCUUCUAAAAAAAAAAAAACAAAACUCUUUUCAUUAUAUCAUUUUAGUUGGGACCCGACCCGACCCGCCCGACCCGUCCCAUUCCAGUUAUGGGUUGUUUGGUGUAGAAUGGGUGAGCAAGCCAUACAAGACAUUUGGUUCCAAGUUUGGUCAAAUCUCUGCAUACAUUUCCUCUUCCCGGAAAGUGGAAAUUAAGGUAAUCCCUCUGCAACUUUCAACUUCUUAAUAAUUUCCUGAGGCUGAGGUGCAGUUCAUCCUUCCUUAAUUACAUUUGUCUCUUACUUAGCAUUUAAUCUCUCUGCAAUUUGUAACUUUUUAUUUACGCUCCGACAGUUCUGUAUGACAACACAAUCUCUUGUUGUAUCUUUAAUAUAGUAAAAAAGAUGGUAAAUUUCUGGUUUAAGAUCCGGAGAGGAUCUUCGUUGUAAUUUAUUUCGGUUAUUGAAAAGAAAAAAUGGUAAAAUCAAUAUGUAUUAUGUAUGAAUUUGGCAAAAAUGAGCUUGGUUAUGGUGAAAGUAUGAUGCUUUGACUUGUGGGUUUGCAGUUUAUGAAUGAUAUGGCUGAUUCUUCUUCUGCUUCGGAUAUCAUCUAUCAAGAAAAAUAUGAUGUGUUUCUUAGUUUCAGAGGUGUUGACACCCGCGAUACUUUCACCAGCCAUCUCUAUUCCGCUUUAGUUCGGAAGAAAAUUGAGACCUACAUUGAUUACAAGCUUGAGAGUGGUGAUAAAAUUGCACCUAACCUUCUAGAAGCAAUCGAAAAAUCAAAGCUUUCGGUCAUCAUUUUCUCGAAAAACUAUGCUUCUUCCACAUGGUGUUUGGAGGAACUUGCGCAUAUACUAGAAUGCAAGGAUAGAUACGGACAGAUUGUUGUACCCAUUUUUUACGGCAUAGAUCCAUCCCAUGUACGAAAACAGCAGGGGAGUUAUGGAGAUGCAUUUGCUCAACUUGAACAACGUUUCAAGGACAGUAUGGACAAGGUGCUCAAGUGGAGGGCUGCUUUGACGGAUGCAGCCGAUAUCUCUGGGUUUGAUGCCUCAAACAAAACAGGGUAACUAACUAUCUAACUUGUAUCAAUUUCUACUACAAUAAUUGUUAAGGCAUACUAAAUACAUACUGUUUGUGCUGCACAAUCAUAUUUUCCAGGACAGAGGCCGAUUUUGUUGAGAAAGUUGCCCAAGAUGUUUUGAGCAAAUUGAACCACAAAUCGUCAAGCAACUUAAAGGGCCUGGUCGGAAUUGAAAUCCAAAUUGAGCAAAUUGAAUCAUUAUUAUGCAUUGAUUCACCAGAUGUUUGCACUGUGGGUAUUUGGGGAAUGGGUGGUAUUGGCAAGACUACCCUUGCUGAAGCUGUUUUUCACCGACUCACUUCUAAAUUUGAGGCUUCAUGUUUUCUUCCAAAUGUGAGGGAGGAGUCAGAAAGACAUGGACUAAAGCACUUGCGGAAUGUACUUCUUCGUGAGAUACUAAACGAAAAAGAUCUAAAUAUUGACACUCCAUCUAUAGGACGAAGUUUUGUUCGAGAAAGGCUCAGCCGUACAAAGGUACUCAUUGUUCUUGACGAUGUGAAUGAUUCAAGCCAAUUGGAACUUCUAGUUGGUGAUGAUAUUCAGUUUGGUUGCGGAAGUCGAAUCAUUAUAACAACUAGAGACAGACGACUACUUAAGAAAAUGGCUGAUGCUGACAAGAUAUUCAAGGUUGAGGGAUUAAGGUGUGAUGAAGCUCUUCAGCUCUUUCAUUUGCACGCUUUCAAAAAUGACUCUAUGGGGUCAUAUUAUACAGAGUUGUCAAGAAUGGUGGUCGAUUAUGCCGGAGGCAUACCACUAGCUCUUAUAAUUUUGGGCUCCUUAUUCCUUCACUGUGAGAGCAAACAAGACUGGGAAGAUCAAUUGAACGAGUUGAAAAAGUUUCCCAACCGUAAAAUUCAGAAUGUGUUGAGACUAAGUUACGAUGGAUUAGAAAAAAAUGCAAAGGAGAUAUUUCUUGAUAUAGCAUGUUUUUACAAAGGGAUGGAUAUACGUCUUGCAAAAGAAAUGUUAGAUAUUCGUGGUUUUUUUGCAGGAGGUAUUAAAGUUCUCGUUGAUAAGUCUCUCAUUUCAAUUUCAGAGAUGAACUGCCUAGAAAUGCAUGAUUUACUACAAGAAAUGGGACUGGAAAUGGUUCGUGAGCAGUGUAUUGAGGAGCCCGGAAAACGCAGUAGGUUAUUCAUUAAGGAGGAUGUCUCUCAUGUGUUGAAGAAUAAUACAGUAAGAGCCAAAUGCAUUCAUUUUCUUUUUCUAUAAAAAAAAAAAAGAAAAAAAAAUCUUGAAUUCUAUGAAAGACACCAAGAAGUAACUCAUUUAUGAUUAAAAAAAAAAUCAGAAUAUUUUGUUGUCUACUGCAUCCUCGUUUAUACUUCUGGUCUUUUGUUUGUCAGGGAACUGCAACAGUUGAAUGCAUAUUCUUUAAUAUGUCUAAGAUUAAAGAGCUACACUUGAAUCCCGCAGCCUUCAAAAAGAUGUAUAAUCUGAGAGUGCUGGAGAUCUAUAAUUCUUCUAGCUUGGACAAUAAGUGCAGCAAAUUGUACGUUCCUGAAGGUCUUCAGUCUCUUCCCGAUACGCUUAGUUAUCUUCACUGGGAGGGAUACCCUUUGAAAUAUUUUCCAUCAAAAUUUUCUCCUCAAAAUCUCGUUAACAUUCAAAUGGCCCACAGUCAAGUCGAACAGCUUUGGAGUAAAGGCCAGGUAUAUUCUUAUUUUAGUUCUUGUCAAAAACUUAGUGUGGAAUUAUCUGGCUUUGUUAUGCAUUCUUGUCAUUCCUCUUUUCUUUCUACAGAAACUUGCGAAUUUAAAAGUGAUCGAUUUUAGCUUCUCCAAACACCUGACUGAAAUUCCAGAUCUCUCCCUGAGUCGCAAAAUUGAACAUAUAAAUCUUGGUUGCUGUAAAAGUUUGGUUGAAAUUCCUUCGUAUUUUCAAUAUCUUGACAAACUUAGUUUUCUUGGGCUGAGAGGAUGCUCGAAUCUCAAAUAUCUUCCGGAGUUGCCAAUCAGCAUUAAAACCUUAUAUUUGUCAGAGACUGCAAUAAAGGAAUUGCCUUCAUCAGUUUGGUCAAACGAAAAUCUUUCUCACCUGGAUAUCGAAUUUUGUAAAGAUCUUGAGAAUCUUCCAAGCUGCAGUUGCAAGCUGAAAUUCCCCUUUCGGUUUAGUAUAGAGGGCUGCUCAUCACUUCGCAAGGUUUGGGAACUUCCUAGGGAUAUACAAGAGUUAUUUUUGAAUGGGACAGCAAUAGAAACAUUGCCUUCAUCAAUUGAGUGUCUCUUUGGUCUUACUGAAAUUGGACUGAAAGAUUGCAAAAGUCUCGUCAGUCUCCCUACGAGCAUAUGUAAGUUGAAAUGUCUUGAGGGACUUGAUCUCACUGGUUGCUCUAAAUUUGAAUGCUUCCCAGAAAUUUUGGAGCCUAUGGAACAUCUGAAGUUUCUUUCAUUAAAGGGAACAGCAGUUAAAGAGCUACCUUCAUCAAUCGAAUUUCUCUCUCAUCUCCUAAUCAUUGACUUGAAAAAUUGCCAAAGAUUCAUGAGUCUCCCGAAGAGCAUUUGUAAGUUGAAAUCCCUUUGGAAGCUUAACCUGAAAGAGUGCUGUAGAUUCAACUGUUUCCCUGAAAUCUUGGAGCCUAUGGAACGUCUAGAGUUUCUUAGUUUAAGAAGGACAGCAGUUAAAGAGCUGCCCUCAUCAAUCGAAAAUCUAAUUGGGCUUGAAACAUUAGAUCUCCGUCUGUGCAAGAAGCUUGAGUUUGUCCCAAGCAGCAUCUACAAUUUAAACUGUCUUAGAACUCUCAGUUUUGAUGGCUGUUCUAAACUUAAAAAAUUGCCUUCAUCCUCAUUUGGCUUUAACGAUUUGGAAGAAGCAACUCUCAGUUAUUCCGGUAUAUUAGAAAUCCCUGAUCGCCUCGUUUGCUUAACCUCAUUACGAGGAUUAGAUCUAAGAGGAACCAUGGUUAAGUGGAUACCAGCAAGCAUCAAACAAGCUUCUCGGCUGUCUUGCCUGUUGUUAAAUAAUUGCAAAAGCCUUCAAUCUUUACCCGAGCUCCCAGGGGUACGUUGGCUGGAAGCACAUGGUUGCACUUCUCUGGGGAAAGUGUCAAGUUUAAGGACUCAACUUGUACAAGGUCGUGAUGAUUAUGAACAUGGAGUUUAUGGUAGGAUCCCCGAGAAACUUAUAUUUUCUGGUUGCUUGAAAUUGGAUGAGAAUGCGCGGAACAGCAUAAUGGACGACGCACAUCUUCGAAUUUUGCGAAUGGCGGCGUCACACAAUGUGGAAUCGUUGGAUGGAAAUUCUUUAGUUACCAUUGUAUGUCCAGGAAAUGAAAUUCCUAAUUGGUUCGGAGCUCAAAAUGAGGGAUCUUCGAUAAAUAUCAGUCUUCCUCCAAAUUGUUUUGGGUCAGACUUCUUGGGCUUCGUUUUCUCUCUUCUUGUUGAUUUUGACAACUAUAUGUUGAACAAGGAUUGGAGUUCGGAUGUAAAUCCACACUCAAAGGGAAUAGUGGUAAAAGCCAUGAAUUUAGCUGUCGUUUGUGUGAUCGACUGUGGGGUGAAACCCAAGGUGAAGAAAGCAACGGCUACAAUUUCAAUUCGGACCACGUGUUUGUGUGGUAUAAUACAUUUGACCUUGUGGGGGGAGCACAAUGCUCUACUGCUCUUCACAAUGGUGUCACUGAGGCAUCUGUUGAGUUCUACCCCAAAGAUCAUCAUGACAGACCACUUAACUCAUACACAGUGAAGGUAAAAAGGUGUGGUGUCCGCCUGUUGUAUGCUGAAGAUACUAAGUAAUCUGAUGUCGCGUGACGGAGCUAAGAGUAGCGGAAGAUACUAAAAGUCUGAGAAGUUGUGAUGAGUCUGAAGCAAGCGGAAGUGAUACUUUGAGUCCUUGUAAGAAACAAGGGGAUGACCAGUACCCGAAAGGGAACAAAACUCGAGGUGCAAGAUCAACUAUGCUCGAUUGUAGAGAAAAAACUAUUGUAGACUUGGUAGUCUAAUUUAAAAACUGUGGUAGUCUUUCUUGUUUUGUGCUUUCUGCUCUCCCAUGUACUGAAAGAAAUAAAACAAAUCAUUCCCGUCCGAAAUUCGAUUGUAAUGCGAUUUAAGAUACGUAUUCUACAUCAAACAUUUCAUGAAAUUAGUUGAAAUACCAAAUAGCGUAUAAAUUGGAUUUUUUUUUUCUCCAUUGAAAAAGUACGGUCUUCUUCUAUAGAGCACACGUCAAGCUGGAAGACUGAGAAUUUUGCGAAGAGAAAAACAAUGAGCAAAAUGUUCGAAAACCGUGCGAAAGGGCCUCGUUAUGUUGUCAUGAUAAUUUUAAAUUUGUGCAGUUUUGUUGAGUUGCCACCAGAUAGUCAGAGUUGGAUGGCUUGAAUUCCUUGGAAGUUUCCUUUCUAUUUUUUUAAUUUUAGUUUUAAGUUUAAUUAUUUUUGGUUGUUAACGUCUGGUGAUUUUCCUACAUUGUUCUUGUGCAAAUAGUCACUACAAAUGUUAAAACAUAAAGGGAUCUCUGCAACUGUUUUCUAGCUCUCAUGCUUAAUUUCGUCGUGAUCAGUGCAACGUCUUCUUAAUUAGGUUGUUUUGGUCGUAAUAUUUUGCAACUUCUAUCUUGGUCUGGACUCCGGAGGUAAUCCAACUGAAUUUUGCUGUUGCAUAAAUUAUCUGUCGAAAGAUCACUCAUUUCUUAUUCAUAUACAGCCAAUUUGCAUGUUUUGACUUGUAGGUGUGCAGGUUGUGGAUAGGGAGGUAUGGCUUCAUCUUCUUCUUCUUCUCCUCCUUCUGGACCCUCUCGUCGCGAGAAGUAUGAUGUAUUUAUUAGUUUCAGAGGUGAGGACUGUUUGUGUUAAAACUUAAACUUUGGGCUAAGAAGGCAGUUGGCCCAAAUAGAGAAAGAAAAGCCCGAAGCUCAGCCCAAAACCCAGAAGGCAGAGAAGGCCUUUCCCGACUAGAUGCAGAUCAUUGGCACCACUUGCUCACCUACCCAAGGGCCAAGUGGUAUAGACCAGCCAGCUAAUCAGCCCAAAAAGUACUUUAUAAUGGCAGUACAAGUCAAUAGCUGAUGAGUCACUAUCCUUCAAACUGCAUUCGGGCAAGAUUAUUGCUACAGGAGGCCAAGCCAAGGUGUCUAUAAAAGGAGAAAGAGAAGUCAGAAUCAAGGACACUCAAACAAACAAAUACAAGCACAAACUCUGCUCAAAGCCAGAUUUGCCUUCAAAACGAAGCUGUAGUCAGCCCAAGCCUUCAUCCCCUUCGGGAUAAACCCUUUGUAAUAGCUCUGCUACCCUGUUAAACUCUUGCUGUAGUAUCGAUCUCUUUUCUGUAAAAUCACCUCCCAACCCUUUUUCUAAGUUUUCAAACCUUCUGAUAAACCACAAAGAUAGGAAGUUGCAAGACGAUCAGCCUUGCCUGACAAGUUGUAUCCAAGUUAUUUCUAGUAAUAUGGCUAUUAAAAGACUCUUUCAGCAUUUGAAUCCGAUUUGAAUGUCUUCACAGUUCAAGCCAGAUCCAAGUUCUAAGCCUUCGGGUAUAAGAUUUGAUCAUUCUAAAAAGUCCUUGGCCUCAAGGCAUAAAAAAGAACCUGAUGUGGACUUAACUCAUCCACUACAAGCUUUGAUAACAAGAAGUCCGAAGUUAAUUGGGGCGCAAGUAAUCGACCUGUCAUUUAGUUUUAUUGCUGUUAUAUUAUGAUUACCAUAUAGCGUUCGAGUACGGGAUGAGUUCUGAUGGGAAGCCUCAAGGCCUAUUCAAGGCCCCACAAAGGCACCUAUUUGGAUUCACCCUAUUUCUCGGGCAAGAACAUUGAGUAUAGAAGGGGUUCUCAUGGGAAGCCUCAAGACCUAUUCAAGGCCCCACAAAGGCACCUAUUUGGAUUCAUUCUGCUCUUUGAGCUCAGGUAAUCAGAAGUAUGAUGGUUAUAAGACCCAUAUAACCCACAAAAGGAAUCUUAUGUGUUCGAGUACUAAGUUAGUUAUUUAUGGGAAGCCUCAAGGCCUACACCUAAGGCCCAACAAAGGCACCUGUCAAUAACUAACAUAGUUUCGCGAAUAUAUAUAAUUAAACUCAAACAUCCGUUCUACAUCUGCCAUGCUGAAGAUGGCAGUGGGACGCCUGAGCACUUAAAGGUUAAUCCUGAUUGUGAGCCUCAAGGCCUACACCUAAGGCCUCACAAAGGCACCUUUCAAAGUUAACUCUGUCCUUCUCUUUCAGCCUUGCCCGACAAGCCCACCAGUAAAGCAGAAGCUCGACAGAAAGCAUCAACCGGCGCCAACCUCUCGGGGAGCUGUGUGCUCGUCGGACAGGAAGCAUCCCCCACUGAAAUUCCCGCCACGAACAUAGUUUUGGCACGCCCAGUGGGAUUUAUCAUUGAUCAAAGCAAUAUGUCAAAGGGAUCAGAAGAUUUUCAAACUGCUUUAUUGCACAUGCUACAAAAACUGGAGAACACAUCCGCAGGCUCCAAAAAAGAAGAUGAUCCGGUUUUAAGACCACCUAUUCCUACGUCUUUACCUCCCUUCGAGGAGAAAGAUGAUGGGGAGAAUAAGGGAUUUGAAACCAACCAACUAGAAGAAGCUGCCUUGACGGAUAAACAUACGGAUCCCUUCUCAAAGGCCCCUAUAAAUAUGAUCAGUAUGGCCUGGGCAGAGAAGAGGAAAGAGAAGGUCACAAGAGAAGAAGAAAGAAGACUGGUUGACAAACCCAUAAAGGGGUGGUUAACUUGUCUGAAUAUCCAAGAGCUGCAUAUUCAAAGGAAGGGUGAUGUGCAGUAAGUGCCAUUGCGAGUGUGAACUCGAAAUACCGCCCACGGGAGCUUUCAUAGAUCAUGAACUAAUCAGGAGGAAUGAAGAACAAAAGAGAAAAGAGGCACAAGAGAAAGCUUGGUGGACUGCAGGAAGGGAUACCUCCCGAAGUGUCUUUCAACGGUUAGGAGGUGAUUCCCAACCAAGGGCUUUAUCAGAAAUAUUUCGUAACCAUAAAGUUUCUGAGGAAGCAGAGGAUAAAGAUGCCAAGAAACCGAAAGAAAGAAGUACAGGGCACUCUCAGUACAGCCAUAUGGGAAGAGAGGUCAAGAGGAAUGACAGGAUAACAAACCCUGUUACAAAGGAUAAUCCUGCCCGCCUCGGGCGAAAAUGGUAUGUGGUCGGGAAGAAUGGACAGCCCGUUAAGAAGAUGGGAGCCUUCAUGGUCAGAAGAGUUCAGAAGCAACACAAAGCCUACAUGAAUUCCUUGAAAUCCCCAGCAACAUCGGAAGCAUCCAAAAAUCAAAAGUUGAAGAAAACAUCAUCUAGGGGGAGUAGUCAGCUUCACUGGAGAAGUAAGAAGGAGAUGGAAAAGGCUAACAGCAAGACUGAAGGCGAAGGAAACCAUGUGCCACAAAGCCUACACCCUGGAAAAUAUAGAAUCUUGAGGAGAGCCCAAGAAUAUGGUUAUGGUGCCAACUCCCGGAUGGAAGACGGAACAGCCUAUCUGUUUUGGCACAGUCUCACCUGAAAGAAAACAACCUUCUCUAUCACUAGAGGAUCCCCUCGGGGAAGUUCCAAAACAAACACCAUGUUCAGGUGUGAAUCAACUGAAGGGGGCACCAGAACCACUGCUUCCACCAGAUGCUAUGGCGUGGUUGGAUGAGUUCAUGGACCAAAUUGGGAGCAAAAAAGAAGAACUGCCAGAGCCUAGCAACUUUCAUGUAAACAUGGCGUAUGUGCUGUUUGCCAUGUUUGUUGCCCAACCAAAUCAACCCGCCGCCAUGGAAGGAGGUUAUGUAAUAACUGAGCCGAUGAUGGCUCAUGUCAGUGUAGAGGCAGCGGAAGAAGGAGAGUUGGGAAAUACUGCAUCAUCUGCAGCAUUCAAAGAAGGUCCUUUAAGGAUCUAUACAGACAAAAUGGUGUUAAACCGCCCGAACAUUUCACUUGCCAAUCAUCUGAAGCCCAUAUAUGUAACAGCUCAUUUGGAGGGGGUGCCCUUCAAAAGGAUUUUGAUUGAUGGAGGGGCAGCUGUUAAUGUACUACCAGCCAAGCAGAUGAAAAAGUUGGGAAGAGGCAUAGAGGAUCUUAUUCCUACAGACCUCACAGUUUCUAGUUUCUUGGGCGCUAUCACCAAGACUCUUGGGAUAUUGCCUUUAGAAGUAGAUCUAGGGUCUAAACAGAUUAUGCUGGCGUUCUUUGUAGUGGACUGCACCUCCACCUACAUAGCCUUACUUGGAAGAGAUUGGAUCCACCAAAGUCUUGUUAUACCCUCCACCCUACAUCAACAAGUGGCUGUGUAUCAUGAGGCAAGCGCAGAAGGGCCAGGCUUUUGGGAGAUGGUAGAGGCCGAAUCACGGCCAUUUCUUCCCACAGCCAAUGUAGCGGAAGCAAGUUUCUACAAUCCCAACGUAGGAAUUUUGAAAUGUUUAGGAGCAGAUGAGAACGGCCGCCCUACCAAGGUGACAGCCCAAAAGCUUCUAGAACAAGGGAUGCUCCUUAAUAGAGAGGAGUGCGAUAGACCUUGUAUCGUCCCAACACCCUUACACCAUCAAUGAUAGAACAAAAAAGGAAAGAUCAGGUAAUGGCAGUCAGAUCCCUGAUUAAACGACUGUUGGUGUAUGGGAAAGAAAGAAGACAAGAAAAUGAGCUCUUAGACAGAGAAGAGCAGGAAUGGCAGGUAGGAGCUUCAACCAGCCAGGAUGAAAGCAACGAGGAAUCUUGUCAAAAAGAAUUGGAAAGGGCCAUUCAAAUGGCCGAAUGUAUAUAUGACCUAGAUGAGCCAGACGACUUCCCCGAGAGCCCGGAGCUAGUCGAAUUUUUGUGUGCAGAACCUGAUAAGCCGCCACCAGAAGUCCAAGAUCCUCUGGAGGUUAUUGAGCUAGGAACAAAUGAGGAUCUGAGACCAAUACAAAUCAGUGGUUUAUUGGAGAGAGAAGAUCGGGCACAAAUUAUCUGUCUCUUGCAAGAAUUCAGAGAUUGUUUUACUUAGCAUUACACUGAGAUGCCGGGUUUAGAUGCAACCUUGGUGGAACACAGAAUGCCCAUCAAGGAAGGAUAUAAGCCGGUUAAGCAAGCACCACGAAGGAUGUCGAAGGAGAUAGAAGAGAAAGUCAAAGAAGAGAUUGAGAGGCUCGUAAAAGCCGGAUUUAUCAGGCCAGCCAAAUAUGUGGAGUGGUUAGCCAACAUUGUACCCGUCUUAAAAGUUGUGACAAAAGCAGUACGAUGUUGUGUUGAUUACAGAAAUAUUAAUGGCGCUACACAUAAAGACGAGUAUCAUAUGCCUAUGGCAGAUAUUUCCAUAGAUGCAGUAGUAAAACACAAAGUCUUAUCUUUUAUGGAUGGAAAUGUCGGGUAUAAUCAGAUAAAGAUGGCCUCGGAAGAUAUACAUAAAACAGCUUUUUGGUGCCCUGGGCAUGUGGGGGCAUAUGAAUAUCUGGUCAUGCCCUUCGGGCUCAAGAAUGCCGGUGCAACCUACCAAAGGGCGAUGAAUGCCAUCUUUCAUGAUCUGAUUAGCCAUAAUAUGGAGGUAUAUAUUGAUGAUAUCGUGGUAAAAUCCAAGACGGAAGAGCAGCAUCUGAUAGACCUCAAGCAGGCAUUAACAAGAAUGAGGACCCAUAGAUUGAAGAUGAAUCCAAAGAAAUGUGCGUUUGGAGUAAGAGCGGGAAAUUUCUUAGGAUUCCUGGUUCAUCAAAGAGGGUUAGAAGUGGACAAGAAUAAAGCACGAGCAACAAUGGAUUCGCCUUCACCCACCAACAAAGUGCAACUCCAAAGGCUGCUGGGCAAAAUUAAUUUCUUAAAAAGAUUCAUUGCCAAUCUGGCGGGCAAGAUCCAGCCUCUGACUCAUUUAUUAAGACUGAAGGAUAAGGAGAAUUUCGAGUGGGGACCACCGCACCAAGAGGCUUUCGAUGGUAUCAAAGCUUAUUUGACUUCUCCGCCAAUGUUGGUACCACCUCGGAUGGGAAAACCCUUAAAGCUAUAUAUCUCCGCUUCAGAUAAAUCAAUUGGGAGUUUGCUGGCUCAGAAUAAUGAAGGCGGGAAAGAGCAGGCAGUUUACUACCUCAGUAGAAUUAUGACCGAGGUAGAAACAAGGUAUUCCCCAGUAGAGAGAUUGUGCUUAGUUCUGUAUUUUACUACCAAUAAACUGAGGCAUUACAUGUUACCUUGUCACGUGCACAUCAUUGCCAAGACAGAUGUGAUAAAGUACAUGUUGUCAAAGCUAAUGUUAGCAGGAAGGAUUGGGAAGUGGAUCCUAACAUUAUCAAAAUUCAGCUUCCAGUAUGUCCCCCAAAGGGCAGUAAAAGGCCAAGCAAUUGCUGACUUCUUGACGGAGCAUCAAGAAUCUCGAAAUGAGAUAAUUAAUAUACCAGGAACUCUGGAAGUUACUAAUGUUUGGAUCCCGCUAGGCAAAGGGAUCUCGGGCAAAGAGGAGUGGAUCCAGCAGAAGAUAAGAAGAGUGGCUGGUUUGUGGAUUACUCUUUGGAAGCUGUAUUUCGAUGACUCUUAUACUCAGAAGGCUUCAGGAGCUGGGAUUGUGAUUAUCAACCCUCAAGGGAUUUAUCAUUAUUACUCAUUUCUCUUGGAUUAUCAAGGGAAUACCAACAAUCGGGCAGAGUAUGAGGCCUUAAUAAUUGGUUUGGAAAUCUUGAUGGAUCUGGGGGCAAUGGAAGUUGAGGUGUUUGGUGACUCAGAAUUGGUAAUAAACCAGCUAAAUGGGGAGUUUAAGUGCCGACAUAUCACCAUGGCCGGAUAUUAUUUGGCGGCCACACAAUUGCUGAGUUAUUGGGAUUCUGAGAUAUCGGUGAGUCAUGUCACAAGGGGAGCCAACCUAGCAGCUAAUGAGAUGGCACAAUUGGCCUCAGGCAUGCCAGUACAGGAGAGAAGAUUUGGGUUGGAUGUCGAGAUUCAAACGAGAAAUCUUCAUUCUAUCCUGGAAAGGGGAUUCAGCCUGGAUGUAAUGGUUCAGGAGACUGAGAUAGAAGAUUGGAGAUCGCCCAUUAUCCAUCAUUUGAAGGAUCCCUCUUCAUCUACCAGCAAGAAGAACCAACAGCAAGCAACUAAGUAUGGUUUAUGGGCGAAAGACCUACUAAGGAAGACUCCAGAUGGGUUAUUAUUGAAAUGCUUAGGCCAAGAGGAAUCCAUGAGAGUGAUGGCCGAAGUGCAUGAAGGAGUAUGUGGAGCACAUCAGGCAGGGACAAAGAUGAGGUGGUUGCUAAGGCGAUAUGGUUAUUUUUGGCCCAACAUGGAAAAAGACUGCAAGUCCUAUGCCCGAGGGUGUGAGGAAUGUCAAAGGCACGGUCCUCUCCAACAUGUACCCUCUGUACCUUUAAAUCCAGUAGUCAAGCCCUGGCCUUUCAGAUGAUGGGCAAUGGACUUCAUCGGGCAGAUUUACCCGGCUUCUAGCAAGGGGCAUACUUUCAUCAUUGUAGCAACGGAUUACUUUACCAAAUGGGUGGAAGCCUCGGCUGUAAAAUCCAUAACCUCAGCUGCGGUAAAAAAAUUUAUUGAAACCAAGAUUCUGCAUAGAUUUGGGGUGCCCGAAACCAUUGUGACGGAUCGAGGGCCAUCUUUUAUUUCAAAGGAAGUUGAAGAAUUUGCAAGCAAAUACAAAAUAAAGAUGAUCCAGUCUAGUCCUUACUACCCGCAGUCAAAUGGCCAGGCAGAAUCCAGCAACAAGAUUUUGGUAAACAUUAUUAAAAGAAUGGUGAUUGAGAAUCCGAAAAAGUGGCAUGAAAGGCUGGGAAAUACUUUGUGGGCAUACAGAACUUCCAAAAGGGCAGGGACAGGGACAACUCAUUAUGCUCUAACUUUUGGGCAAGAUGCAGUACUUCCCAUGGAGAUCAACGUAAGUUCUGUCAGAAUUCAAAAUUAGUUUGGAUUACACAGCGAGGAAUACAUCGAAGCCAUGUGUCAAGGGAUUGAAGACUUAGAUGUAGCUCGAAUUGAAGCCUUGAACCAGAUUCAGGAAGGAAAGAGAGCUGUUGCCCAAUCAUAUAACAAAAGGGUGAAAGCAAAAUCUUUUAAGGAAGGGGAUUUGGUGUGGAAGACAGUCCUUCCUCUAGGAGCCCAGCUUAGGGGCUUUGGAAAGUGGAGUCCGACAUGGGAAGGUCCUUUCAUAAUUAGUCAAGUAUUAAACAAAGGGGGAUACUACUUGGCGGACCUCGAAGGGAAUUGGCAGAAACAUCCCAUUAAUGUUAAAUUCUUGAAAAAGUAUUGUCCUACAUUAUGGGAUGUUAAGGAUUGUUACAUUGAGGAGAAUGCAAAGUAAAGCAGGUGCCGGGAUGCUAAAGUACAGUGUAUAUUCAUCAAGUCAUUCAAGAAGGCAGAAAGACACAAGAUUGUUAAGAUAAUGUUUAUUUCAUUUUUAACAAACUGAUGAAACGUACAACAAAUUCAAUUCAAUUCCGAUGUGCUACGUACGACUCAUUCCAGGUGCAAUAACGUUUCAACUGGUUUUCUGGUAUCUUCAUGGAUUGAAUCCGAUCAGGUGAUCGGGUUAUGCGGCCAAGACGCGCCUGGUAGAGGAUCCUCAGACAGAGUCGUCACCAUGUAUGAUGGUGAAGCCUGACUUAUCAUGGCGACGAGCGGGAAGGCAAGUCUUCAUGAGGGAACCUGACCAAGGGUGUUGGAGAUAGCGGGGUGCCUCACCAAGGGUGUUGGAGAUUGUGUUUUUCUGAUGAAAAUUCUUUUUCUCACGAAAAUGGAGUUUUAGGAAAACCCACUUGAAUCUUGAAGAACUCAUAUCUCAGUCUGAAUAUUGAUUGAAGCAAAGGCUGGAGGAGGUUUGUUGGCUGAGCAAAAAGCAAAAUCAAGCCUGAAUUUAUAGAAACCUCAUAGGGUAACCCAAAGGUCAUGAGAAGAACAAGAGACGCAUGGUCGUAGACCUCUUCUCUAGAAAAACACAAGUUCCAAGAGUGGAUAUACAAGCAUGCGGAUAUGCAAUCAAUAUUGGCGCUUGGAAUUCCAGUCUGAAAAUUGAUUGAAGGGGGCACUGUUUGGGUUAAAACUUAAACUUUGGACUUAGAAGGGAGUUGGCCCAAAUAGAGAAAGAAAAGCCUGAAGCUCAGCCCAAACCCAGAAGGUAGAUAAGGUCUUUCCCGACUAGAUGCAGAUCAUUGGCACCACUUGCUCACCUACCCAAGGGCCAAGUGGUAUAGACCAGCUAGCUAAUCAGCCCAAAAAGUACUUUAUAAUGGCAGUACAAGUAAAUAGCUGAUGAGUCACUAUCCUUCAAACUGCAUUCGGGCAAGAUUAUUGCUACAGGAGGCCAAGCCAAGGUGUCUAUAAAAGGAGAAAGAGAAGUCAGAAUCAAGGACACUCAAACAAACAAAUACAAGCACAAACUCUGCUCAAAGCCAGAUUUGCCUUCAAAACAAAGCUGUAGUCAACCCAAGCCUUCAUCCCCUUCGGGAUAAACCCUUUGUAAUAGCUCUGCUACCCUGUUCAACUCUUGUUGUAGUAUCGAUCUCUUUUCUGUAAAAUCACCUCCCAACCCUUUUUCUAAGCUUUCAAACCUUCUGAUAAACCAUAAAGAUAGGAAGUUGUAAGACGAUCAGCCUUGCCCGACAAGGUUAAACCUUGCCUGACCCUCUUUGUUUUUGUCUUUUCAUUCAUUAGCCUAGCAAUAUGGUGUAUACUACAAGUUGUAUCCAAGUUAUUUCUAGUAAUAUAGCUAUUAAAAGACUCUUUUAGCACUUGAAUCUGAUUUGAAUAUGCCUUCACAGUUCAAGUCAGAUCUAAGUUCUAAGCCUUCGGGCAUAUAAGAUUUGAUCAUUCUAAAGGCAUAAAAAAGAACCUGAUGUGGACUUAACCCAUCCACUACAAGCUUUGAUAACAAGAAGUCCGAAGUUACUUGGGGCGCAAGUAAUCGACCUGUCACUUAGUUUUAUUGUUGUUAUAUUAUGAUUACCAUAUAGCGUUCGAGUACGGGAUGAGUUCUGAUGGGAAGCCUCAAGGCCUAUUCAAGGUCCCACAAAGGCACCUAUUUGGAUUCACCCUAUUUCUCGGGCAAGAACAUUAAGUAUAGAAGGGGUUCUGAUGGGAAGCCUCAAGGCCUAUUCAAGGCCCCACAAAGGAACCUAUUUGGAUUCAUUCUGCUCUUUGAGCUCAGGUAAUCAGAAGUAUGAUGGUUAUAAGACCCAUAUAACCCACAAAAGGAACAUUAUGUGUUCGAGUACUAAGUUAGUUAUUUAUGGGAAGCCUCAAGGCCUACACCUAAGGCCCCACAAAGGCACCUGUCAAUAACUAACAUAGUUUCGCGAAUAUAUAUAAUUAAACUCAAACAUCCGUUCUACAUUUGCCAUGCUGAAGAUGGCAGUGGCACGCCUGAGCACUUAAAGGUUAAUCUUGAUUGUGAGCCUCAAGGCCUACACAUAAGGCCUCACAAAUGCAUCUUUCAAAGUUAACUCUGUCCUUCUCUUUCAGCCUUGCCCGAUAAGCCUUGCCCGACAAGCCUGCCAGUAAAGCAGGAGCCCGACAGAAAGCAUCAACCGGCGCCAACCUCACGGGGAGCUGUGUGCUCGUCGGACAGAAAGCAUCCCCCACGGAAAUUCCCGCCACGAACAAGGACACCCUCCUUUAUCAGCCAUCUUCAUGAUCUCAGAGGAACCAUGGUUAAGUGGAUACCAGCAAGCAUCAAACAAGCUCUCGGUUGUCUUGCCUAUUGUUAAAUAAUUGCAAAAGCCUUCAAUCUUUACCCAAGCUCCCAGGGGUACGUUGGCUGGAAGCACAUGGUUGCACUUCUCUGGAGAAAGUGUCAAGUUUAAGGACUCAACUUGUAUAAGGUUGUGAUGAUUACGAACAUGGAGUUUAUGGAAGGAUCCCCGAGAAACUUAUAUUUUCUGGUUGCUUGAAAUUGGAUGAGAAUGCCUGGAACGGCAUAAUGGAUGACGCACAUCUUCAAAUUAUGCGAAUGGCGGCUUCACACAAUGUGGAAUCGUUGGAUGGAAAUUCUUUAGUUACCAUUGUAUGUCCGGGAAGUGAAAUCCCUAAUUGGUUCGGAGCUCAAAAUGAGGGAUCUUCGAUAAAUAUCAGUCUUCCUCCAAAUUGUUUUGGGUCAGACUUCUUUGGUUGUUUUCUCUCUUCUUGUUGAAUUAAUUUGACAACUAUAAUGUUGAACAAGGAUUGGAGUUCGGAUGUAAAUCCACACACAAAGGGAAUAGUGGUAAAGGCCAUGAAUUUAGCUGUCGUUUGUGUGAUCGACUGUGGGGUGAAACCCAAGAUGAAGAAAGCAACGGCUACAAUUUCAAUUCGGACCACAUGUUUGUGUGGUAUAAUACAUUUGACCUUGUUGGGGGAGCACAAUGCUCUACUGCUCUUCACAAUGGUGUCACUGAGGCAUCUGUUGAGUUCUACUCAAUAGAUCAUCAUGACAUACCACUUAACUCAUACACAAAAAAGGUCGUAUCCAGUGCACAAGGCUCCCGCUUUACGCAGGGUCUGGGAGAGGUGAAUGUCGGCUAGCCUUACCCCCAUUUAUGGAGAGGCUGCUCCCAAGUCUCGAACCCGAGACCUACCGCUCAUGGGCGAAGGCACUUAACUCAUACACAAUGAAGAUAAAAAGGUGUGGAGUCUGCCUGUUGUAUGCCGAUGAUACUAAGUAAUCUGAUGCCGCGUGACGGAGCUAAGAGUAGCAGAAGAUACUAAAAGUCUGAGAAGUUGCGAUGAGUCUGAAGCAAGCGGAAGUGAUACUUUGAGCCCUUAUAAGAAACAAGGGGAUGAACAAGUACCUGAAAGAGAACAUAACUCGAGGUGCAAGAUCAACCAUGCUCGAUGGUAGAGAAAAACUACUGUAGACUUGGGAGUCUAAUUUAAAAACUGUGGUAAGUCUUUCUCGUUUUAUGCCUUCUGCCCUCCCAUAUACCAAAGGAAAUAAAACAAAUCAAUUCCAUCCGAAAUUCGAUUGUAAUACGAUUUAAUGUACGUAUUCUACAUCAAACAUUUCACGAAAUUAGUUGAAAUACCAAAUAGUGUAUUAAUUGGAUUUUUUUUUUCUCCAUUGAAAAAGUAUGGUCUUCUAUAGAGCACAAGUCAUGGAAGACUUAGAAGUUUCACAAUUCACACUUCAAUUCAAUUUGUUUAUUAUUUGUUAAAAAAAGAUGAUCAUGGGUUACAUCUCCUUUUGAAUUCUUUUUUACAUUUUUUCACAUAUGAUGCCUAUGGAGAGAUUGGGGAAAAGGAAGGAGAAAAACAAGAGCAAAAUGUUCGAAAACCGCGUGAAAGAGUUAUGUUGUCAUGAUAAUUUUAAAUUUGUGCAGUUUUGUUGAGUUGCCACCAGAUAGUCAGAGUUGCAUGGCUUGAAUUCCUUGGAAGUUUCUAUUUUUUUAAUUUUAGUUUUAAGUUUAAUUUUUUUGGUUGUUAACGUCUGGUGAUUUUCCUACAUUGUUCUUGUGCAAAUAGUCACUAGAAUUGUUAAAACAUAAAGGGAUCUCUGCAACUGCUUUCUAGCUCUCAUGCUUAAUUUCGUCGUGAUCAGUGCAACGCCUUCUUAAUUAGGUUGUUUUGGUCGUAAUAUUUGGCAACUUCUAUCUUGGUCUGGACUCCGGAGGUAAUCCAACUGACUUUUUCUGUUGCAUAAAUUAUCUGUCGAAAGAUCACUCAUUUCUUAUUCAUAUACAGCCAAUUUGCAUAUUUUGACUUGUAGGUGUGCAGGUUGUGGAUAGGGAGAUAUGGCUUCAUCUUCUUCUUCUCCUCCUUUAUCUAGACCCUCUCCUCCCGAGAAGUAUGAUGUGUUUAUUAGUUUCAGAGGUGAGGACACCCGCCUUAGUUUUAGAGUUCUCAUUGACAAGUCUCUCAUAUCAAUUUAUUCAACCCGGGAAACCAUAGAGAUGCAUGAUUUGCUUCAGGAAAUGGGUUGGGCAAUUGUUUGUGAACAAUGCGUUGAAGAGCCUGGAAAACGUAAGAGGUUGUUCAAUGCUAAGGAUGUCUAUCAUGUAUUGAAAAAUAAUAUGGUAUAAGCCAAAUGGAUUAACUUUACAGAAUGUCAUUAACUUUCUAUUAGAAACUCAUUUAUAAUAAGUUAAAUUCUUAUAAAUGUAAUUCUGGUUAACUUUUGUUGUGUAUUGUAUUCAAAUUUAUAAUUUGCUCUUGAUUGACAGGGAACUUCAGCUGUUGAAGCCGUUUUCUUUAACAUAUCUGAGAUUGAAGAACAACACUUGAAUCAUGCAGAUUUCAAAAAAUGAAACAACCGAAGUUGCUAAAUGUUGAUAAUUCUAGCUGUGGCCAAUUAAACUUUUCUCUAGAUCUUCCCAAUUCUCUUUGUUAUCUUUACUGCUGUGGAUUUCCUUUCAAAUCUUUGCCGUCAAAAUUUUCUCCAGAAAAUCUUGUUGAGCUUCGAAUGCCCCACAUCCUAGUUGAUCAACUUUGGAAGAAAGGCCAGUUACAUUUGCUUAUUUUACUUCUUAUAACAUGCAGGGCAGAAUGUUGUUCAAUCUAAAGUAUUAAUUCUUACUAUUUCUCUUUCAUUUGUAACAGAAUCUUAUGAGCUUAAAAGUGCUUGAUCUUAGUUACUCUAGCAAUUUGACUGAAUUUCCAAAUAUCUCUCGGUGUUUGAAGAUUGAGUAUAUAAAUCUUUUUGGUUGUACAAGUUUGGUUGAAAUUCCUUCGUAUUUUCAAUUUCUAGACAAGCUUACUGAUGUUCAACUUGGAUGGUGCAAGAGUCUCAAUUAUCUCCCAGAGAUGCCAAGCAAUAUCGAAUUCUUAAGUUUACAAGGCUCUGGUAUAAAGGAGUUGCCAUUAUCAGUUUGGUCUAAUGAAAGAAUUUCAGAGGUUAAUAGUGAGGAUUGUAAAGAACUUGAGAAACUUCCAAGCAGCACUUGUAAUCUGAAAGUCUCCGGUACUUUUAGUCUAGAUCACUGCUUAUCUCUUGGCGAGUUUUCCGAGCUUCCCAAGGAUAUAAGUGUGUUAGAUUUGGCUAGGACAUCAACAAAAUUAUUGCCUAUAUCAUCAAUGGCGCACCUCUUUAGUCUCACUACAGUUAAACUAAAGGAUUGCCAAAAGCUUGAGAGUCUCCCAAUUGGCAUUUGCAAGUUGAAAUCUCUUAAGGAACUCGAUCUCACUGGUUGCUCUAGAUUUGAAUACUUCCCAGUCAUCUUGGAUCCAAAGGAACAUUUGGAUUUUCUUAGUUUAGAAGAAACAGCUAUUAAAGAGCUACACUCAACAAUCGAGUUUCUCCCUGUUCUCAAAACAUUUCAAUUAAAAGGUUGCAAAAGGCUUGAAAGUCUCCCAAUGAGCAUUUGUAAGUUGAAAUGUCUUGAGGGACUUGAUCUCUCUGGUUGCUCUAGAUUCAAAUACUUCCCAGAAAUAUUGGAGCCAAUGGAACAUAUGGAGUUUCUUUGUUUCAAAGGGACUGCGGUUAAAAAGCUUCCUUGUUCGAUUGAUAAUCUAAUUGGGCUUCAAACAUUUGAUCUCCAUCUUUGCGGGAACUUUGAGGUUGUCCCAAGCAGCAUCUACAAUUUAAAAAAUCUUGUAACUCUCAACUUUUAUGCUUGUCAGAAACUCAAAGAAUUACCUUUCGGCACUGUCAGUUUGAUCUCUUCGGAAGUACUAAACCUCGGUCGCAGCGGUAUAUCAGAAAUCCCUGAUAGUCUCGUUUGCUCAGCUUCAUUGAAAGAUGUAAAUCUGAGUGAAACCCUGAUUAGGAGCAUACCUGCAUGCAUCAAAGAAGCACCUCGUCUGUCUCGCCUGUGGUUAACCAAUUGCAAGAUGCUUCAGUCUUUACCAGAGCUCCCAGUGCUAGUAUAUCUUGAAGCAGAAGGUUGCACAUCACUAAAGACAAUGUCAAGUUCAAGGACAACACUCACGCAAGGUUGGGAUAAAUUUUGUCAAGAAAUAAUCAACUUUUUUGACUGCAUAAAUUUAGAGCACAAUGCAAGGAGCAACAUAAUGGCUGAUGCACAACUUAGAAUUUUGCGAGUCGCAAGUGCGUCACGGAAGUUAAGAGAAGAAAAAUAUGAUGUAUGUCUCUCUCUCCCCUCUGUUGCUACUUUUCACUGAUCUAAAAUAUACAAUGUCUUUUUUCACUGAUCUAAAAUAUAUAGUCCAAUUGUCCACCAAUGUUACAGGAAAACUCUUCUCGGCCUUUGGUUACUAUUGGAUGUCCGGGGCAUGAAUCAAAAUGACAGACCUUCAAUAAUAAUCAACCUUCCCCCGAACUGGUUUCGUAAUGGUAUAUUGGGUUUUGCUCUAUCUAUGGUGUGGAGUUCGGAAGUAAGUACAAAUUCAUAACUAAGAAUGGUGAAAGUCAUGAAAUGAUCAGGUGUCCUUUCUAUUUAGGAUGGUACGACUCCAAUUUAAAUCCACAUCACGUGUUUGUGACCAACAAUGCCUUUGAACUUGAAGAAGAUGCUAAAUACUCCACUAAUUUUUACAAACUUGUUACGGAGGCCUCUGUUCAUUUCUGGCCAAUGAGUAUUUCCGGCCAACCCACUUCCUAUUUGAAGGUGGAGAAGUAUGGUAUCAGCCUGUUGUAUGCCGAAGAUGCCGUGAAAUGAAAACUGAUGUCAUGAUUAUGGAAAGUAAAAGUAGAAGAAGAUACGAGACAUGACGAGUCUGAUCCGAGUGAGAUACUCCAAUUAACUCAUCAAAUGUAUCAAUAUAGAUUUCCUUGAUUCUCAAGCAUAUUGUACUUCCAUGCUAAUCCGAGCGAGAGAAAAUUAUUUAUUUUCUCCCAAUUGACUUGCUAUCUAAUCCAAGUGAGAGAAAAUUAUUUAUUUUCUUUUAGGCCUAUUUCGUUUAGCCCAUAUGAAAUCCGAAACCCUAUUUAUCGGGACUUGGCCUUCAUUUUUCCUUUCGUAGCGCAACAUUUGGGCCUGGGUUAUGUUAACCCAUUUAAUUUAAUUUAAUAUCUUUAUACAUAUAUUCCCUUGUAUAUAUGUUUUCAUUUGUGGGAGUUAUGAACUCGAGGUUCAUAUUUUUAAUUCGAACCACAUUAUUGUUAGCUUAUUGUAAGGCUAAGUUCAGCUCAUCCCCUUUAGUAUAGAUAAUAUCGCUUGGUCAAAAAAAAAAAAACAAUUUUGCAUCUAAAGUAAUUUGAAGCAAUAAAUUAUAACUAUUUAAGAUGGCACAUAGAAGCUUAACUUGGUUGAUGAGAAAAGUUCAAAUGGUAGUUUGGUUCUAGGGUACAAAGAGCGUUGUCUUAAUAACCAUAGCUACAUUGAAGAGUACAAUGUGAAAUGCAUAGGACAGACAGACAGACUAAAACAUGAGUCCACCCACGUCCCACCCGGAGGUUAACAAUUCACCGUUCAAGUAGAAACAACAAAAACAAACUAAUGUGUCAGGAUUUUUGCAAAUUGCUACUUGGAGGUGGAACUUAAAGGUAUUAUUUAUGUUGUUUAUAUGGCUAGCUUUGGAUUGGGGUUUGCAUUCUCUUUGGAUUGAGAUUCUUCUUUGGUAAUGCAUUUUCUUUUUAAUGGAUCUUCUCAAGGUGCAUUACCGUUUGUCGGUUGAUUGGGCAAAUUGUUGCAUAUUCUCUCUCCCCAUCCAUAUUCUGUUUUCUCACAUUUAUUGCGAAUGAAAUCAAGUGGUGGAUUGUUUGGCAAACUAUGGUGUUGAUUAUGUUGGGGUUUAUUGGUGGAAUUAUUGUCCUCCGUGCCACAGUUAUCCACCUCUUCUCGGGGCCUCAGGCAUUUCAGCCUCUCCCUAGGCACAAGUCUAGCUUCCACGUCAGCAGUGGGUUUCAAACCCAAGACCUACAAUUUUUAAUUUGAAGGAAGCCUCGCAAUCCGACUUUUACCACUGGUCAUCUUUCUACUUCUUGUUAGGGUAUGGUUUCAUGUUCCCUCUAACUUUUUGUAUCUUUAUUUUUUUUUUCUUCUUCAAUAUAUUCACUUUAAUGUCUUUCUUUUUUUUAAGGAAAACUAAUGAAAAGUCCAAAAAAAACUUUAGUUUUAAUGAAAAAUGACAAAUAAAGGUGUAGUGAAUAGUAUUAGGGAAAGGUAAAAAUGUGGUUUUUCAUUAAAAGUGAACAGUACCGAGAGUGUUUUGUUAAAACUCGCAUUUUUUUAUGAUAGGUACGUUGGAGUGGAAGUGGCAUUGUUUUUUUAAUUUAAAAAAAAAAAGGAGUGCUGAGUAUGACAGGUUCUAGUAGAAGUUGAAUGCCUUCAAUCUAAUUAUGUUUGUAAACUUUUUGGGGAAAAUUAUGUUUCUAAUUUGCAUAUUGAAGAGCUAAUUAAUUUGCUGGGGCAAAUUUUCAUUACAAAAAUCCAAAUACAAAAGAUUGAAAUUUUGAGGGAGAAAGAAAUGAAGGAGAAGUAAAAGGCCAUUUGAUGUUCCAUGGCUAUCGUAGAGCAUGUACAACAACAAUAAAGACUUUUUUUUUAAGUGCGGUCAAUUAUAUUAAUUUUAAAACGUCAUUACGUUCGGUUUUGCAUUAAGUCUUCCAUUAGCUCUAACUACUUCAUGUCUUUUUUUUAAAGUCUAUUUCCAAGUUUUCUUAGAUCUUCCUUUACUCAUUUUGUUUGAAAUAAAAAAUUAGGGUAAAUGACAAAAAACUACCUCAACUAUUGGUCUGACGACACUUUAAUACCUCAUCUUUUAAAAAUGACAAUAUCAUACCUCAUCUUACGAAUUUGUGCCAAUGUCAGACCUCCAUCAGUUUUUCUGUUAAUUUCUCUGUUAACUGGAUUAAAAAAUAAUUAAAUAUAUUUUUAAUAAUUAAAUAUUAAAAAAUUAAAAAUUAAAAUAUUUUUUUAUAUUAAAUUGUGGGAUUCACCUCUCUCUCUCUCUCUCUCUCUUCUCUGCAUCCCCAAAAUCCCAAAGCCAAGAAACCUUUCCCACCCAUCCCCCCUAACCUUCCUCCACCAUCCUCUCUCUCUCUCGCCCCUCUCUCUUUUCUCUCUUCCUCUGGGCAACCUGCAUCCCCAAAAUCCAAAAACCCAGAAUCCCAUUACAAAUCUCAAAACCCAAAAUCCCAUCAAACCUCCAUUUCUUCCUUUUUUUCUGUAGCAGAACAGCUGCGAGAACUGCCGAAACAUCGACAUCGCGUUGCGGCGGGAGAAGCCGAUUUUUUCUAGGUAGUCAAUUCGAGACAAGAGUUUGUCUUCCAUGUUGCAGGAGAUGAGGGAGGUGUGUUUGUUAACUUGGGAAAUGUUGAUGCUCUGUAGGAUGUAGAGGGUGGGGCAAAGGUAGGUUUUGACGUUGCAGGCGAGGAGUUGGGGCGGCGAUUGAUGAUGCUGCGGAGAUCGGAGUCGUUGAUAUAGGCUUCGCGGAUGAGGAAUGCAGGGACUCGGACGAUUUCGGUGACGCGGGAGGAGAGGAUUUCGAGACACAUGCCGAUCAGGAGGCAGAAUUCUAGGGAGGUGAAGCUAAUGGAGGUGAGGAGGAAGUGGAUGGGUUUGAUGUGGGAGAGAUGGAAGAAAAGGAUGAGAGGGUGGUGGUUGAUUAGGAAGAAGAAGUCGAGGCCGAUGAAGUCGAGGUAGAGGACUUUUUCUUGGAAGUUGGAGUAGGGGUGUUGGUGGUUGGUGGGUGUUUAAGGGAGAUGGUGGUUUUGGCGGCGGAGAGGAUUGGGAAGUGGGGGGGUUUUCUUCGACGACGGAAAGCAGUGGGAAGAGUCAUGGUGAAAGGAAGAUGGGAUUGGAGUUUGGGAAUGAGAUUGGGAGUGGAGGAGAAAAGGGGUUGUUUGGUGGUGGCGAUGGAGGUGGGGAAGGGUUGCUCAGAGAGAGAGAGAAGAAAGAGAGAGAAGAGAGAGGCGAGAGAGAGAGAGAGGAGAGAGAGAGGGUGGUGGAGGAAGGUUGUGGGGACGGGCAGGAAAGGUUUAUGGGCUUUGGGAUUUUGGGGAUGCAGAGAAGAGAGAGAGGCGAGAGAAAAAGAUGAGAGAGAAAGGUGGAUCCCAUAAUUUAAUAUAAAAAAAUAAUUUUAUUUUUAAUUUUUUAAUAUUUGAUUAUUAAAAAUAUAUUUAAUUAUUUUUUAAUCCAGUUAACAGAGAAAUUAACAGAAAAACUGAGGGAGGUUUGACAUUGGCACAAAUUCGUAAGAUGAGGUAUAACAUUGUCAUUUUUAAAAGAUGAGGUAUGAUAAUGUCGUUCGACUCAUAGUUGAGGUAGUUUUGUGUAAUUUACCCAAAAAAUAUAUAUAGAUACAAGGUGUAUGGAGCAAGAAAUUAGAGAAAACUAAAGACAAAGUUGAAUUAUGUCUUCUUUUCGUUGAUAGAACAAAUCAUUAUUGAUUAUUUUUUUUUUGGUGAAAAAUUAGGUUUAUAAUUUCCAUAUUAAUCUUGGACAGACAAAAUUUACAGAGGCAAAUAUCAUAUAUAAAGUUAAAAUGGAGCUCUCAAUGAUGCCAAAGUGGAUGAUUUCGGCCACUUCUAUCGCCACCAAUUUUGCUCACAUCAGACUAGCCGCUAACCCGACCCGACCAACUUGAAUUCAAGUUAUGGACUUAAUCCCAAUGUUGGAGACAGGGGACUCUGGAGUUUGGAGUCUUGGACUGUUUUUUUUUUUUAGAAAAAUACUUGAAGCUUCUGCUGCCGACAUGUUGGAACUUAAGUAAGAAAGAGAAAGUAGUUAUUCUAGACCCGAUUCCACAUAGUAUGUCCAGAGUUCUAUUCCUGACCUUAAUGAAUCACACGAUGGUAGCAAAGAAAGGCUAAAAUACCUUUGUGAGUCUUCUUGGCUCCUGAAAAUAGUGGACUACUAUGCUAAAAAGGAGACAGAGAAAGUAGUUCAAUGGGGUAGGUCAUAUAGGACCUCCCUAAUACUCUUUCACUGUUGGGUUUUGUAGUUUCGGUAACUUGAUAGUCAACUGCUAAAGCAUGAUCAAAUCUAUGCAUGCAAUUGCUCCAAGGUAGUCUUUAUGGUAGCAACUUCUAUCUCAAUUGCUUAAUUAGAACCUGAUGCUUGCUUAUUAGCACCUUACUCUCUUUUGAAUUAUAUUGUUUCUCACUUUGCAAUUCAUCUCUCUGCAACUUACCUAUCUUGAAACUGCUAAUUUGGUAUCUGUAAUAUUCCUGACAUGAAAAUUUGAAAAUGUGAUCUUGCCAAAAUCACACUGGUUAUAUUGGUUGGUGCAUGAUUGCUUCAUUUACAUUUAUGUCUCAUUUGGUGUUUAGGAUUGGAUUGGAAUUUAUAACCCUCUAAAUUCAACGUAAAGUGAAGUUAGAGGAGAAUUAUUUUUCAUUUUUGGGAAGAACGAAAUAGAUAAGUUUUCUUCUUGAGUAAUCCAUUUUCUGCCCCCAAACAAAUUGACCAUAAUUUUUUCAUUUCUUCAUUCAACAUACCUUGGCUUAUCCAUUCCAAUCCAAUCCUUCAUACCAAUCAAGGCCUUUUGGGAGAAUAUGAUGCUUUGACUACUUGUGGGUUUGCACGCUGUGAAUAUGGCUGAUUCUUCUUAUGAUUCUGUUGUUGUUACUUCUCGUCGAGAAAAAUAUAACGCCUUUUUUAGUUUCAAUUGAGACCCACAUAGAUUACAAAUUUGAGAGAGGAGAUAAAAUUGGACUUGCCCUUCUCGAAGCAAUAGAGAAAUUGUUGAAGCACAAAAUCAGUGGGACUUUGGUACAAUAGAAAGUGUUAAGUUUGUGACCUUCGCUAGAUUGCUCCAGUCAAUAGUGUGGAUAAGUAUGUAAAUGGAUAGAGACAGGAAAGCAAACAUAAGAUGUACGUGGUUCACCCAGAUUGGCUACGUCCACGGAGUAGAGGAGUUCUCAUUAAUUGUGAAGGGUUUAUACAAGUACAUAGGUUCAAGCUCUUCUUUAGUGAGUACUAGUGAAUGAUUUAGUACAAAUGACAUUCGGGAUUAUUGUGGGAGAAUGAUCUCCUUUUAUAGAAAAGAGUUUCUAGCUUUGUUCUGGUCUUGACAUGUGUCAUGUUGUGAUUGGCCUUUGAUGUUAACACAUGUCGUCCUGUGAUUGGCCUCUUGGUGUUGACACGUGUCGCCAUGUGAUUGGUCUCUGGGUGUCGACACGUGUUGCGCUGUGAUUGGCCUCUUGGUUAAAAGGAAACUCUUCUAGGUCCUUGACGGUAUAACGUUGACUGGUGCUUGGUAGUUUCAGGAUUGGUCAAGUAUGGUACAAACAGUGCUCCCCUAAGUUCCCGAGUGAGGGAUGCUCCUCGGUUGGGGACUUGCAAGAUCCAAGUCGUUGAGUAAUCAUGAAACUUCUAAGUACUGAAGUGUGGUAUCGUUUUCACUUGUCUUAUCUAUCUCAUAAGUAAAUGUGGCAUCUUCUGUGGAAGUACUUUUCCUCCAUCCAAAGGUGAUAUCUUUAACCGAUGGAGAUGCACAAGGUAAUGUAUCAAUUUCACUUAAAGGUUACUUGUAGUUUCGGGCUUGGUCAAGCGCGAUACAAACCCUAUAGUAGGAGGCCCCCAAGUCUCUAAGCGAGGAGAUCUGCCGAAAGAGGUGACAGACAAAGUAAGUAAUCAGAGUUCCAAGCAGUCAGUCUUAGAUUGAAAGUUUGAUCUUGUGUUCUGGUUGAUUGUUCUCAUUCUCCUUGUUCUGUAGACAUCAACAAGGACAAAGAAAAGAACAUGGAGACGAGAUGAUAUGAGAUACUUUUUCUUUUGAAGAAGUAACUUUCCACAGGCUUAUUCUUGAACUGGGCUGGAGGGUUUUCUAGUUUCCUCCACAGUAUAAUGCUCACUCAAGGAUUUGAGGGUCAAAACAAGUCCAUUAAAUCAAUAGUGCGUUCGACCUUGAUGAUAUGGGAUACUUUUGUUGUUGACAAAGUAAUAAAUGAAUCGGCACGUGUUCUGUUGCGUAUGUCUCCACAUGCUUCCUUGUAUCCUUCUCACUUGCCCCAUCUGUUCCUCAGGCAGAUGCGAUAUCUUUUCUGGAAGCAUAAGAUGUUGAAGAUGAGUACUCGAGAGCAAUGCCAGGUAAGUAAUCAGGCAAUGAGUUUCAGGUAGUCAAUUCCUGACUGGAAGCUUGAUUCCAAGUGAUGACUGAUUACUCUCUUUCUUCUUGUCUUGCAGGUAAAAACAAGGGCAAAGGAAAAGACAGGGGAAAAGCAUGAUAUAGGAUACUCUUGCUUUUAACCCUGAUGAUAUGAUAUACUCUUGCUCUGGUGUGGCUUGCUUGCAAAGGUAUUAUCGGGGGGAAAUAAGCUGGGUAUUUCGAGAAACUCUGUUGAGAGUGCUAUCUCGGAUGUGAAGAAAAGUUGAGCAUUUUUUUUUAUUUGUCGGUCUACCUCGCUGUGGAGGAUGAAGGUCGACAUAUAUAGGAAUUGUCCCAAAAGCGAGUAGUAACGCUAUUCCUUUACCAUUCUCGAUCAUAACAAUGUAGUAGAAAUUGCAAGAUUCACAUGUUUUAACUUUGUCAGAGCACUUUGAAAAAGUAGUUUGUGGUAUCUGGAAAGCUGAUGUUGCAUGUGAAGAUUGCAGACAAGCUUUAUCCAAGGAAAUAUGGCUCUCGAAGUUCGGAGAGCGACGCCUCUUCGAUUUUCGAACAAGCAAUCUUAUCGGGGAUCUGGCUCUCGAGAUUCGAAGAACGGUGCCUUUUCGAUUUUUGAGAAAGCAAUCCUGUUGGGAGUCUGGCUUUUGAGAUUCGGAGAGCGGUGCCUCUUUGAUUUUUGAGAAAGCAAUCAUGUUGAGAGUCUGGCUUUCAUGAUUUAAAGAGCAGUGUCUCUUCGAUUGUUUAGAAAGCAAUCCUGUUGGGAGUCUGGCUCUCAAGAUUCGGAGAGCGGUGCCUCUUUGAUUUUUGAGCAAGUAAUGCUGUUGGGAGUCUGACUCUCGAAAUUCGAAGAGCGGUGCCUCUUCGAUUUUUAAGCAAGUAAUCCUGUUAGGAGUCUUUCUCUCGAGAUUCGGAGAGCGGUGCCUCUUCGAUUUUUAAGCAAACAAUCUUGUUGGGAGUGUUUUCUCAAAUAUGAGUAAGGUUGGGCAUUUUUGCCAGUUUGCCUUGCCACAGAGCAUGGAGGUUGACACACAUAGAGACUUUCCAGUUAUCAAGCAGUGGUGCUGUUGCUUUACCCUUGUGGGUAAUAGUAGGGUAGCUGGACCUUCAAAAUUUAUGUGUCUAAACUUUGUCAGAGAUCUUUGGCAAAGUUAUAUGUGAUCAAAACCCUUCUUUUGUGUAAUUCACAUGUCACCAUUUUAUUGAAUUUGUGGGUCUCACAUGCAAACUAACAUAAAUAGUUGACGGAAUCUAAACGGAAUGACCAAAUUGAUCUGCGGUGGUGAAUGUCAAGGACAACAUUGAUUGAUUUUGAAAGUGAAGGACCAAAAUGAUGAGUUUGAUCAAUCUCAAGGACCAUUGGUGAUAAAAAUCCUUCUUUAUUUCAUGUCACAGCCCGUCCCGGAAUUUCAUACUUGGGGAUGUGAAAUGACGGAAUUACCAUUAACGGUUGCUAAGGUAUGUGUGACUUGUUUAUUUGAAUAUUUCAUACUCUCCUAAAUUCUUGGAAAAUUUUAAGUGGAUUAAAAGUUUAUUACAAUUUGUGUGGUUAGGGAAUUAAAGUAUGAUUUGUUUUGUGUGGACCACACACACACAAACCUGCUCUCUCUCUCUCUCUCCCGUGGACUUCCUCUCGGUUUCUUCUUCCCGUGCACUGUGCACGUACGGACAAAGGUGGAACUUGUCCAUUUCUUCACGGAUCGAGACUAAAAAGGUAAGUUUUAGAAUGCUUGUAAGAUGGUGAGUUUAUUGGUACCAUUUUUGGAACUUAGAACCUUUGGAAACUUGUGAAAUCUGAACCCCAGUUUUGAGUACUGUUCAUGUGGACGUAAAUAUGGUUGUUUCAGGGAAGUUGAAGCUCUUAGGAAGCUUAGGGAGGUUCUUAGGAAGCUCGGAAAAGAAGAAUUGAAGGAAUUGGACGUAAGGAUCCCUAAUUUUUCAAAUUUCCGAAUUGGUCACUAUUCACGAACUUUUAAACCCUUAAGUUUUCAUGAAUUUUAGGACCAUAGAAAGCUCGAGGAGGUCUUCACGAGCUUCGGGGUGCUUAGAUGGUAGAAAUUGGACGUUGGAGGACUGAGAACGAAGCUUUGCAGAUUUGGCCGGAUUAUCGAUCUUUCUCAGGUAAGAUUUAAUGGAUUUUAGACCUUGAAACUUGUAUAACGUGAUUCUACAUGCUUAGGGCUUCAUUUUGGUAUAAAUUGCGUGAAAAAUGGUUGAGAAUCAACGGAGAAUAAGAGGUUUGAAAAUUUCCCAGUUUUUCGGCGCCGGCGACGGUCGCCGGAGCUAGAGGUUGAAGACGACGAAUAUUCCGUCAAUUUUGACGGAAUAUUCUGACGCCGUUAGUUAAAGUUAAUGGUUUCUGUUAGGAUUAGACGGAAUAUUCCUGACGGUGUUAACUGACGCCAUCAGUGUGCAGCGCACGUGGCCGCGCGUGGGGGCACGUCUGGCCGUGCGUGUGGCGGCGCGUGAGGGCGCGUGGGGAACCCAAAAAUAAUUCUAAAAAUAUGGGGAUGUUCCUGAGGUUGUGUGGAUCACAGUGAUAUAUUCAUAUACCCAAUUUGGGCAAUAUAUGAGAAGUUAUUAGAUAAAGUUAGUUAUGUGCUUAAAUAACAUCAUUUCGGUUACUUCUCAUAUAGGCAAAGCUUAUACGGAUGAUGAGCACAAUUAAGGGAGGCUCAGGGGCUACGACCCUUCGACAUAUAUGUGAGUGGGCAGUUUUGUUUUUCGUAUAUAUCUAUAUAAAUGAGAUUUUUCCCAGAAAGUCAAUUUAAUUGAAAUGCAAUAUGAAAUGCCAUGCAAAAUAUAUGCCUAUUUAUUUACGCAUUAGUAAUUGCAUACAUGCAUGAUUGGUGUUGCGGACGCACAGGUAAGUGCCAGGUAAGUUCAUAAAUUUAAUUAUGUAAUUGUUGAGUUGAUAUGAUGGAAAGCUCAUAAACCUGCACUAGGAUGAUUGUGAUUUGAUAGAGAUGAUUCAGGCCUGUAUAUAUAGAGUCACCCCCGCACCAUAUGCUCACAAUUGGAUCCAAUUUAGGUGCCCAGUCGUACAGACCAUUAGAGGUGGUUCUGAUUCGUAGGUGACUAGCGAUUUAUCGCAUAGCUAUCAGGGGAGGAUAAUGUGAGCAUAACUAUAUUCACCCAGUCGUACAGACCUUUCCGGGGGUUUCGACUCGUGUGCAGUGUAGUGCCGUACAGGUCACUUGCGAUGACUCCGGCUAGAUUUAUUGAUAAGAUUGAUUAUGAGCUAUAGUUUCAGCCGUACAUGCCACUUUAGAUGGAUCCGGUUGACAUUAUUUUUCAUGAGCUACUUAUAUGUUUUGUUGAGAUAUAUUUUGGCAUGGCAUAUAAUUCACUACUUAUGAAUAUGGUUUUAAGACAAAUAUACGUAUUACUUAUUUCUGGGAAAGUAUACGAGUUUUACAGCGAGGGGUUAGCAUUUUGACAAUGAGAUGAUUUUUUUUUAAAGCUUUGUUUUACUGACCCACUCAAUCUUGUUUUGUGCCCCUCCAGGUUCAAGAUAGCAGAGUUUUGGUGUCCACGAGGAGUCCAACGGUGUUCUGACAAAAUUUUUAAAAGUAGGACUCACCCUCGGGGGUUACAUCUUAGCAAUUGUAUCUUAAAAGUUUCCGAACUGUGUAAAUGGUUACGUCACUCUCAUGUGACGGCCAGCAUGCCCUCCUUCGGGACGGGGUGUGUCAUUUCACCUUUCUUUCUUUAAGUCCAUAAAUUAUACCCCUUCCUUCCGUUUAAAUGCACAUCGUUUCUGCACCGAAAAUGCUUCAACAAUUUCGUCUUUUUAUUUUUUAUGUUUUUGUGUUCAAUUUCUGAUGAUUUUUCUUGAAGUAUGUAUAUCUAAUAUUAGGGUAAACUAUCAGUUAACUCUUUGAACUAUUAUUCAAGUUGAAAUUGAUUCUUGAACUAUAUUUUUUUUGGUAAAUUAACCUCCUGAACUAUUAGGCCAUCUUCAAUCAAGGGCUGGUUAGAUGGCUCAUUUUAGCCCUCUGGCCAUCUAAGAUAUUAAUAUUUUAAUGAACAGUACAUAAUCAUAUUUGCCUCCGUCUCUAACCGAGGGCCAAAGGGCCAUAGGGCUCGUUUUAGCCCUGUCACAAAAAAUCGUCUCCAACCGAGGGCCAAAGGGCCAAACAAAAUUUAUUAUUUAAAAACCACCACUUAAAUUCAAAUCCAACGACUAAGUGACGUCAAAUAUGAAACAAUUUUUGUGAAAUAGAAGUUAUAGGAAAAAAUAGAAUUUAAAAAAGUAGGAAACAAAUUUUGUAAAAUAGAAGUUAUAGGAAAAAAAUAGAAUUUAAAAAAAAAUAUGAAACAAAUUUUGUAAAAUAGGAGUUAUAGGAAGUUAUAGAAGAAAAAAAUAGAAGUUAUAGAAAAAAUUUUGUAAAUAAAAAAAUUAAAUAAAACUGUAAAAAAAAUUCAAAAAUAACAGCUAGCUGUUGUCAGCUAGCCGUUGGAUUCAAAUUUUUCUUUAAGCAAUCAUGUCGGUUAUAUUUAUAUUAAAUAUACUCUGGUCAGUUAUAACUGACAGGAUUGCUAUGAAUUUCUGGCCAGCCCUUUAGCCCUUUGGCCCUUUCAGGUUCCGUGGGGCCCACGAGCCAUCUGGCCUAAUGCUCAGUUGGAGACAGUUUUCUGGCUAUUUUCGACACUCUGGCCCUCUUGACUCUUCGGUUGGAGAUGGCCUUAGAAAUCAGUCAAUUGACCCCUUGUUGGUAGAUUUCAUCCACUAUUUCGUCAAAUCCAAAGGAAAAUUUGUCUUUCCUUGAUCAAUUAUUACUUGUCAACUAUAACCACUAAUGAAAUAAUGACAUGUGAAAACAAAAAAAAUGUGUAAUGACAAGAUGGGGGAGGGCUACAUUUGACUAGCAUGAUGCCCUUUGGCCAAAUUAUAGUCUGGUGGGCUUCGUAGAACUAGAGUCUGGUCAUCGAUUAAAUAUGAGUUUUUGGCAAAUAAUGUCUUUUUUUACUUUUAGACCUUUAGCCUUUUCCAUUAGAGAUGACUUACUAUUGGAUUUAGUAGGUCUGGCUCCUUCCGAUUGGGCCUUUUUUUUUACUGAAGCCAAUUGAUUGGCUGUUGCUACUUAAUACUAUGAUUUAGUGGUAUUCAUCUUUACUUGUAAGUGAGAGGUUUUAUGUUCGUUUCUCGCAAAAAAACGAAUUUUGAACCACAUUAUUGCUAAUCUAUUGUGAGGUUUAGUCCAUUUUCCUCAGCUCUUAGUAUAAAUAAUAUCGUUUGUCAAAAAAAAAAAAAUUAAUUGGCUGUUUUAAUAGCUCAAUGUGAAAGCCACGUGAUGACUAUGUUAAAAGAGAGAUUUUUCAGUAUGACCAGUACACGAGGUGAUGCACAACGUGUCACUAAAUAAAUUGUGGGAUAUGUGCGCUAAAAAGUUAAUAACUUAAAAAAUAAAAUUUCUCACAAUUUCUAUUGAAACACAUGGUGUACUACUUGUAUUCCCGUCACAACUAAAAAUUUCUCGUUAAAAGGCAGCAAGCAGCCAAUAGUACGAGAAAUUUCUCAGCGUGACCGAAAUACGGGAUGAUACAAUACGUGUCAUUAUACAAAUAGUGAAAUAUGUGUGUUAAAAAGUUAUUAACUUUAAAAAUAAAUUUUAUUACCAUUUAUAUAAAAAUAUGUAAUGUAUCACUCGUGUUCCGGUCACAAUGAAAAAAAAUUCUAAUAGUACAAGGCAUUGGAUGCUUUUCUUUUGGUUUCCAUCAGCAAAGAGAAAAUGUAAGCCUUUCUGGUUUCUGAAAAAUAGAGGAAGACAGCCCGAGUACUUUAUUGGUAGUAGGGGUGUUGGUGACAACACGGUUUAGUGUGGGUCAUAGUGUUAGAUUGUGAAUUUUUUUUUUGACAAAGAAAUGUUAAUAUGAUCGUUUAUGGUGGUCUAUAGUAAGGUAUACUGUUAUAACCAUGAUAUUUUGAUAUUUGUAUUUUUAAAUAAAAAUUUAAUUUUUUAUAUGAAACAAAAACGUUAAAAUAAUGAUGUAAUUAAUUUAUUACGUGUUAUCAGGUUAUAAAGUUAAAAUACAAUGUGAAGUGAGGAAUCAUUUGAGCCACGCAGCUCUAAGGUUUCGUGUGAAUAACACACCCGAGAAUAUAUAUUCAUGUUAGAAGAUCAACGGAUAAAAAAAGAUAUUUUGAUAUGAGUCCAAAGUAACUAAAAAUUAAACCUAUUUCAAAAGUUAAAAGUUACUAAAAAUUGGAUUUAUUUUAAAAGUAAGCUUAUAAAAUUGAACCUAUUUCAAAAUUUUCCUUUUUAAAAAAAAAAAUUAUGUUCCGUUAAUUCGUUUGUUACCAAUGUAAAAAAGUAAAGAACUAAUGCAGCCAAUAGUACAAGGCAGUGGAUGGUUUUCUUUUGGUUCCCAUCAGCACAGAGAAAAAGAAAGGCAGCCUAUGCCCUUCGGUUCCUAGAAAACAGAGAAAGAUGGACACUUGGACAGCCGCAGUUUUAUCUGUUGGUAGGAGUGGUGUGACAACACGGUUCAGUGUGGGUUAUAGUGUUAGAUGAUGAAUUAUUUUGUUGACAAAGAAAAGUUGUAUAUGAUUGUUUGGAUGAGUUAGGGCUGGUUUGGUAUUGUUGUGCUCUGAAAAAAAGUAGUUUUUGCUAUGAUGUGGGAAUAAGCGGCUGUGAAAUAAAGCAGCAGAGUGUUUGGUAAACUUUUAUGUAAAACAGCUGUGACUGUGUGAAAUGACCAAAAAAGGUAUAAUACUAUAUAUGCUAUUAAUUUAAUUUUCUUAACAAAUAAAGAAUAAUUACUAAAUAUACUUUAUUUUUAAAAGAAAAAUAUUUAUAAAUUUUAUCUUAAAUAUUAAUUAGUAUGACAAACUACUUCAAUUGAAAUAUUUUAGACUGCAUAGCUAGGAUUCAUUAGUACAUUAUUGUUAAUGUACUUGAAAGUAGUCUAAUUAAAUGCAUUCAUCAAACUUGCCUCUAUAAUUGAUUAGAAUACCUGGUUCAAGGAGAUAUGUGACGAAGUAUGUGUCACAAAACACUAAAUUCAAUGAACGAAAUUGGUAAAAACAUUACGAACCGUUUAUGUAUUUGUUAUAAUAGAUUGACUAAACGACCUUAGUUUUAAUUUAUUUUUUUGCAGAUAUGAUCUUUACCGUGUGAUUCAUAGUAUGAACAAUUCUAAUCAUAAACACAAAACUAUGUAAUUAAAACACUAAGAAUUUUGAAUAAAAAUUCAUACUCAUCUUUGAGUGAUUUUAUACCUUUUCCUUCCCUUUUCUAGGGUUUGAAUGCACAUGCGCCGAAAGUGGUUAGCAAAUUCGUUUUUUCAUUUUUUUGUUUUUUUCGUCGUCCUUUUCUUUCGUUUGAAUGCACAUGGUUUUUGCCCCUUUUCUUACGUUUGAUUGCACUGGCGGUAUAUUAUUACUCUUUUCUUCCCUUUUCUUACGUUUGAUUGCACAUGAUUUUACAAUGUGAUCGAUACACGAGAUGUUACAUCACUCAUAUUAAAAUACAUGAUGUAUCACUUGUGUUCCGUUAUAACUAAAAAUUUCUACUUUUAUAGACGUUAGCCAUUGGUGAUAAAAUACAAAACAAAGAAUAGAAAGCUUCUGUCUCCUCUCUAUCCCUCUCUCUCUCUCUCUCUCUCUCUCUCAGAAAAUCAGAAUCAAAGGGGGUUGCUUUUUGCUUGUUCAAAGUCUUCUCUGCCCUUUCCGUCAACACCAAAUUGGUAAUUUCGCAUAAACGAUUGCCCUUUUAUUUUUCUCUUGGUCCAAAUUCAAUCGAAUUAUUCUUAUAUUUUUCUCAGAAAAUAAGAAUCAAAGGUGCUUGCUUUUUAAUUUUUGUCCUCCGUUGCGUGUUUGUGACUUUGUGCACAUGCUCAGUAAGAAGUAGUACAAUUUCAAUUUUUCUGUACUAAAAUCUGAUCUAGUCUCAGGUUCAACUAUAGAUCAGAUUCGCUCUCUGCUCUGUAAUCAAAUACUCGUUGGCUCCAUUUUGGCUUCGUUCUCUUCUCUCUAAGAGAGAGAUGGAGUUGAUUGAGUUCAUUCAAGUUUUCACAUCAUCGUCAUCGCCAUCGGGACUCUGUUGUGCAUGUUGGGUAGAUCAUUGACAUUUUCUACGUCGACUUCUUCUUCUUCUGGUGCUGCUGAUGCUGUUGUUGAGGAUAACAAUGAUGAUGAUGAUGUUGCUAUCCCCCCUCUUCGAGAAAAGUAUGAUGUGUUUCUUAGUUUCAGAGGUGAGGACACUCGCCCUACUUUUACCAGCCAUCUUCGUGCUGCUUUGGAAAGGAAGAAAUUCGAAACCUACAUAGACGAAAAGCUGAAGCCAGGAGACGAAAUUGGACCCACCCUACUAAAAGCAAUCAAGAAAUCAAGGCUUUCGGUGAUAAUUUUCUCCAAAAACUAUGCGUCUUCCACAUGGUGUUUGAGUGAACUUGUGCAUAUACUCAAAUGCAGAAAGAAAAAAGGCCAGAUGGUUGUACCCAUUUUUUACGACAUCAAUCCAUCAGAUGUGCGAAAACAAGAGGGGAGUUAUGCAGAUGCAUUUGCUCAACUUGAAAAACGUUUCAAGGACGGUAUGGGCAAGGUGCGCAAGUGGAGGAAAGCUUUGAGGACUGCAGCCAAUAUUUCUGGGUUCGAUAAUUCAAACAAAAAAAGGUAAGUAACUUUGUAACUUGUAUCAAUUUCUACUUGUGACUAUUUCUUUUCAAUUUUUUUUCUUUAAAUUUUUUUAUAGGAACCAUAUUCAUUAUAUAGACUUCAACUACCUGAUUUAGGUAUUUAAAAGUAGGAAUGUAUAAAAGCUAGAGUGAAAUUUUGUGUUUGUUAAGUCUGCCGUUGAAAAUCCAAAAUGGAAAAGCAUAUCAGUUGAAUUGCAUACUAUCUGCCGUCGAAAAUCCAGAAAUCAUUGGCCUUCAGAGUCGAAACAUACAACCUCCACCUCUGCCUGACUAGACCUGAAAUUCCAACCCCGAAUUCCUCGCGCAGCCCUGAAAUUCCGACCCCCGAAUUCCGCCACUCUAAAACAAAUCUUAUAGACUAAUGAAGGCAUUACUUACUAUAUAUUGCUUCUCAUUUGUAAUCAUAUUUUGCAGGACGGAGGCCGAUUUAAUUGAGAAACUUGUGGAAGAUAUUUCAACGAAAUUGAAACGUGAAACCUCAUAUGACUUAAAUGGCCUGGUUGGAAUUCAAAGCCGCAUCGAGCAAGUUGAAUCGUUAUUAAGCAAUAAUGAUUCGCAAGGUGUUUGCACUGUAGGCAUUUGGGGUAUGGGUGGCAUUGGAAAGACCACCCUUGCUCAGGCUGUGUUCAAGAGACUCUCUUCUAAGUUCGAAGCUUGUUGUUUUCUUAGCAAUGUUAGGGAGAAAGCAGAGCAAACAGAUGGAGUCAAUCAACUGAAAAAAACACUUCUUGAAGAGAUCUUAAACGAACGGUCUAUAGAUUCGACUUCUGUUCGAGAAAGGCUCAGCCGUACAAAGGUUCUCAUUGUUUUUGAUGAUGUUAGUGACUGGAGGCAAAUAAAAGAUGUAGCUGGAGACAAUCUUCGCUACAGCGAUGGAAGUAGAAUCAUUGUAACAAGUAGAGAAUGGAGCGUACUCAUGAAAGCUGUUAAAGAGAGAAAAUAUAUAUAUCAGGUUGAGAAAUUUAAAACUGAUGAUGCUCUUCGGCUCUUUCAAUCUCAUGCCUUCAAGGAUAACUCUCCUAGAGCAGAAUAUAGAGAGUUGUCCGCAAGGGUGGUAAAAUAUGCUGGAGGCAUUCCACUGGCUCUUGAAGUUUUGGGUUCCUUAUUGUUUCCAUGUGUGAGCAAAGACGAGUGGGAAGAUGUAUUGAGCACACUGAUAAAUUAUCCCAAUGAAGAAAUUCAAAAUACGUUCAGAGUAAGCUAUAAUAGAUUAGGAAGAAAUGCGCAGGACGUAUUUCUUGAUAUAGCAUGCUUUUAUAAAGGGGAGCGUAUUGAGGAUGUACAAAAGAUGGUAGACUUUGGCCAAAUGCAUGGUGGUUCAUGUGCGGCAGAUGGAAUUAGAGUUCUCCGUGAUAGGUCUCUCAUAUCGAUUGAUUCGGCAUGGAAAACCAUAGAGAUGCAUGAUUUGGUACAAGAAAUGGGUUGGGCAAUUGUUUGCGAACAAUGUAUUGAAGAGCCCGGCAAACGUAGUAGGCUGUUCAGAGCUGAAGAUGUCUAUCAUGUAUUGAAAAAUAACACGGUAAGAUCCGAAAGUGCAUUCACUUUUUCUUUUAAACAAUAAAGAAAAGAAAGAGAUGAAUAAAAUACCGUGUACUUCCUAUGAGAAGGCAGCUAGAGAAAACUCAUUUACAAGAAAAAUAAGUCAUAUUCCUACAAAUGUAGUUUAGAUUAAAUUUUGUUGUGUGUUAGUGUGUUCACAUUUGUACUUUGUUGUUGGUUGUCAGGGAACUGAAAAGGUUCAAGCCAUAUCCUUUAACAGGUCCAUCUUUGGGCCUGGGCACAACGUGGAUCGUGCAGACUUUAAAAAUAUGUAUAAUCUGAGAUUGCUCCGUCUUGAUAGUUAUUAUACACUUCACAUGUCUAUAGAUUUCUACAAAUUUGAGCUUACUCUAUCUCUUCCCAAUUCUCUUUGUUAUCUUUCCUGGAAGGGAUGUCCUUUGAAAUCUUUGCCCCCAGAAUUUUCUCUUGAAAAUCUUGUUGAGCUUCAUAUGCCCUACAACAGAGUCACGCAACUUUGGGAUGGAGGCCAGGUAUAUGUGCUUGUUAUAGUUUUUUUUUGUCUAAGAUGUAGUGUAGAAACUUAUUCAGACUAAGUUGUUAAUUCUUACCUUUUCUCUUUAAUUUGUUACAGAAUCCUAUCAACUUAAAAGUGCUCAAUCUUCAUUCCUCCUUGUGUCUGACUGCACUUCCACACCUCUCGAGGAGUCCAAAUAUCGAGCACAUGGAUCUUUCUGGAUGUAAAAGUUUGGUUGAAAUUCCUCAGUAUUUUAAAAAUCUUAACAAACUUACUUAUCUUGAUCUUUCAAUGUGCGAGCGUCUCGAAUAUCUUCCAGAGAUGCCAGGCAAUAUUGAAUUCUUAAGAUUACAAGGCAGUGGCAUAAAGGAGUUGCCGUCAUCAGUUUGGUCUCAUGAAAAAAUUUCUUCCUUGGAUAUUACAUUUUGUGAAGAACUUAAGGAACUUCCAAGCAACACUUGCAAGCUGAAAGUCUCUGGUGCUUUUAGUCUAUAUGGCUGCUGCUCUCUUGAAAAGGUUUGGGAGCUUCCCAGGGGUAUUGGUGAAUUAGAUUGGUCUCGCACAGCAAUAAAAGUAUUGCCCACAUCAUCAAUGGAGCGUCUCUCUUGUCUCACCAGACUUAAACUGCAUUGUUGCAUUUAUCUUGCAAGUCUCCCACGGAGCAUUUGUAAGUUGAAAUCUCUUGAGGAACUUGAUCUCACUGGUUGCUAUGAACUAAAAGUUGUUCCAAGUAGCAUCUACAAAUUAACAAAUAUCAAAAUGCUCAGCUUUAGUUACUGUCGGAAACUUCGAAAUUUUACUCAGCCGACUGGCUCAGUUGGUUUUCUCUCUCUUGAAGUACUAGACCUCAAAUACAGCGGUAUAUUAGAAAUCCCUGAGGGCUUCAUUUGCUCAACCUCAUUACGGGUUCUUAAGCUGGAAGGAACCAAAAUUCGGAGCAUACCCUCAAGCAUUAAACAAGCUCCUCAGCCGACUGGCUCAGUUGGUUUUCUCUCUCUUGAAGUACUAAACCUCAAAUACAGCGGUAUAUUAGAAAUCCCCGAGGGCUUCAUUUGCUCAACCUUAUUACGGGCUCUUAAGCUGGAAGGAACCAAAAUUCGGAGCAUACCCUCAAGCAUGAAACAAGCUUCUCAGCUGUCUUGCCUGUGCUUAAUCGGCUGCACGAGGCUUCAAUCUUUACCAGAGCUCCCAAUGCUCAGUUGUCUUCAAGCAAAUGGCUGCAAGUCACUGAAGACAGUGUCGAGUUCAAGGACUGCAAUUACACAAUGUUGGAAUAGAUGUGAAUUACUUCAAGAGCUACUUGACUUUUCGGGUUGCCCAAGGUUGGGUGAUGAUGCAAGGAGCAGCAUAAUGGUUGAUGCACAGCUUAGAAUCAUGCGAGUGGCAACUGCGGCUUCAAAGUUAAAAGAAGAGGAAGAUUACGUACGUCUCUCUCUCUCUCUCUCUCUCUCUCUCUCUCUCUCUGUUAAGUAACAUGAUGUCAAUCAAUGUUGUAGGGAAAGUUUAAAGAAGAGGAAUAUUACGUAUGUCUCUGUGUGUGUGCGUGCGUGUGUUAAGUAACAUGAUGUCAAUUAAUGUUGCAGGAUGAGUCUUCUGAGCCCUUUGUUAUCAUUGUGUGUCCGGGAUCUGAACUUCCAAAUUGGUUCGUACAUCAAAAUGAGGGGGCUUCAAUAAAUGUCACACUUCCUGCAAAUUGGUUUCGUGAAGGCUUCUUGGGUUUCGCUCUAUCUGUUGUUACAGCCAAAGCAUUAUUGUUCUGUGAAUACAUGUUCACUUUCAAAACUGAAGAGGGGGAAAGUCUUGAAAUCAAUUGUGUGCGCGAUGUUCUGGAAACCGAACCUUCAGAGAAUGUGUGGGUAUGGUAUACAGAACUUGAAUAUGAAGAGGGAGCAAACUGGUCCUCUGCUUUUUUCGACCGUGUCACUAAGGUCUCUGUUCACUUCCAACCGAAAACAUUAUUCGAUCAUGAAGUGAAAAAGUGUGGGAUAUGCCUGUUGUAUGCCGAAGAUGCUGAGAAAUUAAAAUUUGAUGUCAUGUCGCUACAAGAACAAUAUGAGCCUGCAGCAAGUAGGAGUGGUGAUCCUGAAGCCAGUGGAAGUGAUGAAUCUGAGGAAUUAAGUGGAAGCGAUGAAUCUGAGGAAGCAAGUGGAAGCGAUGACUAUGAGGGAGAAAGUGGAAGCGACGAGGAAGCAAGCGAUGAGUCUGAGGAAGCAAGUGGAAGCGAUGACUAUGAGGGAGAAAGUGGAAGCGACGAGGAAGCAAGUGAUGAGUCUGAGGAAGCAAGUGGAAGAGAUAAGUAGGAGCAAGCAAGUGGACAUGACGAGUCUUUUGCUGGUUCAAGCCUCUCCUAAACUUCAAUCAAAGAAAUAGUUAAAGAUAGAAAAUCGAGUUCAUCCAGUAUUCAACCACAAUUCCACAAUACAAUAGAAGGUACGUAGUUGAAAUUGACAAUUAAAAUUAUAUGUAAGUACUAGCAAUUGGGCUCACACGAUGUCGCGGGUUUUAAAACGUGUGAAAUAUAUUAAAAAUUGUCUACAUCUAUCUCAAAAUCUAUUUACAUCCUAAUGUUCAAUAAGAAACAAAAUAUAGGUAUGUGAUAUACUGAAUAGUAAUGCCCGCAUGUUGCUGCGGGAUUAGAAUUUGACUAUCCAUAUUGGCAUCUUAAUAUAAAUCUUAGUAUAAAACAAAGAUCAAUCUCAUGCACUGAAAACUAAUGUGAUUAGUUGCCAUAGAUGCAAACACAAUAAUGCUGAAACCCCUUAUAAAGUUACAUAUGCAUCAAACAUUUUUAAUCUAAAAGUCUAGAAAUCACAAGAAAAACAAAUGUUGAGCCUACAGUAAUCUCAGACAACAAUCUCUAACAAAAAUUUGACCAUAAAAUGUAAACCCAUCUCUGAAUCAAUAUCAAUCUUCUUCCUCAACAAAAAGUUCACUAUUUCUUGCAAAAACACACAUACCCAUCUUGUCAUUUGCAUCUGAAACCCCAAGUUUCUACCAUAUCACAAUACAAUGGCAGCAAGCCCAAUUUUCUACUGUAAAAGUUUGUGUGACAGAAGAUCAAUGUAUUUUGUGUUGACAAUGCUAAGUAUAUUUUCAUAUAUGAAAUAUUUUAUUGAUACAGUUUAUACGGAGAAAGAUGAUAUGAAUGGAAAGAGAUUAGAAUCUUCCCAAUAUUUUAGCUGAGAGGUUGGGGUAAAGGAAUAUGGUCAAUCAGAAAUUGUUUGUAGCCUUCUUCUUUGCAUCAGUGGCUUUGCUAAACUAUAAUUUUUUUAAAAAUAAGACAAACCAACCAUUACUGUUAUGCUCCUUGCUGCAGUCAAGUCUCAUGAUUAUAAAUAAAACCAGACGAGCAUAUAAACCCAAAAAGAACAGUGUAAAAAUAUACUGUUUAAGAGUUGACUGCAUCUUUGAAUACUGAAAGUAAGAAUAUAGAGGAAUCAGUACAGAAAAUUUAAAAUAUACCAAGUAUUGUUGUGUGCUCAUCCGAGAGGGAAUUUUGUGAUCACUCAAUUUCAAGUCUGGCCUCUCUUUCCUAAUGAGAGAUUCUACCGCAGCCUGAUAGACAUAUUCAAACAUUUAAUAAUCUACAGAAAUUAACUAAACUCAACCACAUUGAAUAUCAAAACCACCUACUUACCAUCUUAUCCAACUCUUAUUUCGUAAAUUUUUCUGGUAAAGAAGCAUAGUUUAUCCUGAGCUCUGCAAUAAAAUAAUUCAAUUCUUCUUUGCUUUUCAAUAAGAUCCCUACAUUCAAACAAACAUAAUUACUCUACUAAAUAACUUCAAUGUAAAAUGCAAAGAUAUAACAUAAAAGGACAGUGAAUAAUUCAAAAAUCAAACUGUUAAAGCAACAGACUGAUACUGUGAUACACUUAACUUGCCAAUUUAUAUACUAUAUAACAAUACUAAAUCAAGUAAUCUAUGAAGAUUAGGAAUGGAUUGCAAAAGCAGAAAACUUAUUUGACAUGUAUUAAAAGGAUACACAAAUUCUUAGCCAAUCAGCAUGAAAAAGGUAUAGAAAACUAAUUUGAUUUGUUAACUUUGGAAAACUGGAGAGAUAAAAAAGGAAUUCUUAGUUUUUAGUAUGACAACCAAGUGAUUUCGUUGUUUACGGGAUUCAUGUGUGUCGUUAGGAUUGCCAAAAUUAGUGAUUUUAGAGUUUGGCAACAAAUUACAGAAUUGGACUCAAGUUUAUUAACAUGUGAUCUAAACUUGUGAUCCAACUAAACUAAUUUGGAUACACUUAGCAAAGAAAUAUGCAUACCAUAUGACAAUAUUGAAUCAAGUUAUUUGCAAAGAUUUAAAAUGCAUUGUAAAAAGAAAAAAUUUUAUUUUAUAUGUAUUAAAAAAUGAUAAACAAAUUUUUUAUUGAUCAGUAUAAAAAAGGUGUUAAGAACUAAGCUAAUCUAUUAAGUUUGGAAAAAUUGGACAGAUAAAAGAGAGUUUUUAAUCCUUACUAUAACUAAAAUAACUAUGUUAUUUCAUUAUCAAAUAGGAUCCAUACGUGUGAUGUGGGUUAAGAAAAUCACUGAUUACAGAAUCUGCAAGAAAUCAUCAAAUUGGAUUCGAACUGACCAAUUUUUUAUUCAAAUAAGCUAAGAAAAGGAGUUGGAAUCAAACUAACCUCCGUUUUCUAUAUGCAGCAAACUGCAUCUUGUUUUUCGUUAACAACAUACCAUUCACUCUGUAGUCUGUACACACCAAAAAACAGUAAACACCUCAUUCAGUACUAACAGCCAGUUCAAUCAAUUAAUUAUUUAGACAAUUUUCAACGAUUCCGAAGCUUAGACAAAAAUUGCACGAGGAAAUUGAGAUUAUAUGCAAUUGUAUGUCAAAUAACCUGAAAAUACCAUAUAUCCAAUAUUAAGUGCAUACACCUAAAAACUAAUCUUUAUAUAUACUUUAAAAUAAUACAGAUCAAUGUAAUCUAAAACAUUGGAAACAUUAUCAUACAAUUAAAGAAUCACAAUGCAGAAAAUUUUCAUUCCAAUAUUUUCAGAUAACUUUUCACCCGACAACAUUGUAGUUCAAUCUCCAUCUUUAAGGGUCAUCAAAAAUUAAAGUAGUCAGUACAGCACACUCACAACAGAUAUGCUCUCAGAAAAACCAAAGAGAGAACCGCACUGGGCUGCUCAACUAUCCAAUUUAUACCAGAUCCAACAUUUUACAUCCGUUCAGUCCCCAACCACAAGGUUGAUUCCAAUUCAACCCUCUUAUUCAUUCUCUCCGUUUACAUCUCCAACGCACAAUCAUACAUGUCAAGACAAAAGAUAAGAUUCAUAAAUUUGGGUCUAUAGCUCUUGGAUCCAAAUCUCAUUGAACCAACCCCAUUCUCCUAAACUAAACAUAAAAUUGUUUCAUGACCAAUGUCUUCAACUUAUUUUUGGAUAAAUGUCAAGGUACCCAAGAACUACCAGUGAAACAACCGCAAAGACUCAAAGUUCCACAGUAAUAUAUUAUCUGCAACUAAUAAAAAAUUAACCAACUCGAAAUCAAAUAUAAACCCAAAUGAAUCCGAACCCACCAAGCAAAACAGAAAAAAACCCUAAAUAGACAAACAAUCAAACAUAACCAAAUGCGUAGCUUCAAAAAUUUCAUUUUAAAGCCAAUUAUGAAGCACAAAAUGUUAGCCCAAAAUGGAAAAAGAGGUAAAAACGAAGCAAAAGCCAAAGAGAGAGAUGGAUACCUUUCUGUCUCCUCCUCUCUGUGCAAGCGCUCUUUCUCUCUCCCUCUUUCUCUUUCUGAAUCCUUCCCUCUGUGCAAGCCCAUACUCACCAACAGCGUGUAUCAAAGGAAAUCUCAACUUCUCACUGCAAGGAUUUGCUCGAAAACGAAGUAAUAAGAUAGGUUCAGAGCUAGCACUAGCUAAAAAGGCUACUCCAAAAGCAAUUAUCUAAAAACCUGUCACUGAUACAAAAAAUAAGAAGUGAUUAGCAGUGAUUCAGGGGCACUCUUAUAAAUUGUAAUUGCAAGGCAAGAUCAGAAUUGAUUUGCAAAGACUCAUAGGUACUCUUAUAAUUACCAUCUUUAACUUCAUUUUGUGUAAUAUGUAUUACCACAUACAAUAUUGUUGUAUAAACAGCCCAAUACGAAUUUUGAUUUCAGUGGACUCAAAUAGCGCACACAAUAACUAAACCGCAAAAAGAAUCAAAACACCAAGCAUAAAGAAAAGACACACCACACGUACAAUAGCUCAAAGAUUUAUAGUGAGUCUGUAAACAAUGAGAAAAUUGUUAUGAACCCAAUUUGUAAUUGAGGUUUAUGCUUAAGGUAAAGAGUCAAAUUAGUUGUAAUUGAGGGUUUUUACUGGUUAUUAGGGGAAUUUGAUAGAAAUGCCAGCUGGCAGUCACACUUCAUGUAUAAGAGCACCUGCUCUUUGGUUUGAAACAGAACAUAAUUUUACAGAACAAAUCAAUACAAAAAUAUUGGAGCUCUACUCCUCCUAUCUUCCUCCUUCCUUCUUUUCUAUGUGCAAUAGUUAAGGUUUGAGUUAGGGUUUGAGAUUUGGGUUCUAACAAUGGUAUCACCCAUAUCGAUUCCUGGAUUCCCUUCUGUGCGCACCCGCCGAUCCGCUGCUACUUGCGACUCUGCCUUGGAGUCCCGUCUUGAUGCCGUGGAGGCUUCCUUGGCGGCUCUCAUCGCCUCUUUACCUUCCCUCAUCGCCACUGAGUACGCCAAGGCCUUCGACAAUGUCUUCGAUGACUCUUUUGAAAAAUUUCGUCGGGGAAUGCUUUCUCGAGGUGCCGCAGUAGGCAUCUCUGCCCUUCUUGCCAUUGAUCAUCAUGUUUCUCCUGCGAUUGAGCCUAUCCAGCUACCUCGGAGCCCAAUUUGUGCUGAAGAAGCCUAAUCGCAGCUUAUUCCGUUGACAAUCCAAGCUCCACUGCUGCUCUCAUCUUCACCGUUGUUGCGAGCACUGGCAACUUCGGCCGUCAAGCCACACUCGAAACACCCCGCUGCAGCUACAGUUUCAUUUACGGAAUCGAAGACGGGGAUUCAUACUUCGAUGAUGACCUCUGCUCCGCCACUACUCCAUGAGCACCCGUUCUCUGAUACUACGAAAACUGGACCUGAGGUAGUUCUUAAUUUGAGUAUCAUUUUAGCAACUCCGGAGGCUACAUUCCCUUCUCUUUUGACUGAUUACUACGGUGCAUACCUGAAAGAUAAAUUUGGAUGGGUUAAUUGGUAUCUUGUGGGUAAAUUUGUGAAGAAAAAUUUAUAUGCAUUGGAUAUGUUUGAUGAAAUGUCUAAGAGACAGAAUGACAAUAUGUUCAUUCAGCCACUGGUUCACAGUAUUGAAGUUCUCCAUCUCGACUAUCUUGCCAUCCAGCUCCAUUAUUUUGACUUAAAUUGCUACCUUGGUUUUGAAUAUGGAAGUACAAUUGCUUUAGGUAGAGUUUUUGCUUGUUCAUCUAGUUUUAGUCAGAAGCCUAUGUUUGGAGCAUUUGGGUCCAAUCUUGCUCAAACAAGUCCUUUUGAAAGUCCAACUCAAACAUCACAAGCAGCAUUUGGGGGCAGUAUAAUUGGUUCAUCCACGCCAAUUGGUGACAUGUGUUACUGUAAUGGCAUUUGGGAUAAGGGUGGAGGCUUUAAAUUCAACAAAAUGCAAUUGAAGAUGGCGGUGGCUCGAAUAAAGCUGCUGAGGAACAAGGGGCAGGUGGUAGUGAAGCAAAUGAGGCGUGCCAUUGCCUUGCUCCUACAAUCUGGUAAAAACGCUACUGCUCGAAUUCGGGUUGAACAUGUGAUUAGAGAACAUAACACUUUGGCUGCCAAUGAGUUCAUUGAGCUCUUCUGUGAAUUAGUAAUAUCUAGACUUUCUAUCAUCGCAGAGCAAAAGGAGUGUCAGCCUGGUCUCAAAGAAGGAAUUGCUAGUUUAAUCUUGGCCUCUUCUAGGUGUUCUGAGAUUUUGAAACUGAUCUCACUAAGGCAUAUUUUUUAGGAAAAGUAUGGUAAAGAUUUUGUAUCUGCGGCUAUUGAUGUACGUCCCUGCUGUGGUGCGAAUCACAUGUUGUGGUGUGAAGGAGGACAUAUGCAGUUUGUAGACCCAACUUCAAACUCUGCCAGUUAUGCAAUGGCUGCUGCACAAGUUGCUGCAUAUUUGGCCAACACGGACUACAAUCAAGACAAUAAUAUUGUAUCUCUCAAGAAAAUAAAAGAAGCUUCCCUGUUGAGUUUGAUAGUUUCCUUACGAUCGAUAUGUGAGGGCAGAUUUCAAUCUUUUGACCAGUUUCUGUCUCGUGAAUAUUGUAUAUCUCUUGCUGACAAUAUAGAAAGUAAAGUCAAGGUGAGGGAGGAAGGUUAUUCUCAACUCUUUUCUGAAGUGCAUAAAUUUGCUGAUGUGAUUUCCGAAUUCAACAAUAUGGUUUCUGCAAUUCCAGCGAUGGUUACACAGUCUAAUGAGCUUAAGCUUAAGUUCGAUGAAGGGUCCACAAUGAGCAAGCUUUGGAUUGUGAAUGUGGGUGGCAAUGAGAGUCCAGCAAAAACUGAAGUUCUAGGGAAAAGCCUUAAGGAAGCUCAAAACGUCAAUAAAUCUCUUUCAGCUCUUGGGGAUGUGAUCUCAGCUUUGUCAAGAAUUAAGGCUUUGAACCGGGUGGGACAUGUGGAUGAAGACAAUGCCAAGGCCAUAUCCUUGUUUGAGAAUGUAGUGGACCUUAGUGAUGCUAUUGAAGAUGAAGUCAAGUGGGUAGAGAAUCUGAUUAGAGGAAUAGUUGCUGGAAAUAUAUUUGAUCUUGGUUAUGCACAGCUUGCAGAAGUUCUCUCAAAGAAGGGUAUGUCCUUUUUAGUUACUUGUCAAAAUCUUAUCCCUCAACCUUGGGUUAUCGAUGACUUAGACGUGACAAUGGUUGUGUGUGUAAGAUCUGCGUGCAGGCAUUCGGGUGCAUUAGACCAUGGAAUAAUGGUGUACUCUGCCUGCUCUAUAAAUUCACUUGGAAAUGAAGAUGUGGUUGCUGAGAUUUUACGGAGAGGUGGUGGGGCUCUUCACGGUAUCAAAUUACAAGGAAUAUCAACGUCCAUUGAAGAUAAGAGCAAGAAAAAUAACCCUCUUGUCUUCUUAGAUAUAUCAAUUGAUAGGGACCCUGUGGAACAAAGCAAGAAGAACCCUCAUGUCUUCUUAGAUAUAUCAAUUGAUAGGGACCCUGUGGAACAACUUGUUAUUGAGUUUUUUGUUGAUGUUGUUCAUCAGACAACAAGGAAUUUCAGGGCUCGCUGUACAGGUGAUAAGGGAUCAACAUGUCAUCGAGCAAUAAAUGGUGUUGAGAACAACAUCAAAUGUGUGGUCAGAAUUUAUCCAAUGCUUGAAACGGCAAACAUUGUUGAUGUGCAGGACUUGAGUUUUAUUAUGGAACUUGGGAAUAAAAGUGAUAUGGUGCUGAAUAUUUUGCAGCCUAGCUAUAAUGUUGUGAGAAAUGAUGCUAUGGACCAAGAAGGUAAAGGAACAAAUGGAGUUGAGCCUCAUGACUUAUGACCCAUUAUAUUUGAGUUACCUCUCCUUGAUCCUGAGGAAGUCAACAAUGGUGUGCUUGAGAUGUCUGAACUAAAUGCUAUGGCUGAGAAGGUAAUUGCAGUGCGGAAUAAACAAGUAGCUAUUGAUGGUGAGGUUGUUGCUAUGACUGUUGAUGGAGUGAAUGAGGAACCUACUUUGAAACUUGCUGAUAUUGGGAUUGCAAUGGACAUUUCUGGAACUGGAGGAGAGUGCUGCUGCGUUUAAACAAGUUUCCACAGUUUCUUUUUUAAGCCUUGAGGACAAGGCUAAUUUUCAAGGGGGAAAUAUUGUUAUGAACCCAAUUUGUAAUUGAGGUUUAUGCUUAAAGUAAAGAGUCAAAUUAGUUGUAAUUGAGGGUUUUUACUGGUUAUUAGGGGAAUUUGAUAGAAAUGCCAGCUGGCAAUCACACUUCAUGUAUAAGAGCACCUGCUCUUUGGUUUGAAACAGAACAGAAUUUUACAAAACAAAUCAAUACAAAAAUAUUGGAGCUCUGCUCCUUCUAUCUUCCUCCUUCCUUCUCUUCUAUGUGCAAUAGUUAAGGUUUGAGAUUUGGGUUCUAACAAAAAUUUACCAGAAAUUUCAAAUCUUUUGGGGGUUCAAAGUAAUUAUCAGAGAGACGAAACCAAAAAUCAAAAUUAGGCCGAUUUUUUCAAAACCACAACAGCUCCGAUCUGAGAAAUACAGUAAAAUUUCUGGAAAAAAAAAAAAAGGAGUGAGGAAACCCUAAAACCCCAAGAACCCUAAUUUAUAAACCCCCAAACAAACCGAAAAAAAGGAAAUUCGAGGAAUUCAACAUACCUUAAUCGGAGCGAGGACGCUUUUCGACGGCUGAAUUCAUCGAUGACAGAGGUGGUUGUCGACCGUCGCUGUACCUCCAGUACGCGUCCGCCGUGUAUGAGGGUUGUCGACCGUCACUACUUGGUUUGUGGGCUUCACGUCGAGAGAUGGGGAGCGGAGACAGAGGAAGAGCAGAGGAAGAACGCAGACCAAGGAAAGAAAGAGGAAGGAGAGUGCAGAUCACGCGAUGGCACCGAUUAGAUGUUUUUUUUUUUUUGUAAUUAAAGUAAAAUCAAAGGGCAAACUUGUGACUGUAAUUAAGCUACAACAAUUCCCCUCCAACUUCAUGAUAGACUAGAAAAAUUGUCCACGCUCUGCUACGGGUUUUCAAACUAUAAUUGACAACAACCCUGGAUAAUAUUCAUAGAAAAGUACACUCAAACAAUUGCAUUCUCAAAUGUAGCAAUCUAGAUAACGCACAUUUUACUCGAGCAAUUCCCACAAAACCACAAAUUAACACAUUCAACUCCAAGCAAUUGAAAAACCAAGAGAUAGAUGAAUCAACAUGGUAAAAAUUUCAAAGACUAAUUCUAAAGUUUUCUCUAAUAAAUAAAUGUUGGCUGAAUGAUUGAUUGCUAUUGAGAAAAGAAAGCACCUUGACAGAGUGGAAGCAAUCUUAUCGUGUGUGUUAAGCUUUUAUGAUUAUUGGAAGCAAUCAUGAGCUCUAUGUGUUAUAUAAUUUUGUUUGGUCUUUGAUGAAAGGUGUUUAAUUAUUUUGUAGGUACAACUUUGCAGCGCUACCACAUUUAUGACCUUACUAUAUGAUCUACUUUCUUGGGGCUCAUUUGAUGUCUAGGACUCGGUAGACUCAAACAGCGUUGAAUAAAAAAUGGAUGUACACUUGCAUACUUUGUCACUAGCUAGUGUUGUUAGUUUACAUGCUCUUUUGUGUGUGCUGUGUGGAUUUGCAGGUUAUGAGUUAUAUAUAGAUACAUCAUAGCUAUAAUCUAUGCCAAGAACAUUUGCAUAUUGCGACUUGUCGGUUUUCUUAGGUAAUGGAUACGACUGCUUCUUUGCUUUUGCUAUUCCCGCUGAGGAAAAGUACAAUAUGUGUUUCUUAGCUAUAACUAGCAGGAAUGCCCGCGCUUUGCCGCGGGAUUUGAAACCGUCUCUACCAUCAACCAAAAUAAUUCUAUAAUUUAAACCAUCCAAACUUGUUUAACAUAGUUUUUUGUCUAUCAUUAUAUAUUUCCUCUCACAAUUUUUAUGGAAUAAAAUUCUAAACAUCAAAAAAUUUAAACAAAAUUUUGCAACUAAUCUUUGCAUUUAAGCACGUUCAAAACCAGUGGCUCUUUCAAAUUUUUUCUAAACAAAGAAAAGGAAAAGUGUUCAUCACUGAUAUUGUGCAUCCAAUAUUCCAAUGUACUGGUUUCUUGUCCACCUUCUCCUCCUAACCCUUUUAUCAAUAACCCAUCUCAUUAUGUCCCUCAGAGACUCGAAACCCAAUUCCAACGGUCCAUUUAACACCUCCUAAUAUCAAUUCCUAAAAAAAUAAAUACAAAUGCAAAAUCAGCAGCGCUUUCAAAUAUUUUAAAGGGAACGUAGGAAAAUAUUAUCAAGAAAGAUGCGAACGAAGUAUAUUCAUCACUGAUAUUGAAGAGAAAACGAAGUGUAUUAGUAUAUUCAUCUUUCCCCAUUCCUUGUAAAGUUGAGGAAUUUUUUCUUAACAUCUGAACGGAAAGUAAAAUAACACUAACACACUCAAUUACAGCACACAUAAGCUCGUGAACAAAUUAUCAUUUCCAAACUGCCAUGAGAGUUUACUAAUCAUAAAUCUAUGUAGAAGUUGAAAUUCAAUCCAAAAUAAACAUUAGGCACAUCAUCAAAAACCAGCAGCACAACUACCCUAUUGAAAAAUGCCUAUUUCACAAAACAUUUAAUGAAUAUUUUAAUUCAGAAAUUUCUGCAAACCACAAUUGAACACACCGAUCUCUAUAUAAUUCAGGAACCAAUCAAAGCAGCUGAAUACACAUGGUAAAAUAAAUGUUUCAGUUUGAUUUUGUAUUCUAUAAACUUUACAUUAACGAAAUACAUUUAGGGAUUAGUACUACAAUGACAUUGCUCCAACAUCAAUUACAAAUCUUUUGAGAACAAAUAAACAUAGUGAGAGCUUGUACCCGAAGUGAGGCAUAUGAUCACACCCUCCUCAAGUGCCCAAGAGUAACUGAAUGGUGGGGCAGCCCCUACAGAAUGUUUUUUAAUCGAUUCGGUAGUUAACACUAGCCAAAUGCACAAUACAUAUCCUAGAAACUAUUGUCAGUUAACUUCUAAAGAAGUUAGAGCAAAAAUUACCUCCAAUCUUUGUUUCUCUUGUACUUUGGUAUUGUGGGGUUGACUUGUAAACGGUAAUAGAACUCAUGUAAGCCAAAUAAUAAAAAGCCUUUUUUUAGUUAACUAAAAAGCACUUGUAAACGGAGUGAGAUAUCUGGUAACCAAAAAAUGAAUCUUGGAAAGCAGACAUAAACAAACUUCAAUCACAAUUACUUUAAUACAUUUGGAUAUCUAGGAAAAUUAGAUUUAUUCAAUUUCGAUAUAAAGAAAAUUAAUUAAUGCAGGUACAACAUUUGUGCCUCAAUGACAUGAGAAGUACUCAAAACAAACAUUGUUUUCUUUUUGUCUUUAGGCAAUCUCUGCAAGUCGCAAUGAGUUCUCUAACUCAUAUACAUUGAUAAUCAUAUUAACUAAUUAACAACCCCUCCUGUUAAUUUCACACUUAUGCUCCAAACAGAUUUUGUAACUAAUAUCCCAAAAAGAGGGGAAAAAGGGAAUAAAAAAACCUUUGUAUGGUAUACUGCAGUGUAAUCUGUGUAAGCAAAGUUAAGCCCGGAAAGGCUAGCAACCUCCUUGUAUACUUGGAAACCUCUUGCAGAUUUUAUGGCUCUAGAAGAAAAUAGAUCAUGCAACAUUAAUAUCAUUAAGACUAAAGUAUUUUUUCGAAGUGAAUACACAUGAAAAGUAUCAAAAAGAGAGAAAGGAGAAAAAAUUAAAUAAAUAAGAACCGCACACCUGUCCUAUAAUUUGGCCAGACGGGCAUUUUGCUAAGUCGGUCGUACCCAGUGCACAAGGCUCCCGCUUUACGCAGGGUCUGGGAGAGGUGAAUGUCGGCUAGCCUUACCCCCAUUUAUGGAGAGGCUGCUCCCAAAAGUAACACAGACCUACCGAGGCAAAUUCUCAAUAGCCCAACCAUCAGCCUAUCAGAUGAAGAAAUAUUCAUAAGGGAAAAAGUAAGCUUAAAUAGGAUUUCAUAUAUAUGAACUCACUCUUUAAUUACUUGUCCUAUUACCAAAUAGCUAUUGGAAAUGGUUUGAGUUAUAAAACCUGACUCUAAACAGGUCUGAUUCUUAUCAAAUAGCUCUUGAAAAUUUGAUAUGCAAAAACUGAAACAAAGAAGUAGAUCCCAAUCUCAUCCCACAACGAACAAUGAACCAAAGUUACAUGAACAAAAACAAUGUCAACAUUUCAAGCUGUGCAAAACUAAACCCAUUCAGGAAAGCACAAAGUCAUACAUCCAAUCCUGUCUCAUUCAAAAUUCCAAUACUCGAUUCUAAAGAAUAAAGGAAGCAAUAGCACUCAAAAUCAAUAAUUGUAAAGAAUACCGAGGGCAAUAGCAUUCAAAAUCAAUAGUUCGCGAGUCUCCAACCAGCAUAGCAAAAUGCAAAGAGAGCAAGUCUCCAACUCUCCAACCAACGUAACAAAAUGUCAAAAAUCAAAAUGCCUUAUGGCAUUAGUACAACAUAAAGUUCAAAAUAUUAGCAAUAAAUUUAAAAAUGCCUUAUCUAAUAUCAUUGAGGGCAUAAGUUGGAAGAUAAGACAAAAAGCAUAAAGGGGUUGAUGCAGGCAGUAUAAAAAGCAUAAGAAAGGAAAGAUACCCAAAAUCCAUCACAAAUCAUAGUGAAAAUUUGUGUUAUAGCAACCUUAAAUUCAAAAAAAUUCUCUAGUUUUCCAUGUUUUCUCAUCAAACAAACAACAAAUUCAUAUAAAAUCAGAAAAGUAAAAUUACCAGCAGCAGCGUGCUCCGGGGCUCGUAUGACGGCAUUCCUCCACCAGCAACGGCGUCGAGAUUGUUUUCUGAGGCAAGGAUUACAGAGGAAAUCCGUAAAAUUCAUGGACAUCUGCAAGAAAACAAAACCACCGAAAGUCAGAGAUUUCCAAAACCGAAAAGAAAUGAGAGAGAGAGAGAGAGAUUGGAGUACCAUAAGUGUAUAAACAUAUUGGGAAAAAAUUGCAAAGCAAUUACUACAAUCUAAAUAAAAAUUCCACUGUUUAUUACACAGUGCUUUGGAAUUGUGUAAGUAGAGAAAGAAUUGGAGUUCUUACAGAGUGUUGGCGAACUGAAUAUCAGCUUCGAGCACCUUGAGAGAUUCAUUGAAGGACUUCGUUUAACAUUUAUCAAGUGUCAGUAAAUUUUUUAACGUACAUGGAAAAAUCCAGAAAAUUAGAGAUGAACAAAAAUAAGUGAAUCAGACGACUGUAAUUUUGAAAUAUCAUCUAUUUGCUAAUACGACCUUUUUCCAUCAAAACGACAUAAACCCCAAAGAAAAAAUGGAAAUUGGGAACGACCCAUAAUCUGAAAAUUUACAAAAAUUAACAGAAACGGAUGAAAUAUGAGAGACAGAAUUGGAGUUCUUACAAAGUGUUGAUGAACUUUCAGAGAAAGAAUUCGAUUUUCCUAAUCGUUUUUACUCUUUUCUCAUCCCUCCCAUCAAAAAUCCAAAACACUCAUUCACUCCACCCACCUCAAAACCUCUCUCUUUGAAUAUAGCAAAAAUAUACGACCCUUUCUCUCUCUGUAAUCUGAAGAAAAAUCUGAUCAAAAUUUAUAAAGUUGGUUUUUGGUUUUGUAAAAGUGUGGACAGUUAGAAGGGAAUUUGUAGAGAGAAGAAGGGUAACCUUUUCAGUAGAUGGGAAGCAAAGCCAUAUAUGUAACUCGGUUCGUUCAGAACCAACGAUCAUCGACACUAAACUUUGACUUACACAAAAACCGAUUCAAAAAACCAAAACAGAUACCCAAAAUUAUAACCAAACAAUCAAAACCCACAAUAAAAAAAAUCAUAUAACAAUGCUUUCACAGAAAAAUCUCUAAAAAACCCCACAAACCCCAAAAAAAAAAUCAUGCAAAAAUCUAACCACAGGGUAAGUCUAAAAAUGUCAAUUUUCAUGCUGCGAAAUUGUGAUACAUUACAAUCUAAAAUCACACAUACACAUAUCAUACAUACACAUACAUCAGAGGGGAGGAAGCAGAUAAUUUCAACAAACGCGACGGAAUUCCUUACCUGGGAAAUGUUUGGCCCGAUGAUGUGUACCACCCAGACUUUGCACAUCCAGAAAGUGAAAAAUAUUGCGCCAAUGAGAUGCAAAUAUUUCAAGAAACCUACCAAGGAAAUCAGACCAUGCAUGUGUUAGGUUUAUCAUUUGUCUGUUAAAAUGCACAGCAAAGACCAAAAUCAAAUAGAUCGGUGUGUUUUACCUCUGGACUUUCCAGUUUCCAGACCGAUUUGCAGUGGUGGACUGCAAACGAAGUUGCAGGCCUCCUUGAUGAUUUUCUUUUGCUUAACGGGAGAAAAUGAGGCUCUGGGUUUGUUGGGGAGAUGAUCGAAGCCUAUAAUUUUGAAAACAAAGAUAGACGAAGCUCUCGAGUUACAGAAAUGGAGGGCAGGUUUGUGUGGUUUUGGAAAGCAAGAGUCGAUGCUAUUACAGAUAUGGGCUCAGUUUUCGGGUUCUGGCUGCCAGAAAGGGGAAAAUGAAGGUCGGGUGUGUUUCUGUCUCUCUCCCCCAUCCCUCUCAAUCUCUCAAUCACUGACACCAACCCUUGAUUUGAGGAGAAAAAAUCAACCCUAACCCCACUUUUUGGCAGCCACACUCCUCUCUCCCUUCCCCUCCCUGCCAUCCCACGACUCUCUCCUUGAAAACCCUCCACACCACAGCCACACACACAGUGACAGAAAUGUAAAUAAUGCAAAAUCGAGGGCCCAUUUUAGAAUUAUACUGGUAAAACCGUAAAUAUAUCGAAAUAUGUUCAGAGACAAAAUUACCCUCCUACCUUUUGAUAAUUACCCUCCAACCAGCCCCAUUUGGCUGUGGCAUUGUGGUAAAUAGCGUGAAAUCGAGUAGCAAAGGUUUGACUGUAGGUAAGCUACAGUCAAAUCCCCCCUCAAUUUUAGAAUAGAUAAUAUUCGUGAUGCUUUGCACCGGAAGAAAAUUGAACCCACAUAGAUGACACAUUUGAGACAAGCGAUGCAAUAGCACAUGCCCUUCUGGAUGCCAUCAGGGUGCACUCUGAAAUUUGAGGACACCUUGGAGCAGGGAAAACAUGCUCUCAGACCAACUGACGAAUCACAAUUUAGUAACAGGGAAAUCGAGCGAAAUACCCUGAGUUAGAAUUAGCAAUCUAGGAAAACCUCAAAGUUUAUUGAUUGAAUACUAAGAAAGAUUACAAAAUUCAACUCUACAAGUUGGCUUAAAUAGAAAAAAUUUCUAAUUCGUGUUGGAGCAAUAUUAGAAAAUAUGAAAAAUAACAAUAUAAUUCCAAUGAUAAUAAUCAUAAAGAAAUUCACAACAUCAAUUAUAUAUGAGAUUAAUAUAAACUACUAGAGUGAAAGUUAGAAUAACUGACAAACUUGGAGAUUGAGGCUUGCAUAAAUGCAAUGUCAUAAAGAUAGAAUUUCGCCCCUACUCUUGUGCUUGUAGUUCAAUAGGCGUCAAUCUCCUAGGAUUCAACAAUCUAUAAUCCGAAGUCAAAGCACUUCAAUCUUCGGACUCUGGCGAACUUUAUAUAUUCCGUACUCUCAAGACACGACUCGGAAUUUGACACACGAAUCAUUUGAGAAACAAAGUUUCUCAAGAGAGUAACAAUUAACUCUAUUUUUCUAUAUAUAAUACCAAUGGGUUCAUGGGUUUAUAUAGAAUUCAACUUCUAUUUAUUAAAGAGAUGUAACUUUUCAUCUAUAAGUAUACAUCACUUAUCAAGGGAAUACACCUAAACAACAUAACCUUUCUAAGAAAUUGGUUAACACUAUUUUUCAUUCAAUUAUUAAAAUUAUAUAUUACAAUAUUUCAUAUUAUAAUAUAUAAUUUCCAACAAUCCCCCACAUGAAUGAAAAAUUAGGAAGAAUUUGAGAGUACAGGCGGACAAGAGAUGCAUCGGGAGAGGUGUCUUUUGGACUUGAACCUACCCUAGUGAAUACUUAUCGGAUUUACUUGGUGACGCAGUGAAUAUAAAAUCUUGAAUUGUUCACCGUAGCAGUAAACCGAGAUAAUAAGCAACACACAUCACUAAUCCUAAUAUAUUCUGGUUCAUACAGUUGUGUUCAUUUUGGUCCUGAACAAAUCCCAGAUUCAUGAGAGCUUUAGAGAAUUUAGCCAUCUCAUUCUCAUAGAAGCGACCCAUUUAUACUCUCACAUAGGUGACCACUGAUUAAGAAUAGUCUGCUCUAUUCCUCUUAUUUAUAAGAUAUCACUGUCAUUAAAUAUAAAUAUACACCCUAAAACUUCUGCAGACAACACACUUCUUCCAUCAUAGGAAUGAGGUAUAUAGUGUGUUAACUUCCUUGAAUCAUGCCCAACCAGUUUGCCUAUUGAACUUAGACCAUGGGAUCUCCAAUCAACUAAGUUAGGUUUUUGCCCGGCUGAUUCAUUAGUUAUGUUGGCUUUAGCCUCAUUCCCCUCGAUGAUCAACUUACUCUCUAGUCAAAUCUUUAAUAUUUGGUACCAUUUAGGUUGACUAUCUUUAAUGGUGUGCACAAUCCAUCUUAUGAAAUUAUAUUUCAUACGAGAGUAGUUGUUUGACAUUAUUUGAAAUGUCAAGUCCUCAAAAUUAUAUUAGGACUUAAUUACUAAGUAAUUUGCUAACACUAAGCACUUGGGUAAACUCCCCCACAUUUAAGUUAUUUGUAAGAAGAUCUCUAAUCUUGUCAUACCUUAAACAAGUACUCAUUACAAGACAUGACAUCUUAAAUGUCGUUCAAUUAGCAAAUUACUUUUAACCAACCCCCACAAUUCUUUCAUAAUUGUAGUUUCUUUUAAUGCUAUCAUUAAAUCGAUCACAUUUUCCACUUUAAGUAAUGAACAACUAAGAUAGACUUUAUCUAUCUUUUUAGGCAUUCACGCUUCACUAAGCUGUUACAGGAAAAGCUUUUAAAGGCUUUCACACUUUAUCAUCUGAGUUUUUAAAUUAUCGUGGGACUAGAAUCCCCGCCAAAGAAUGUUGAUCUUAAAUUUCAUUUGACUCUUCCUCGCUAUGACUAGAAACAAGAGAAAGCAAAACUCUUAUCAUUGCAAGGUAUUCCCAAACUUCCAAUGUCUAAUUCUUCUCAAGGGAAUUGGCUUUGGUUUCAUACAUGACUAACAUGAAAAUAUCCAAGCCCACGCUUGCUUAUUAUAAAGCCAUAUUGGGUCUAAUGCAUUUUGCAAAAUGCUCCCACAUUUUUAGUGUCUUGUCAUUUCCUUCAAAAAGACCUUCACACUUUUAAUCCAGUCAUCGUCUUUUCAAGAUGAUAAUAACUCAUCUAAAAUGAGUUCAAAGAUUUAAUUUGAAUACAGUAUCUUCUUUUGUUAUCACAAAAGCUUUCUUACCAUGAGUAACCAUUGAUAAAACACACUCAUUGGAGUAAAUGGGAGUAAAUGUUUAUGAGAAUUGAUAUGGCUAAAUUCUCUAAAGCUCUUACGAAAUCCGGGAUCUGUUCAGGGCCAAAAUGAACACAACCGUAUGAAUUGACGUGUGGCAGCCAUGAUAUGUGUUUAGCAUAUUGUCUCGGUUUACUACUGCGGUGAACAGUUCAAGAUCUUCCACAUCCACUGCGUCACCAAGUAAGCCCGAUAUGUUUUCACUAGGGUAAGUUCAAGUCCAAAAGACACUUCACCCGAUGCAUAUCAUGUCUAUUCUCUCUCAGUUUUAGGCAGCCUAAUCAUCCAUUUGCAUUUACAUUUGCAUUCAAAUGUGGGGUAAUUGUUGGAGUUUGAAUGAAAUUUCAACUCAAAUGUGGGGUAUUGUUGGAAAUUUGAGUCGUUUGAGUAAAAAUUUCUUUGUUCCACAUUGGCCAUUCCCAAAAGAUUUUAUCACUUUAUAAGGUUUUGUCCUUUAUAGAAAGUGAUUGGAGUAAUAGGCCUGAAGACUAAAAUUGGGCUCACCUUUGGGGUUGGGCUUUGGGGUGUACUAAUUAAUUGGUAAUUAAUAUAUAUAAUUAAUUAUAAUUAAUAUAUAUUUAAUUGUCAAAAGAUGGGCCUUGGGCCUUGGGGCUCUAAUAAUUAAAUUAAUUAAUUAUUUUCGGAAUUAAUUAAUUAUUUUUAAUUUCGAAUUUAAAUUAAUUAAUUAGUUAUUUUUACCAACAAACUCAUCUUUUCAGAUGAAGUCUGAAGUGUGAAAACGCAGAAGCAAAAAACACCCUUUUCAGCAGAUGUCUCCCAACAGAUGCAUCCCUUCCUCAUACCUGUUGCGAACAGGUAUAAUCACAUUAUAUAAUCAUCCAUCUGCAUGACAUUUAGAACACAGAAAAAUCAUAAAUCUUAUCCUGCAAUCAUAAACAUCCUUACUGAGAGAACCACAUUAAUAUUCGCCAGAAGUCAAUUUUCCGGUGCUGGAAUUUCUAACUUAGAUCGUUGAAUCCUGGUGAAGCAGACAUCUGUAGAACUACAAGCACUGAGUAGGGGCGAAAAUUAUGUUUCAAGGACAUUGUGGUACGCAAGCCUCGAUCUUCAAGUUGUUUGUUUUUAUAAUUCGUAUUCUAGUUUAUACUCUGUUAUUUCCUAUUGCAUUUAUUAUUUAUUAGCAUAUAUAAAUUAUCACAGAUUGUUGACAUAUAACCAACAAUAUCUUUAGGACAUUGCAUUUAUGCAAGCCUCAAUCUCCAAGUUUGUCAGUUAUUCUAACUUUCACUCUAGUAGUUUAUAUUAAUCUCAUAUAUAAUUGAUGUUGUGAAUUUCUUUAUGAUUAUUAUCAUUGGAAUUAUAUUGUUUUUUUUCAUAUUUUCUAAUAUUGCUCCAACAAUCUAAUCCGUACUCUCAGGACACGACUCGGAAUUUGACACACGAAUCAUUUGAGAAACAAAGUUGGGGAAACCCUAUUUCUCAAGAGAGUAACAAUUAACUCUAUUUUUCUAUAUAUAAUACCAAUGGGUUCAUGGGUUUAUAUAGAAUUCAACUUCUAUUUAUUAAAGAGAUGUAACUUUUCAUCUAUAAGUAUACAUCACUUAUCAAGGGAAUACACCUAAACAACAUAACCUUUCUAAGAAAUUGGUUAACACUAUUUUUCAUUCAAUUAUUAAAAUUAUAUAUUACAAUAUUUCAUAUUAUAAUAUAUAAUUUCCAACAAUUCGUAAUCUCAAAAUAUUCCUAAUAACUAGUUUUGUUGGAAGUUUUGUGUGAAAACCUCUUUGUAGCGGGUUAUGAAGUGAUUGCAAAAUGUUCUUUUGUCUUUGGAUUGCUGCUGCUGGUUGCAUUCCUUUGUUGCGUCUUGUGUUUGUUAUGUUCACAUAUUCACCAAUCUGGUGGCUAUUAAAUUGGGAAAGUUUGCCUUUAUUUUUUUAAUAAAGGAUAUUAUCUGUAUUAAGAGAGAGGGGGUAGGUUUAGAAUCAAAUCCGUGGGAGAUUUCAUCUUGAUAUCUUUAAUUCAAUGGAUUAGAAACUCAAAAUUGGGUUUUUUUAUUUCAUACGGGAUUUUCGCUGCACCGACUGGAAAACAUGGAAUCAGUGAUUUUUUAUUUGUAUUUCCUUUUUUAAUGAAAGAAUUUGGGGGUUUGAUUUUGGAAAUUUGAAGGUUUUGAUUGGUGUAAACCCAUGGGACUAUGCGGAGAGUCUGCUUGAAGCUUCCAUUAACCAGUGAUUGUGAAUUUUUAUUUUGUUGGAUUGUGAAUUUUGUUUUGGUUGGAUUGUGAAUUUUUAUUUUGUUGGAUUGUGAAUUUCGUUUUGGUUGGAAAACACAUGUAGAGUUCUUGGUUUACAACGGCCGUUAAAAGGCUUCCUCGCUCGAUUAUGUGACUUAGUCAAAAUCCAUCAUCCCUUAGUGUAAAAUAUAUCGUUUUACUCCAAAAAAGAAAAAAAAUCUCAAGCUAAAAUUUUAAUCCAAAACUAUUAAAUAAAAAAAAAUUGAGUUAAAACGUAGCGAUUAUAACCGAAUGAUAUAGGUGGAAAACAAAACUUUGUACGUAAAGAGAAAGGGGGGCCUAUUGUGUUUGCCGCUACCACUUGUCUCCGUGAUGAGAUCUUCUGCACCCAAAAACCCCUGUGACAUCUCUGUACCUUUGUUAAUUGGCUUUAUUUUUUAUUAUUUUAAUUAUUAUCAAAUUAACAUUAAUUAUGUUUGGUUCAAUUAACAAAGACACAGAGAGGCCACAUGGAUUUUUAGGUGCGAAGAUUUGGACUCCUUGUCUCCUCUCUCUCUCUCUCUCUCUCUCUCUCUCUCUCUCUCUCUCUCUCUCUCUCUCUCUCUCUCUCUCUCGUGUUGCUUAAUUGAAUAAAUACUUGUAUUUCUUCAGCUAUUAAAUAAUAUGAUCUCCACAACGUUACAGAAAAAUUAUAAUCAGUCUUUGCUUACCAUUGUUGGUCCGGGAUAUGAAAUUCCAUAUUGGUUCAACAAUCCCAAUGAGGGAUCUGUAAGAAUAACUUUACAAGGAUAAAGAUUCAAUCAAUUGAAUCACAAUUCUCAAAACCAUAAUAAGAAAACUGUAAAUCAAUAAACAUGAAACUAACCUGCAGAGUUUGCUCCAGACGAUGAUGCCAUUGCAGCAAUAUGAACUCGAAACCUUCUACCCUUUAACAAGACUCGAUAGCUCUCUCAAUCAAUAGGACUUGAGAUCUCAAUGAACCGUAUCCUUGUAAGGGCAAUGGCUCAAGUCUUAUAUAUUACUCCUUUAACCAUUCCCUAUCAGAAUAGGUUUAGGAUUCAGACUUAUUCACUAACACCGAAACAUCAGUCCCAAAUCAAUUCUGGUACGGAGUUCCAAUCACACAAGGUUUAUGCAGAAUCUCAAUGUACAGAAUCUCAAUGUACUUUUCCUGCAUAAAUACCAAUAGAUAAUAGCUUGCAGAUUUGGACUUUUCUAUAUCAAUCUUAAACACCAUAAUUAGUUCCAUAUUCAUACUCAUAAUCUUACAUUCUCCCACUUGAGUAUGAAACCUGAGAACCAAUCUUUCAAGAUUUAAAGAAGUGAUCACUAAGUCCAAUUCAAGAAAAGCUUAUCAUCAUAUAUUGACAUAGACAUACAUUUCAACGUAUGGAACUCUAGAACCUAAUCUGCACAUUGCAGAAUCGAUUCAAAAGUUACUUCAUACCUGAUCUGUAUCUCAUAUCCAUAGUAAUAUCAAAAGAAUUCCUCCCACUGUUGUCAGCCAAAAACUUGUUUCAACAAAAUCAAGUUUUCAGUCAACAGUAACAUUCAAAACAUUAUUCCAAAUAGUUUCAAAAGAAUGCAUCAACAAAAUCACCAGACGAUUUUCUAGCAAACCAAAACUAUUAUUAAUAAAACUUGUUUUCUGGAACAAUUCAUCACAAAUUGGAAAAAUUGAACACUAAACGAAAACCAAAAACUAAAUAAACACAUUUGGCUUAUCUUAACUAAAACAAUCAUGACUAACUUUUAAGAUCAACUUCCUUACUUGAAAAUCGCAGCCUCAGCAAUCAGAAAGCAGCAACAAUAGUCUUCAAGUUUCAAAACAACUCACUCCCACUUAUCAAAAGACUCUAAGACACCCAUCUGUUCAACAUGCCCUUUGAACACAAUAUUAGGCAGUGCUUUUGUGAGAGGAUCGGCAAUCAUUGCAGUUGUAGAUAGAUACUGAAUUUCUAUCUCUCCCUUCUUCACCUUUUCCCUAACCUUGAGGAACUUUACAUCCAUCAACCUCGAGGCUGACGUCCUCUUGUUAUUUUUUGAGAAGAAUACAGCAGCAUUAUUAUCACAAUACAUCUUCACUGGUCUCUUUACUGAGUCAACAAUCUUCAUGUCGGCUAUGAAGUUUCUAAGCCAAACGGCCUGCUUCAUACCUUCAAAACAAGCCACAAACUCAGCUUCCAUUGUUGAUGUUGAUAUGAUGGUUUGCUUAGCACUCUUCCAUGAAACAGCCCCUCCAUUUAGUUUGAAAAUGUAUCCACCCGUCGACUUUCUUUCAUCCAUAUCUCCAGCAAGGUCUGAAUCGGUGUAGCCAACUAAUUCCAAUGAAUCAUCUCUGCCAUAAACUAACAUGAAAUCCUUAGUUCUCUGCAAGUAUCUCAAUACCUUCUUCGCUGCCACCCAAUGAGCUUCUCCAGGAUUUGAUUGAAACCUUCCCAAAAGGCCAACAAUGAACGCCAAGUCCGGCCUAGUGCAAAUGUUAGCAUACAUAAGGCUGCCAACUAGUGAAGCAUAAGGUUUCAUCUUCAUCAAUUCAAUUUCAUGCUCAUUCUUUGGACACUGGUCUCGGGAGAACUUAUCUCCCUUGUUCACUGGAACAUCAGCUUUAUUGCAAUGUUCCAUGUUAAAUCUGUUGAGUACUCUUUCAAUAUAGCCUUUCUGAGACAAUCCAAGACAUCUUCUUUGCCUAUCUCGAACUAUCUCAAUGCCGAGAACAUAAUAGGCUUCUCCAAGAUCUUUCAUUUCAAAGUUUGUGUUCAACAUGUGCUUUGUUUCAUUCAAUAGUUGUCUGUCCGAGCUUGCAAGUAAGAUGUCAUCAACGUAGAGAACGAGGAAAAUAAAUCUUGACCCUCUUAUUUUGAGAUAGAUGCAAUCAUCCAUCUUAUUUUCUAUGAAACCAUGUGAAGUCACAACUUGAUCAAAUUUUAAGAACCAUUGCCUUGAUGCCUGUUUUAGUCCAUAGAUUGAUUUCUGUAACUUACACACCAUAUCUUCCUUCCCCCUUUCAACAAAUCCAGGAGGUUGAACCAUGAAAAUGUCUUCAUACAGAUCUCCAUUUAAGAAUGCAGUCUUGACAUCCAUUUGGUGCAGUUCUAAAUCAAAAUGUGUUGUUAAAGCCAUGAUCACUCUCAUUGAAUCCUUGGAAGACACAGGAGAAAAAGUGUCAUUGUAGUCAACCCCUUCCCUUUGUGUGAAACCCUUUGCAACAAGCCUUGCUUUAUAUCUUUCGAUCCUUCCCUCUGCAUCCUUUUUGGUUUUGAAGACCCACUUGCAGCCGAUUGCUUUGAUGUUAGGUGGUGAUUGCACUAGAGACCAAACUGAGUUCUUGGACAUUGAAUCGAGUUCUUCCUUCAUUGCCGCCUGCCAUAGAACCUUUUGAGGACUCUGCAUGGCUUGGUGAUAUGUCAUAGGAUCAUCAAUGUCUCCAAAAUCAAACUCUGUCUCUUGAAGAUACACAUAGUCUGAAGAAAUAACUGGCUUUCUAAUUCUGUUGGACUUCCUCAGAUUUUGUUGAUCAAGUGAGUUGGCAGGAGCAUUAGAAUUGGUUGCCUGAAUAUCAGUGACCGGACUUUGAUUAAAAACAACAUUGUUUUGAUCUUCAUCACACACAGUUUCUGUUGGUAUCUCAGUCUCACCCAUUACUUCAUCAAUGUGAGUAUUAAUACUCAAUCUCGGGAAAACUGGUAUGUGGUUAUAGUCUAACCGUGAGGAAUCAUCAUCCUUUUGCCUUGCUUCUUCAAAUUCAAAGUUUUCUGGAGCCAAAUUCGAAACAUCUUCAUCUUCUAGGAAGAUAGCAUUAUGAGUUUCUUGUAUUCUUGUGUGGGAUUGAGUACAGAAAAACUUGAACCCUUUUGACUUCUCAGAAUAACCAAUGAAGAAGCAAGUUGUGGUCCUUGAGUCUAAUUUCUUUUCACUUGGAUUGUAGAACUUUGCUUCUGCCUUACAUCCCCAGACAUGAAAAUAAUCGAAACUUGGUUGUCUUCCAUUCCACAGCUCAAAUGGUGUCUUAGGCACUGCUUUGGACGGCACUCUAUUAAGUAUAUAAUUUGCUGUCUUCAAUGCCUCUCCCCAAAGAAAACCAGGAAGUUUGGACCUGGAAAUCAUGCUUCUCACCAUCCCCAUGAGUGUUCUAUUUCUCCUCUCUGCCACUCCAUUUUGUUGGGGUGUGCCAGGAGUGGUGUAUUGAGCUAUAAUGCCUUGGCUUUCAAGAAAACAUGCAAAAGGACCCUUUUUCUGUCCUGCUUCUGUGUACCUGCCAAAAUAUUCCCCUCCUCUAUCUGAUCUAACAAUUUUAAUCACACGGUCUAACUGUUUUUCAACUUCACUUUUGAAGGUUUUGAAGCAUUCAAGGACUGAGGACUUUUCACUAAUAAGGAAAACAUAACUGUAUCUAGAGUAGUCAUCUAUGAAAUUCACAAAAUAAGAGUUCCCACAUAUGGUUUUGAUAGGAAAAGGUCCACAAACAUCUGUAUGUAUGAUUUCUAAUAGGCCAUGACUUCUUUUAGCAUCUAGUUUCCUAACAUUUGUCAUCUUCCCUUUCAUACAAUCAACACACUCAAUUGCACUCUUGAAAUCAAUAGCCGGAAUCAAGUUCAUUUUGGACAACUGAAAAACCCUUUCUUUUGAAAUGUGUCCUAAUCUUUUGUGCCAAAGCAUGAAAGUUUGAUCAAAACCAUGCAUUCUUUUAGUUGCAGUAUUUAGGACAUGUAAAUGGUCAGUUUCUACAGUGCAAUCUAUUUUCCAAAGUUGAUCAUGCAAAAAGGCUUUUCCUUGUAGAGAACCUUUUCUAAAAAACUUGACACAUUCAUUAUCUCCCAUGAAAACAUAGCCUUGUUUUACUAUCCUGGAUGCUGAAAGUAAAUUUCUUCUCAUUGCAGGCACAAAUAGGACAUCAUUCAAUUGCAUUAUCAUGCCAGUAGAUAGUUUAAGUUUAACAAUACCAAUGGCUUCGACAGACACUUUGGUUCCCUCACCAACAAAAACAUUGUAACAGUUUGUUUUCUUUUGUUUUUCAAAACCAUGUAAUGAAUUAGUGAUGUGCACAGAUGACCCAGUAUCAAACCACCAAGAAUUAGCAGGAAUAUCAAUGAAAUUCGACUCCUCACACACAUAGACAUCAGCUUUUCCUUUAGCCCUUAACCAAUCCUUGAAAAUUUCACAGUCCCUCCUAUAAUGACCUUUAGAUUUACAGUGAUGACACCUAAUCUUUUCAAUGUUUUUAGUCUUGACCUUAAAAUUUUUAGAUUUAGAGGAGUUGGAAUUUUUAGCAGAUAUAACAGACUUAUCAUGUUGCUGAGGUUUAGAAGUAUUACCAGGAUUGGUGUCCCUCUUUCCCCUUGCAAUUUGCACAUAAUUGACAGCUUCAGUCUCUUUGCUCUUUUCUUGCUUUUGACGGUUUUCUUCUUGGACACACUGAGCAAUCAACUCAUCCACUGUCCAGGUCUUGUCUUGAGUGUUAUAAGACACCUUUAGUUGACUGAAUUUCUGCGGUAAUGCUUGUAGAAUCAUGAACACCAAUGUUGACAUCCAUUGAAUUAAGUUUCUCGGCUGCAUCGGUCAUCUUCAUAAUGUGGUCUCGGAUUGAACCUCCACCCUCAAAUUUGUAAGAAGUCAAAAGGAACAUGUACUGUGCGAUUUCAGCCUUUUCAGAUUCUUUAAAUUUGUUCUCCACAGCAGUUAGAUAAUCCUUUGCUAGUUCACACUUCUUGAUUCCUCCUCGCACCGUGUCUGUCAUGCCACUUUCAAGAAUGGAUAGAGCCACUUUAUUAGCCCUGGUCCAUCUCUCAAACUCAGCCUUUUCAGUCUUUGUGCUUUUGUCGGUCAAAGCCGCAGGCUUUGGCAUGUCAAGUGCAAUAUCAAACUCAUUUAGUGUCAAAAGCAACUCAAUUUCUCUUCUCCACUUCUUGUAAUUGCUCCCACCAGUGAGUAUUGGUACUGCACCUAAACUGAUUGACUUUAAUGAAACUGCAGAGAACACAAACGAAAUCAAAACUUUGAAUCGAGAGUGAUUCUUGAUUUCGGUCUUUCUCACCACAAAAUGAGUGCAUUGAAUCAACUUAAUCAUAUAUAUAGCCUUUCAUGUUGAAGACAUAUAUAGAAUAAACAAUUCAAGCUCACUAAAGUCAAUCGCAUAACAUCUGCAGAGCUUCUUUAAGUUUGAUGCUGCAGAGUUUGGUUAAUACAAAAUACAAUAUGCAAUGAUAAAACACACACUAAUCCGUGAAAAUUCAAAGCUUUUGUGUUGAUUAUAUCAGCGGAAGCAUUAUAACAGCUACAAAAUAUAUUAAUCUCGAAAAGAGGAAUUGAACCAGCAGAUAAACUUAGUUAUUCAAUUAUCUUAAUAUGGCCAUCAAUGUCGAGUAAGGUCAGUUUUACAUAGAAAGAAAACAUACCUCUUCAAGAGCAAUGCCUUACAGUGGCUUAUUUUUAGCAUUAGACUUUGAAUCGCAACCAGAAUCCAGAAAAUUAAGAUCACCAGGAGAACUUUUCAAAUAACAAGCAACAAACUCAAAAAUAAAAAUAAAAACCCAAAACAUAACGGUUAGAUUUUUAAAAGAACCUUUUCGAGAGUUAUAACGGCUCUUUAACGAAACGGCACCGUUUAUGGACAAUUUUUUUUUUUUUUUUUUUUUUUUUUUUUAAAGGUUUCGAUCCCAGUUUCUUAUAUUUUCCAGCAAACUGAAAGAUUUUAUGAAUCGAAUUCAAUGAUUAGAACCUAGGGCUCUAAUACCACAUGUAAGAAUAACUUUACAAGGAUAAAGAUUCAAUCAAUUGAAUCACAAUUCUCAAAACCAUAAUAAGAAAACUGUAAAUCAAUAAACAUGAAACUAACCUGCAGAGUUUGCUCCAGACGAUGAUGCCAUUGCAGCAAUAUGAACUCGAAACCUUCUACCCUUUAACAAGACUUGAUAGCUCUCUCAAUCAAUAGGACUUGAGAUCUCAAUGAACCGUAUCCUUGUAAGGGCAGUGGCUCAAGUCUUAUAUAUUACUCCUUUAACCAUUCCCUAUCAGAAUAGGUUUAGGAUUCAGACUUAUUCACUAACACCGAAACAUCAGUCCCAAAUCAAUUCUGGUACGGAGUUCCAAUCACACAAGGUUUAUGCAGAAUCUCAAUGUACAGAAUCUCAAUGUACUUUUCCUGCAUAAAUACCAAUAGAUAAUAGCUUGCAGAUUUGGACUUUUCUAUAUCAAUCUUAAACACCAUAAUUAGUUCCAUAUUCAUACUCAUAAUCUUACAGGAUCUUCCAUGAAUAUCAAGCUUCCUCCAUAUCGGUUUCGUUAAGGUUUCUUGGGUUUCGCUCUCUCUGUUGUCGCUGCACUCAACGAUUUACUGGUUCAAUGGGCUGGUGCAGUUUGGAUGCAAGUACAAUUUCAAAAUGAACAAUGGUGAAGGCCCUGAAUUCAAUUUUCCUUUCCAAGUUCCAUGUUUGGUUCGAAAAGUUUAUUCCUGCAGAUUAGAUUCAGAUCACGUAUUCGUGUUGUAUGAAGUUUUUGAACUUGAUGAGAGAAAAAAAAAAUGCUCUGCUGGUUUUACAAACUUGUCACAGAGGCCUCUCCAUUCACUUCUACCGGCUGGAUAUGUUCAGCAGACUUCGUUGGAGUCCGUCGGUGAAAUUAGAAUUGAUGCCAUGUCGGAGGAACCCCAAGUAGAAGGAGAUAAAGGAUGAUAUGAAACUGAGGAAAAUGGAAGCGAUGAGCCUGAAGCCCGUGGAAGUGACGAGUCUGAAGCCAAUAAAUAGCUGUUAAUACAGGGCAAGAUGAAGAACUACAACAAAUGUGGUAGCCGGCAUUGCAAGUCUUGUGGCGGAGGAUGAUUUUGGUUUUGUUGCUUUGAACGUCUCUGGUGUUGCGGUGUAAAUGUAGAGCUACCAUAACUUGGAUUAUUCUUUUUCACUGUUUUUUUGUACUAUGAACCGGUGCCACAUACACUUUUUGGACUAGUCACGGUGAACGAGAGAUGUUUAACAAAGUUGGUUGGUUUCAUACAGAUUUCUUGGUUUCGCUCUAUCUUUUGUUGCGUGCAUUCAACGAUUACUAUAAUGGUACGAGGGUCUGGAUUUUGAAUCGCGUUUUUGCGAGUUUGCGUGGUAUAAUGGCUUUGAACUUGUAGACGGAGCAAAAUGCUCCACUGCUUUUUACAAUGUUCAGGCAAAAUAGUGUGGAAACAAUAACUACUUCAUUGGCCUUCCUCAAAUAGUUGUCUUUAUCGCAUGAAAACUUCUUCUCAAAUUGGAAAGGUUAAAUUGAAAGACUCAUUGAUUAUUGUUAAAAUUGGAAAAACACAACGGAUAAUCGGACUUGCUGAUUAGGAUUGUGUGUGUAAUUGCGAGUUGUAGAGCCAAUUUAAAAAGACAAAUACAUUGUCAUUCCUUCAUCUUGCCUUCCUCAAAUACAUUGAAGGGUUUUCUUUCCAAAUUCCAACAACACAACCAGACAAGAGACUCAAAAUUUGGAGUGAAGGAGAGAGAUUUGACGAAUUCCAUGCAUACAACAGAUGACGAUGCAUCAGAAACUGAAGAAAGUUAUAAGAGAAAGUAAAACCUGAAUUCCGCGCAUACAAUAACCACACCCUAAACCCUAAAGCCUCGUAUCUCCAUCAUAUAUACGUUCCUGCCUUACGGAAAGAAUCGUCAAUGAAGAAAAUACGAUGUUGUCCUUGGCAUGAACCACUGUACAAGGUUCAAAAUCUGAAUAGUCCUGUAUAGCCUGCCAUCACUUACUGUAAUUUCAAGCCAAAGCUGAUGAACUGCUGAAGCCUGUAUGUACAAUGUGGUUUUCUGUUACGGCCACUUCAAUUGUAUAAAUCACUCUCAUCCAUGUAAGUAACCUAUCAAAACGGGCGGCAGAAAGACCCAAAGAAUUUGGUGAAGAGCUUGUUAAGACAAAACUGCCAACUUGCCAAAAAAUGGAAAUCCUGUCGUCAAACUUCAGUCUGAAAAGAAUUCUUCGAGUUCUGGUUGGUCUGACUUAAGUAGAAGACUUUGAUCUGAAACUCUUACACUAGGCAGCACUUUCCCUAGAGACCUAUUUGUAAUUUCAGCAUAAUCCGCCUCAGAACAAUCUUGCUCAUCCUCAGUUACUUGCUCAUCUGUCGCAUAACCACUGUCCUUGUUCGUAUAAUCGUCCUUGUCUAUUUUAAGGAUAUCAGGACUUUCAUUUUGAGGAAUUGGAACUUCCUUAGCCUUUGUGUUAGAUGCGCUACAAAUGCAGGCUGCUGGGUUUUCGUGGAACUCACCCCUGCCGGGCUUUAUCUCAUUUGGCUCUCCCAUGAAUCCAAUUUGACUUGUUCGAAGCCUCGAUGCAAAUUCUUCCCAUGUCAUGUUAUUACGAUUUAUGAACAACGGAGACAGUUUCUUAGCAUUUGGACGGAUUGUUGAUUUGUGACCAAAGUAUCUCCUGCGUGAGUAGACUAACUUGUUACAGCUAAAACAUGAAUCACAUCAGAACCUUUUACCAGAGGAAAAAUAAAUGUAUUGUUAACUCGAGUUUUAAUACCUUCGACCAGCUAACAUUUUAGCCAUAUUGCCAUUGUUGGUGAUGAAAACAUCACUUUCAUCGCAAACAGUGAAGUCCAAUGCAGCCAUUCGAGAGGAGAAGGAUGAAAAUGGUGCCAACUCCUUCUUACUUAAUAAAGUCUCUUUUGUGUGGAAGUUUGGGAAAAGUGCUUUUAGUGGUGCCAAUGUCUCUUCACCUCCAUAUACUUCACCGGAUGCCACAUACAAGUGAAUAUCACUUCCGAAACCCAACGCUCUAAGCAUGAGACCAACUUCCUCUGGAGUUAGCGGGCAUCUACCAUGUCUUUGUAAACGUGAGUCUUCAAAAAUAAGUAUGUAAAUAUAUUGUAAAUAUUAGGAAUCCUUUUUUAGGAAGGAUUAUUUGUUGUGUCCUUUUUUAUUUUUAGUUUCCUUAUAGAACAAGGAUUGUAUUUGUAUAUAUUUCAAGGAAGUAAUACAAGGAAUUAUCCCGUAAAAAAUUCUAUUUGGCAUCAAGAGCCAGUGUUGCCGAAACCCUAGUUUUUCCGUUGUGCUUGGUUGGCUGUUUUUCUGCAAGUCUUCUGCAGAAAACAGUGUUGCUGUGUGUGUGUGUACUCUUGCUGGUGUGUGCAGCAGUGUGGGUGGUGCUGUGUGUGGUUGACUGAUCUCUGCACAGUGCCGUGUGUGUGUGGUAUUGCUGCUUGCGCAGCAGUGUGGUGACUCAUCGUCAGUUUUGCUGUUUCUGCCGUGUGUGUGUUUUUUUUUCUGCACAGUGUCGUGUUGUGUGGUAAAGCCGAAUGGCAUCAGAAGGAGGCAGUGGCGUGUUGAAGUUGAAGGGCAGUAACUCAACCAAUAAUCCAGUAUUGAAUCCUGUCGGCAUUCAGAGUGAUGCAUCUGCUGUACCAAACACCGUGAAAUUAAAUGGAUCAAAUUAUCCUUUUUGGUCCAAGGUUUUGGAGAUACACAUCGCUGGACGCGGUAGGAAGGGCUUUGUGAUUGGGAGUACCAAGGAGCCUGCUGAGGAUAGUGUUGAAUAUAUGACAUGGGAGACAAGGAAUGCAAUAGUAAAAGGGUGGUUAAUCAAUUCCAUGGAACCUGCUAUCAUGGGAUUUUUUAUUCACCUGCGUACUGCGAAAGAAGUUUGGGAAGAGGUGGCUCGGACCUAUUAUGAUGGUUCAGAUAUUUCUCAAAUUUAUGAACUGAAGGUUAAAUCCUUCAGACUCCGUCAAGAGGGCCGACCAUUUGGUGAGUAUUAUGCUAACCUCAAGUUCGUUUGGCAGGAGUUAGAUCAAAGGAGACCAUUCAAGAUGGAGUGUGCUGUGGAUCUCAAGACCCUUCGAGAAGAGAUUCAAAUUGAUCGUGUGUAUGCUUUUUUGGCGGGUUUGGAUGAUAUCUUUGAUAAGGUACGGAGUGACAUUCUACGUACUCAACCCUUACCAUUUGUUGAGGAAGUGUUUUCUGUUGUUCGGCGUGAAGCACAACGACAUGCUACUAUGAUGGGUGGAAGUAACAACCAAGGUGGGCCGCCGUCCAUGGCUAUGAUUUCUCGGCCAGCUGUUGUCCCUCGUCCUAAUAAUUCUUCUAAUCACUCUUUAAAUUCUCGUCCCUUCAACCGAGAAAAUAAAGAUGAUUUGAAGUGUACUUUCUGUGGACAAACCCGUCAUACUGAGGAUACGUGUUUUGCUAAGCAUGGGGUGCCUGAUUGGUUUCCAGAAUUGAAGAAGAAAUUGCGUGCAAAUGAGCGUGGAAGUGCAGGGAACAAUGGAGGAUGUGCCUCCCUAGCUAUAACCCCACCAUCAGCAAAGGAGGCCGACACUCCUGGUAAUGACCCGAGUCAAUCCUUGCUUACUCGUUCUACCCAUAGUGACUCGUCCUCCACCGCAGGUACUGUAGGGCAUGGUCUUUUGGCCACUGAUCCUAAGCAUCAUACAGGUUGGAUUCUGGACUCUGGUGCAACGGAUCAUAUGACAUAUGAUAAGAAUAUGUUUCAAUGUAUGACAACAUCUCACAGGGAAUAUAUAGCCACCGCCAAUGGUACCCGUGCUCCUGUUAUUGGUGCUAGCACCGUGUAUCUCACGGCUUCUCUCCUUUUACACCGAUGUUUACUUGUUCCAUCUUUAUCACAUCAUUUACUGUUUAUACCACAGGUUACUGAACAAUUGGAUUGUGUUGUUCUAAUGUACCCGUCCUUUUGUCUACUUCAGGAUAUUCAAACCAAGUAGAUAAUUGGGCGUGGCACUAAGAGAGAGGGGUUGUACUAUGUGGAUGAUGUCGUUCCUGGCAGAGCUCAUGCAGUACGAGUGUUCCGUGAUAGUAAUCUACAAGAAGUAUGGUUAUUGCAUCGUCGAUUAGGGCAUGCAUCAUUUAGAUAUUUAAGGCAUAUGGUGCCUAGUUUAUUUAUUGGAAUAAAUGAAUCAGACUUACAUUGUGAAGUAUGUAUUCUUGCUAAAAAGCCAUCGUGCUUCGUUUCCUCCUAGUAUGAAUAAAAUACCUUUUCCGUUUGAUCUUGUGCAUUCCGAUGUUUGGGGGCCUUCUCCAGUUACUACUUCUUCGGGAAUCUGAUUGUUUGUUACAUUUGUUGAUGAUUGCACUCAUAUGACAUGGCUUUAUGUGUUGAAAAAUAAGAGUGAUGUUAGUGACAUAUUUCGGUCACUUGCUCAGUUGGUUCAAACACAAUAUUCUUCUGUUAUCAAGGUUCUCCGUUCUGAUAAUGGCGGAGAAUACAUCAAUUCUGAGUUGUCGGGUUUUCUACGUGAUCAAGGGAUCCUCCAUGAAACCACGUGUCUGCAUACUCCGCAACAAAAUAGGGUUGUAGAGCGUAAGAAUCGCCACAUUUUGGAAACAGCCCGUGCCUUGCUCUUUGGGGCCUCCGUUCCUCCCCGUUUUUGGCCUGAAGCAGUUACCUAUGCCGUGUAUGUUAUUAAUCGUAUGCCUUCUCGGGUGGUUAGUUUUCAAACGCCUUUUCAAGUCCUUACACAACAUGCUCCCAUGGUGUCACGUAAUACUCUCACCCCUCGAGUCUUUGGUUGUGUGGCUUAUGUUCAUAUUCAGAAAAUACAUCGUAGUAAAUUGGAAACGUGUGCAUUACGGUGUGUCUUUCUGGGUUUUUCUUCUCACAAAAAGGGGUAUCAGUGUUACCAUCCUGAAACCCGGCAUAUGUAUGUAACCAUGGAUGUGACCUUCUCUGAAACAGAAUAUUUCUACACUUCGGUACCUUCUACUUCAGAUCACCAGGGGGAGAAUAAUGUUGUUGGUAAUCUGAGUUGGUUGGAUAUAGGGGGAGAUGUGAUUAUUGAACAGCGUGUAGGACCGGGAAUUGUUGGUGCCGAAUGUACAGAGAGUACCGAGUGUGUUGACAACUCAGAUGAUAGUGGUGAUUUGACCGAACGGAUAAGAGAGCCUCCGCUAGAGGCUCGGCUAGCUAGUGCCGAGGAAUGUCCUAGUGCUCAACAGUCUAUUGCCGAAGCCACUACACUUGUUCUUGCUGAGUCCAAUAUGCUCUCUCUCUCUAGUUCCAACGGGACGCCCAAUACGUCUUCUCUGAAUAUUCCUGAGGUAAGUAUUGUAAAUGAUUGUGUAACUGAUCCAAGUAAUAAUGUGAGUACUUAUAAAUUGCCACCGAGACAAAAUUGAGGUGUGCCUCCUGAUAGGUUUUCUCCUGAAGGGAAGGUGAAGUAUCCGAUGGCCAAUUAUGUAUCAUGUAACAAGCUUGCACCAAAACGUCAGACCUUGGUGAGCAAUAUGGAGUCUAUUCAAGUACCAACUCGAGUGGAGGAAGCUCUAAAGAUCCAAAGUGGGCGAAAGCAAUGGAUGAGGAGAUGUUGGCAUUACAGAAAAAUAAUACUUUGGAGGUGAUGAUGCUACCCGCAGGAAAGAAUACCGUGGGAUGCCGAUGGGUAUUUAUAGUUAAAUAUAAGGUUGAUGGAACGGUCGACAGAUACAAAGCAAGGUUGGUGGCUAAGGGUAUACUCAAACAUAUGGGGUGGAUUAUCAAGAGACUUUCUCCCCGGUUGCCAAGAUGAAUACGGUACGUGUUCUUAUCUCUUUAGCUGCAAAUAUGGACUGGCCAUUAAAACAGUUUGAUGUGAAGAAUGCGUUUCUCCAUGGGAAUUUGGAGGAAGAAGUAUAUAUGGAUUUUCCUCCUGGAUAUAGCAAUGGUGGGAAUACUAGAGUAUGUCGUUUGCGUAAGUCACUUUAUGGGCUUAAGCAAUCGCCUCGUGCAUGGUUUGAUAGAUUUACUCAAGUGAUGAGAAAUAAUGGAUAUCGUCAGAGUCAUUCUGAUCAUACGUUAUUUGUAAAACGUAAACAAAAUAAAGUAACAGCCUUGAUUAUCUAUGUAGAUGACAUGAUUAUAACAGGAGAUGAUGUUGAUGAGAUGUCCAAGUUGCAAGGAAACCUUGCAGCCGAAUUUGAAAUGAAGGAUUUAGGAGAUUUGAAAUAUUUUCUGGGAGUUGAAGUUGCUCGCUCACCUAAAGGUAUCUUCUUGUCUCAACGUAAGUAUGUGCUGGAUUUAUUAAAAGAGACUGGUAUGUUGGGAUGUAAACCAGUAGAGACUCUUAUUGUUGAGAAGCAUCAUUUGGAUUUGAAUCCAAGUCAGAGAUCGGUUGACAAGGGUAGAUAUCAGAGGCUUGUAGGGAGACUUAUUUAUUUGGCUCAUACUCGUCCUGAUAUUGCUUAUGCUGUAAGUGUUGUGAGUCAGUUCAUGCAUUCACCAAAUGUGGAUCACAUGGCUGCUGUUAUGCGUAUCUUGGCAUACUUGAAGUCGACACCUGGAAAAAGGAGUAUUGUAUGGGAAACACGGGCAUUUGAGAAUUGAAGGGUUUACUGUUGCAGAUUGGGCAGGUGAUGUGACUGAUAGACGGUCUACUUCUGGGUAUUUUACUUUUGUUGGAGGAAAUUUGGUGACAUGGCGAAGCAAGAAACAGAAGGUGGUAUCACAAUCUUCAGCUAAGGCCGAAUAUAGAGGAAUGGCUCAAGGAAUUUGUGAAAUCCUUUGGCUACGAAAACUUCUUUUAGGACUUGGGUUUAAACCAGAGGAGACUAUGAAGUUGUAUUGUGACAACAAGUCCGCAAGAGAUAUCGCUGAUAAUCCAGUGCAGCAUGAUAGAACGAAGCAUGUGGAGGUGGAUCGACAUUUAUUAAAGAGAAGCUUGAAAAGAAUAUUGUAUCAAUACCGUUUGUAAAGUCAGAGGAGCAACUUGCAGAUGUUCUUACUCAUGCAGUGUGUGGACGAAAGUUUGGUGACUCACUUGUCAAGUUGGGCAUGUGUGAUAUCUAUGCACCAACUUGAGGGGGAGUGUAAACGUGAGUCUUAAAAAAUAAGUAUAUAAAUAUAUUGUAAAUAUUAGGAAUCCUUUUUUAGGAAGGAUUAUUUGUUGUGUCUUUUUUUAUUUUUAGUUUCCUUAUAGAACAAGGAUUGUAUUUAUAUAUAUUUCAAGAAAGUAAUACAAGAAAUUAUCCCGUAAACAAUUCUAUUGUCUUCGUACCUUGUCAGGGUUGCUUGCCUGCACGCAAUGUAGCCCCAUAAAAUAAUGUAAUUGUGAUGCAGAGACAAAUUAUAUAACACAGGUAAUUACUGAACGGCAUUAAUCAAGUCAUUACUCAUUAGUGAAGCCUUACAUGUAAAGUUUUCCACCUUUUCCGAAGUUUGCCAAGUUCUUUCCUUUCCUUUUCUCCCCCACCAUAAUCGCAUCCAGAAAACGCCAGCAUAUCAGGCUCAAACCUAUAACAUGACCAACCAAUAUCACAAACUUUUUCUACGUACUCCAAUUUCUCGGAAAACACUAACAACCAUCAAAAUAACCUAAACAGAGGUUUUUGUACAUUACAACCCACCCAAGCAUAUUAUUCUGAGAAAACAGAAAGUUCGACAUUUUUUCAGGAAGGAACAUACAUUAAUACUCAUUGUAUCAAUUGCAGUAAACUAAGACAAAAAACAAUUAACAUCUGCACAAGCAAUUCUGUCGAAGGCAUAACUUACUCAUAGUAUACUGGGCAAAAUUACUCAAUAAGUUAAAAAUAAAUUGCAGUUUACCUCAGAUGUAGGGCAAUGAAAUGCUUGCUUUUCAUUCUCAUUCUCUCAACCAACUUUUUACGCAUUUCACUAAUUGUGUCGGUAAAUUUCAAGGCUUGAUAAUUGGCUCUACAUCUCAGCUUUUGUAAAUCUGAAUCCAACCUAUUUGAAAGUCUGUAAUCAAAUUUUGUGAGCUGAACAGCCUGCACAUUAGAAAGCAUCACCUGCAACUGUCAAUUCUAUGUAACCUGAAAAGCCACUCAUUCAAGCGCCAACAAUUUUUUUUUUUCAGAGGUCAAAUGCACAACCACUGUAAAUAUCAUACACCUUACACAAUCCCGAAAGCAUAUGAUAAUUCUUGGAAAGAAAAUGUGCUACAUUCUUCAGCAAGACACUUACAUGCUUUUUAUCAAGAACGGGCACCAAGCGGUUCUGGUAACAUUUUUCAUUACACUUCCUUGGGACUCGCGUGGUAUGCACACUCAUUGGUUUCCCUCCCUUUGUUGGAAGCUCCUUAAUGAUUUUAACAUCUUUUGAGAGAGAUGAUAUAAACCAGUCUACAUCAAAGAUUUCAUCGAAGUUGCUGCAACAAAUACCCCAAUUUGCAUUAUAAAUACGCUGACUAUACCCCUUACAUUGACAGUAGUUCUUCAACUGUAAUAUGAAACUGACCUGGAAUCCUUCCAAUACGAUUUCUGGUCCAGCUUGGGAACAACAAGAGUAGCGUUCAAGAUAUAAGCUGCAACGACAGCAUCUGUUAUCUGCAACACAACCAGUAAAGGAAGCAUCAGGCACUGAACCAACAGCGAAAAUAUGCACAGUUACAACGUACAAGUCCAAUCAAUUAGACCUAAACAAGAACUACUUAUAACCAGAUGCCUAAACGAAACAAAACCCCCAAUUACGCAGAUAAAGAAACUCACCCCUGUUCUUUGUUGGUUCAAGCCUCCACUAGUAGCAAUCAACAAGUAGUGAUUCGAAUGAGUUUUCGAAUCAGAAGCUGGAACAUUUAAAGCAUUGCUUUGGUAAGAUAAAUUAAACCAGCGCUCCAACAAUCAAAAUACAAAUUUCACCAUAAAUCCAUCACACAGCAUAGAAUCGAUUUGAUUACAACGCCAUCAAAUGAACAAAACAAAACUUCAAUCAAAACCAUCAAAUUAAUAUUGAAUUUUGUUGAUGCACAAAACCGGAGGUCUUGGAACAACGUAAACCCGGCCGUGAAUCUGCAUGAAAUGUAAAUAACACAAGGAGUAUCGUGGUUCACCCCAAGGUUUGGGCUACAUCCACACUGAUUGUAUUUAUCUGAGAGUAUUUGUGAGGGAAAGAGUGUGAGAGCUUUGCUCUAAAUAGGAGAGGCUUAGGGUUUGUGAGGGUGAGGAUGCCCUUUUAUAGAAUAAGGGCUCAUCCCCUAAUUACAUAUUUGCUCAUUCCUUUAUUAGAUAAUUACAUGUAAAUCCCUCGAGUAUUUAUACGAGGUCUAAAUACGAGGCCCUAAAUAUGGUAUAAACAGUAGUCCCCCAAGUCUUCAGUCAAGAGAGUCUUUUGGCUGGAGACUUGAAAUUCAGUCCAUGUGUGGGCCGAAGUAACUAGAUGUUAUCUUGAACUGAUGCUCAAUAUGAGUCAGUGCUUAAUCUGAAAUGACGCUCAACUAGAAGUAGCACACACUGCGAGGUUGUUCGGCUCGUGGCCUAUGUUGCCUUGGUUGGCUCGGCUUGCGGCGUUUGAAGAUGAGGGAGUCCCUUUUAUAGAAUAAGGGCUCACUCCUCAAUACAUGAAUGAUGGGCUAGAGUUUAUGCUCUCUAAUGAUGGUGAGGGAGUCACUUUUAUAGAAUAAGGGCUCGUUCCUCAAUACAUAAAUGAUGGGCUAGAGUUGAUGCUCGCGGCGAGGCGGUUGCUCAGUAGGCGGCAAUGCUCUCUAAUGGUGAUGAGGGAGUCCCUUUUAUAAAAUAAGGGCUCGCUCCUCAAUACGUAAGUGAUGGGUUAGGAGUGAUGCUCGCGGCGAUGCGGUUGCUCAGCUGGCGGCGUUGCUCUCUAAUGAUGGUGAGGGAGUCCCUUUUAUAAAAUAAGGGAUCGCUCUUCAGUACAUGAAUAAUGGGUGCUCUCGAAUGAAAAGUGAGGGAGUCCCUUUUAUAGAAUAAGGGAUCGCUCCUUAAUACAUAAAUAAUGGGCUAAGUCCCCCAAGUAUUUUUCAUGAGGCCCGGUUGAGGCCUAAUAUAUGGUACAUAAUGUAGUCCCCCAAGUCUUCGAUCAGUAGAGUCUGUUGGCUGGAGACUUUUAAAUUGAAUCUAUGUAUGGGCCGAAGUGGCGGUUGUUCGGAGGCGGUAUUUGUAUACCCUGCACUGAAGCUUUGUAGGUGAAACUUUGCAAGUAAAGCUUUAAGGCUAGAGUGAUGCUUUUGAAGUUGAUUAACAUGAGUGAUGCUCAUGAAUGUUUAUGUUGAUUGACAUGAGUGAUGCUCAUGGGUGUUGUCAUAAGUGAUGCUCAUGAAUGUUAACAUGAGUGAUGCUCAUGAAUGUUGACAUGAAUGAUGGUCAUGAAUGUUUAUGUAUGAUUGUCAUGAGUGAUGCUCAUGAAUGUUUAUGUAUAAAUGACAUGAGUAAUGCUCAUGUAUAAUUUGGAGUACUAUGCAUACUUUUGAUCACCUGGUUGGUGGCAUAAAGGGGAGUACAUGUUGUACAUUUCAUCACCUGGUUAGUGGCAUGAAUGGCUAGUUGCCAAAUUAAAGUACGGGUUGUACAUCUCAUCACCUGGUUGGUGGCAUGAAUGACUAGUUGCCAAAUGAUAUUAGAGUACGAGUUGCACAUUUCAUUACCUGGUUGGUGGUAAUAGCGGCAGGUUGCUGAAUAAUUUUGGAAUACUAGGCGUACUUUUGGUCACCUGGUUGGUGGUAAUAGUGGCGGGUUGCCGAAUAAUUGUGGAGUACUGGGCGUACUUUUGGUUACCUGGUUGAUGGUAAUAGCGGCGGGUUGCCGAAUAAUUGGGGAGUACUGGGCGGACUUUUGAUGACCUGGUUGGUGCUAUUUUGGGCUUAUGGGCCUUUGCUCUCCAUAACAUGCCAACCCAUUUAUUUUGGGCUUUGCCCUUUUUUUUUUUUUUUUUUACCCUCUGAUGGGGUUUAUACAUAUUACCCUCUGAUGGGGUUUAUACAGAUAAUUCCGAAAGAUAAGGAAAAUAAAUUACAUCAUUCUGGUACGGUAUUUAUUCCUUGCUUUUGCUUGUGAUUUUCUACUGCACUCUCUCUGUCUCUUCACCUAGCAGACAGAAGGAAUAAUAAUAGGAAAAUCUUUUACUUUUCUUCUUUUCUCUUUUCUUUUUUUUUUCUUUUCACUUUUGCUUUGCUCUUUUUCUUUUUCUCUGCCGCAUGGUUUUUUGCUUUCUCCGUUUGCUGCACUUCUCUAUCUCUUCACCUGGCAGAUAAAAAGAAUCAUAAUAAUAGGCUUAUCUUUUGCUUUUUCUUGAUCUCUUUCCCCUGCCUCUUUCUGUAAUUUUGAGUGGGUCUCUCAAAUCUAAUGGCGAUCUGUUUUGCUCCUCUAUCCAUCUCAUUCGCAGGUAGUGGAUGCCAGCUGAAAGCGCGUGAGGUUUUGUGGUGUUUUCCAAGGCCCAAACCCAAAGGAAACAUUUUCACCUGCGAACCAAUCGCAAUUUCGUCGUUCGUGCUGAGUACAGUGACGACAUUAGAGGCGGCGGCGGCGGUGCUGAUUUGGUCACUGGUUCCCGUCACUGACAGCAACUUUAGGCCCAAACACAUGACUGAUUACGGUUUCCAGGUUGUGGGUAUCCUUGAUUGGGAUUGUUCCACUGAUUUGGGCUUCUGGGUGGCUGAAAAUUAGGGCUCGGAGGAGGAGGAUUCACCUGGUUAUAGGAAUGAUGCUCUCCAUCUGAAGAGGUGAGGAAUGCCAAACGAAGUAGACCCUCUCUUCCAAGCCGUCGACGAGACCCUCGAGCACUGCGGCGAGACGGAGUGGGACCUCUGGUGCUCUCACCUCUAGGUUGAAUUUGCGGCGGAUGGCAGUGAAUAUGGCAAGCAGUGAUUUGCUAACGUCCCAGGAGCAGAUCCAAGUCUCUCCGCAUUGCUUCCAUAUAACACACAAGGAGCCACACUUCCCAAAAAAACUUCAAGAUCGCUGCUACAGGAUUCAUCACUACGGCCAAGACAAGCAAGGAUGCUGGAGUUUGUGUGACAGUUUCCUGAUCCUGACAGACUCUGUCUGUUUGCGAGUCGACUCGGACUCGGCUCGGAAAAGAAGAACUCAGUCUCAGCCGUCUCGAACGAGAUCAUGUUCUCCGAUUCCUUGCUAUCACCGUCCACGUUAGCAGCCGCCUCAGACUGGUGACUCAGCGAUGACUCCUGACUUAUCGAUCGGUUGAAUUUGUCGGCAAAGCAGCCAGUCCAACUAGUGAACAGUGUACCCAUCUGCCCCGUUUUCAUAUGCGAUUUGAGAGAGAGAGAUAGGCUGUGACUAUUUUUCUGUGUGGGUUAGUGAUAGGAGAGAGAAAGAAUGAAUGUGACUAUGUUUCCAUCGAUUUUGCAGUGACUAUGCAUGUUCGGUUCUUGGGUUUCUGCAGAUUUUGCAGAUCUACGGCGGAAGUGAAAAAAUGAAAGAGAACCGACACAACUUUUCUUAUCGAUUCCCACAGAAGGCGUCAAAUGUUGAUGCACAAAAUCGGAGGUCUUGGAACAACAUAAACCCGGCUGUGAAUCUGCAUGAAAUGUAAAUAACACAAGGAGUAUUGUGGUUCACCCCAAGGUUUGGGCUACGUCCACACUGAUUGUAUUUAUCUGAGAGUAUUUGUGAGAGAGAGAGUGUGAGAGCUUUGCCCUAGAUAUGAGAGGCUUAGGGUUUAUGAGGGUGAUGAUGCCCUUUUAUAGAAUAAGGGCUCCUCCCCUAAUUACAUAUUUGCCCAUUCAUUUAUUACAUAAUUACAUUUAAAUCCCUUGAGUAUUUAUACGAUAUCUAAAUACGAGGUCCUAAAUAUGGUAUAAACAAAUUUCAUUCUGAAUAUCCGAUCACCCGAAUCUAACAAGAAACUAGAAAAACCUUAUUCGUUAGAGAGAGAGAAACAAAAUGGGCAUAAAUGAGAUUAGAAAAUAUCUAAUAUAUAUUACUUGCAAAGUUAUCGGCAACAUUGCUGCAGCCAAAGAAAAGCUCUGAUUUCCUUGUACUCCAUAAAUGUAGACCUGAACUUCCCCCACUCUCCUAAAAACACUAAUGAAUUGUUCUCGAGACGGAAAAAAACCCUAAUCAUCUUGUUCUUGAUCCAUAUAUACACUAAUGAAUUGUCUCCCAGUGGCACUCAAAUUCAAACCCACUUUUGUCAUCUCCAAAAACUUUACAGAGUUUGAAGAUUGUUUUGGAGCAACUAGAGAUAAUGGAGCUAUAUACUUCCAUGCAGCACUGUUUCAAUCAUUGUAUGAUCAUCUAUGAACUGGGAUUUUCGAGAUAAUGACUGAAAGGAUAAUCUUUUGGGAUGUGAUAUUCACACACCUGAUUUUACUUUUCACACAUCUUUCUAAUUUUCGACCGUCAGAUCGGAUGAACUAAAGAAAAUCAACAGAUAAAUAUUAACGAAUGAUGUGUAAAUAUCACACAUUGGGGAAUUGAACGCACGACGUUGGAUACUAGUGUAAAUGUUCAUAACAACUUAAACUACAAGCACAUUGGAAUUGGAGCUAUACUUCCAUGCAACGUUAUUUCAAUCAUUACAACACCACCACUUUUUUGUUCGUAAUGAGGGAGAGAUAGAAUGGAGUUCUUCACGAAGUUCGAGACAAAGGAAUAAAAAAGAGUUUCCAUCAGAUUAUUUCAAAAUAGGAUUUUGAGAUAAUGACUCAAAGGAUAAUCUUUUUUAUACGAACCAUAUUGAAGAAUGGAAGAAUCAAACACACGACUUCAAUGCAAGAGUGAUAAUUUCAACUCCAGCCACAUUGGAAAGGGAUAUUCAAAAUGUUGUAAUAUAGUCACUUUGUACUACGAUCUAAUGAUAUUUCUCUUCAUUUGUAAGUGAGAGAUUUUAUGUUCAAUUCUCACAAAAGUUGAAUUUGAACCACAUUAUUGUUAUUUCAUUGUGAAGAUAAGCCCACCUCAUCUACCUUAAUAUAGAUAAUAUCAUUUGUUAAAAAAAAAUACAAUAGUAUAAUAUCAUUGUCUUUCUUUAUCUUGAGUGCUUGAAGUUCGAAUAUUGUUUUCUUUUUUUCAUAAAUUAUCAUUUAUAAAAUUUCAAUUCAGAAUCUCUCAAAAGAAAGUAAAAACUCAAUGUCACCGGAGAUAUGUUCAUUCGUUGUCCUUGAAAUUUGAACGUUGUGAGUACAUGGGUAGAGGCAACUAGGUGUUUUUUUUUUUUGGGGGGGGGGGGGGGGGGGUUGUCCUUGAAAUUUGAACGUUGUAAGUACAUGGGUAAAGGCAACUAGGUGUUUUUUUUGGUGUUUUUGGGGGGGGGGGGGAUCAAAGUCAUGAUUACAAUGAAAACGCUCAUGUUUUCUUGAUUGCGGUUUCCUAUAAAAAGGUGAACUUGAUAAAGGGGUAAAGGGAAGCAGAUUGAAGAUGGAGUGCGAUUGAUGGGACAUGGUGCUGAACAGAUCCAAUGGCAAAUUCAUCUGGAGCAAACAAGCAGGUGGAAAAAAAAUUCAAAGGCAACAAGAAAUGAACCCAAAGUAGACCAAUAAACACUCAAAAGUUUUACUAUAUUUUUAGCUUUAAUUAACCCCAAAUUUGAAAUCAAAUUAUGGAAACAACACAGGAAGCAAAACCGAAUUCAUCAUCUCUCUACCAAAAGAUGCAGAAACAGGUGUACCAAGCAGCAAUUUAACUAAUGAAAACAAGCAUAUUUAAUAAAACCCGAUUCAUAACUUUUGACUAUUGGCCAAUUUCCCCCCUCAACUUUAAUUUUGGCCAAUUUCCCCCCUCAACUCUCAUAAUUAGUCAAUUUCCCACCUCAACUUUAAUUUGGCCAAUUUCCCCCCUCAACUCUCGUAAUUAGUCAAUUUGCACCCUACUGUUAAUUUUUUAAUUUGAUCAUAAUUAAACAAGUGUGUGUAAGAAGCUAAAUAAGAUGUAUGUUAAUCACUUUCCUAUGUCUUUAUCCUAUUACAAAUAGAUUAAACUUUAGAAUUUUACAAUUUAUCAUAGAUAGUAUUAUUAGUCAUAAUAAAUCAGUAUGGAGUAAUUUUAUUUGAUUUUUUACUAUACAAAAUUGAUAACGAAAAGGAUUGAUGUGUACAUUUUUGUAUGUGAAUACAAUUUUCUUUAUAAAAGUGAAAGCUAAGUUCAAGUAAAUUGCGGAGACUCGAGCUUUAGUGCAAAAAUGGCUAGUCAAUUCAUAAUUUUCGACUCCUUAUUAAGAAUAACCCAUUUUAUUGAAAUAGGUCUGAUCCAUGAGUUUAUGAUUAUUAUUUCUUCUUCUACAUGCUUUAAACCCGAUUCAUAACUUUUUCUUAUAAUCAACCCAUAUCACAUACUAAUUGUAUUAUGUUUUUGUACAUUUUACCCUAUAUUAUGCAGGUGAGUUUAUGUUAAUUUUAGUACUUUGUUGGAAGUUAUUAGAAAGGUUGAAAGAAAAAAAAAAGAAUAGAUGGAAAAUUAAAAAAAAAAAUUAACAUUAGGGUGCAAAUUGACUAAUUCUGAGAGUUGAGUGGGGAAAUUGGCCAAAUUAAAGUUGAGGGGGGAAAUUGACUAAUUAUGAUAGUUGAGGGGGGAAAUUAGCCAAAAUUAAAGUUGAUGGGGGAAAUUGACCAAUGAUCACAAGUUCAGGGGGGGAAUUGAUGAAUACCUCUUCACAAAAUUAUCUAUUCUAAAAUUGAGGAAUGAAUGGACUGUGGCUUAGCUACAGUCAAUUGUUUGCCAUUCGAUUUCAUGCUAUUUACCACAAUGCCACAACCAAAUGAGCUGGUUGGGAGGGAAAUUAUCAAAAGGUAUGAGGGUACUUUUGUCUAUGAACAUAUUUCGAAAUAUUUACGGUUUUACCAGUCUAUUAUAAAAUGGGCCUCGAUUUUGCAUUAUUUACAUUUCAGCCAUGGAGGGAUUUCGGGGAGAGAGGCGUGAGAUGGCAGAAGAGGGAGGGGAAGGGAGAAAUAGGAGUGAGGCUGCCAAACAAUGGGGUUAGGCUGGAUUUCUCCUCCUCAAAUCAAGGGUUGGUGUCGAUGAUAGAAAGAUUGAGAGGGAUGGGAGAGACCCAUUUGGCCUUCAUUUUCCCCUUUCUCUCUCUCGGUCUCUCCUCCACCAUACUCAAUCCUUUGCUUCUCAUCCGUGUGCCUCUAGAUUCGAUCUUCUUUUUCUGUUCCUCUCUUGGCACGCGUCCAUCAUUGUUGCCGUUUCUAUUUCAGUUCUCUGCUUUCCAUUUCUUCUCUCUCUCCCUCUUCUCAGUGUUUUGCAAGCUUUUCUCCCUGUCUCUUUGUCGCCAUGGUCUCCAUUGCUCUCAAACUUUCGUUUCUAUCCUGUCAAAUCUUGGCUCACUGGAAAAAUCCGAAGCAGUUUAAGCUUCUUUAGCUUUUUGAUUUGGAUUGAAGAUGAUUUUAAGCCAAAAAGGUUAAUGUUUUCUGGUAAGUUCUUUGAAGCCUACAUCUCGAAGGUUUUUUUUUCUUUUUUUUUUUCCAAAUCUAUGGGUUGUGUUUUCUUCAAUUUUAAAAUAUUAAAAAUUGAAUCUUUUUUUUUUUGGGUAAUAUUUUUAGUUAGAUUAUGCUAUGGGUUCUGAUGAGGCUUUGAAUUGGGUUUGAGAGUUUUGAUUUAAUGAGAGAGAUCAGGAGUAUACACGGAGACAGGGAGGUAGGUCAUUUGAAGAAAUGGAGAUUAGGGUGAGAGAAAAACGGAGAGAAGGGGUAGCAGAUUAAAUUUUGAUUUUAUAAUUUUGGGUGUUUUGUGUUUAAAUUUUGCGUUUGUAAUUUUAGGAUUUUGUGUGUGCGCUUAGAUAUGAUUUAGUUUUCAAUUUCAAGAAACUGUGGUGUUGCAAUUUUGGGGCUUUCGUGUGCAACCUUGGAACCACUUUGUGCUCAAGGUAUAUAAAAGGUAUGAAACCCCUGGCGUUUGCUGAUGAGUGUUUUUUUUUUUUUUUACUUUCUUAGUAUGGCCUUUAAAUUUUUUUGGUAGUUUCUAUAGAUAUAGCCUACAAAUGUUGACCCGAAGGUUGGACAUAAUCAUUACUUCCUAUUACAAUUUAUUAACGUUAAUUCACUUAACUAAAGUUGAUUGGAAUCGGAUGAUGAUCGAGAUAUUUGCAUAGGUGAGAGAAUCUCGCUGACAGUUUUCGAUAUUCAGAUGGGAUUUGUGUAUGAAUUUUGUUUUUGUAAUUUUGUGUUUUGUUUAUAUCGUUAGAUUCGUUGUCUGGGCGUAUGAUUUGCUUCUGUUUUUCGUUUUAGGAGACGUUACUCUUCAUUGUUUGGGGCUUUUGUGUGAAGCUUUUGAAGCCCUUUGUGCUCAAGGUAAAUAAUUUUGGUUUUUUCCUUUUGAGGCUUUUGUGGAACAAUUUUUUUUUUUUUUUUUUUUUUUUUUUUUUGUAACAUUGUGAAAGUUGAUUGUUUGAGAAACUAAGUAAUUGUGUAUUUGUUUGUAGUUAUGGUAUGAGACGUUAUAUAAAUUGAACAGGGUGAGGUACGGUAUUUAGGUAUCACAACAAUUGAUUGUGAAAAACUACUAACAAACUACAUUUGAAACAUUCUUUCAUUUAUGUUAUAUGUGGUGGUUCCAAGCUUGAGUUCUUUUUCCUUGCAGCCUUCUGUUAACCAAUAUGGGUCUAUUCAUUAUGGUAAUGCUACAAAUGGAUAAAUCACAUCAGAGCGUCUGCUACCCUCUUUGCUUUAGAUUGGUUUAUUUAUGGAUUGUCAGAUUCUUCUUUAAAUUCAUGUAUAUUUUUUUAUAUCAAAAUUCAUGUGUGUGAUAUGAAUGGUUUUGUAAAUUUCUUUUAGGCUAUGAUGAGACUAGCAACAAUUGGGAUGACUACUUGAGAUAUGUAAAUCCUGAGGGAGUAUAAAUGAUUUCUGUAAGUUCCUCUUCUGACUUCACAAUUGUGAACUGGGUAGUCAUUACAAGCUUCCAAUGAUAGUUGUCUAACGUUUUGAAGGCAGCUCUCUAAAAUUUAAAUUAUCUUUCUAAGUUUUCUUUUCUUCUAAUUACAUAAAAUUGAUAUUUUUUAUAUAGUUAUUUAUUUGUCAUAUGUUCUGGUAUAUCGAUUUCUUUUUUUUUCUCAAAAUUUUUGCUUCGUUUUAUAUAAUGCAUAGAAAGGAGGAACGCCCGAACUGGAGAAAUGUGCAGUUAAGGCUGUUUAAGAUCGUUAUGACGUUGUGCACCGUGACAUCCUUUCUAUGGACCUGAGGUCAGUCAAACGUGUUAUAUGUGUAUAGGUAGAGUUUCAAUUGCUUGAUUCUCCUCUGCUUAUAUCACUUUAUUGGGUUUGGUUUAGGAGUAUCAUUAGAUGGUUAAGCAUUUGACCACUUUAAUGUUUACUUGAUUGAAAGAUAUGCUAUAUGAAAGUUUGUAUUUUUUCAAUCUUUCAUCGAUACAGAUAAUGUAGGAGUGGAAGGGAUUGGGAGACAAAUGAGUGUGCAACUAAGCAGGAGGAACAUGAAGGAAGCAGUAAAAUUCAAUUGCGUCCUAAAUGAACUCUUAAAGAAUAGAUUGUAGGGUGAAAGUUUAGAUCUCAGAAGUUUGGAUGAAUUGAAUCCUCCAGUUUUUUAUAUAGUUCAGUAAUAUUUUAGAUAAAUGAAUUAAAAAUAUGGUGUGUAUAAAAUCUACGUAAAAUGCUUAUACCACAUGUAGUCAAUUGGUUAACACAUAUACAGUACAUAUAAUCCAUUUGACAUUUCCGCAACAAUGGAAUGUCAAUAUAUAAUCCUAAAAUAAAAUAUAAGGAAGCUUAGCAUAAAUAUAUGAUUAAUACUAUCUGUAAAUACAACAACAACAACAAAGCCUUUUCCCACUAAGUGGGGUCGGCUAUAUGAAUCCUAGAACGCCAUUGCGCCCGGUUUUGUGUCAUGUCCUCCGUUAGAUCCAAGUACUCAAGUCUUUUCUUAGGGUCUCUUCCAAAGUUUUCCUAGGUCUUCCUCUACCCCUUCAGCCCUGAACCUCUGUCCCGUAGUCACAUUUUCGAACCGGAGCGUCAGUAGGCCUUCUUUGCACAUGUCCAAACCACCGGAACCGAUUUUCUCUCAUAUUUCCUUCAAUUUUGGCUACUCCUACUUUACCUCGGAUAUCCUCAUUCCCAAUCUUAUCCUUUCUCGUGUGCCCAUACAUCCCACGAAGCAUCCUCAUCUCCGCUACACCCAUUUUGUGUACGUGUUGAUGCUUCACCGCCCAACAUUCUGUGCCAUACAACAUCGCUGGCCUUAUUGCCGUCCUAUAAAAUAAAAUUUUCCCUUGAGCUUCAGUGGCCUACGACGGUCACACAACACGCCGGAUGCACUCUUACACUUCAUCCAUCCAGCUUGUAUUCUAUGGUUGAGAUCUCCAUCUAAUUCUCCGUUCUCUUGCAAGAUAGAUCCUAGGUAGCGAAAACGGUCACUUUUUGUGAUCUUCGCUAGAUUGCUCCGGUCAUUAGUGUGGAUAAGUAUAUAAAUGGAUAGAGAUAGGAAAGCAAACACAAGAUGUACGUGGUUCACCCAGAUUGGCUACGUCCACGGAAUAGAGGAGUUCUCAUUAAUUGUGAAGGGUUUACACAAGUACAUAGGUUCAAGCUCUCCUUUAGUGAGUACAAGUGAAUGAUUUAGUACAAAUGACAUUAGGAAAUAUUGUGGGAGAAUGAUCUCGUAACCACGAAACUUCUAAGUACCGGAGUGUGGUAUCGUCUUGACUUUGCCUUAUCUGUCUCAUAGGUAGAUGUGGCAUCUUCUCUGGAAGUACUCUUCCUCCAUCCAGGGGUGGUAUCUGUAACUGGUGGAGAUGCACAAGGUAAUGUAUCAAUUUCACUUGAAGCUUACUUGUAGUUUCAGGCUUGGUCAAGCGCGAUACAAACCAUGUAGUAGGAGUCCCCCAAGUCGCCGAGCUAGGGGAUCUGCUGAAAGAGGUGACAGACAAGGUAAGCAAUCAGAGCUCCGGCUGAUUGUUCACAUUCUCCCUAUCUUGCAGGCAGCAUGAAGGAUAAAGAGAAGAAAAAUGAGAAGAGAUGAUAUGGGAUACUUUUGCUUUUGAAGAAGUAACUUUCCACAGGCUUAUUCUUGAACUGGGCUGGAGGGUUUUCUGGUUUCCUCCAGAGUAUAAGGCCGACUGAAGAAUUUGAGGGUCAAAACAAGUCCAUCAAAUCUAGAGUACGUUCGACCCUGCUGAUAUGGGAUACUUUUGCUUUUGACAGAGUAGUGGAUGUAUCGGCACGUGUGCUGUUACGCUUGUCUCCACAUGCUUCCUUGUAUCCUUCUCACUUGCCCUAUCUGUUCCUCAGGCAGAUGCGGUAUCUUCCCUGGAAGCAUAAGAUGUUGAAGAUGAGUACUCGAGAGCAAUGCCAGGUAAGUAAUCAGGUAAGGGGUUCCAGGCAGUCAGUUCCUGGCUGGAAGCUUGAUUCCAAGUGCUGACUGAUUGCUCUCUUUCUCCUUGUCUUGCAGGUAAGAACAAGGCCAAAGGAAAAGACAGGGAAAAAGCAUGAUAUGGGAUACUCUUGCUUUUAACCCUGACCUGAUGAUAUGAGAUAUUCUUGCUCUAGUAUAGCUUGUUUACAGAGGUAUUAUCGGGGGGAAAGAAAGCUGAAUAUUUCGAAAGGCUUCGUUGGGAGUGCCCUCUCAGAUAAGAGGAAGGGUUGAGCAUUUUUGCAGGUCUGCCUGUCCGUUGGGGAUGGAGGUCGACAUAUAUAGGAGUCUCCCUAACAUCAAGUAAUAAUGCUAUUCCUUUACCCUGCUUGGUCAUAGCACGGUAGUGGGAGCUGCCAGCUUCACAUGUUUUAACUCUGUCAGAGCACUUUGAAAAAGUGGUCUGUGGUAUCUGGAAAGCUGAUGUUGCGUGUGAAGAUUACAGACAAGCUUUAUCCAAGGAGAUCCAGCUCUUGAAGUUGGGAAAGUGGUGCCUCUUCGGUUUUCGAACAAGCAAUCCUGUCGGGGAUCUGGCUCUCGAGAUUCGGAGAACGAUGCCUCUUCGAUUUUUGAGAAAGCAAUCCUGCUGGGGGUCUGGCUCUCGAGAUUCGGAGAGCGGUGUCUCUUCGAUUUUUGAGAAAGUAAUCAUGUUGGGAGUCUGGCUCUCGAGAUUCGGAGGGCGGUGCCUCUUCGAUUUUGGAGCAAGCAAUCUUGUUGGGAGUGUUUUCUCGAAUGUGAGUAAAAGGUUGGGCAUGUUUGCUAGUCUACCUUGCCACGAAGCACAGAGGUUGACACACAGGGACUUUCCAAUUAUCCAGCAGUGGUACUGUUCCUUUACCCUCUCUUCGAUUUUUUGAGAAAGUAAUCAUGUUGGGAGUCUGGCUCUCGAGAUUCGGAGGGCGGUGCCUCUUCGAUUUUGGAGCAAGCAAUCUUGUUGGGAGUGUUUUUCUCGAAUGUGAGUAAAGGUUGGGCAUGUUUGCUAGUCUACCUUGCCACGAAGCACAGAGGUUGACACACCGGGACUUUCCAAUUAUCCAGCAGUGGUACUGUUCCUUUACCCUUGUGGGUAAUAAUAUGGUAGCUAGACCUUCAAAAUUUAUGUGUCUAAACUUUGUUAGUGUUGUUUCUUUGCUAUUCUUUUACCCUUCUUGGUCAGAGCGAUGUAGUGGGAGCUGCAAGCUUCACGUGUCUCAACUUUGUCAGAGAACUUUGGCAAAGUUAUCUGUGGUACCCAUGAGCUACUGUUGCGUGUGGGAAGUGGGUGAUUGAACAGUACGAUUCAUGUGCUUUCUACUUCGCCAGAAAUCUUCGACAGAAUGCCCAUAAUUUCCGCAAAGCUGAGUGUGCGUGUGACAGGUGCUGACAAGGCUGGAAAAGUAGGUGCCUCUUCGAUUUCUGAGAUCGGCCCUCGUGGUCUCUGAGCAGCCCAGCUUUUGAGAAAGCAAGCCUCUUCGAUUUCUGAGAUCGGCCUUCGUGGUCUUUGAGCAGCCCAGCUUUUGAGAAAGCAAACGCCUCUUCGAUUUCUGAGAUCGACCCUCGUGGUCUCUGAGCAGCCCAGCUUUUGAGAAAGCAAACGCCUCUUCGAUUUCUGAGCAGGCGCCUCUUCGAUUUCUGAAGCUUCGUCGAGUGCAGAUUUUUAUAGGGGCUGACAUUAAGUUCCAAAGCACACUUGAAUAUCCACCAGUAGAAGCUCCAUUCUUGCACUUCUAAGAUCUUGAUUUGUCCGACCUCUUCUCUCUUCAACACCUUUGAAAAUGUCUGGCCCCUCCGACCGUCGUUUUGACUUGAACCUUGUUGAAGAGGCAGCCCCGCCUUCUCCAGACAACAUAUGGCGCCCAUCCUUCGUCUCCCCUACUGGUCCUCUUACCGUUGGGGAUUCCGUGAUGAAGAAUGAUAUGACCGCUGCGGUAGUGGCCAGGAACCUUCUCACUCCCAAAGAUAACAGACUACUUUCCAAACGGUCUGAUGAGUUGGCUGUUAAGGAUUCUCUGGCUCUCAGUGUUCAGUGUGCAGGUUCUGUGUCUAAUAUGGCCCAACGCCUAUUUGCUCGAACCCGCCAAGUUGAAUCAUUGGCGGCUGAAGUGAUGAGUCUCAAACAGGAGAUUAGAGGGCUCAAGCAUGAGAAUAAACAGUUGCACCGGCUCGCACAUGACUAUGCUACAAACAUGAAGAGGAAGCUUGACCAGAUGAAGGAAUCUGAUGGUCAGGUUUUACUUGAUCAUCAGAGAUUUGUGGGUUUGUUCCAAAGGCAUUUAUUGCCUUCGUCUUCUGGGGCUGUACCGCGUAAUGAAGCUCCAAAUGAUCAACCUCUGAUGCCUCCUCCUUCUAGGGUUCUGUCCAGUACUGAGGCUCCGAAUGAUCCCCCUCCGGUGCCUUCUCUUUCUGGGGCUCUACCGACUGCUGAGACUUCUCCUAAGCAACCUUUGUGAAGGCUCCCUCUUGUUUGUUUAUUUUGACUCAAGUAUAUGUACAUAUUUGUAACUUAUCGGGGAUAUCAAUAAAUAAGCUUUCCUUCAUUUCAACGUAUUGUGUUAAAUACACCAAAGCCUUCUUCGCUAAGUUCUUUGAAUUUUCUUUUGUUGAAGCUUGUAUGUUGAAGCUUUGUGAGUGGAGCACAUGUAGGUUGAGGUAGUGUUCCCUUAAUUUCCCGAGUGAGGAAAACUUCUCGGUUGGAGACUUGGAAAAUCCAAGUCACUGAGUGGGAUCGGCUAUAUGAAUCUUAGAACGCCAUUGUGUUCUGCCAUGUGUCAUGUCCUCCGUUAGAUCCAAGUACUCUAAGUCUUUUCUUAGGGUCUCUUCCAAAGUUUUCCUAGGUCUUCCUCUACCCCUUCGGCCCUGAACCUCUGUCCCAUAGUCGCAUCUUCUAAUCGGAGCGUCAGUAGGCCUUCUUUGCACAUGUCCAAACCACCGUAACCGAUUUUCUCUCAUCUUUCCUUCAAUUUCGGCUACUCCUACUUUACCCCGGAUAUCCUCAUUCCUAAUCUUAUCCUUUCUCGUGUGCCCACACAUCCAACGAAGCAUCCUCAUCUCCGCUACACCCAUUUUUGUGUACGUGUUGAUGCUUCACCGCCCAACAUUCUGUGCCAUACAGCAUCGCCGGCCUUAUUGCCGUCCUAUAAAAUUUUCCCUUGAGCUUCAGUGGCAUACGGCGGUCACACAACACGCCGGAUGCACUCUUCCACUUCAUCCAUCCAGCUUGUAUUCUAUGGUUGAGAUCUCCAUCUAAUUCUCCGUUCUUUUGCAAGAUAGAUCCUAGGUAACGAAAACGGUCGCUCUUUGGUAUUUCUUGAUCUCCGAUCCUCACCCCUAACUCGUUUUGGCCUCCAUUUGCACUGAACUUGCACUCCAUAUAUUCUGUCUUUGAUCGGCUUAGGCGAAGACCUUUAGAUUCCAACACUUCUCUCCAAAGGUUAAGCUUUGCAUUUACCCCUUCCUGAGUUUCAUCUAUCAACACUAUAUCGUCUGCGAAAAGCAUACACCAAGGAAUAUCAUCUUGAAUAUGUCCUGUUAACUCAUCCAUUACCAACGCAAAAAGGUAAGGACUUAAGGAUGAGCCUUGAUGUAAUCCUACAGUUAUGGGAAAGCUUUCGGUUUGUCCUUCAUGAGUUCUUACGGCAGUCUUUGCUCCUUCAUACAUAUCCUGUAUAGCUUGGAUAUAUGCUACUCGUACUCCUUUCUUCUCUAAAAUCCUCCAAAGAAUGUCUCUUGGGACCCUAUCAUACGCUUUUUCCAAAUCUAUAAAGACCAUGUGUAAAUCCUUUUUCCCAUCUCUAUAUCUUUCCAUCAAUCUUCGUAAGAGAUAGAUUGCCUCCAUGGUUGAGCGCCCUGGCAUGAACCCGAAUUGGUUGUCCGAAACCCGUGUCUCUUGCCUCAAUCUAUGCUCAAUGACUCUCUCCCAGAGCUUCAUUGUAUGACUCAUUAGCUUAAUACCCCUAUAGUUCAUGCAAUUUUGUACAUCGCCCUUAUUCUUGUAGAUAGGCACCAAAGUGCUCGUUCGCCACUCAUUUGGCAUCUUCUUCGUUUUCAAAAUCCUAUUGAAAAGGUCAGUGAGCCAUGUUAUACCUGUCUCUCCCAAAACUUUCCACACUUCGAUUGGUAUAUCGUCUGGGCCUACUGCUUUUCUAUGCUUCAUCUUCUUCAAAGCUACAACCACUUCUUCCUUCCGGAUUCUACGAUAAAAAAGAGUAGUUUCUACACUCUUCUGAGUUACUCAACUCCCCUAAAGAAGCACUCCUUUCAUGUCCUUCAUUGAAAAGAUUAUGAAAAUAACCUUUCCAUCUGUCUUUAACCGCGUUCUCUGUAGCAAGAACCUUUCCAUCCUCAUCCUUGAUGCACCUCACUUGGUUUAGGUCCCUUGUCUUCUUUUCCCUUGCUCUAGCUAGUUUAUAGAUAUCCAACUCUCCUUCUUUGGUAUCUAGUCGCUUAUACAUAUCGUCAUAAGCCGCUAACUUAGCUUUCUCUCACAGCUUUCUUCGCCUCUUGCUUCGCUUUUCUAUACCUUUCACCAUUUUCAUCGGUCCAUAUCCUUGUAUAAGGCUUUACAACAUUCCUUCUUAGCCUUCACCUUUGUUUGUACCUCCUCAUUCCACCACCAAGAUUCCUUUUGGUGUGGGGCAAAGCCCUUGGACUCUCCUAAUACCUCUUUUGCUACUUUUCGGAUACAACUAGCCAUGGAAUCCCACAUUUGGUUAGCUUCCCCCUCUCUAUCCCACACACACUGGGUGAUUACUUUCUCUUUGAAAAUGGCUUGUUUUUCUUCUUUUAGAUUCCACUAUCUAGUCCUUGGGCACUUCCAAGUCUUGUUCUUUUUUCUCACUCUUUUGAUAUGUACAUCCAUCACCAACAAGCGAUGUUGAUUAGCCACGCUCUCUCCUGGUAUAACUUUGCAAUCCUUACAAGUUAUACGAUCCCCUUUCCUCAUUAGGAGAAAAUCUAUUUGUGUUUUUGACGACCCACUCUUGUAGGUGAUCACAUGUUCUUCUCUCUUCUUAAAGAAGGUGUUGGCUAAGAAGAGAUCAUAUGCCAUUGCAAAAUCCAAGAUAGCUUCCCCAUCCUCGUUUCUCUCCCCAAAACCAUGGCCACCAUGAAAACCUCCAUAGUUGCCUGUCUCCCUGCCCACGUGUCCAUUUAAAUUUCCUCCUAUAAAUAACUUCUCCGUCUGAGCAAUUCCUUGCACCAAGUCUCCAAGGUCUUCCCAAAAUUUCUCCUUCGAACUCGUAUCCAACCCUACUUGAGGUGCGUACGCACUAAUCACAUUGAUAAGUUCUUGUCCUAUUACAAUCUUGAUUGCCAUGAUUCUAUCUCAUACCCUCUUAACAUCUACAACAUCUUGUGUCAAGGUCUUGUCCACGAUGAUGCCAACACCGUUUCUCGUUCUAUUUGUGCCCGAAUACCAUAGUUUAAACCCUGAGUUUUCUAGAUCCUUUGCCUUACGCCCAACCCACUUAGUUUCUUGUAGGCACAUAAUAUUUAUCCUUCUCCUCACCAUAACUUCUACUACUUCCAUAGAUUUUCCCGUCAAGGUUCCUAUAUUCCACGUUCCUAAACGCAUUUUGCUCUCUUGAACUCUACCCUUCUGUCCUAGCUUCUUCACCAUUCCCCGUCUAAUAGGAUCAAAGUACUUCUUUUGUGUGUCCCGGGUAAAGUUGAUAGGAGCAUAUGCUCCCAAACAACUUUGAGUGGAGUCGUUCGAAAAGAAGUUUCUAUAGCCCCCUUGCUCAUUUAACACUGCAUCCGGGUGCCGAUGGAGAUACAGCGACCCUUGCUCACUUAUCACUAUGCUCGGGCCACACAGCGCGCCACUUACGGGUGACGCCCUAGCUUUAGCGCGAUUUCGUUCUGGAUUCAUUUUCAUAAGGAUUCGACGUAAUCAUGGAGUGCCGGCUGUCGACUACCUGACGCCCUCCCCUUCCUCCUUUAUCCGGGCUUGGGACCGGCAAUGUAAGAUAAACUUACACGGCGGAGUUUAAUACUAUCUGUAAAUGAUAAUCCAAAUUUGUAUGUGUUUUGCUUUCAUUAUAUGUUUAUAUAAUGUUUUGUUAAAUUAGAGUCGAUUAUUGGAUUUCAUGUAUUUUAAUUCAAACGGUAACAUUGUGUGUUCAAAAGGAUCCCCUCUAAUUUUCAGAGAUUAAUAUUAUUUAGUAUUUAGUAUGCUCAUCGACUCCAUUGGGCAAUAAGCAAAACAAAUUAUGAAAAGCAAACUAACCAAACAGGCAAAAAAUAAAAAUCAAAUUCUAAAAUGUUCUCAAAUUUGAUUUUAAAGCCAACAUCUCCCCCAUAUGCAGCUAACCCUUUUAGGAAAAACAAUAAAGAAGGCCAUUGGGACUCAAAAGCUAUUUUCAGUUUAGCAUGAUUAUCACUUAUAUAAACAUAUAAGGAAAGAAAAUCUCAAAGAGUCAGGUUUUUGCCCCAAUGUUAACAAUAUUUGUUUCAUUUGUAGUUUUUUGGAGUCUUUAUAAGCAUUUUUUAGUUUUGAUAUAAAAAAUAAUAAUAUUUUUUUACUCUCUCCUCUCUCUCUCUCUUUCGUGUUUUUGUGGACUUUGGGUUUUAUUUCUUUUUUGGGUUUGAGUGUUUUGAAUUUUUCUUUUGAUAAAGUAUUGGUUUUGCAGUAAAAGCAGCAAUCCUCUGCUUCCAGCUUCACUUCCACGUUCUCACUAUUCAUACCCACCCUGCCCAUUUCUUUCUAAAUUUCUCUUUGCACCCACUGGAAAAAAACAGAGUUUUGUUUUUGUUUCCUCAAAAUAUAGAUUAGACAGCAAUAUUUUGAAUGUUUUGCUUAUCCAUGUUCUUUGCAGGAUGCUCAAAGGAUGAUAAACAAGAAAAGAAAAUCACAGAUUGCAAAUUAGAUGGACAAAAAAGGCAAUAGAAAUUCAUAGGUCCCACAUCCGUGACAUAAAAGGUAUGAAAUUGUUAAUUGAUAAUUGAACAUAAAUGUAGAACUGAUUGCUACAAAUAAGUAUGGUUACUUUUGUAUCACAUUCUUAAUUAAGAUGGUUAUGCAGUCAUUUUUGUAAUUGUGUAUCUAUCAGCUCUGUACUGACUUACAAGUUACACACACCUCAAAAUUUUCAUUUUCUUUCAAACAAUCUUGAUCCGCAAUAUCUGCAGGAUUGCAAUGAAAUAAUUGUGAGCAGCAUGUAUAAUGGGAAGGAUUUACAAAGGUUUCAACUAUUGAACUUGCUUAUGCUCUUAUUUGAGUAAAAAAAGAUUUAGUAGGACAAACUCGAAUUGGCUUAAUUCCAUUUAUCAUUGAUAAUUUGAUUCUGUUAUUCAUAGACCAUUCUUCCGAAUCUCUGAGUUCGAAUGUGACCAAUUUUUGCAUUUUUAUGUUUAAUUUUAGGAAGAAAUGAAAAUGAGUUUUGCCUUUUUUUUAGUGUUUCGUUAGUACUAGCUUGCUGCAUAUGCUAUUCUCUGGGUGUAAAUAUAAUUAUCUAAGCAAGCUCAUUUAUUUUUGAACUCUUUAACUGAUUUGUGGCUGCAACAAGAUUUUUUUUUCGGAUUUUUCCCAGUCUUUUUAACAGUAUUAGGUUUCUGUCCUGCAUGUCACCAGGCUUAUUCUUUUUCAAUUCACAUUAAUCACGAAUUUAUAGUUGAUUGGAUUUCAUUUUGACUGCUGUAAACGGGUUUUCGUCAGCAUGUCUGACAUGAUAAAAUCAUGUCUUUUGGAUUAAUUCAAACAAUGUAAACAUUUCAUUUGUAUUCUUGAUCUUUGUUAGUAUUAUAAUUACAUAUCUAAUGAAAAAGGAUUUGUUUUAAUGAAUAAUGUGUCAUUACCCAAAAUGAGUUACCUUUGCUCAGAGUUUGCUGUUUAGCAUGUUAUGUUCCUUGGUAACAUGCAUCUGAAACUCUUUGUGCAGAAGAAGAUAUCUCAUUACAACCACCUCAAUCCAACAAAUUUUUUAUCACUCUUAAAACAUUAUCUGAACUCUCAGCUCAAAUAAGUCCUCAGUUUCCGUAUACUUUUUAAUUCUUAAUAUCUACGUGGUUUUCAUAGUUUUUAACCAUUAAAUCACGGAACUUUAUAUUUACAAUUAUAUUCUUUCUAAUUGUUUGUAUAGAUAUCUUUUUUGCUCCCUGCAAGAUGAUGUCAUGGCAUGGUUUAGUGGUGUUGAAUAUAAUUGGAGAAACUGAUUCUUUAAUCUACUCAUGAUGUAGAUUUCAAAGUUGAAACCCACUUACUUUCAAUCUUUUCGAACAAAUUCACUUUGUAAAGUAACAAAACAACGAUAUUCCUAAAGGAAAUAAAAUUGUUUGCUUUGCUGAGGUACUUCUGUUUAGAUUAAUCAAUGCUAUAGUGCAUUUUGAAACCUAAGUUAUGGAUCUAUUAGUUUCAAUUUAAACACAUCUAGAAACUUAGGGAUAUAUUUAUUAGCUCACAUUUAUAUACUGCUGGAAAGUUAAAGAUACGCUGAUGAUACUGGAUUUAACUUUGGUAGUUUUUCAAACAUAAUUACCCAUACAAUUUCUAAUCCCGCAGCAACGCUCAGGCAUCACUUUCUAGUACAAACCAGAACAAACACAUAUCAAGCUCAAAAAACUGACUUAAUCCAAUUGAGUUGACCCAAGUCUCCCUAUUCAUACAAAAAUCCAUCUAAAAGUUCAAAGCUCUGGGACAAUUUCAAAAUACUCACCUGAGCUAAAAGUUCAAAGCUCUAUGGAUUAUCUUUCAGAGGUGGAUUGUUUGCCCUUUCAUUUUAUACUCUCCCCAUCCCCUUUUGUUUGUAUGGUCACGGUUAAGCCACGUCAAUAUUUUAUAUUCCUAUUCAUUUUUGUUUUAUUAUUUCUAUAAAAAAUUAAUAUAAAAUGUUGACGUGGCUUAAUCUUGACCACACAUCACAUGAGAGCAUGGGAAGAGUAUGAAAAUGGGAGGGUGGACAAUCCACCUCCUUAUCUUUCAUCCUAUAUUUUUGACACAAUAUUUUAUAAUGUUGAUAUGAAAAUUAACGUUAAAUUGUGAGGUGAUAGAAAAUCAUUAGAGAGUAUCAUUUUAUUAAGUAUCCUUAGCAUUUAUCUUGUAAGAGCCUAAUGAGUAAUUUUUCUUUGUCAUCACCACUUUGACAUGUGCCCUUAUUGAUCCACUCAUUUUAUAACACAUCUAUCUAUUUGUUAGUUAUAGUGUUUGUCUUUUACGAUACAAGAUUAACGUCCUUGUGAUAAUGACACUCUUAGUCAUAAAUUCUAGUAAAUCACAAUUGUGCUUAAAUUCACCAAAUAUGAAAAAAAAAAUACUCAUGUAAAUUUGUUUAACUCAUAACUCAAUAACAUAACAUACUGUCGAAUGAUCGUCACACCGAAAAAUCUCUUUAUACAGACCGAAACCUUUUAUAGUUUUAUUAAAAUAAAAAAAAAAAGAAAAAAGAAAAAAAAGAAGAGUUGUUGAACACAAAAGGACAGAAAAGACCGAAGCUUUUCGUAGUGAUAACUGUUUAUAGACCAAUAAAAACACACUUUUAACAGUAAAAAUAUUAAAAAAACUUUCCCAUUUCGUGGAAAAGGAAACCAAGAAAAAGCCAGUCAAGCACUCUCUCUUUUCCUCUCUUUUCUUCUCCAAUCCCAUCCAAACGUUUUUUUCUGCAAAAAUCCAUCUCCAUUCACACACCUUUUUACAAUUUUCCCAGAAAAAAUUAUUGGGCAAGUAUUUUUAUAUAAAUCGUAUGUUGCACUUGUUUUUUUGUUGACCGGGAAAGUCUGUCUUUGUGGAAAAAAAAUCCAUCUCCAUUCACACACCUUUUUACAAUUUUCCCAGAAAAAAAUUAUUGGGCAAGUAUUUUUAUAUAAAUCGUAUGUUGCACUUGUUUUUUUGUUGACCGGGAAAGUCUGUCUUUGUGGAAAAAGAAGGAAGCUUUGCUGUGGAUUCAAGAACCCUUCUCCGGGAUCUUUGAUUCAUCUGUGUUUUCUGCAAGGGAAUUAUCUCAGGUGAGUAUUUUGAAAUUUUCCCAGAGCUUUGAACUUUUAGCUGGAUUUUUGUAUGUUUAAGGGAGACUUGGGUCAACUUAUUUGGAUCAAGUCAGUUUUUUGAGCUUGAUAUGUGUUUGUUCUAGUUUGUAUUUUGUGAAUAUUGAAUAUGCUUGUUUUCAUUAGUUAAAUUGCUGUUUGGUACACCUAUUCCUGCAUCUUUUGGUAGAGAGAUGUGUUGGAAUUUAUUAGGUUUAUUUAGGAAAUUAAUUAGAGAUUUGAUUUGAUUUUGUAGUAGGGUAUUUUUGGCAUAUACGCAUUAGGGUUUCUUUGGUUUAUUGCUCUAUAAAUAGAGCUUGUAAUUUAGUUAGAGAAUAAGUAAUUCACAAUGUAGCAUCUAGGGUUUUUGUAGCCAUUUCGGCAUUCUCGUUCGUUUAAUAAUAUUCUUAUUAUUUUGUUAGUCUUGUUUGUUGCGCACUCUGAUAUUCAACUUGGUAUCAGAGCGGGUUCGAUCCUUAUGGUUCAAUCCGUUCUUGUUGGUAUCAAUUUGUUUUGUCGCUUUUUGUUUUUUGGUUUAGUUUGGGUCUCAUUUAGGCUUUCGCUUCCGCUUUGGUCUGUGUCCUUUGUCUUGGUCACUCUGUUUUUGUUCGUUUUUGUCUUUGAAUUUCUGUUUAUGUUCUUUGUCUUUGGAUUUCGGUAUUGACCGUCAAAUUGUGUUAGUCUUGUCCGUAGAUUUUUUGCGUUUUCUGGUUUGGUUUUCAGUUUGUCCUUGGUAGUCUUCAAGAAAGGGAAAAAAAAUUCUGUUUUUUGAAAAAAGGUAUUUGGUGAAUCCAUCGCACUAGGAUUUCUGCAUUCCCCAGCCCCACCCUGCAUCUGGAUCCGUCCACAACCGUACCCUCGCGAAAAAAAAAAAAAAAAAAAAAAAAAAGGAAGGAGGUUGGUGAUGUUGGGUCGCACGUUGGUUCGCACAGAAGGUAAAAAAAAAAGGAAGGAAUCGCACAGAAGGAAAAAAAGGAAGAAAGAAGGAAGAAAAAAAAUAUUUGGUUGGAUUUUUUGUUUGUUUGUUAGGCAUUGGCAUCGACAUUUGUACUGGUACUGGCAUUGGAAUCUUGCACUGGCAUGGAAGUCUUGCACUGGCAUUGGAAUCUUGCACUUGCACCGAUGGAAUUUCGUAUUGAAAUUGGCAUCGGAAUUUGGAGGCUUGCAUCCACAUCUGCUUGUUGGCAAACUCAUGUCGUGUACCGCCAUGAGUUUGACGGGGGGUGUUGGAAUUUAUUAGGUUUAUUUAGGAAAUUAAUUAGAGAUUUGAUUUGAUUUUGUAGUAGGGUAUUUUUGGCAUAUACGCAUUAGGGUUUCUUUGGUUUAUUGCUCUAUAAAUAGAGCUUGUAAUUUAGUUAGAGAAUAAGUAAUUCACAAUGUAGCCUCUAGGGUUUUUGUAGCCGUUUCGGCAUUCUCGUUCGUUUAAUAAUAUUCUUAUUAUUUUGUUAGUCUUGUUUGUUGCGCACUCUGAUAUUCAACUAGAUGAUGAAUUGGGUUUUGCUUCCUGUGUUGUUUCCGUAAUUUGUUUUCAAAUUUGGGGUUAAUUAAAGCUAAAAUAUUGUAAAACUUUUGAGUGUUUAUUGGUCUAAUUUGGGUUCAUUUCUUGUUGCUUUUGAAUUUUGUUUCAGGGCUUGGUGUUUACUAAAGCUGGGGUUUUGUGGAAUUUGGUAUUCUUGAGCUCUGGUAAUAAAAAAUAGCGAAUUUAGGCGAUUUUGAUGGCUUUUUCGAUGUAUAUGUAUCAGAACUAAUUUUCCUUAGCUAGGGCUACGAUGUAUCCAUGACUAUGAAUGCUUAAAUUGUGGUUACAAAGUCAAGGAUGAUGUAGAUAACAGUAGACACUCAUUGUUUUAAAGAAAGUUUGUCUAUUAUGGUUACAAAGUCAAGGAUGAUGUAGAUAAUGUUUUCUCUUUGUUCCUAUUUUUUAAUUACAUCUUAAGGUUCAGCUACAUUCAGAUUAUAAUUUAAGGUGUAUAUUGUGUUGGAUCAAAAAUGGUGUGUGUUUUAUGAAUGAAAUUUCUGUAUAAGAAUGCCCAGGUAUUUACAUGUAUAUGUGUGUAUACUUAGGAAAAUAGUCAUUUAGGUAGCUGAGUGAAGUCCUUAUGAUGAUUACGAUUUGGGAUUUAUAUUUAGUUAUAUUAAAAAAAGUUAUUUGGUUAAAAGAAGGGGAAAAAAUAAAGAGGAAGAUAAAUUAUGUGCCUGGAUAGAGAUUUCUUAGUUUAAAGUGUGUGCGCUUUGUAAUUUUUUUUAAUCUUUCUUAGAAACAGAGCUUAAAAGUAAAGAGGAAGAAAAAUUAUGUGCCUAGAUAGUGAUUUCUCAUUUUAAAGUGACUGCGCUUUGUAAUUUUUUUUUUUUAAUGUUUCUUAGAAAUAGAGCUUUCUCAGUUUGGAAUUUACAAAUUUCUAUAAUCAUUUUGAUAAAUGUUUAUAUAUAUAUAUGUUGCCAUUGUUUUGAAUGAAAAAAAAUAUUGUUAUAGUGUUAUUGUUUUGUACAUCUUAUCUAUGACUACGUUUUCUAUUGUAGAUUAGUGCCACAACAAUUUAUAUAAGCUACGAAGUGCCUUUGCUGAAAUUGGAAAGAAAAAAAAAGGGUGAGCUGACAAAUAAUGUCAAAUUUACAAUUUACAAUUUUUUUUAAUUAUAUUGAUAAUUGUUUAUACAUAUAUAUAAAUGUGUAUUGGUAUUUGUAUCAUACUUUAAAAAUUUUUGGUAUAUCAAAUGUCAUUCCGUGUUAAAUUUGUAUUUCCGUUUAUGUCUUUUGUAGUGCGGUUCAGCUUUUUUUCUUUUCUUUUAUAGGUUAAAACAUUUUUGGUGGUGGUUAACAAUUUUGUUACUUCAUAGUUUAAUAAAUUUAUUGUUCAAUAAUAUUUAUGUUGGUUUUUCACAGGGUUUGAGAACGUGGCAUUAAUUAACAUCAAGUUAGUUUUGUUGCGUUGCAAGAUUCUCUACACAAAAAGUAAGUGAUUUAAACUUCAAAAAUUGAGUUCAAAUUUAUACCAUCUGGUUUAAUUUUAUUUUUUACAAUUAGAAGAAAGUUUCAUAUUCUGUUUAGGUUUUAUAAUACUCAAAUUGAAAUUUUUAAUUUUAGUAGUUUGUUUGCAUUUAAUGUUAUAUGUGUUGUUUUAAUAUGUGUGUUACAUCUUCGUUAAUUUUUUCCUUUUUCCCAAUUUGUUUGCAGCUGUUUGUUUUUCAAUUGGUCAUAACAAUUGGUUUGCAAUAUGUCCAAAAGACAUAUAAAUUUAAAGCUUAUGGAUUAUGAUGUCGGAUUUCAGAGUUGAUCCUUUCAUGAAAAUUAUAAAACUUGUCAUUAUGAGUGAAUGAAUAUUUUUAUUUUUUUUUUGCAUUUUUGUUUUUGCGCCGAAGGUGCUUCAGCGAUUUCUUCUUUUUAUUUUUUGUUUUUUUUUUCUCUGAUCUCUGAUGAUUUUCCUGGAUAGUUGUUUGUACGUAUAUUUUAUUAAAAGAUGCCUUUGCAAGAGUGCUUCGGACAAAACUUUCUUUUAAUUAAGCAUAUUUAAAAGAAAAAUUUUAAGUAGUAGCAUUAUCAAAUAUUUUUUGGUUGACUAAUCCUUCUCUUCAGAUUUAAAUUUUGUCCUCUCUGGAGUGUUUGUAACUUUGUGCACAUUGUUCGUGGCAGGAAUUCCCGUCGGGGAUGUUUCCUGGCCGACGAGCACACAGCUCCCCUGGAGGUUCGGCGCCAGUUGAGGGUUGCUGUCGGACUUCUGCUUUCCUGUCGGGCUUUGUCGGGCAAGUCUCGUCGGGCAAGACUCUUCGGGCAAGGAUGAAAGAGAAGGACAGCGUUAACUUUGAGAGGUGCCUUUGUGGGGCCUUAGGUGUAGGCCUUGAGGCUCACAAUCAAGGUUAACAUUUUAGUGCUCAGGCGUGCCACUGCCAUCUUCAGCAUGGCAGAUGUCGAAUGGAUGUCACGUUUUAGUUGUGAAUAUGCAUAUGCCCGAGAAACCGUGUUAGAUAUAACAGGUGCCUUUGUGGGGCCUUAGGUGUAGGUCUUGAGGCUUUCUGUCAAACUAAACCAGUACUUGAGCAUAUUAUAUUUGGUCUUUAUGGUUGUCGGAGUCUUAUAACUAUUAUAUUUCUGAUUAUUCGAGUCUGAGAGGUAGAGCGAACCCAAAUAGGUGCCUUUGUGGGGCCUUAGGUAUAGGCUUUGAGGCUUCCCAUUAGAGUCCGUUCUUAUACUCAAACCACCUAGACCGCAGAAUAGAAUGAAUCCAAAUAAGUGCCUUUGUGGGGCCUUAGGUAUAGGCCUUGAGGCUUCCUAUCAUAAUCCAUUCCAUACUUAAGCGUUCUAUGAUAAUCAUGAUAUAAUAGAAAUAAAACCAAGAGGUAGGUCGAUUACUUGCGCCCCAAGUAACUUCGGACUUCUCGUUUAUCAAGGAUUGUCGUGGAUGGGUUAAGUCCACAUAGAGUUCUUUUUUAUGCCUUGAGGCCAAGGACUUUUAAACUAAUCAGAUUUACAUGCCUGAGGGCUUAGGACUUGGAUCUGAUUUAAACACUGAAGAUAUAUUCAAAUCGGAUCCAAGUACUGAGAAAGCUUUGUCAUCGUGAUUUUGCUAGAAACAACUUGCAUAUAAUUAGAAAUAUACAACAUAUUGCUAGACUUUACAGAAAGAGAAGACAGACAGAGCAAAGCAGGUCGGGCAAAAUUAAACCUUAUCAAUUAAGGCUGAUCGUCUUGCAGGUCCCUAUCUUUGUAGUUCUGUCAAAGGUCUGAAAGCUUAGAGGGGGAGAGGGGAGAGGAGAAUACAAAAGGUGAAUCGAUACUACAACAAGUUCGAACAAGGUAGCAGAGCUAUUACAGAGGUUGGGAGAAAAGAUUAUCCCGCGAGGGAUGAAGGCUUGGGCUGAUUACAGCUUCGUUUUGAAACGCAAAUCUGGCUUUUUGAGCAGAGUUUGUGCUUUUGUUUGUUUGAUUGAGUGUUUUUGUUUGUUUGAUUGAGUGUCCUCUCUUCCUCCUUUUAUAGACGACUCGGUUUGGCUCCUGUAGCGACAGCUUUGCCCGAAUGCGGUCUGAGGGUGAUGACUUAUCAGCUUUAUUACAUGUAAUGCCACCAUAAAGUACUUUAUGGGCUGUGCAGUCUGAUCAGUCUACACCACUUGGUCCUUGGGUAGGUAGGCAAGUGGCCCUUAUGAAUUGUAUCAAGUCAGAAAAGGCCCUUUCCUGCUUUCCCAAGUUUCGGUCGGGCCUUGAUCUUCUAUUCCUCCAGGCCUCCUGGGCCGACUCCAUCCUUGGGCCAAAAAAUCAAGUUUUAAUCCAAACACACAUGCUCAGUAAGAACUAGGAAACUUCCUCGCAUCAGCAGGAGGAGGAGGUGGGGCCCGUGCGGGUUCAUUCUUACACUUUACCUUUCUUUCUUUCACUUUUCUUCUGUUUGAAUGCACACAAUUGCUACGCCGAAUGUGCUGAGAAAUUUCGUCUUUUUAUUUUUUAUGGUUUUUUUUUUUUUUUGUCUAAUCUUUAAUAAUUUCCCCGAUCGUCCAUAUUUUAUUGAAAGAUGCCUUACAGAGUACUGUGGACAAAAUUUUCUUUUAACAGUUGCAUUAUCAACAAAAAUUUAGGUGACUAAUCCUUGUCUCUCUAAAUUUUAAAUUUUUGUCCUCCCUGGCAUUUGUAACUUAGUGCACGUAAUAAAGUACAAUUUUUUUUAUUUCUUUGUACUAAACUCUGAUCUAGUUUCAGGUGCAACUAUAGUUCAGAUUCUCCAUCUUCUAUCUGCAAUCAUAUACUUCCUUCGAUCGCUUCAUUCUCUUAUCUUUCUAAGAGAUAGAGAGAUGGAGGUGAUUGGGACUUUUCAAACAUAAUUACCUAAAUAAUUUUUAUAGAAAACUUCAUUUUAAUCCUUGGCAAAGAUAACUUUUAGAUUAAAACCAUGAGUAAGAUCAAAAUUUAAUUUUAGUCUCUUAAUACAUUAAUAACCGCAUUUAUUAAUUAUAUUUUGAUUUUUUAACUAUUUCUCUUUUUCUUCCUAAUUUUUAAUGUAUUAAUUUUAUUUCAUUAUAAUUUUCAUUUUCAUUUCAUUUAUCGUAAUAUAUUUUGUUAGCACAUAUUACUAAAUUUAACAUUUGAAUAUAAUUGUGGACCCAAGGCUUUGAAAAACAAUAUACAGUUUAGAUUUGUUUGUAGAGUCGAAGUUGUCCAGUAGCAACAGCAAAAUUCCUCGCAUCAGCAGGAGGAGGUGGGAUAUUCAUUCUUAAUUUCACCUUUAUUUGUUAAAGCCCUCAACUAGGAUAUAUUGUAACCU